AAUAGUCACGUCUAAAACUUAUUUUUCUCACUUGCAAUGCUUCGCCAAGCGAGAUAUGUAUUGGGCGCCCAGCAAAGAAGAAAGUGGAGAGGUUAGGGGCAUUGGUGUCAAUCAUUUCCAGCUUACUGCAACCCAGCACAUCCAGGAUAUCAAGCUUCUGCAGCAGACAAGGUAUCUUCAAGCAAAUUUAAUCAUUGCAGUUGGUAAGCCUUAGUUCCUCCACAGCACAAGAAUUGGAUAGAAAACCAUAUAGUUCCUCUCCAGUAAUGUGUACUGAAUGCAAUUCCAAAUUUGUCAGGCUACUCAUAUAACCAACUUGGGCUGCACAGUGAAAAGAACAAUCCCCAAGCACAAAAGUCUGGAUGGAGCUUCUUAUCUCCCUACUAAAUAAAAGUAAACCUGGGAAGUUGUACUUUAUCCCACAACUUAACAUUGAUAGAUAGAUUUCUUUGAUCCCAGGUGUAAUGGCACAUUGAAGCCAGCGGUCAACAUAACUAGGUUGGAGAUUCGAACAAGGGUAGGUUUCAAUUACAAACCUCUUCACUCCCAUGCUAGAGUGAUUCUGCAUAAUGUGGUCAACUCUACAUACGAAAUCCCUUUUUAUUUCAUCAUUAGAUGUGUUUACAUUAAUCCCUAGAGAAUCAACAGAAAUAAUGAGAUUUGGAAAGCAUCUCCAAGAACGCAGAAAACCACGAGACACGCAGGCGGCCUGAGCAGCAUCUCGCAAUGGCAUGAGGGCGUGUAUUUGAUGAAGAAUGUCCUGUGAAAAUAACCAUGGGAAAUUUUUCAAAAAAAAAGCAUGAGAAAAAUAACGAACAUCACAAGAUGGUUGUGGUAAUAAUGCUUGUCUGAAGUGAGCAGUAUGGACAAAUUACGAUCGAAUUAGCUAAGGGCCUGUUUGUUUCCACCCUCCUAAAAUUUUAACUCCUAAAAGAUUUUAGGCAGUUUUUAGACACCUCCUAAAGUAUGUUUUGUUCCACCUCCUAAAAGUGACUAAAGGCAAUGAAUGAAGUGGUAAAAUGACCAAGAUGCACCUCUCCCCCACCCCGCGCUGCUCCUCCUCGUCAUCCUCCUCCUCCCGGCCCUCACGCUCGCCGCGCUGCUCUUGCGCGGGGGCGGGGGCAGCCACCACCUUGCGCUCCUGACGGCCGCGGCGGCGGCCGUCGCGCGGCUCCGCGGCACCCACGCGGGUGCCUUCCAGGCGUGCGCCUCCUCGGCACUAGCGGCCUCCGUGCAGUGGUUCAUCGGGGAGGCGGAGUCGGGCGGCGGGCGCUGCAGCGGCGGGCGGCGGGAGUCGAGCGGCGGGCGCUGCGGCGGCGGCGGCCGGCGGCGGACGGCGGCGGCGGCAGGCGGCGGGAGUUGGGCGGGCGGCGGGAGUCUGGCGUGCGGUGGGGGUAUGCGGGGUAGGAGCGGUCCAGAACCGAUUUUAGUCGGUUUUAGGAGGGGGGUGAGGGCCUAAAAGAUUUGGACCUCCUAAAAGAUUUUAGUCACUUUUUAGGAGAAGUGUUUGGCACUUUAGGCAGUUUUUAGUCACUUUUUAGGAGGUAAGGUUUUAGGAGGGUGGAAACAAACAAGCCCUAAAUGUGUUCUGUUUUAAAAAAUACAGUAUUGAAUUGUGCUAUACUGGGGGUAUCCUCAUUUUCAGCAGGUAUAACAUAAAAAGAAUUCACAAGCAACAACCAUCAUAAGAUGAUAAGGCAAGGUAACGACAAUUCAAAAACAUCAACCAUGGACCAUUGUACAACCCUGGACCUCAUAGUGUGAAUGUCAGAUGCACUACCAAGUUCUUAUAAUCCAAAAUGCCACCACCAAGCUAGCAGUAAUGACAGUGGGGGUGGUUAGUUCUAUCACUUGCUAUAUAGUGCUCUGAGAAAAAACUAAUUCAUCCUAAUAACUUACACGAUAUCAUCUCAUACCUCUGGAAGCUGGACCUGUGAUCCCAUUGUUUCGACGCAAUGCGAAAUAUCUCCUUCUAGACUAGGUGAUACCAUUAUUUGAGAUGCCGAACAAUUUGAUCCAUCACCUGCAAAUCAGGAAUGUCAUGAGACAGAAGGGACAAUGGCAAGGAAAACAGCAAACACGAACACAAUUGCACAUGCGCAGCACUUGGCUUAGAUGAUGCUUAAACUUCUGCUCGAGAACAGUUGAGCAGACAGAACCUAGGUUCCAAGAGUUGGGUUAAGAACAUCCUUUAUACGCAAAGUUACCUAAAAAUUAAAUCUUUAUGUGCACAAUCACCUCAAACAUAUGUCUCUGCACAAAAUCAUCAGCGUAGAGGGAUCUUUGUUCGAAACCUAGCCAGGCCACAUGAAUUUACUUAAUUCGACCAGUCCCGUGGCUACUUCUAUCCCAGAAACAGAUGUAGAAAAAUUGUAAAUAAUAAUUGAUAUCUCAUAUGACAGCACUCACUAAUCAUGCAGAUAAGCAACGCAAGCAAACAGACACCAGGAUGCUUACGAGUUAUCUGGACUUGAGGCUGCCCCUCGACGGACAGAGCCUUCAUCUGCUCCAGUAUCCCCAUGUCCGUCGCCCCAACAAUCAAGCCAAGUCUCCGCACCCUAUGGCCCCUCGCCCCCUCUGCCGCUCGUGCAGCAAUCACGGGUCAGGUUUCUGCCGUGAGAAUCGGUACGCCACGGUAGCAGGGAUAUGUGGAGCUGGGUGAAUCUUUGUGGUGCUCGGUUAUCGAGUCCGGUGCCAGAACGGCAGCUCCAAUGUGGAUGCAAAACGAACCGAGGGGAUAAUAAACAAGUAAAGGUUCGAUUUAGGCACUAGGCCUUCCCUGGAGGCCGCAGCCGAAUCGACCUCUCGAACAAAGCAGAAUAUGAGGCACUACUGCACGGGCUCCGUUUGGUAGUCUCGCUAGGAAUCAAGUGGUUUUUGGUUUACGGCGACUCACUAAUAGUCAUCAACCAAGUCAAUGAUGAGUGGGAUCGCCACAAAGAUAACAUGGACGCGUACUGCCUUGAAGUACGCAAGCCGAAGAACACGUUCUCCAGCCUGGAGUUCCAUCACGUGGCUCGUGACAAUAAUGUAGCUGCAGACAUCUUGUCCAAGCUCGAAUCUACUCGUACUCUAGUUCCAGCUGGGGUCUUUGUCCACGAACUACACAAGCCAUCUAUAGCGGAGUUGGCACCUUCAAAAACCACCAAUCGAGGCAACAAUGAGCCUGAUCGGGAGGUUCUGAUGAUCAACGUAGAUUGGAGAACCCUCUUCAUCAACUACAUCAAGGAGCACAAGUUGCUUCCCGACAAGCAGAAGUAGAGCAAGUCUCACAGCAUGGCAAGAACUAAGUUCUAGUUGGGGAUAAGCUCUACAUACGAGGCGGAUCAUCAGGAGUACUCAUGAAGUGCAUCUCACGUGAAGAUGGCAAGGAUAUAUUGGAGGAGAUUCACAAAGGCAUCUGCGGCAACCACACAUCAUCCAAAACGAUCAUGGGCAAAGCUUUUAGAGCAGGAUUCUAUUGGCCUAUAGCUCUCAAAGAUGCCGAAGAGCUAGUUCGCCGAUGUUAAGGUUGUCAAUUCUUUGCCAAGCAGCAACAUGUUUCUGCCUAUAGGCUGAUGACUAUACCGCCCUCCUGGCUCUUCGCAUGCUGGGGGCUAGACAUGAUUGGUACUCUGCCUAUAGUGCCUGGGGGCUUCAACCGAGUACUCAUGGUGAUCGACAAGUUCACCAAGUGGAUUGAGGUGAAGCCAGUGACCUACUCGAAGGCAGACAGAGUACUUGACUUCCUCGACGAGAUCAUCCAUCACUACGGUUUCCCCAAUCGCAUCAUGACAGGCCUGGGCUCAAAUUUCAACAAUCACAAGUUCUGGGAGUAUUGUGAAAACAACGGGAUUGAUGUUCGGUACCGUCUCUGUUGCUCAUCUGCGGGCCAACGGUCAGGUUGGGCGUGGAUGGUACUGAAAAGCCUCGAUUUGAACUGCUCGGUAGGUGAUAGCCGAGAACCUAGAAGCUAUCAAGAAGAGACUACAUAACAUUGACAAUGCCAAAUGAGGCAAGUGGCUCAAGGAGCUACCCAAUGUCCUCUAUGGGCUUCGCACAUAGCUGUGCAAGCCUACGAGGUACUCACCCUACUUCCUAGUCUAUGGAUCAGAAGCUAUCCUACCCGCCGACAUCACGUGGAAAUCUCUAGUAAUUGGGUAGUAUGAGGAAGCUUUGGUAGAAGAAACAAGACGUCUAGAUAUAAAUAGUCUCAAAGAAGCUCGCUGUGUAGCACUCGUCCAAUCAACAAGAUACCUUGAAGGAAUUCGCCACUAUCAUGAUCGCAAUGUUAAGGAACGUUCGUUCAACACAGGUGACAUGGUCCUCAAGCGUAUUCUAGACACCAAGGGGCUGCACAAGCUAAACUCGCCUUGGGAGGGGCCUUACAUCAUCUCCAAGGUCACUGGACCUGGGUCAUAUAGGCUCCAAACUCUCACCGGUAAAGAAGUCGACAACUCGUGGUUCUUGUGUUGAUUCUACCCAUAGUCUACAUAUUCAUGUAAAAUAGCCGUCGACCAUAGUUGUACAGUUACAAUUUAAAUAAAGCAGAGUUAUUUUUUGUUGCAAAAGACUAGUCUCUACCCACUUGCAACUUGUACCCACAAGUCUGCACACUUAUCUUUUGGGUUAUUCAACUCAUUAGAUAGCAGCAACUUGAGCAGAAGCAAGCUUGCACACACAAAUCUCGAGCUAAUCAGUUCCUCAGACAAAAUCUAUCCAUCGACGGUCUUCAUAGACAGAAGUCGUCAAAUUACUUAGGAGUGAUCUAUACUACCCGAGUCCUUCUAACCGCGGCUUGUAAUAACAAGUUUGCAAGUUCCAGGUCUUCGGAGCACACCCAAACAAUCUAGAGAGGUUGCCAAGGUAGGUUCCAGAUCAUAAAGUUCUGAAGAGUCUACUCGCCUGAAGAGUUUGACUACCUAGAUACACAAGUACUGGAGCUCCCACAAAAGGGAGUCACAUCCUAAAGGUACUCUACAUAGUGUAUUCAAAGAGGCUCCCAGGAGCAGUCUUGUGCGCGGACACUCACGACUACCAUACGAGCAAACAUCUUGGUAGUCCGUGAGAUGCACUAAGCCGAAGGAAUUCAAACAAGUUGACAAGUAAACAAAAAUUGCGACAAGACUUCAAAACAAUUUGCAUUAACUUAACUUGUUUACAUUACAGACAAUUGUUUUUUGCAUAUCACUGAAGGUCUAUCUUAUCGGCUACUUCUUGAGCAAUGGGAGCCAUCUCCUCCAAGUACUGCUAGAAUUGCUCAACAGAGCAGUCCUCGGCAAUGCCCUUUGCCACAGGAGCCAAGUUGGCUUGUGAGUAGAACGACUUCACCAUCGCCAGCAGUUGCUUGGAGACGGACUCCGCAGUCUUCUUCACGUAGCUGGUGAACUUCUCAGGUACAUCCCUGAGUCGCUCUACCAAGGAACGGGGCUCCACGUCUUUCUCUAGGGGCUCCACCGUAUCAGCAAUGGGCUGAGCGGCUUCUGAUAGCUCCUUGAGAGCAAGGUCCUUCGCCUCCAACUCAGCCCGCUGCACUUGGAGUUUCUCCAUCAGGUCCACAAGUUGGACCUCCCCGUCCUUGCGUAGCUACUUCUCCUUGUCAAACUUGUGUUCCAGGGUCUCGUACUUCUUGAUCACCUUGUCAAAUUCAUUAGUGACCUGGUAGUACGCGCUUUGCCAGUCAACGACACGAUCCUGGAGAUCGUUAUUCUCCUUGGUGAGCUCUGCAAGCACAAAGGCAACCAACAAGUCAACAAGGCCUGACAAGUACCUGAAGACAAUGGAGGUUAACAACUUACCUUCAUUCCAGUUUCUCAACCCUUUGUUGAGCUUCUGAAGGUGGUCCUUCUCCUCCGCGGUGCUCUGUGCAUCAUUCCGGUACUGGGCGGCCUACCCAUCAUACUUCAUCAGUAGCGGGGAGGAGUAUUCCCGCUCUUAAGCUAGCUUCUGCUCCAGUGCCUCCGCCCGCUGGAUGGUGUCCCCAAUUACUUCGAGAACUCUCAAUUUCUCGCGGGAGUGCUGGGUCAGUGUCUACAACAUAGAGCAAAGUACUCGUAUAAGCAUCAAGUACCAAUUUCAAGAUGAAGACCAAAAGUAGAAGUAAAGCCUACUUGUGUGUACUCGCCUACUUGGCGGUACAUGUCCAUCAGCUCAGUCUCAAAAUCCACGGUGGCCAGGGGUUCAGCUAUUAGCCAGCCUCUCUCUCGGUUCGCCACAGAAUGGAGCUACAUGUCAUCAUGUUCCCCGGCACUGGCGCACCGAGAGGGACCAUCACCCUGCUGGACGAUGGACCAGCCUCUGACGUCAAAAAGAUAGUCGCCACGCGACUAGUCGAUGCUCUUGCCUCAGACGGCGGGACAACGGGCAACACUUGCAGCACCGUCCCUUCCGUGUUGUUGCGUCAAUUUUCAACACACUAAUUAAUGAGAUGGCAACAGAGAUGCCCUAUGAAAAAGAGAGGGAGACAAAGAUGUUGCAUUGUGUGCGUGAGUUUCUACCAUUUAUUUUCCCUUUUUCCUCACACUAAUACACACUAGCCAGUCGAAAGACGCACGAACGAUGAUGAAGAGUUGAUUUACCCGAAAGCGGGACAGAGUUAUGCGCCUACGAAAGAUAACACAAACGUGCAGUGGUCUUCUCUUUUUCUUUCCUUCUCUUCUCCAUCGAUGGUGGGGCGUCUGCCAAUAGCACUCUAGUAUGGUCCCGCCGGAAAAGGGGAAGGAAUAUUUAGGUAGGCUGGCAAAUUCGUCGCCGGGGCAAGCAAACCAACUCCUAUAGUAUACUAGUUGUUGCUAUCAAGCCAUCCAUAUUUGCGCUAAUCAACGCCAAUAGAUUGAUUGAUUAGGCUUGGAUUAAUUAGAGACUAGAAGUUUUGUAGCUAAAUUCAUGGAUAUGUGCAUGGUUUGCUCUCUCCGGUCAUAAAUAACUGAUGUACUACUGAUGUUGGCUUCGGGCAUCCGGUAUUAUUAACUUUUUACCGUGUUGUGUAUGGAUAUUCGGAAAUGAUACGGAUAUAAUAUUCAUCUCGAGACUUCCUUUCACAAAAAUAUAUUCUUGUACCUUUUUAGAAAAAAAAUUGCUGCUUAAACAUUCUUUUAGCUGGUUGAAUCCAGCUAAACUGAUAAAAGACCAAAUUGUCCCUCCACUUGCAUUCUUAACGGGUAAAACCCAUCGGGUACUUAGAUUUCGGGUACCCAUUGAUGACACAUAUUAAGACCCUCUUUGGAACAAGGAACUGAAUGUCAUUGUACCUUGAAUAAUCCUAUGGAAUGGAAAACCCGGGGAAAACUACAGCAAAGGACCAUUUGAAUGGUGCACAGGAAAAACACAUGAAUUGUAUGAGAGAGUGAGACAAAGAAACUUAUCAUGUGGUCCAACCUCUUAGUAGAAUUCCUCCAGAAUUGCUACUUCCUCCGUCCAGAAAUAUAAGGUAUUUUGGUUGUCCUAAGUCAAAUUAGUUUAAAUUUGACAAAAUUUAUAGAGAAUAGUAUUAAUAUAACAUAUCAAAUAAAUAAAUUAUGAAAAUAUAUCUCAUAAUAGAUCUAAUGAUACUCGUUUGACAUCCUAAAUAUUAUUGCUCUUUUCUAUAAACUUGAUCAAAUUUAGAGCAGUUUGACUUAGGACAAACCGAAAUGGCUUAUAUUUCAAGACUGAAGGAGUAUGGUACAAGGAUUGAGUAUGGUACAAGGCAUGCCAUAGCAAUUUCGUAGGAUCGGUAGGAAUUCAAUCCUUUGUUUCAAAAGAAAAGACUUCAUAGGAAAAUUUCCUGUAGGAUCCAAAUCCUCCAAAAUUCCUACAUUUUUCCUAGGUUUUCGAGGGGGCCUAUGUACUAUGUAUGAUACGUUUUCACAAGUGAAUAAAUGUUAGUAUGUGUUUGCAUGAGUAUCGCUUUAUAAUAUUUAACGACUAAGAGAGCUUGCAGGUAAACUUUAUCAUUAUUAAGUAUUAACUCUGUCCCUUAAGUUUUUCAUAAAUUUUUAAGUACUUAUGUUUGUCAAAAUUAGAAGCCCUUACGGAAAUAUUGACGGAUGGUCUAGUAUGUUGAAUUAAUGACCAUAUAAAUUGUUGUCUGUUGACGUUCAUUAUUAACACAUUUUUACCCCUAUUUAUCUGCAAUAAUGAUAUGAAUUUGAUACCUAAACUAUUGAUCAUACUUAAUUAAUAAAUGGGUCAUUUUUACAUAUGCAAUAUAUUUUGGAGGAUAUUCUAUUUUCGCAGAAAAUUAGGCUAAAUUAAGCAUAAUUGGAUAAAGCCUUGAACAAACAACGAACCAGAGGAAAACGAAGGCCAACAGGCCCAGAAAGGGCCUAGGCCCAUCGGCCUAGGGUCCCCUGACCCCCUCUUGUGCUUGUUUUUGGCAGGUACCCCUCCAAGAUUACUUAAGGGUAAAGUUUGCAAGGAUAUGACAAUAUGAGCUUGGUAUCAAAGAGGAUCAAGCGGAGAUUUGGAAGGUUAUCAAGGAUCAAUCUCAUCUCGAAGCUAUCAACAUGUCAGGACCACAUGCAAGUGAAAAGAAGCAUCCAGAACACCUGAGAAGACUCGGGGAUGAAAGAGAGCGUGAACGGGCAAAAGGAACGCCGAGGCCGAUCAGCCUGGACCCACCCAGGCCGAUUGCCUAGGGUAUUUCCUCGCACUCUCACCUUCCAAUUUCUACCACGUGUUCUUCAGACUAUAUAUACUCCUAUUCUCCAUCGAGGACUGCAUCCAAGACGACGUAUUCGAGGUGAAGCAGCAGAAAAGUGGAAGGAGUUUGAGGGACACCACUUCAGAGAGCCGAGGGCCGUGCAGUUGUCUAGGGAUUAGCGUAGCUAAGCCCUAGCUGACGUGGGAAUCCUGCGAGGAAGAUCCAUGUUGUAGUUUUGGAGCUAGGAUCAUCAGAUCAAGGUAGGAUCUCGGUGGAGAUCUGGUGAUGUACAAUCAUUCAUGGCGAAGUAAUAGAUGUGUUCUUGUUCUUAGCGAUCUAAGUGCCUCCUUCUAUAAUUUUAUGCUAUUUCGGGUUUGCUUUCUUUUCAAUCCAUGAUCAAUGAUAGAUUGCUUAGGGUGUUCAUGUGGUCGUGGUGACCGGAUUUGCAUACCUGAUCUAUCGAUGAAUAUAACACGUUCUUAUGAUCAUGCCCUUAGACUACCUAUGCUGAUAAAAGUGAUCGUGACAGGAUCUUUCUUGUGUAAGAUGGUUUAAAGAUCGGGAGCUAGACCGGAGCUAUAGAUUUAAAGAUGGUUUUAGCUAAGAUCAUGUCUGUGUUGCUUUGGUACCCAUGCUUAGAAUUGCAUCAUACGUAUAAUCUUGGUUGCUCUUGAUUGGUUAUCUCCGCUCCAUCUGUUAUCUAUCUAUAUAUGCUAGAUUAGAUCUAAAUCACUCAAUAACACAAAUAUAUCUUGUAUUAUAAGUUCCACGAUAUCCUCAUGGAGAGGAGCUAUAUGGCUGCCGGUGCAAGGAGGAGGUCCGCCGCUGCCGGAUUUUGGCGUAGAUAGGAGGGGGUCGUGCCGCUGGCAGCUGGCAUGGGUAGAGCCGAGGAGCGUGUCGGCGGGCGCCCGGCGGGGGAGGAGGGAGGGCUGGGGCCUGGGUGCUCGCUGGCUUGCGAACAGCGCAAGGAGGCGCGGCAAGGCUGAGGUGAGCGCUGCGCAGACGAGUAGAGGUAGACGAAAGGAAGGACUAAUAAUUUUUUCCUAGGUGGAUCCCACAAACUUCGUGAAUCAUGCCAAAAGGUACAUUAUUUGACGGCUGAGAUGGACAUGCUUUGGUGGGGGCCGGCGACUUGACUCGAUGGCCACGCGGUCACAAUCGACCACCGGCACCCUAUCCCUCCAUUAUUGCCGUCUGCCAUUAUUGCCUUCUGCAGUGCAGAGGAGUCGUGGUUGGGGGCUUGUUCCGGCAGUGGUGGUUACUCCAUGGUUAGUCCAUGAUUGGUGGGAAUCAAUAAUACCAUUACCACUACGUGCUGAAAGUAAUAGCAAGAGAGAUGGCCAAUCAUCGGAAGCAAUAUCACUGUUUGGACUUUGGAUGGGGUCCAACUUAAUUCUUCACAGGUAAAGAGAGUGCUCCACUACAUAGAAAGCCUGCUCCUGCCAUUCGCUUGCGCAUAGAGAGUCCGGGAGAGAUGGAGGAGCGGUUUGCCCCCGUAACCGCGGCGACCGGGGCGUUGGGCCCGGUCCUGGUGAAGCUCGCUGCUUUGCUGGGUGAUGAGUACAAGCUUCAGGAGGGAACCCGGCGAGGCAUCGAGUCCAUCAAAUCCGAGCUCGAGACAGUUCACCAUCUCCUGGGGAAGUUAUGGGGGAGGUUGGAUCUUGAUGUGGCAUGCAAGAACUGGAUGACAGAGGCCCGAGAGCUGUCCUACGACAUGGAGGACGACAUCGACGGCUUCACUCUCGGUUUGGAGUGUGGUGACGGCAGCUUCAUCCAGCGGGAAGCCACGGACAGCCCUUUCAAGGAAUUCAUGGAAAGGGUCAAAGAUGUAUCGAAGCGGUGCGGCAAGAUGCAGAAGAUUGGCGACUGCAACCGUAGCAAGCUGCCCACCGACCCUCGAGCUCUCUUCCUUCACAGGGAUGCAUCGGAGCUCGUGGGCAUGGAAGAAAAGAAGGAGAAGCUCAUCAAAUUGCUUCAGAAGCACGAAAUGGUAUGCCUUCUUGGACCUGGAGGGAUGGGCAAAACAACUCUUGCGGAUCUGGUGUAUCACGCAGUAGGAGAUGAAUUCCAAUGCCGGACAUUCGUGUCCGUGCACCCAAGUCCUAACAUGACGGAUAUUCUGGGUACCAUCCUCAGCCAAGUAAUAACAGAUGGUGCAAUGUCUGCUGGCAGUGGCACCGAACCUGCAGCCGAACAAAAUAUCGUCACCGACAUAUCAAUUUCCCUCUCUGAGACGAGGUACGACCUCUCCAUUCUCACUCUACUUCAUUCCUGAUUGUGUUCCUAAGUACUCCGUGUGUGUUAUUCUACUAUUUUGAACAAAUCAUACUGUGUUAGAAAAUUGGAACGCUAGUUCCAAAACCCGUGCAUGCGUCCGCACAUAUUUGCAUUAUUUUUUGAGAAUCCAUAUAGAUAAUAAUUGAACUUCGUAAAAUGCCUAUAAUUUUGCAUUAAGUGACCGAUGUGGCAUUAUUGACCAAUUCAAUUCAAAUUUCCUAAUUUUCUUUCUGCUAGCAGUGGCACUGAACCUGCAGCCGAGCAAAAUGAUUUCAUCAAAGGCAUAUCAAAUUUCCUCUCUGACAAGAGGUACGUCGUCUCCAUUCCCACUCUACUUCCUGAUUCCGUUCCUAAAUACCACGUAUGUAUUUGUUAGUGUACUAUUCUGGGGUGUUUGGGAGGAGGGGGCUAAAUUUUAGCCCCCAUCACAUCGAAUAUUUGGUUACUAAUUAGGAGUAUUAAACCUAGACUAAUUACAAAACUAAUUACAUAACCCCUAGGCUAAAUCCCGAGACGAAUCUAUUAAGCCUAAUUAGUCCAUAAUUUGACAAUGUGGUGCUACAGUAACCAUUCACUAAUGAUGGAUUAAUUAGGCUCAAUAGAUUCGUCUUGUGAUUUAGCCUAGGGGUUCUGCUAUUAGUUUUGUAAUUAGCUCAUAUUUAGUCCUUCUAAUUAGCAUCCGAACAUCCGAUGUGACAGGGCUAAAGUUUAGCCCCUGCCUCUCAAACAACCCCAAAAUCAUAUUAUGUUUGCAACGCUAGUUCCACAACCAGUGCGUCCGCUCAUAUUUGCGUUAUUUUGGAAAAUCCAGAGACAAUUGAUGAACUUUGUGAAAUUCAUAUAAUUUAACAAUAAUUCAGAGGUGACCAAUGUGGCAUUAUUGACCAAGUAUCCGAUCAAACUUCUUUGUUUGUAUCAGUUGUAACAUGUUAUUUUUACUUCCUCCUAUAUGAUUAUGUGAAGGUUUUAUGGAGUACUCAAUUAAUAUUUGCUAGACCAUUGACCGUUUUGCUAGGUACUCCAUAAAACAUGUGAAGGUAAGAGUUUGAAUGAAUCCUAGCCAUCAAUUUGUAUAAAAGAUGCAAUUAGAUAAUUAAAAUAAUAUGAAAAAAGGCUGGCAAACUCGCGGGCAAUCUCGCUCUCGGAGGUGUAACUGUCAUUUAUCUAAGGCCAUAUUUAGUUACCCUCAAAUUCCCAACUUUGGCACUAUAAAAAAGAAGAUUCCCCAUCACAUCAAACUUGCGGUAUAUGCAUGAAAUACUAAAUGUAGACGAAAUCAAAAACUAAUUGCACAGUUUUGUUGUACUUUGCGAGACGAAUCUUUUGAGCCUAAUUAGUCAAUAUUUGGACAAUAAUUCAUAAAUACAAACGAAAUGCUACAGUUGCGCAUUUAUAGCAAAAUGCCAAUUUUGCUACUCCCAAAUUAGGAACUAAACAAGGCCUAAAAGAAUUGGACCCGUCACGUGUAUGUAAUGAUUAAAAUAUGCAUAUAAUGCAACGUAUUUCCAAAUAUAAAUUAGAUCUAUCAUGUGUCAUUAUGAUCCCAUGUCACACCCGGUUUUAAAACAAAAUCAAGUGCUACCUAUAUGUAUGCUAGGAUCUAAUUUCAUACAUAUAGUGACAUCAUUAGUGAAAACAGUAAUAGUAUCUCGUAAAGGAAUAUAAAUAAUAACUUACGAGUCCAUCAGAGAUAUACAGCUUAAUCCUGGAAACGGAGGCUCCAAACAGUCAUCUUCAGAAAACUUCUGACAACUUCCUCUUCUGAGCAGCAGUAAGCAAGGAUGAGUACACUUAUGGUUGAUACUCAGCAAAAUCACAAGAAAUAACCAAAAUAUCGAUUUAAGUCCAUCUUCAAGUUUAUUAAUCAUGUGAGGGUCUAGGCUGCUCUUGACCGUGAGUAUGGCUGAUAUAUCAGUUUUACACUCUGCAGAGUUGUAUACUUUCACCUCAAGUCACGUAAAAGUUCAGAAGAACUUUAGACCCAACCAUGCUGUGCAAAAGUAGGCACUUAUCACACUAUCGAGGUGUGACUACAUAGGGACGCUACGAGACUUUACAAAGAUUCCCUAAGAAGUGAUAACCCGCUAAGGUUUUGUCAUAAGGGGAUGAACCCUCCCUCAAGUGGUGCGUACACCCCUUGGCUGGACAAGCCAUCGCACAACCUAUGAGCCCCUCCUGCCCUCUCGAUAAGACUAUCACAAACUAGAGUCUCUAAUUAAUUAGCCAAGACCAGAGCCCGUUAGUCUUAUGGUUGUACUAUUUUCCUAGGUGGUCACUCUAUGUUCCAAUUAAGGCAUGGUAUUCUUGUAAAAUAAACAUAGAUAGAAGGAUGGUUAGGGACACUUGCCUUUCUCCAAUGAAAGGUUACUCUUACUACUCUUCAGCUCUUGCUUUCUUGAAACUCUUAAUCUUCAAAUCUUUCGAACAUCGAUCCUUCUACUGAAAGCAAUCACUGGCACAAACAUAUAAGCAAACAAACAAGUACAACUAAAAACAAUACACUAAAACAAAAGAAAAGCUUUAAAAGACCAUAUCAAAGGAUAGAGCUUGAAUCUAAGGUCACGCGAAUGCAAGAAACGCUGGGAACGGAACUAUGGUUGAAAAGAUAAAACCUAUCGAGAGGUUUGAAUUAUAAAAGAAAACACAAGAGCUACCUGCUUCAUUUAUUUUAGUUGAGAAAAAUAAUGUAAAGAUAUUUCAGAGAAAUACCCUUAGUUGGAAUUAAUCAAGUCAUAUUUACAUAUAAAAAGAUGAUGUACAGCUUAGUCUAAUUUUAUUUAUAAAUAUUUAAGUACAAUUUAAGAAAAUUAAACAUUUUAUUUUAAAAGCAGCAUGUAAAAGCAUCUAAGCAUAUAACUUUGUAUCUUGAGUUCAACUAAGCAAAUUAUAUUAAAAACACAUUUAUAUUUACUUUAGUCAAAUUAAAAUUUAAUAAGAAAACCCCAAGAUAUAACUUAUAUAGCUUUUAUCUAUAAAACAAAUUGAAUACACAUUAAUCAAAUUAAGUUUAAUUUAUGAAAAGCUGAGGUACAUCUCUAAUUAGCUUUAAUUGGAAAAACAUUUAAGAGUAAGCAUUAAUCAAAUUAACAUUUAUUAUGAAAAAUGGUGUAUAACACUAAAUAGCUUUUAAUUAAAGACAGCAUGUUUAAUAGGUAUUAACCAAAUUAAUAUUUAAAUUUAUUUUAAAAACUACAAUGAUGAAAAAGAUCACCACUAACGUGUAAUUUAUAUUCCUUCAAAACUAAUAGAAACAGAGCUAAAACCUGUAAGAUAUGACUUAACGAAGCUCUAGGGACUUGCUAGCGAGGUUUAGAAACUUCCUGGCACUUAACUGCAAGAAACUGAGGACCUAAACCUAAUUUCGUUCAUAAACUCGAGGGCUAACGUUUAGAUGGAUUGGAUCGUCAGAAUCUAAACUUUCUGGGGACUUUUUCGAAAAGCCUACCAAACACAAAAUUUAGAUCAGCAUUUCCGUUUUCUUCAAGGGCUAAACUACAAAACGCAUCUUCUUCUUCCUCCAGAUUCCUCCCGGCCGAUACACUCCAAUUGGCCGGCGGCCAGCUCACCGGUGGUGGCGCGCAGGCGGUGGCGGUGCGGGGUGGUUGCGGCAGUGGCAGAGGUGGCGCGCAGGAGCGCGGGUGGCGGGCGGUGGGGCGCACGAUGCGGCUCGGCCAGAAGCGCAGGCGGCGGUGGCAGCAGCGGUGCGGAACACAUGCGGCUUAGGAGGUAGUGGAUGGCGGUGCAACUCUGCUCCGACGGCUCGGGGCAGGAGGCGGUGAGCCGGGUGUGGGCACCCCGGAGGCAGCAACACUAGGCCGAAGCCUUGGCCAGCGGUGAAAAAGAGAGAGAAAGAAGGGAUCGCUAGGGAUGGAGUUCAAACUCACGCUUGAAUGGAAAAAUAGAACGAGAUCGAUGAUACGAACGCGAUGGUGUGCUCAUCUUCGACCGAAGACUUAUGGCUUUGCUAGAUUUGCUCGCCGGAGUUCUCAGCGGAAAGUUUGCCGGGGUUUAACAAAUCCGUAUGUUCGGCGUUGAACCGCGGGACCUAGGGUUGUCUAAACGAGGUGGGGUUUACGGUAUUGAAACAAGGAUGUCAAGGAGAUCACCUAAAAGUAUUUAUAGGCCAGUUUGGAGCCUGGAUUUAUUUUGCCCCCUUUUUCUAAUUUCAGGAAUUAAUUUCGGAUUCGAAAACAAUUCUAGAAAAUUCUGAAAUCAUAAUUAAAUCACGAAAAAUACUCCAAAAACUCUGAAAAAAUCAGGAAUGUUCCUGGAGAUGAUUUGGGACACGAGGAACCAAUAUAAAAUAUUUGGAUCUCGUGAAAAGGAUUCUAAACCUUCCAAAAAUUGGAUUUAGCUCUAGGAAAAUGAGAAUAAAUUCUAGGAAAUUUUGGAAAAUUCUAGGACGAACCUUAUCAUUAUCUAGAUGAUUUUUUAAAAUAUUUGCACUCAUGAAACACCAAAAUAAAUCAGCAUGAAUGCAACACAUAAAGAACAACUUUAUUUAAUUUAGAAAAACAACUAAUUGUUUUUCAUGUACUAUAUUUCCUUUCAAGAAAAUAAAUGUUGGAAAAAAUUUAAAAUUAUGAGAAAAUCAUUGUUCAAUUUUUGUUUUUAAGCACAUCCUGAAAUCCAAAAAAUUCAGGGUGUGACACCCAGUUGCUUAUUUGCAGCUUCUACUUAUUUUUAAGCUGUGUAGCCACCUAAACGUGCAACUUCUCAUCGACUUAAUAAAAAAGCUCUUCUUCCAUUAUAACGUCAAACUUGAAAAACUCAGAAGCUGACCACAUCCGGCUUGUUGGCUUUUUCCCCACCAAACUUUUUCUUCCCUACCCGAGCUGCUCCUGUGCGUGCAUCGCCGACGAGCAUGCCAUCCUCCGCCCCGAGAUAGUGUCGCUCGCAGCUUCCGAGCUUAGCGCCGUCUAGCGUGCCGCCUUCUGCCCCGAGCUAACGCUGCCCACCACUCCCGAGCUCAGCGGUAUCUUCCUCCUCAAGAUCUGCUGACGAGCGUGCCGUAGUCUUCCUCCUAGAGCUCCACUGACGAGAUGCUGCCCCCGACCUCCGCCGAUGAGCAUGUCGCAGUCUUCCUCCCGGAGCUCCACCGACGAGCUACUACCCGCGAGCUCCACAGGCGAGCGCCGCUCGCCACCCCUUAGCUCGACGCCAUUCUCGGCGCCGACCUCGCGCCGCCCACGGAGGUCACAAGAUGAUCCAUCAAAAACAAAACCCAUGGUGCCAACUCUAUCAUGUCAACAGAUUCAUCACGAUGUUGAACGAUGAAAUCGGCUACAGCCUGCGCCUUUACUGCCUUAACGGACUUAUACCGUAAGUCAAAUUCAGUUAACAUCAAAAUUCAUUUUCCCAUCCUUCCUUUCAUGAUAGGAGCCGACAACAUAUAUUUUACUACAUCAGCUUUGCAUACCACCAUGGACUCAGAUUUCAGAUAAUGACAUAAUUUCAUGCAUGAAAAAUACAAGCACAAACAUAAUUUCACAAUGGGAGGAUACCUGGUUUCUACAUCCAAAAGCCUUCUUCUCAAAUAAAAGAAAAUCCGCUCCUUCCCGUCAACUUCUUGGACAAGCACCGAUCCGAUCGCAUGAUAAUUGGCUGAUAAGUACAACUUGAACAGCCGAUCUGGCUACGGCGCAAUCAGAACCGGUGGUGAUUUAAAUAUUUCUUAAUUCCAUCCAGUAUCCCUUGUUACUUUUCUCCCCACACAAAUUCUUGAUCAGGCUUUAACUUCAACAGGGGCAUAAAUGGCUCGAUGCGUGUUGAUAUAUUGGAUAUAAAUCUCCUGAUGAAGUUAAUUUUCCCAAUAACAGACUGCAACUCGGUCUUGUGUGUUGGAGGAACAUUCGUAUUAAUAGCUUUGAUACUCCUUUGACCAACUUCAAUUCCUCUGUCAUGCAUAAAACCCAAAAAUUUACGAGCCGAUAUACCGAAAGCACACUUAUUUAGAUUCAUCUUUAAAACAUGCUGCAUUAUGCAGUCUAGUGUUUUGUGUAGAUUGGCCAGAUGUUGUUCUGUGGUCUUAGAUUUGACUACCACGUCAUCGAUGUAGAUCUCCACCACUCUGCCAAUGAGCUUAUGGAAAAUGUAAUUCAUUGCUGGUUAAUAAGUUGCAUCGGCAUUCUUUAAGCCAAAAGUCAUGGCCACCCAUUCAUACAACCCAAGAGCCCUUGGGCAUCGAAACGCAGUCUUUGAGAUAUCUUCUUCUACCAUCAAUAUCUUAUUGUACCCUGCGUUCCUAUCCAUGAAACUCAAGAUCUUAUGACCUGAUGCUUCAUCAACCAUUGUAUCUGCAACUGGCAUUGGGUACUCAUCCUUUGGUGUAACUUUAUUCAGAUUCCGAAAAUCCAUGCAAGCUCUACGUUUUUCGUUUUUCUUGAUGACAGGCACAAUAUUAGACACCCACUCUGCAUAUCGGCACGGCCUAAUAAACUUGGCCUCAUACAAUCUUGUAAUUUCAGCUUUGAUCGUUUCAAGUAAUUCUGGCUUAAAUCUCCUUGCAGGUUGCUUGAAAGGUCGAUAGCCUAGUUUGAUUGGUAACCGAUGCUCCAUGAUCAUUCGGUUUAAUCUUGCCAUCUCAUAGCACUCCCAAGCAAAGCAAUCUUUGUGCUCUUUCAACAGCUCUAUUAAUUUUUUCUUAUACUCAGGACUUAAUUUAGAAUUUAUAAACAUUGGCCUUGGCCUGUCACUUGGGCCUAUAUCAACUUCUUCUAGUAGGUGAGCUGACAUAAAUCCUUGUCCUAACUUCCCAUCUAUAUCAUCAAUUGUAGCAUCCAUUAGGACUCCCUCCAAUGAGCCGACUAUUGAAAUCUACCAAGUAAUCAGGCGAUUUAUCCCACCGGGCGUGCCAAGAGCAUGUUGACGCAAAAUCUGGACUUCAAACUCUACGUUGAACAACACGUGAGGACCUAGGAUAUUUUCUUAACUCCAGUGCAAGCUCCAAAUCAAUUCCUGAAGAUACGUGGCGUGCCAGUCAAUUUGACUUGCAAUUGACAAGGAAACGUAAAAUUCUUGAGCCGAUAGGCGGCUAAGCUUUCGAACUCAUGGGUAGUCAUUCUUUGAAUAAACACUGAUAAGAUAUGUUAAAUGUAAUCAUGCGGUAUAAGUAAAAUAGAUAACAUUAAUGGUAUGUGCCAUCGGCUAUAUGAGCCGACGGGCUAAGAUAGACCUAAGUAAAACAGCUGCCAUUAAGAAAUAACCUGUCUAUUACAUUGUAGUUAAUUAGACCGUUGGAGCUAAUCAAUGUCACGAGCCGAUGGAUCGGACUAAACCAAGACAGCAUGGCAACGCAGGGCAUUAACUCGCUCUUUCUGGUUUAAAAGACUAGAAAGUAAUAACAAGGCCUUGCGCACGUGGCCAUCGGCUCGAUGGCAUCAGACUGCUACUGGGAUGGAUGGAUCGGACCCAACCAAGACAACAUCGGCUCUACAGCAGCAGUCUUAUACUAUAGAUCUAUUGGUCGGUAAUGGAAGGGGCGAGGGUAAAGAUCUAUUGGAUCUAGUAAAAAUAAAGCAAUAAAGGCAUGCAAAGCAAACUAGCCGAUACAAUAAGAUAAAUGGUGAGUGCUUAGAAACAACUAGGAAGUUGAUGCGAAACAAACCUAAUUAGAUAUAAGCAACAUGAUAACUGGGAGCAUUUGAUGUAAUUAAGAGAUCGAUGCGAUGCAACUUAAUUAAAAUAAACAACUCGAUAAUUAUGAGCACUUCGAAGAUAAACACGAGGUCAAAAUGAUGCAGCCCUAUUCAAUUCUUGGUAACUCGAUAACUAGUCUUACGUUAAGAGAUCAUAAUAUCAGACUUAACCGAGAAAGUUCUAAUACAUGUAACGUAAUGACCGGGUGAAGGUACUAUCAAGCUCGCCUGAGAUUGAAGCUGAUGCAUCCCCCCGCACAAGAACAAACUUGCCGAUUCAACUCUACUCCUAGUCCUAAGAUUUGGCGGGGGGCGCCGAAAAGGAAGAACUGUUGUGUGGUGUUUUCCAUCUACUUCUCUACAUGGUAUCACGAGAUUAGAUUGUGGGCCUCCUCUCCUCUCCCUGCCCCUCCCCCCAAUUCAUGGAAACCUAGGCGGUGCCCCCUGCUACGCCACCGCCACCCACCCUCCGCUGCACCUCCCCGUCCGGCGUCCCCAUGUCCUCCGCCAACUCCUUUAUGUCCGGCAACACCACUCCUCUUGCUACUGAUCUUGUGCCACCUCCUAGACCACCCCUGCUACCGAUGACGGUGCAUCUGUGCCGCCACCUGGCACCGGUGGCUCCUCUGGCAGUGUGUCUCAAGCUCCUCCUGCCGGCGACGCGCCCGACAACGACGGCAGUGGCUUCAUCAUGUACCCGGCACCGCCGCCAGCCAUCCACCCCUACGCCACUAUCUCCAUCAAGUCUCACGUCCCUGUGAAGUUGGCAAUGAAGUCCAACACCUACUCCAGAUGGGCAUCCUUGUUCACGUCCAUGUGCGGUAAGUUCGACCUCUGGUUCACAUUGACGGCAUGAUGGCUCCUUGUCCCCAGGACCCUGACUGGGAUCAAGCGGAUUGCUAUGUCCACUCCUAGUUCUUCGGCUCCGUCUAUGACUCCAUCCUCGACCUUGCCAUGACCAACGAUGACCAGACUAGAUGGGAACUCUGGCUCACCAUCGAGGGACUCUUUCGCGCCAACAAGCAAUCCAGGGUGAACUUCCUUAGCCGCGAUUUCCACUCCAUGACGCAGGGUGACUGCUCCGUCAUUGAGUACUGCAACCGUAUGAAGACUCUCGCUAACGCCCUUCGCGACGUUAGCCAUCCUGUUCAGGACUCCCAGCUUGUCCUGAACCUCCUCCAUCGCCUCAACCCAUGCUUCUCCAACACUGCCGAAGACAUCGCCAACUCCACCGCCGGCUUCCCGCCCUUCGCCCAAGCGUGGGACAUGCUCACCCUGAAGGAACUUCACCUCGCCAAUGAGGCGAAUGUCUCCAACUCCACCUCCCUCCUCGCUGUGAACUCUUCGUCGUUGUUGUCCUCCUCCGGCUGUACGGGCGGGUGUCACCCACCAUCUGGCUCUUCUCAGACCGGCAGUGGUGGCAGCACCAGUGGUGGUGCCCGCUGCAGCAGCAGUGGCGGCCGCACCGGUGGUGGCAACGACAAGAAGAAGUGGCUGCAAAAGAAGGGUGGUAGCGGCUUCCAGGCGCCCUCCGGCGGUGGGCCCCCAUGGCCCACUGGCCCGUGGUUUUGCUUCAAACCAAGGGCUAGCUCCUAUGACGCUCCAGGCUUCCAGCAGGCCAGCGAUCGGGGUAGCGGGGGAUGGCGCACCGGCACCCCUGGCCUCUUCGGCCCUUCUCCGCAGGCCUACGCUGCCUACGCCCCCAUUCAGGCACCUACUCUGGCGCCAACCUGGGCCUAGGCAGGUCUUGUUGCCACCUUGAACCAGAUGGCGCUACAUAACGGUGGCUGGGUCAUUGACUUAGGUGCAUCCGGUCACAUGUCGUCUUCGGAUGGUAUUCUUCUUUCCCGCCUCCCUCCUUCUCACUCCUCCAUUACUAUCGGUAACAGUCACACCCUUCACGUCACGUGCCGUGGAAGCUCCACCCGCACCACCCCCACCUCCCAAUUUCAGCUUAACAAUGUCCUUGUUGUCCCUUCUUUAAUUCACAAUCUAAUUUCUAUUCGUUAGUUUACUAAGGACAAUAACUGCACCAUAGAGUUUGACGCCUUUGGUUUUUCUUUCAAGGAUUUUCCAACCAAACACAUGAUUCUUCACUGCAAUAGUGUCGGCAACCUCUAUACCAUGCCUCCAGUAGCCAGCUUCACAAUGCUCACGCCGAUGUCGCCAUCUCCUCCAGUUUACAGCGUCUUCGUCUUGGUCAUCCUGAUCCUGUCGCCAUCGCUACACUUAGACAGAAUUCCUCCAUUACUUGUAAUAAAGCCAAUCACACUAUAUGUCAUUCAUGUCAGUUUGGGAAAUAUGUGCGGCUACCUUUCUCUCAUUCUAGCUUUCGCAGUUCUGCUCCCUUUGAGUUAGUUCACUGUGAUGUUUGGACUUCUCCGGUCGCUAGCGCUUCUGGUUAUCGCUACUACCUAGUUAUUCUAGACAACUUCUCACAUUUUUGUUGGAUGUUUCCUCUAGUUCACAAGUCUGAAGUCGCCUCAUAGAUCACUGACUUCUGCACCUAUACUCAUACGCAGUUUAGUCUUCCCAUUCGCAGCAUCCACGCUAACAAUGGGAUCGAGUUUGUUAAUAGGACUCUCACAUCUUUCUUAACUUCUCGGGGUAUCCACCUGCGCCUCUCGUGUCCCUACACUUUUCCCCAGAAUGGGAAAGCCGAGCAUGUCCUCCGCACACUUAAUAAUCUCACUCGCACAUUGCUCAUUCAUGCAUCCAUGGCCGCCCCAUACUGGGCAGAGGCGCUCACCACUACCACCUAUCUUCUAAACCGGCACCCCUGUUCUGCCGUUCAGAAUGACAUCCCCUACCGCCUCCUCUACUCCCAGCCACCCGAGUACUUUGACUUGCGUGUCUUCAGUUGGCUUUGCUACCCCAACCUCUCAGCCACGGCACGCCAGAAGCUUGCUCCUCGCUCCGUAGCCUGUGUCUUCCUCGGUUAUCCCUCGUCUCACAAGGGGUAUUGCUGCCUUGAUUUGUCCACUCGUCGAGUCAUCAUCUCUCGCCAUGUUUUGUUUGAUGAAUCCGUCUUUCCCUUCUCCUCCCAUACUACUCACCCAUCGCAGCUUGACUUCCUUUUGUCGAGCCCCUCCGAUGUUCUCGCUUCCACCUCGGUCGCUCCGUCAUCAGACGUUGAGCAGCCGCGGCCCUCACCAGUUGUUUUGCAGGAACUCACUAACGACGACCCUGCCAUCUUGUUACACGGGCCGACCGUGUACCCUGCUCCAUCUGCAGGCAGGUCGCUGCUCUCUACUGUGCCUCCAACUGCUCCGACUGCGACCGCAGCACUUCCGACCGUGACCGCGGCGCGUGCGGGUGGACACCCGACUUCUCUGAUCGCGCCCGCACCGCUACCGACCACGACCAUGGCGUGCGCGGGCACGCUCCCGACGGUUCUGACCGCGACUGCGCCACGCGCGGUUGCGGCCGCGAUCACACCGGCGAGCACUUCUACCGCACCGGCGAGUGCCCCGACCGCACCGACGAGCGCUCCGAUCGGUUGGGCAGCGCCCGAACUGCACCGGCGAGCGCUCCGACCGGUCCGGCGAGUGCCCACGGUCCCCUCCCCCCACCCCACCCCGCACCCAUGGCCCUAGCGCCUCCUGCGUCCUCCUCAUCGCCACCUGCUCCUCCACGCCCUAUCACUCGGUCUAUGACUGGGGCAAUCUAGCGGGUCUACUACCAGGGCACGACAGCCUCAACUUCUUCUCCAUCCUCUCUGAUUCUGGCAAACUAUCAUAGUGCUCUAGCUGACACCAACUAGUGUGCCGCCAUGGUCAUCGAGUUCUAGGCCCUCAUCGACAAUGACACCUGGUGCCUCGUCUUGCGGCCGCCCAGUGCCAAUGUCAUGUCGGGCAAGUGGAUCUUCCGACAUAAGUUCCAUGCUGAUGGGUCCUUUGCCCGGCACAAGGCGCGCUGGGUGGUUCGUGGCUUCUCCCAGCAUCACAGCAUUGACUACGAUGAGACCUUCAGUUCGGUUGUCAAACCGAUGAUGAUAUGGACCGUCCUCAGCAUCGCCACUUCUAGCGCCUAGCCGAUCCACCAGCUGGACGUGAAGAAUGUGUUUCUUCAUGGACACCUCGUGGAGACUGUCUACAGCCAGCAGCCUCCCGGCUUCGUCGACCCCACCACCCCCGAUCACGUCUGUCUCGUGCAAAAGUCCUUGUAUGGAUUGAAGCAAGCCCCGAGGACAUGGUACCAGCGGUUAGCCUCCUUCCUUUGACAGCUCAGCUUUGUCGCCUCGACCUCCAACACCUAACUCUUUGUAUACAAAGAGAUACAAAGAGGGGCCGAGCAUCGCCUACCUGCUACUCUACAUCGACGACAUCGUCCUCACCACCUCAUCCUCACCUCUUCUUCAGCACAUCAUGGGGUAUCUUCACGUCUUGUUUGCCAUGACAAAUCUUGGCGACCUACACCACUUCCUCGGCAUCUCCGUCACGCGUUCAACCUAGGGCCUGAUCUUGUCUUAGCGACAGUACACCCUGGAUCUUCUUCAGUGUGCUGGCAUGGCUGAGUGUCACUCUACAGCAACUCCCAUUGACACUCAUGCCAAGCUUUCGGCACAUGACGGUGCCAAGCUCUAGGACAGCUCUGAGUAUCGGAGUCUUGCACGUGCUCUUUAGUACCUCACUCUGACUCGACCUGACCUGACCUGGUGUAUCAGAUCAGCAGGUGUGCCUCUUCAUGCAUGACCCGCGUGAGUCCCACAUGGCCCCGAUCAAGCACAUCCAAUGCUAUGUGAAGGGCACACUCUCCUCCAAGCUUCACAUUGUCACCGGAUCUGUUCAGUCUCUAAUUGUCUACUCCGACGCCGACUGGGCUAGCUGCCUGGACUCUAGAUGCUCCACCUCCAGCUUCUGCGUCUACCACGGUGACAAUCUGGUGUCUUGGUCCUCCAAGCGCCAGACCACGGUAUCUCGUUCCACUGCUGAGGUGGAAUACCGGGUUGUGGCUGAUGUUGUGGUAGAGUGUUGCUGGCUGCAUCAACUUCUUCAGGAGCUUCAUGUCCCACUUGCUUCGGCCACUAUUGUCCACUGUGACAACGUGAGUGCUGUCUACAUGACAGCCAACCCGGUGCAUCAUCGGUGCACGAAGCACAUUGAGAUUGAUAUUCACUUCGUUCAUGAGAAGGUGGCCUUGGGUGAGGUCUAAGUCCUCCAUGUGCUGUCCUCUCACCAGUUCAUGGAUAUCAUGAUGAAGGGCCUACCAACUCCUUUGUUUACUAAGUUUAGGUCCAGUCUGCGCGUUCGAUAUCCUCCCGCUUCGACUGCGGGAAGGUAUUAGGAAGUAUAAGUGUAUAUUAGGAUGUAUUUAUCCUUUCCUUGUACACUUGAUGUAUUCCUUGUACUCCAAGCUAUAUUGGUCAUAUAUAUAGAGGUCACCCUCCCUUAUUAGGGUGUGUGGUGUUUCCCAUCUAUUUCUCUACAACAACGCCUUGGGCUUAUAUUUAUACCUUGGCACGUACCAAAUCCUAGUCGAUUACGACAAUGACUAUUACAAUUAAUGCAAAAACUAAAACUAAAGCUUUCUAAGAUACAUCUCCACGCUCUUUCGCUUAUCUAGUGGAGUCGGUUCUGCUUCAAUCUUCUUUGCCUGUAUCGGCUUCAAAACUCUGUCCUGUCUAGUUAACUCUAGUAAAAAAACGGGUGUCAACACGCGUCCAGCGUGCCCAUCGCCCUGCCAAAACCCCUUCCCCGACCCUAUCUCCUCCUACCAUCCGUGACACAUGUCGCCACCGCCGUCACGCACGCACCCCGGCCGGAUAAGCUCGGCCGAGGCUCACCACAACAUCCCUGGGCUAUAAAUAGCCCUAGCGCUCCUCACUGCUCCCUCGCCCCUCCCCCUCCACCUUAAUCCCGUCUCGCCAAACAUAGAAACUAUGUCGCGCCACUCCCACCUGCCACCACGCUCUACUCCCUAGAGCCGAGCUGGGUCAAAGUUGGGGAUGGCCGCGCGGCACUAACCACCCCUCCCCAAGCAUCGCAACAGCCCCGCCAACUGCUCCCUGCGAGCUCCUCUACCGCCGCUCAACCCACCGUUGCUGCUCAUCGUCAUUCCCUCUCUGGUCGUUGUGCUACUCGCAUACGUACCUGAGGUACUUCCCCAUCCUCCCUAGGCUGUUGCCCAGCCUCUACUACCCCUAUUCUCCUCUCCCCUCUCUACCGUUCUGCCACAUGAACUCCGAUGAGCUCUAGACUCACCAUCGGCCACUCCUUGAUCUACACACCACCCUCCAUAGCCUCGCCAUGACCCCCUCUAGCACCCCGGCUGCCUUUUGACCUGGCCCAAAGUCUACCCCGCCCGGAGUAGCUCGCCCCGGCGAGCGGCUCUACCCUAUGCGGUGGUCCGGCAUCACAGCUCGACUGGUGCCACCCCUUCUCCCUCCUUCCUUGCUCCCAGUCCACAAGGACCGUAGGCACGCCCCCCAGUCCACCACAUGGACCACUAGUACACAGCACAGCCCGACCAUGCUAGCCCCACGCGGACCCCCUUUGCCACAUCGCACUCUGGCCCACCUGUUAGCCCUUGCUAUCUUUCCCUCUCAUCUUUGCUACGGGCACCCGGGUUCUUGUACCCCAAACUUCACUUCACCAUGAUAAAAAUUACCAAAAAAUUUACCAACAAUAUUAGAGAUGAUUCUAAACCCAUCCAUACCCUGUUUACCCAAAUCCCACACCAAAAACUCCCAAGAGCAAACUCUCAUCCUUUCCAAAAAUAGAAAAGCCUAUAUUUCAUGUGACCAAAAAUAGGAAACCAUUCCAAUAAACUCUAGAAAAUCCUAGAAAAUUCUAGAAAAUCACUCAAGCCUUCUAAACCCUAAUUCUACUCUUUUAACUCAUGUUUGAUGUAUUUCCAUGUUUGUUUGAUUGAUUUCUUAUAACUACGAUUAUGUAGAAUUCGACGAUACCGAGAACGAGUUUGACAACCCGGACUACGAAGAGGAAGUUAUCAACGAACAAGACUUUGAAGAAGGCAAGUCCCACGCAUUACCAUCUCUUGAAUCCCAAGUUUUAUAAAUAAAAUGAGCCAGGAUAAUAACAUGGACUUUCCAUUCAAAACCUUGCAUAAUAUUUUCUCUGCGCUGCUUAGUUAUUCCUAAAUAAUUCAAGCCCUCCUUGAUACCAUAAACCUAGGAUGCAAUAGAAACGCUUAGGAACUACUUAUGCAGCCAUUCACAAGUUUACAAAAUACCAAAAGCAUGAGUUCUUUGAAAAUUAGAUAAAAAUAACUAACAAGUCUAGCAACCAUAUAAGGCUAGACACGAGAGUAAGAGGUAGCCUCGAUGGAGGAUCCUAUCCAAAAAGCUUACUCUGGUCAUAUAAGGACUGGUUCAUGAGCAAGUCUAUCCGGUGAAUUGUACAACCACACACGCUAAAAAGGUACAACCCUCAGGAGUACCUAUCUAUGUGAGGCCUUGAUUCGCACCCCACCAGCUGAACUUAGUGAACCACCCAAGGGGCCACGGUGGGCAAUGGUUAGACUGGAACAUGAUCUUUGCUUUGUCCUAGGUCUGGUCGACAUGGGUCAUAGGUUGAGGUCUAGAGUGGUCUGGUGGUAUUGUAUACCACAUGAUGUAUUUGGAUACCCAAGGCUCACAAAUAUGAUCCCACUUGGUCAAAGCUCCCAUUCAUUAGUCAUAACAUUGUUUUUAUGAAAAUCUUGUGUCUCGAGCCUUGGCCUGAGGAUUUGUUUCUAAAUAAGGCAAAGCUGGCUCAGGAAGUCCCUGAUGGAUCCUGAUGCUAAAUAAAAUACGGGGACUGGAAGGGAUGUAGUUUCCCCCUUCCAGGACCAACAAACUGUUGUUAAAUGUCCUGAAUUCCUUUUAAAAGCUAUAACCUUUCACCCCGCAUAAAAAUGGCUUUUCGGCAAAUAUCCAACCAGAGCCCUCCAUGAAAAAACAGCAUGAAAUACCUCUAUGACAGUGGGAUUUGCUGAGUACUCUACUUUCUUUACUGCUUUCUUUCUAUAGAGGAAGAAAUAGUUGUUGAAGACGAUGAGGAUCUUGGAGAUCAACCUUAGGAGCCAAAUUGCCUGUGGACUUGGGAAUACUACAUAGAACUCUAUUGUAUAGCUACUCUAAGGCUACUCUUAGUGGUAUGCACUUUAUUUCUCUUUUGUAACCUUAUGUAAAAUGUCAAUAAAAGCUAUACAAAUUAUGGAUGUGUUACUUCCUGUGAUAAAUUCUUGUAUCAUCUACUGAACCAGGAAAUGAUACAAAUGACAUUCGGGAUCUCUUUUAGGGGUGCCCCCCACACUAUCUGUCGUGACUUGACAAAUCUAGAUUUUGACUUCCCAAUUCAUUCUUGCCUACUAAUAUUGCAAGAAAAAACAUAGGCGGUACAUGUUAGUUUGAAAACCUAGCUUUUGGUGUAAUCUAAUUCCAACCCAUCUCUUUGUUUGUUACUUAAAUGUGGAUUCUAGAUGAUACAUUUCAUUUUUUUGUUACUGUAAGGAAAAUUUCCAAAUUACUUCCGUCAAGUAUGCCCACAGUCGUGAUAACCCCUAAACUAUUUUUUUCAUUUUACACCUACAACUACGUUAAUUGGUCCAAUUUACCCCUUAGCAAGACCAAUCUUAUAAGGAUAAAUUGGACCAAUUGACAUAGUUCUAGUUGUAAAAUAAACUAAAAAAAGUUUAUGAGGGUUAUCUAGACUUUGGCCAUACAUGAAUGGAGUAAUUUGAACUUUUUUGUUAUUGCAAUGGCAUGAAAAGUUGUUUCAGCACACAACUUAGUACCAAGAUGUCAUUUAUGAAGGAACUAUGUUUGGUCGUAUAGUAUUUUUAAAAAGUGGUUACCAAUAAUUAUUUGUGUAGAUACAUUAUAAUGUUUUGUGUCAAAAUGUAAUGAAUUUAAUUAUUUUUGUAGAUACAUUAUAAUAUUUUUUUGUCAAAAUGGAGAUACAUUAUUUGUGUAGAUACAUUAUAAUGUUUCGUUAUUGCAAUGGCAUGAAAAGUUGUUAUUCUCUUUCAUAUAACUAGUCCAUCAACCCGUGCUCCUGCACGGGCUAAUGUUUUUAUAAGCUAUUGGAGUUAAAAAUUGUUUAGAAAUUAAACUCUUAGCUAAUAAUCAAAAUUGUUUACCUACUACUCUCUUAUUUUUCCAAUACUUCAACAUAAUACUUAUAUAGCUAUGUAUUCGUCCAGUUGUGAUUGAUUUUUAAUUAAUAAUUAUUUUAUGCACUUUUUCAUUCAUAUUCAUACUUUUUAUCACACCUCCAAUCCUCUAUACAUUAUGUUUAGCACACAAAUCAAUAUUUUUCAUCGAUUCCGCACGUACAUGUAUACAUGGUCUAAUGGUGGCACUCAUCAUGUGUAUAUACUUUAAGGUAGUAUUUUUAUAUUAACAAUGAUAUAAAUAGGUAAUUUAGAAUCAUAUAUUAGUUUACUUUUUGACAUUUCUAUAUGAUGCACAUGAAGAUAAUUAGAUUAAGAUUUAGGUAUUUACUUUAGGUUAUUUUUAAUAACGACAUACGUGGGUAACAUAGAUACAAUUUUAGAAUGACAUUUUAAGUUAUGAUUUAUAAUGAUGUGUAUUAAUAAAUUGGAUGAAGAUUACGGGGUUACUUUAGAUUAUGUUUUAUAAUAGCUAAGCUCGGUAAUUUAGAUAUAGGUUUAGAGCUCAUUUUUGAAUAUUUCCACAAUGACAGUGGUGGAUAACUUUUUAGAAAAUAUAAUAAAUUAAUGGUUAUGAUUAUUAGAAUUUACAGGAUUGGUGUUUGAUGUUUUUAUUUUUUAUGAGAAUCUCUCUUUUUUCUAGCGUGUCUCAUGGGAACUAAUGCGGAGUCUCCAAUGAAAAAAAAUGAGACUACAUUGCUACAAAACUAUUACCAUAAGCUACCUCUUGUUUGUUAAAUAUUCGAACACAAUACUUAUGUAGAUAUUAUACUUAAUAUCUUCAUCCAAUUGUGAUAGAUUUCAGUUAGUAAUUACUCUAUAAUAUCUUCAUCCACAUUUAUAAUCUUUAACUUUCCACUUUGGACCAAAUGUAUGGGUUUGAAUUUGUUUAAUGAACCCUAAGUUUGAGUGCUCAUAAAUUUAAUAGAACUAUCCAUAAUGCUAAAUAUAAUUUUAGCAUAGAAAUGUAUAUUCCCAUAACUUUAUAUCCUUAUAAAUGGUGACACACAUCAUGCGUAUAGACCUUAAUUAUUAUAUCGUAUACCAAUAGUGUAAGAUAUAGACGAUUUAGAAUCAUAUAUUGUUGUAUAUUUCUAAUUAAGGUUAUUUGAUUCAAACAUAGGGUUACCUCAUGUUAUUUUUAAUAAUAACAUGUGUGGGUAAUAUAGAUGCAAAUUUAAGGGGUUACUUUAAGUUUUUUAAAGUAAUAGUGGUAGGCAAUUCAGUUGCAAAUUAGGGAGCUAUUUUAAAUAUUGUUUAUAAUGGCAUAAGUGGGUAAUUUUGAUGAAAAUUAGGGGUUUACUUUAGUUUAUUUUAUAUAAUGGCAGGGGUGGGUAAUUUAUAUAUAGAUUUAGGGGGUUACUUUAGGCUAUUUUCAUAAUAGCAUAGGUGGGUAAUUUUUUAGAAAACAUAAUAGAUCCAAUGGCUAUGAUGAUUUGAAUCUAUCGAUUGAUGGUUGGAUGUUUUGCUUUUUUGUGAGAAUUUCUAGAAUUUCUCUCUUUUCUAGAGUGUCCACCUAUGAAUCCUAGAUGGCUUCAUUUGGAGGUUUCAAAAGGAGCCUCCAAUUAGUUAUAGUAAGAUGGCAGACGUGAAUUGAAUAAUUUAGAAACAAAUUAGACCCGGUGCCUAUGGUUAUCCAGGCUAACUACCAAAUUGAUGGCUGCAUGUCUUUGGGAAUUUCUAGGAUUCUGUUUUUUUUAUAGGUCAUGUGAGUACGAACACUCCAAUCAAUUAGUAAUAGUAAUAUGGGAUAAGAUGGCCCAAAUGUUAAAGUUUCUUUGGUCUUGUUUUUUUAGGUACUUGGUCAUAAUUGAUGACAUUUGGCACUGGGAAGAGUGGGAAGUCAUCCGUAAGGCUCUUCCCAAGAAUAAUCUGGGCUGUAAAUUUAUUAUGACGACCCGGGUCUGGAGUAUAGCUUGGAAAUGUCAAACUGAACAAGGUGCACGUGUGUACGAACAGAAGUUUGGUCUUGCGGAAGCUGAAAGUCUAUCAGCUAUGAGACUGCGCAAAUCCGUCGAGGGAACCAACGCGAAGGGGCUGUCCACUAAGAUUGCGGUUAUGUGCGGCGGGCCACCAUUUGAUUUUUGUCCGCUAGCAGUAAUCUGUUUGUCGUCAGCAUGGGCAGAGAGCCACCAUGUGCAAGGUGAUGAUGCGGAAUGGGAUACAUGGGCAAGCCACGUUCUGGAUGAUGGGUUUCUGAGUACUCCAUCCUUGAAACCAGUGGUCCAGAGUCUAUGCCUUGGUUUCGACGAUCUUCCCGUUCAGCUGAGGACUUGCUUGCUAUACUGUACUGUAUAUCCUCCGUGGUAUAUGUUUUAUAAGGGAUGCUUGGUGAGAAAAUGGAUUGCUGAAGGAUUUGUUUCGCAAGUUGAAGUAGCAGAAGGUUACUUUGACAAGCUUGUCUCCAGGAAUCUGUUGCAGCGGAAGGGUGUGAUGCAUGCAGUUCACCCCAUUAUGGGAGCCUUUCUCGUGUGCAAAGCAAAGGAAGAUAAUUUUAUUGCUUACGAUGGGGCCGGCAACUCCUCGCAUGCCAAACAGAUCCGUCGUCUUUCUCUCAGCACGGAUCGCUGUCCAGAUGAGGAUGUGCUGUCUCAUACUCGCUCCCUUGUUGUUUCUGGUUAUCAAUGCCAGCUGGAUGGUGUCCCCUUCAAGGCGUUCAAAAAGCUGCGAGUGCUAGAAAUACAUGACAGCAGUCGUCUAGAGAAUGGUCAUCUGGUGGAUAUAUGUGGGCUGAUCUGGCUCAAGUGUCUGGAUCUUAUGGGCUGCGGUCAUAUCACAGAGCUCCCACGGGAGAUUGGAAGACUGCAGAAUCUGGAGACCCUGUACGUGGCAGGUACAGGGAUUAGUAAACUACCAACGGAAAUUGAGAAACUGCAGCACUUAGAGACUCUGGAUGUAAGUGGCACAAAGGUCACGGAGCUGCCUACGUGGAUCGAGAAAUUGCAAUCUUUGAAGACUCUGGAUGUAAGUGACACAAAGGUCACAGAGCUACCAAGGGAAAUCAAGAACCUUGAGCGUUUGGAGAGUCUGGAUGUAAGCUGGACACGGGUGAGUGAGUUGCCUAAGGAAAUCGGGGAACUGCAGCAUCUGAGGACUCUGGACAUAAGAGGUACUAAGGUCCGAGAGCUAUCCUGCAGUAGAGACCCGAAUCCGUUAUUAAGUGUGGUUGUUGAUGCACAUAUACAUAGGUUUUCUGAUGAAGUGGAGACGUUGAUGUCGCCUCUGGGUGUCAUUAGAUCAAGUGGUGGUGAAGAGGUUACCUCUUCUGAAGCAAAGUGCAGGGAUGACCUAUCCAUCCUCAUCCUCUUUAACCAUUUCGGCGAGAGGUGUGAAGUCCUACCAGUUCGGAUGCUUAGAGUUGCCGGGAGACACAUGAAAGUCCCGCAGUGGGUCAAGCAAGACUUGUGCAAUGUCUGCUCCUUAGAUAUCAGGCUCUACAAACUUGUGCACGAAGACCUCGAGUUUCUGAAAACGCAGAUGCCGAACCUGCAGGCUCUCCAACUCAGGUUCGAGGUCCUCCCACGGGAGCCGGUUGCUAUCACUGGUGGAGGGUUCUCAAAGCUGGAAACGUUCUAUGUUGAUUGCCGUCUGCCACGGGUGAUCACCUUUGGGGAAGGAGCGAUGCCGAAGCUGAAACAUCUUGAGUUCAAGUUCUACACCGGCACAGCAAGGCAACACUACUCCAUGGGCAUCAAGCAUCUCGACAGUCUUGAGGUGGUCGUGUUCCGAUGCUCCGAGUGCUAUACAAGUGACGGUCCAGGCAUCUGCGAGACGAUUGAAGUCGUGAGAAAAGAAGCCGCGGACCACCCCAAAAAGAUCAACCUUUGCGUCAAUGAAAAGAAAGUGGAGUUCGGCAGUAGUUAUAAAUGGGAAAGCCUUGCGGAUAAGGCCGUUACUAAAAGAAGGGAACAACUAUACAAUGCAGCAGAGCGUCGCCGAUGCAGGGGGCUGUUUGUUUGAGCUGCAGUUUUAAACUUUUCUGAAAAAGCUGCUGCUACUUUUUUUUUCUAAAAAACCAACGCCAGCUUUUAGAAGAUGUGUGAGCUUAAAAAGCUAUGAAAAAUUUAUAAAAUUAAGUUUUUCAGCUUUCUAUGUAAACUCGGAUUUUCUGAACUUCCAGCUUUUCAGAAUCUACACGAGAAGUUCACUGUUUAUUUGAGUUUCUAACUUUUCACACUAAGAAGCUGCUAGGAAUCCCAAACAAACAAGCCCUAACUUGGUUUUAAAGCUGGUUCGAACCUCAGGUUUUGUCACACCCGGUUUUAAAACAAAACCAAGUGCUACCUAUAUGUAUGCCAGGAUCUAAUUUCAUACAUAUAGUAACAUCAAAAGUGAAUAACAGCAACAGUAUUACGUAAAGGAAAAUAAAUAAAUACUUACGAGUCUAUCAGAGAUAUACAGCUUAAUUCUGGAAACGAAGGUUCCAAACUUCACAGGCAAACGACUGGGGGUUGCGUACGCCUAGAACUCAGCAUCAUCUUCAGAAAAUUUCACACACCUUCCUUUUCUAAGCAGUAGUAAGUACGGUUAAUACACUUAUGGUUGGUACUCAGCAAGGUCACAAGAAAUAACCAGAAUAUCGAUUUAAAUCCAUCUUCAAGUUUAUUAAUCAUAUGAGGGUUCAGGCCGCUCUUGACCGUGAGCACGGCUGAUAUAUCAGUUUUACACUCUGCAGAGGUUGUACACUUUCACCACAAGUCGCGUAAAAGUUCAGAAGAACUUUAGACCCAACCAUGCUAUGCUGAUCAAGCACUCAUCACACUACCGAUGUGUGACUGCAUAUGGACGCUACAUGACCUUUACAAAGAUUUCCUAGUAAGGAUAGCUCGCUAAGUUUUCAUGAUUAGCGUAAUGCAUUAACCUCUCUAGUGGGCAUAGGGUCUUAGCAAAGCUCCCUUCCCAAGAGGGCUAGGUUAUACACCCACUACUGUCUCCCCCUCUUUCCCCUUUCGGGUAAAGCUACCACAAACUAGAGUCUUUAAUUAAUUAGUUAAGACCAAAGGCAUAUAGUCCUUGUGGUUGCACUAUUUUUCUAGGUGGUCGCUCCAUGUCCCGAUUAACAUUAUCAUGGUAUUAUAAAUAAAGCAUAGGUAGAAGGAUGGUUAGUGACACUUGCCUUUCUCCAACGAAAAGUUACUCUUACUGCUCUUGCUCUCUUGAAACUCUUAUUCUUCAAAUCUUUCGAACAACGAUCCUUCUACUCGAAGCAAUCAUCAGCACAAACAUACAAGCAAACAAAUAAGUACAACUAAGAACAAUGCACCAAAACAAAAGAAAAACUUUAAAAGAACGUACUAAAAGAUAUGGCUCAAUUCUAGGAUCACGGAGGCACAUCAGACACUAAGCACGAUGAUAUUGUUGAAAACAUACAUCUAUCGAGGAAACUUUGGUUGUAUAGGGAAAAAAAGAGCUAUAUGCUGCAUUUAUUUUUAUUUAGAAAACAUAUGUAAAGGAUACUUUUAGAAAAUAUCCUAAGUUAGAGAUAAUUCAAAUUAUAUCUGUUUAUGAAAAUAUGAUAUAAAACCUAGUCAAGUUUUAUUUAUAAAUAUUCACGUAAUUAUGCCAUUCAAGCAUUUAAAUUUGGAAAAUAAACUAUAUGUAAUAACAUCUAAUGACAACUUUAUAUGUCGUGUUGAACUAAAACAAGUUAUAAUUCAAAAAUACAUUUAUAUUUACUUUAAGCAAAUUAACAUUUAAUUAUGAAAACUUGAGAUAUAACCUAUGUAACUUUUAUUUAUAAAACAAAUUGAAUACACAUUAAUCAAUUUAAGUUUGACUAUGAAAACCAAGGUAUAACUCUAGUUAGCUUUUAAUUGGAAGAUUUUUUUUAUAAGCAUUAAUCAUAUUAACAUUAAUUAUGAAAACCGAUAUAUAGCCUAAUUGGCAUUUAUUUAGAAAAGGAUAUGAAGUAGGAAUUAAUCAAAUUGAUGUUUAUUAUGAAAAGCGGUGUAUAACUCUAAGUAGCUUUUAUUUAGAGAAGACACAGAAAUUAAUCAAUUUAAUAUCAAAUUUAUUUUCAAAAACAUGCAUGAAGGCAAACAUCACCACCAACGUAUAAUUUAUAUUAUCAUGAACCUAACGCAACUUGAACAGAUUAAAACAGAGCUAAAACAUAGAUUGUAUGAGCUAAACAAGUUUAGAAGGAUCUAGAUGUGAUUAACUAUAGACUUCAGAGGCUAGCAAGGAAGAUUCACAAGACACAUGGAACAGUCUUCGUGAAUAGGUGAAACCUUGGGGUUAGAUCUGUAAAAGGUCAUGGCAAGGGUCCGUUGUGGGUAUGAACUUUUUCCAGGGGGUUUUCUGCUAAAGACUCAAGACACAAGAACUAAUCAAAUCAUUGCAGCCUUCCUUAGGGGCCUAGAAACAAAACUGCCAGGGCCUUCUUCUUCCUUUCGCUAGGGCUCCGGCCAGCUGGCUUGCCGGUGCUCUGGCGAGCUAGGGUCGACGGCGGGCGGCGCAAGAGGGAGAGGGGGUCGAGGGGAUCUCGUGGGGUGGCUCACCGGCGACGGGGCGGAUGGAGACAGUUGGUAACGGCGGCGGAUGAUGACAGACGGUGGCUCGACCUCCAGUCCGAGGCAGCACUCCGGCAGCGGCGCGGCACGCAGGGGUGGCACAGUAGGUGUGGAGAGGCGACGCUUGGCUAGGAUGUUGCGCGGGCGGCGACAGCGACUGGCGGCAGCAGUGCGCAAAAGGUGCCGCGGCGGUAGCAGUGGCUCGUGGCUUGGGCGCGCGGACGGGCGGUGAGGCGGCAGCGGGCGAGGACGGCAGGGCGCACGGGGGUUCGAGCGGUGCAUUAAAUAGGGCGCGGGGUACAAGGAUGACUGGCGCGCACACCUAGGCCGAAGUGGCGACGGCAGCGCACGGCUGCGCUUGCCCCGAGGAACAAUGCAGCGGCCCCGAUGGGCCUUAGUGGGCUGGGCGGCCUGACGCGGGUCGAGCCCACGGGCUCAACCCAAACUGAUAGGCUAGGUUUUCUUUCUUUUUUCAGAAAAUAUUUCCCAUGUAAAUAAAAAUCUAGAAAAUCUAGAUACUUCAUUUAAGCCACGAAAAAUACUCUAAAAUUCCAAAAAUUCCAGAAAAAUUCCUAGAGUUAGAUUGGGACAUGAUAAAUCCAAAUAAAAUACUUAGAGAUAUGAAAAGGAUUACAAAACCUUCCAAAAAUUUGAAUUAGUUCUAGAAAAAUGAGAAUAAAUUCCAGGAAAUUCUGGAAAAAUUCUCGGAAGAACUUGAUCGUUAUCAAGACGUGUUUUUAAAAUAUUUACACUCAUGAAACAAUAAAAUACAUUGGCAUGAAUGCAACACACACAACAACCUUAUUUAAUUUAGAAAAACAAACAAUUAAUUUUCUAUACUAAAUUUCCGGUAAAGAAAAAUAAAUGUUGGGAAAAAUUUUAAAAUUAUGAGAAAAAUUAUUGUUGAAUUUUUCUUUUUAAUCACAUCCUGAAAUUCAACAAAAAUUUUAGGGUGUGACAUGUUUGAUGCUAGUGUUCUCACCGUGGUUCGCUCCCAAUCCAUUUUCUCCGGCCUCUCGCGCAUGGAGUUACAAAGGGAAUGUGACGCGCCCAUCAUCUACGGAGCCAGGAUGGUUUUGGUGAUCUCCUUAAGGAAGCGAUAUUUCGGUCUGAUUGUAGUUGUAGGUAUGCUUGUGUACACGUGUGGUGUGAGUAAUGUGCGUGUGUAGUGUCAAACAACACACUGUGACAACGGAAUGGCGGUGCGCCUCGUCAUAAAUCCAGAGAGCACGUUCGCGCCCAUCGUUGGAAUUGAUGAGGAUCCAAUAGAUACGAGUGAAAUGAAAUGCAGUCAUUCUACUAGCACGGCGGUGGUGGCGAUGAUGCAUUGGGAACGCUCUGAAUGGUGUCGCGCACGCUGCAAAAGGCACAUUCGAUUACCAGGCGAUAAUGCGAGAUCAUUUUCGGCAAAUCAGCGUUUCUCAAGUUCCGAACAGAGCCUGAAGAAAUAUGGAUGUUUGGCAAGGCAACCUUCCUCGAGCAGUUGAACUGUUCAGGUGCAGUUCCGUGCCUCCGGGUGAAAUUGGAGGAGAGCAUGGCGUCGAAUCUCCGGAAGCCCAAGCUAUGUUUCGAUGCAUCGAGCACUCGUCAGGUGUGUUGGGAGAUCGAUUCCCGUGAAAAAUAAUGGUCGUGUAGAUGCUGGGGCAGAGCACGCUCUGCCUUGACGACCUCAGCUAGCGAAUCAGAUUCAAAACGGCUUCGAGAAUGGCAGCCCUGUUGGGGCUUCUCGUCACAGCGAAUGACUGGCCGGCGGGCUUUUCUGAGCUCACCAAGCAAUUCUGUGGGUGUGGAAAUAUAAUUCACUACAAAAAGAAAAUGGAAGAAAAGCAUAAGCGGACCAGCACUACUAGAGCAGUGCGCUUCCUGAGCUCAGUUGGUUAAAAUUUAGGCUGCACCUAGCCCACUGUUGUUCUUGGCCCAUGAACAAAGGUUCACAAACACCAGAAGUCAGACCAAAGAUAAAUUGGACCGACCUAAUACCUUGCUCUGUUCGUUUUGCUAUUUUAUUCAUUUUGUACUCGCGCAAAUAUAUUUCUCGAUGAGUAUUCGGAUCCAAAAGACAAGGUGCCCUUAGCUGGCAUCCAACAAGGAUUUUUCAUCACGUUAAUACCAGAAGGGAGAUUCCUUCACUGAGCAGGACAAUAAAGCCCGCCUCAUCGCCUGUCUCGAGACCUUACCGUACCAAACAGAGCACCCUGUCAGUAAUUGAUGGAGGAGGUGAUACUGAAGUGGUUACAUCCAACACCAGAACUACUUCCCAGAACAUGAAAUCUUUGUCACGGCUGGUUCCUCUCACACAAGUGCUGGACAUGACAACGACAACAACGAAAGGCUCGAGGACAUAUCAGCUAUUGAAGACACUCCUGAAGCUGGCGAGGAAACCCCACAGCAAACGGCACGCCGGCGCCUCGAGAACAAGAAAUGUGCAGAGUCAUGUCAACCUGCAGCUUAGCAAACUACCCAACGCAACUUGACGGGCGAAUUCAAUCAAGCCACAACCCAACGCAACUUGAUGGGCGAAUUCAAUCAACCCGCAGGUGGAAGAAUAAAUCGCACCCCGAUGGCAAAUAUCAUGGAGGUAGCCUAUUGGUUGAGGGCCCUGCCUCAGACCCAGCAAACGGAAAAACUCCUCACAUACCUCAAAACAGCUUGUGAACAACUUGAUGACUUUCUUACUCUUACCUGACCGUGAUUGACUUUGAGUACAAACUACGCUACAUGCCUUUUAAUUCAAAUUCAUAAUCCUUUUUCCACUUUAGUUGAAACCUUAGCUGUAGGUAUGUUAGCUUUUGUUGCAACCUAUAUGUUUAUUUGUCGUGACUUAACAAAUCUAGAUUUUGACUUCCCAACUUCAUUAUUGCCUGCUAAAAUUGCAAGAAAAAGCAUAGGAUGUACAUGUUUGUUACUAAUUUCUACCCAUCCCUUUGUUUGUUACUAACAUCUGGAUUCUGGACCAUACAUUUCAUUUUUAGUUACUAUAAGGCAAAUGUCCAAAUUACUCCCCUCAGGUGCUCACAGUCCCAGUAAACUCCUAAACUAUUUUGGUUCAUGGUACACCUACAACUAUGUUAAUUGGUCCAAGUUACACCUUAGCAAGACAGAUCUUAUAAGGAUAAAUUGGACCAAUUGACAUAGUUCUAGGUGUAAAAUAAACUUAAAAAGGUUUAGGGGUUUAUCUAGAUUUCGUCCAUACUUGAAGGGAGUAAAAUUUGAGCUUUUUAAUUGUUGCCAUGGCAUGGAAAGUUGUUUCAGCAGACAACUUUGUACCAAGAUGUCAUCUAUGAAGGAACUAUGUUUUGUUGUAUAUUAUUUUAAAAAAAUGGUAACCAAUAAUUAUUUGUGUAGCUACAUUAUAAUGUUUAUGUCAAAAUUUAAUAAAUUUAUUGUUUAUGUAGAAUAUAAUGAAUUUAGCUAAAGGAAACCUUAUUGUUUAUUGUCAUCCGUAAGGCUCUCCCCAAGAAUAAUCUGCGCUGUAAAUUAGUCAUGACGACCCGGGUCAGGAGUAUAGCUGAGAAAUGUGAAACUGAACAAGGUGCAGGUGUGUACACACAGUAUUUUGGUCAUGCGAACGCUGCAAGGCUAUCAGAUAUGAGACUCAGCAAAUCUGUCGAGGGAACCAACGCGAAGGGGCUGUCCACUAAAAUAUGUCCAUCCUUGAAACCAGUGGUCCAGAGUCUAUCUGUCUAUGCCUUGGUUUCGACUAUCUUCCCGUUCAGCUGAGGACUUGCUUGCUAUACUGUAGCGUAUAUCCUCCGUGGCGUAUGUUUUAUAAGGGAUGCUUGGUGAGAAAAUGGAUUGCUGAAGGAAUUUGUUUCGGAAGUUGAAGUAGCAGAAGCUUACUUUGACAAGCUUGUCUCCAGGAAUCUGCUGCAGCAUUACAUUGGGAAGUACACAGUUCACCCAUCAUGCGAGCCUCUUCCUCGUGUGCAAAGCAAAGCAAGAUAAUUUUAUUGCUAAAUUACGAUGGGCCCGGUAACUCCUCGCAUGCCAAACAGAUCCGUCGUCUUUAUGUCACCACGGGUCGCUAUCCAGAUGAGGAUGUGCCGCUGUCUCGUACUCGCUCCCUUGUUGUUUGUGGUCAGCGAUGGCAGCUGGAUUGUAAGGCGUUCAAGAAGCUGCGAGUGCUAGAAAUACGUAACAGCAGUCGUCUAGAGAAUGGUCAUCUGGUGGAUAUAUGUGGGCUGAUCUGGCUCAAGUAUCUGGGUAUCAUGGGCUGCCAUCAAAUCACAGAGCUCCCACGGGAGAUUGGGAGACUGCAAGAUCUGGAGUCCCUGUACGUGGCAGGUACAGAUAUUAGUAAACUACCAGCGGAAAUCAAGAACCUUGAGCGCUUGGAGACUCUGGAUAUAAGCCGGACACGGGUGAGAGAGUUGCCUAAGGAAAUCAGAAAAGUGCAGCAUUUGAGGACUCUUUUACACCGGCACAGCAAGUCGAGACUACUACAUGGGCAUCAAGCAUCUCGACAGUCUUGAGAAGGUCGAGUUCCGAUGAUCCGAGUACUAUACAAGUGACGAUCCGGGCAUCCGCGAGACAAUUGAUGUCCUGAGAAAAGAAGCCGUGCAGCACCCCAACAAUAUCACCCUUUGGGUCAAUGACAUGUUGCCAGAGGCUUUCGGCACGGGUGCCGAUAAGGCCAUUUUCGAAAAAAGAGAUAAACUAUUCAGGGCAGCACGGGAAAGAUGGAAAGGGACCUUGAGGAUAUUAUGAACGACGGAAGUCACAUCUCAUGGCAGCAGAGAAGCGAGCUCAGCUUCAACGGGACAAGUACCGCGGAAGAGGGGGAAUUCGCUCCUGAUUGCGGGUUCGUGUGGUACAGGAGAAUCAGAGGUGUACCGUUUGUGAAUUAAAGAUGCGCCGUUUGUGCGGGUUUAUGUAAUAAUAAUUUCUGCAACUUUGGAUUGAAGUAUGUUCUAUGUUGUAUGCAUUGGUUUGCUAAACCUAAACAAAAAAGUUACGUAUUUUUUGAACUUGGGGUCUUCCUUCUCUAUGUCACACAUUAUCUGUACGCACGCUUGUUCGUCAUUCUCAAUAUUUUUUUUACAGAUCACUUUCUGUUCGUCAUAUGGUAGCUUGCACCAUCUGCAAACUGAGCAUUCCGUCCAACAUUUCCUUUGGGUCAAUGUAGUCAUGACUCAUGCCAGUGAUCCAGUUCUGUUAAUAAUUUGUUCCCAUACGUAUUCUGGAGCAGUUGCAAGAUUGUCUUGAUGAUGCGAAUGGGCUCAUCCUUAAUGUGGUUGCACGCAGACUUUUAUGUCAUCUUCUUCCCAACAGUUUUUUCAGUUCGCCCUACUGUACCUUCUGGGAUAUGUAAGCCUUGGUCAACAUCGUCAAACCCCUUGGAGCUGCGGCUAAACUGCCCACAUGAUAGCACACUCUGCCUUGACGACAGCAGCUUCCAACAUGGUGGAUCAGAUUCAAAAACAGCUUCGAGAAUUUUGAAUGACUGGCUGGGGGCUUUCUGAGCUCACCGAGCUUCUGUGGGUGUGGUAAUAUAAUUUCACUACAAAAAGAGAAGGAAAGAAAAGCUUAAGGAAACUUUCUGAGCAGAAGCUUGGUAAGCUUCUGAAGGUGCAGCCCAAAUUCUGAGCAGUGAGCUUUCUAAUCUCAGUUGGUCAAAAUUUAGGCUGCACCUAGUCCACCGUCAUUCUCAGCCCAUGAAGAAGGAUCCACACACCACAGGUGGACCAAAGAUAAAUUGGGGCGACACACUCACACCCAGUUCUGUCCGUUUUUCUAUUUCAUUUAUUUUUUACCUGGUCAAAUAUAUUUCUAACGUCACACCAACCACCAAUUUUGUAAACUUAAUAAAUCCUUGUAAAGUCACCUUCGUACAAUAUUUUAGUGCAUUAUGCAUUCAGUUUGAAACACAAUAUUUUCUUUUUAGACAAAUAAACUAGCGCAAGCUGGAACUAGUUCUCAAUUAGAGAACACCGCAUAUGCCCGAAGAAAAAUAUUUUCAGUACUAGCCUUAUUUUUCUGUCGUCUAUUAACUGUUGAAUGUUCUUGAUGGAGUCGUAUGUUCCUUAAUAAUCAUUGGUCAAAUGCGUCAUGUAUGCUGCACAUUGAAGAUGUAGAGGCUGGGACAGUGUUUUAUUCCAUCAUCAAAAAAAAGUCUUGAAGCUCUAGAAAUGGACACAAUCCAAUUUAUGCAUCUGCAGUGCAUAUAUAGUUGUAAUAACAAUGAUGAAACCUGCUUAUUCUAUACUCCGUAACAUACAGGAAACAUGAAUAUAUUUGAGUCGCUCAAACCUCUUACUAAUGCAAUGUACACUACGGGAAACAGGGAAGAUGCCGAGUGCCAGGGGCACUCGGCGAAGCCCCAAAAACACUCGGCAAAGCGUUUGCCGAGUGUAACACUCGGCAAACGACACACGGCAAAAAUCUUGACGGCAAACACUAGUUCGCCGAGUGUUUUGUGUCGGGCACUCGGUAAAGACUUUGCCGAGUGCUCUGCCCAGAAAACACUCGGCGAACAAUUAUUGAAAAAAAAAAAAAUCAUGCGCCGCCACCUGCUCCGCCACCGCCGCCGCCGCCGCCACCACCACCACCCUCUCCUCUUCUCUUCAGGCCCCGGCGCCGGCGGAUCCGGUGGAGGGGACGGGCGGGCGGCGGAUACGGGGGCCGGGGGCCGGGCGCCGGGGGGACGGCGGCGGAUCCGGGGGCGCCGUGCGCCGGGCGGCGGGCGGCGGCGGAUCCGGGGGCCGGGCGCCGGGCCGGCGGCGGCGGAUCCGGGGGCGCCGGGGGCCGGGCGCCGGGCCGGCGGCGGCGAAUCCGAGGGCGCUGUGCGUCGGGCGGCGGGCGGCGGGCGGCGGCUGANNNNNNNNNNNNNNNNNNNNNNNNNNNNNNNNNNNNNNNNNNNNNNNNNNNNNNNNNNNNNNNNNNNNNNNNNNNNNNNNNNNNNNNNNNNNNNNNNNNNCCGGGCGGCGGCGGAGGGAGAGAGGAGGGAGUGAGGGGAGUGAGAGGGGGGCCGGGAGGCACUUAUUGAGGGGGCCGGGCACUUAUUCUGGUUUGCCGAGUGUCCUACGUGGACACUCGGUAAAGAGUUUCUUUGCCGAGUGUCCAACGUAGGACACUCGGCAAACGUUUUUUGAAAAAAAUUUAAAAAAUAUCCAACAGUUUCAAAAAAAUACCAAAUUUUCACACGAACCAAUAUAGGUUUUCUACUGACUAUACAAAAAGUUUUGUAGUCAAACCGAACUCGACCGUCACUUCGACUCUAAAUUUUAUCGAAUCCUUCUUAAAGUUACUAUUCUUCUUCUGAGAUGCUUCGAUUUGUAAUCAUCGUACAUGAUGAAAUGUGCAAAACCUUCUCAAUUUUUUUCCACAGCCUCCACGUAUUAUAUCAUCACAUCAUGACAAAUCUUAAGAUUUUCAGACUUUGAUUGUUUUUUUGACAAUUUAAAAAUACUACUGCGACACGUUCAUGGUCGUGUUUCCUGAACAAGAUGUUCGAAAUUUCUUUUCAUUUCAUGGGUCAGGUCUCAAAUUGGUCCAAAUAACAUGAAUAUCAUUUUUCUACUCAUUUUAUUCCAUAAUUUGAAUCACUUGCAGUUCAAAUUUGACUUAUACCAAAAAUUCCCUUGAAAUGUAGUUAAUUAAUUAAAUAUAGCAAAUAAAUUCAAAAAUAUACCAAAUUUUAACAUGGAGUACCACAUGUUGUAUAUGGGGAGUAGAAAAAAUUUCAUGGUGAAAAGAGGAAAAAAAUUAUUUUUUUGCCGAGUGUCAAAAAAAACACUAGGCAAACCCCCCUCUUUGCCGAGUGUUUUUUUUUGACACUCGGCAAACCUCCUCUUUGCCGAGUGUUUUUUUGACACUCGGCAAAGAGGGGGCUUUGCCGAGUGUUUUUUAUUUGACACUCGGCAAAGUCACGAUUUGCCGAGUGUUUUUUUUUGCCGAGUGUUUUUGGCUUGGCACUCGACGAAGAGCUUGUUUGCCGAGUGUCCGAAAAAAAACACUCGGCAAAAAGAAAACACUCGGCAAAUUUAAAGUUUCCCGUAGUGGUAGAUGUAUACUUAGCAAUUGACCCUUGAACACCAAACCAUAAUGUGCUAGUAGACACCAACAAUACUUUAUUGGCCCUCUAAUAAUGCAAAAUGCAUAGUUUACAGGGGUAUUUCAACUAUUCAUCAUGUAUCAACGAGAUGCUUGGGCUCCAAACGUAGUUCAAAUUUUACUAUUGGCAGUUAGGGCUCCUCCCAGGUCCGCCAUAGUAGAUGUAAGUGCCCCAGUCGCUAUUGGCACCAUUCUGCACCUUAUAGCAGCUGGAUCGCUCAGCUAUCAAAACCACACCAUUUGGGAAUUUGAGAUUGUUGGAUGAAUCUACGACUUGGAUGUUCUUGAUGUAGCUAGCCUUGCCGAACCCUUCCUCUGGGAAGUGUCCGCUACCCAUUUCAGUGGAAGUCUGGCCGGCGUCCGGUGAGUAUACCUCACCGCCCCAUUCAACACUGGAGGCACUGUCUGACAAGUAAGAGAAGAUGGACGAUGGCCAAUAGCCCAAAAUAUGGUUUCCUACUUGCAACCACCAGUUGCCCCCCUUUGGAUCCUGCAAAACGAAAUUACUUGGAGAGUUCAGCAGACAGGAUUAUGAUCGACGAGAGAAGUAGGGAACAUAGUUGUAUAUUCCUUUUAGUCCUAAAAUCAAAGCAUGCACAAAAGUGUGACUUUACUUAUUCCUUAUCUGCACUAUGGAAAGUACUGCACAUUGAUGGAAACAAAAAUUCUAAGUGAAGGGGUGCCGGUUAUAAAAAAUUCGAAACAAAAUAUAUUAUAAAUCUUGUUGAUUAUGAAGGGGUGACGGCUGUCAUGCAAGAUUGUUCAUGGCAAUUAGGACAGAUGAUUUAUAAUAUUUCCUUGCAUAAGGUGGAGGUAAAGAUCCUUUUAAAGCUUUAUUAAUGUAUAAGGCUAACUUAACAGUGUUGCAUUUGUAGACAAAAUCCGGUACGUGCAUAGGGAUGUGAUUCCGUGAGGGCGACCACAAACAGGCAAUACCACAGUUUUAGCCUCGUUUUAUGCUGGAUGAGAUUGUGAAUGAUUUUUGUGCUUUACCUUCCAGAUUAAAAUAUCGAUAUCACGUUGCGAGCCACCAUAUAUUGAGACUGGGGAGAUGCUGCCACCGAUGGCGAUCUGAUUGUUUGUCUGAAUGAACCCUGGGCAGCCUAGGUUGUAACAUCCUGUUUGGUGGUAUGCAUCACGCUACAAUAUGCCGCAGCAAUAGAAAAUUAAUAAACAUGUGUUCCAUUCCUCAACUUAAUAAACAUGUGUCUAGUAUUUCAAAGGAAUGUGAUGUUUGUCUUACGGUCCAGUAGAUGAAGAGCCUAGUAUUACUAUCAUGAUACCUCCCUGGGUAAACCUGCAAUUUUGUAGAGCACAGAGCCAUUAGCCACUACUAUACAAUGAAAGAGGUUGCACAACUUAUUAGUGCAUCGUUACAAGAACCUUUAGAUCGUAAAACAGUGUGAUUUAGCCAUAUAUAAAGAUUUUUAGAAAAAGUUCUCUAUGCUUUUCGACAGGCCAUUAGUUCCUAAAAACAGUGAUGUUAGCGUUACAACUAAUGAAAGAAACUUUUUUGCAUGAAUGGAGAAUUGACGGAACUUCUAAUCUUUGAUGAAGGUGUGUUUAUGUUUUCCCCUUCGUGGUAUCACCUGCCAUCCUGCUUCAAUGGUAUUGAGAUCAUUGCCUUGAUAGGACCCCCCUGUGAUCCAUAGUUGGGCCAGGCUGAAGCCAUUGCCCCUCUCAAUCGUUGGUUGCCACAAAUUAAUGGUGGCUUUUGUUCCGUAGUAUUUGUCAACCAAUGCAGACGCUACAGCAUGCUGAUCAAUGAGAGAGCAAACAAAUUGUUUAAGCAAUGUCAGAAAUGAUACUACAAAUCCAAAAUGAAGAUUGGUAAUAAUAUGAAGGUGAUUCUCGAAUGAUGUUUUGUACCAGGUGACCAAUUGUUGCACUAGCGUCAGGGUCAUCAACAGAAACAAGUUUUGGGAUGCUCCCAGGUCUCUUCUUGCCAUACCUCUUGAUAGAGCUGGCCCUCAGCACUUCCUCCUCCUUGGUCCUUCGGAUCGGUAUGGUGUUUUCAGGGCACUUGCCAUUCUGAUGCCAUAAUUGGGUAAUUGGUUGUGUUUCAAUUUUGGAGUCAUCAUAUAAACCACCAGGGUGAUAAGAAGGCCGCAUCUGAAAGGUUACAAGUUGGGGGCACCAUUGAGUGAUAUCAUGAUACAUGUGUUUGUAUGGUGGUGGUGAGGGCACUGGUACAUGUGUUUGUAUGGUGGAGAGGUACCUGGAUGGUAUGGUUCUUGAGGAAAGGAUGAUCGAAUGCAGGCUGUUUGGAAAUGUGCACACAGUCUAUGAUAUCUCCAUCUGGGCUCUAUUAAUUUCGCAGUAUCAGUAGUUGCAACAAAGUUUAUAGAAAAUAUAAUAACAUCUAUAAUAAAAAAUAAAUAUACUUUGAAGACAUAUAUUUUAUUGUGGAUCUAAUAAAACUAGAUGUUAUAUAUGUUGUCUGUUGAUGCUUAGGUUUUUUUCGACAAGCUUGGUCAAUGUGAGAGAAAUGUUUUUAGAUACUGGAAGCAUGACACAGGUUUUAUGCCGAGUGCCAGGGGCACUCGGCAAAACCUGAAAUACUCUCGGCAACGACUUCGCCGAGUGUUACACUCGGCAUCUGGCACUCGGGAAAUUUUGUGUCGGCAAAGUAAUAUUCGCCGAGUGUUUUCGGUCGGGCACUCGGCACAGCUUUCGCCGAGUGCCCCGAAAACACUCGGCAAACCUUUUUUUGGAAAAAAAUAAAAAAAGCACGCCGACACCCGUCGGCCGUACCACAGCACGCCGCCGCCGCCAGCCACCAUCCCCGCCUGCCGGCCACCAUCCAAGCCCGCCGCACGCCGACACCCGUCGGCCGUACCACCAGCACGCCACCGCCGCCGCCGCCGCCGCCAGCUGCCAUCCACGCCCGCCGCACGCCGACACCCGUACCACCAGCACGCCGCCGCCGCCGCCAGCUGCCAUCCACGCCCGCCGGCCACCAUCCACGCCCGCCGCCGCCACCAUCCACGCCCGCCGGAUCCGGAGCCCCCGACGCGAGACCCCGCCGGAUCCCGGGGCCCCGGGCGCGAGUCCCCGCCGGACCCGGCCGGAUCUGGGAGAGGGGCGGGGCGGCCANNNNNNNNNNNNNNNNNNNNNNNNNNNNNNNNNNNNNNNNNNNNNNNNNNNNNNNNNNNNNNNNNNNNNNNNNNNNNNNNNNNNNNNNNNNNNNNNNNNNAAGCAACAGCACGUCCCACCUAUAAACUCAUCACAUACUCAACAUGGCCCUUUGCAUGCUGGGGCUGAUAUGAUCGGCCCACUCCCAACAGCCCCAGGAGGAUUCAAUCGAGUACUCAUCGCUAUCAACAAAUUCACCAAAUCGAGCACUCGGGCGGGGGCAGGGGGCGGAGGACGGUGGGAGACGCGGAAGAAGUUAAGGAGACGGAGCGGAAGAAGUUAAGGAGGACGGUGGAAGACUUGGGCACUCGACCGAGCGCUAGAUAUUUUUUUGCGGGUUUUGCCGAGUGUCUGAUCGGGACACUCGGCUAAGAUUUUUUUAAAAAUAAAAAAAAAUUCUUUGCCGAGUGUCCACCCUAGGACACUCGGCAAAGUUUUUUAAAAAAAAUAAAAAAAUAUCUAACAGUUUCGAAAAAAUACCAAAUUUUCACACAAAACAAUAUAUAUUCUCUACUGACUAUACAAAAAGUUUUGUAGUCAAACCGAACUCGACCGUCACUUCGACUCUAAAUUUUAUCGAAUCCUUCUCAAAAUUACUAUUCUUCUUCUCAGAUGCUUCGGUUUGUAAUCAUCGUACAUGAUGAAAUGUGCAAAACCUUCUCAAUUUUUUUCCACAGCCUCCACAUAUUAUAUCAUCACAUCAUGACAAAUCUCAUGAUUUUCAGACUUUGCUUGUUUUUUUUACAAUUUAAAAAUACUACUGCCGCACGUUCAUGGUCGUGUUUCCUGAACAAGAUGUUCGAAAUUUCUUUUCAUUUCAUGGGUCACGUCUCAAAUUGGGCCAAAUAACAUGAAUAUCAUUUUUCUACUCAUUUUGUUCCAUAAUUUGAAUCACUUGCAGUUCAAAUUUGACUUAUACCAAAAAUUCCCUUGAAAUGCAAUUAAUUAAAUAAAUAUAGCAAAUAAAUUCAAAAAUAUACCAAAUUUUAACAUGGAGUACCACAUGUUGUAUGUGGGGAGUAGAAAAAAUUUCAUGGUGAAAAAAGGAAAAAAAUAUUUUUUUGCCGAGUGUCAAAAAAAACACUAGGCAAACCCCCCUGUUUGCCGAGUGUUUUUUUUGACACUCGGCAAACCCCCCUUUUUGCCGAGUGUUUUUUUUGACACUCGGCAAAGAGGGGGCUUUGCCGAGUGUUUUUUAUUUGACACUCGGCAAAGUCCCGAUUUGCCGAGUGUUUUUUUUUUGCCGAGUGUUUUUGGCUUGGCACUCGGCGAAGAGCUUGUUUGCCGAGUGCUCGAAAAAAAACACUCGGCAAAAAAAAUACACUCGGCAAAUUUAAGAUUUCCCGUAGUGAAGAUAACAUUCCGGCUUCAGACUUUUUUUUCAAAACUACAUCAAACCACAAACAUUACAAAGGGGUACAUAUUCCAGGAAAAUAUGUAGCCAAGACAUAAGAUCUGAUUUACUAAAAAGAAAUAAUAAAAUACAAGAAAAAGAUUCAAAAUCUCUAACAAGCUAUUAAAGUGAAUUAUAAUUAGUAACAGAGGGAGUACAUAAUCUAUAUCCAAGAUAAAAGACGACGGACAGGUCGGUCAUUACCUGAAUGCUGGCGAGAGGAGGUUUGUUGAGCCGCCUGAGAAGGUUUUGCACCUGCCACCGCCGCUGCCCGCCUGCAGUCCCCGCCGCUGCACCCUCCAUGAAGAGAAAGGCGAGAGCCACAACGAAGCAUGCUCGCGUAGUCACUGCCAUUAGUCGCUCCAACGAAACAGGCGAGAGCUAGUGAGCUACCCUGUUGGUGUUGGUUUUUGGUAGCUUCGGCUGGUAGGUGUGUUAUAACAAGGCCGGCCUUGGCUCUGCCGUAUUUUUGGGGCGUCAAAGUCUUUUCAACACUUCACUUGUGGAGGUUCUAGGAAAGGAUUCUGCAGUUUCGUGGAGCCGUGGGUGGAUUCUUGGUCUUUGUCGAUACGUCGAAGGCGACGGGUAACAGAACCGGUCGAGCUAGUUGACCGUUGUUCACACAGCAAUAAUGCAUGUGUUGCACGCCCUAGCCUGUUUCAUGCAUUCAGACACGUCCUCAUUUCCUUUUCCUCUGAUUAUUGAAACAGAAGCAAAGGGAAAAAAAAAAGCUUGACCUGCAACGCAUGUUUGACACGUCCUCAUUUCCUUUUCCUCUGAUUAUUGAAAUAGAAGCAAAGGAAAAAAAAAAGCUUGACCUGCAACGCAUGUUUGGAAUGCGAAGAAAUGUUCGAUCCUCCAAUCUGAAAAGCUUGACGCGCAAGGCAUGCACAUGGUGUGCCUAACGUACAGAGGACGGUUUCCCUUGAGGCACCAUAAUCAUUCAAGUCUCCGUUGCUCGCCGUCAAUUCGCACCUGGUGACAUCGCUUUCCAGAAGAUAGUAACAUUUAUCCUUGUGCCCGUUUUUUACCUUUCCAAAAAAAGAAUCUAAACAUUUUAUAAUUUAAAUCAAAACAUAUAGAAAAUAUGUUUCUAUGAGGUUUAGAACUUUUACCAGAUAGUAUCGUCAAAGCGAUUGGCUCUGGAGAUGGGACUUGCCGUCGUCAUAUAUAUGUGCAAUUCAGAUCAUCGAGACGGAGACUCACCUAGCGACGACGAGCCGACAAAUCACGUAUGCGUACAGCACCACUGGUUACCAGAGAGCAUAUGGUUUAUACGUGCAGCAUACAACACCACAGACCCUGUUGACGCUGCAACGUAUGGUCGAGGUCGACUCUCCGUCAUCUUGCCCGACUCCGAUCGACUUUGACCAUCUAAUGGCGAAAUUCCAGAGAGAAGACCACGCAAUGCCGCGUCCGGCGAGAAAGCGAUACAUCUUGGUUUGCCAGUCCAAGUCUUCGAAGGAACUAUAGCACAGCGUUUUUCCGUUUUCAGAUUGUUCUGGGUGAUUGGGACUUGUACAACGCUCACCACUCGACUUCCUGCUGCUUGGGAAGUCUUAGGCAACUACACAAGCGUGUGAUUCGGUCUCAAGUGUUGCAUGCUGUACAAACCAUACUGAGCUCUUGUUUACUUUGCGAAUUUGGAAGGUGCCAAAUUACUGUAGCAACACUGUAGCGUUUCGUUUGUAUUUGUGAAUUAUUGUCCAAAUAUUGACUAAUUAGGCUCAAAAGAUUCGUCUCGCAAAGUACAAUAAAACUGUACAAUUAGUUUUUGAUUUCGUCUACAUUUAGUACUCCAUGCAUGUACCGCAAGUUUGAUGUGAUGGGAAAUCUUCUUUUUGCAUAGUGUCAAAGUUGGGAGUUUUGUAGGAAGUGAACAAGGGCUGAUUCAAAAAGUAGCAGUGCAUCUACACACUACACUGAAAUCAAAGUUUGCUGCACUGCACCUCAGUCGAUAGUCGUCGUCCAUUGAAUACAAACCAGCCUAGUGGCAUCGAUCAAUGUCAUGUGUUGAUCUCAGCACUAACCUAAUAACUCAGAAAAUGUUGUGCUGAGCCUAGACGAGCUGACCCAAUCUGACCCAAUCUGGCAUGGUCGAGGCCAACUCAAUUAAGACAGUUUUUCUCCGACACUCCCAAGGAAAAAUGUUUCACGGAGAAAAAUUAAUGUUCCAUGGACAAGGAAAAAACUGAGUACACAAUCACAUUUAUUUAUUUCAUGGAAGUAGUUAUUUUGAGCUCUAAAGAUCUCAUGGAUGUACUAUGUCUUGACAAUACACUUAUCCGCAGUGCAGAUACAGUUGGAAUAAUGUGAAGAAUCGGUACUCUUAGCCUAAGAGAGGAAGGAGGUGAAUUAGACAACUUAAAAACUUAACCUAUGACUUCCACUACUUUGCAUCAAAAUAUAAACUAGAUCAUGCUAUCUAUAGUUGAUCUAGUGUGAAACACUCAUCCCAAAAUAACUUUUGCAACCUAUAGCGAAUCCUAUCAAGAUAAUACUUUAGGAAAGUAAAGGCACACAAGUUGCAAGUAUGAAAUGCGAAAACGUAAAGAGGGGACGAGGGGAAGCAAACUCUUGACACAAAGAUUUAUCCCGUGGUAUCGGUAGGCACUAAGCCACCAGUAGUCCAUGUUGUUGAAGUACUCAAACAAGAGUAUUGCUUCCUGGUCACCAAGUCUCUCCCAAGGUGCCCCUUGACUUGCUACAAAAGCUCGGCCACUAAGGCUCACACCAAGUCCCUUCAGUCACCUUGAUGUUGUCUUCACUAAGGAGCUUCUCCAUGAAGGAAGGGGUCUCCACGUCCCCACAUAAGGUCGUCGACGCCGCUCUACACCAAGCUGGAGGGUCGAAGACUUAUCGGCGAGCCACCAAGGCUCUAAGGCACUGGCACACCUCUUGUACAGCGGUGGUUCACUCUAGAACCUGAUCACUAGGUCGGCACACCUUGCACUCACUCCUCUCUAGGCAUAUCCUAGCACUAAUUACUCUCCUAAGAUUGCACUAAGCCUUUGAUGGAUCACUUAAUCACUUUUGGUGGCAUGGAUGUAUUUUUGAUGAGUCUUGGUCUUUAAUGCAUCCCUGGACACUCCAGCAACUCUAAAUGAGUGAGUGGUGAGGGUAUAAAUAGCCCCAAGAGCUCAAAGAGCCGUUGCUCCAAUGGCUAGUAAAAAAGAUACUAUCGGAUAUUCCGAUGAUCUAUUUUUGACCUGCAUCAGAAUAUCAGGUGCAACUAGCCAUUGGCUCCCCACACACAAGUUCCUUAGGAAUUCAUUCGACACUUUAUUCGAUGCCCUAAUCGGAUCAUCCGGUACCACUGUUCACGUCACACAGCUGUUGGAUCCCCUUGAUGUCAUUGCUCCAACACUUUCUAAGAUGGUGCCGUUGGAUCAUCCGAUGCUGAAGGAUUUUUGACCAAAAUCUCUCUGGAACUUCUCAAAGAAAAUAUGCUUCGUCCGAUGGUCAACUCCAUAGGGUAUCGGAACAUCUGGUGCUACAGGGUUUCCUCUUCCUCCUCAGCAAAUUACUCCGACGCUUGUAAAAUUACCUCCAUUGGAUCAUCCGGUGCACUCGAGAUUUUUCCCUAUUUGUACCCAUUGCUCCAAUGGUUGCUCCGACACUUCUUAGGUGGGGCAUCAAAACAUCUGAUGGUGUAUUUUUUAUUCCAAUUCAUCCAAUGCAAGCACCAAAGAUACCGUCAUUUGGAACUUGACGUGAGGUUGUGACCAUGUUGUUAAUUCGGGGGUGGCCACCGUGUUGUUUCGAUUCUAGUUUCGUCCAUGAAAUUUUGGUCAAACUAUAUCCGUUUCUUUGCGGGCGACACAUGCAUGUACAUGUACUAGACGUCACCCGUGUCUGUUAAUUAAUUUCCGUACUUGUCAUUUGGGUAACCGUAACCGAGUGUUUUUCUGUAGCAGUGAAUUCUUCAUGUUUACUAUGUAAUAUGCUCUUCGAUCUCACUGCGAGUUUAGUUAGGAUGCCAAUUAAUUAAUAUACCUCAAUGCUCUUGAGAGGAGCCUUGUUGACCCGCCGGAGGAAGCUUUGCACCUGCCUCAGGCGCUGCACCGACGAUGCUCCUCCGGCGGUCGUCCCCGACGCCGCCGCCAUUGCUGUUGGCCCCUCAAAGGAGAAGAGCAGCGCGAGAGCCACGACGAGCGCGACCAAGCACUCUCGCUUUGUAGUCGCUGCCAUUGAUCAAGCUGCUAGCGUGUAUUGCCUUACUAAAUCUGGCUGUGCUGUGCUGUGUACGUUCUGCAUGCAGCUGGGCUUUUAAAGGGGUUGAGAGUGACUGAGUGAGUGGAGACGUCUCGGUCGAUGUGGCUGCUAAUAACGUGCUUGUUGGAAAGGUAGGAGCACCACCGCGCUCGUGCAGGUGGUGGUGGAUUCUUCGAAGACGUCGCAGGCCAGUUGCAUGCAUUACAUAUACAUAUUGGGUUAGUUCCGGCCCAACUAUGUAUCUUUGUGUCAAUCUUUUUAUUUAAUUUUAGGUAAUGAAUUCAAAAAAUAUUUUUAUAUUUUCAAUCAUUUUUUUUGAAAUAUAUAUAUAUAUAUUCUCCAAAAUGCGUCGUACGUACGUGUGCAGUAUUUACGGUACGGUGGGAGUGGCGGCCGACGGCGACGACCCUGUGCAAGAUGAUGUCGCCGCGCCCAUAUACGACGCAGCAGCGUGCAUGCACCAUCUCAUAUGUCAUCGUCAGUGGUUGACAUUCACUAAGGGAGGAUAAAUCGCCGUGCAACGACCGCCACAGCAUUACCAUAUCCGUUCGGUCAAAGUGUGCGCCAAGAUGAAUUGGAUCACUCUUUCUUAUUAUUUUUUCUUUGUUGAUGAGAUGAACCCGAUACUAUUUCUGUUCUUCCACCCUUCCCAGUGCAACAAGGAGAUGCAUUCGAUCGCUAACCAUACAUGCAUGCACUGGGCCCUUGGCGAGCAGUGGAGAUCACAACCAAAUUCAUUUUAAUGCAAAGCGGGGGCCUGGGCCUGGCAGACCUACUUCGCGGUCUGUGAAAGUGAGAGGCACAAUUGGAUGGAUGGAACGCCGUGACCUUCUCCUGGCCGGCAAUGCGUGUUAAUAUAGGUGAGGAAACUCCCCUCACUUGGAUUACAAGUUGUGAUUCGGCUGGAGAUAGAGAUACAAAUUACAACAGCCUUAUCUACAAGAUUCUACUCAACAAACCUAUCCAGCCAAACCCAACAUACCGCACACAUGUUUGUUACAAUUUAUUGUUACAGAUAUAUCUAACAGCCCCCUCAAUCAUAACCGAGUGAGGUUAAGAUUGUGCUUAAAGUUCUCUAGCUCUGCCAAGGCUUUAGUAAACCCAUCAGAAACUUGAUCUCUGGAUGGAACAAAAUCUAUUUCCAACAGAUUUCUGGCAAUAUGUUCCCUCACAAAAGAUAGUCUACCUCGAUGUGUUUAGUCCUUACAUGAAACACCGGAUUUGCAGACAUGUUUGGCUCUCAUGUUAUCACACCACAACUAUGCUUUGGCCAGACUUUGUAAACCAAUUUCUUUCAACAAAGUCUGAACCCAUAUGUUCUUUGCAGUAGCAUUAGCUAUUGAUUUAUAUUCAGCUUCUGCGCUAGAUCUUGACAUAGUGGCUUGCUUUCGAGCACUCCAAUAAAUCAAAUUCGAACCCAAGAAAAUUGCAAAACCACCAGUAGACCUCCUAUCAUCUAGUGAUCCUACCCAAUCAGCAUCUGUAAAACCACUAACCAGCAUUGAGUCUGAUCUCCUGACCUUUAAGCCAAUCUUAGUAUUAUAUUUCAAAUACCUCAAUAUUCUCUUCACAGCCGCCCAAUGCUCAACAAUAGGAGAGUGUAGAAACUGACAUACCUUGUUAACUGAGAAGGCUAUAUCAGGUCUGAUAAGUGUUAGAUAUUGAAGUGCACCAACAAUACUUCUAUAUUGUGUAGCAUCAUUUGCACCCAAAGGAGUUUCUUCAUAGGCAAAUAACUUCUCACUUGUUGACAAGGGAGUACUUAUUGGUUUGCAAUCUGACAUGUUCACCUUCUUUAAUAAAUCUGAAGCAUACUUGUCUUGUGUCAGAACAAUACCAUCUCUUACUUUAUUUACCUCUAUGUCCAAGAAAUAAUGAAGCUCUCCUAGAUCCUUCAAAGCAAAAUCUUCCUUUAGUUUAUUCAAUAACCUAGUUGUUGCUUCCUGAGUAGAGCCUGCCACAAUAAUAUCAUCAACAUAUAUCAACACAAAAACAAUUAUAUUUCCUUUACUGAAAUAGAAUAGAGAUAUAUCAGCCUUAGAAGAUAUAAAACCACGACCAAUCAACUUGGAACUUUGGUGUGCAUACCAUGCACGUGGUGCCUGUUUCAAUCCAUAAAGAGCCUUGUCUAAUUUACACACAAAAUUUGGCCUUGCCUUGUCUCAUAUCCUGGAGGUUGCCUCAUAUACACUUCCUCUUCAAGAAUACCAUGUAAGAAAGCAUUUUAAACGUCUAGUUGCCUUAGACUCCAUCCUCUUGAGACAGCUACUAAAAGAAUUAAUCUGAUUGUAGCAAUAUUCACAACAGGGCUAAACGUGUCUUUAUAAUCUAUCCCAUGUCUUUGUUUGAACCCCUUAGCUACUAAACGGGCUUUAUAUCUAUCCAAGCUCCCAUCAAAUUUUAACUUGGUUUUGUAAACUCACUUGCAAUCAAUAAUGUUGGUGCCUUUCUGGGGAGGAACUAAAUCCCAAGUCUUGUUUCUAAUCAAAGCAUCAUUGAAAGGAUCUUGUGAUGCCUAAGGAGGGGUGAAUAGGCUCACUUCAAGUUUUUUCUGAAAAACUUUGCAGCGGUAUUAGAUAUGUCAGAACUUCCGACGCUAUGUUAAAACUUCCGGUAUAGGGUCGAAACUUUUAACAAUAGAAAGUGAGCUGACCGAAAUUCAAAAUGAAACCUGAAUCUACCAAUUCUACUUAAAUCAAAAGAUAAUAAAUGAAGUGUAGAGACUACUGCAGGUAAUAGAUAUGCAAGGAACCACACAAAUUUAUAAAUCGGCUUAAAUCAAGCUUCUAGGUCAAUAUGAACAUGACGGACACAAUAAGCACACGAGACAAGGAUUUAUUUUCCGAAGUUCACUUCCACAAAGGAAGCUGUGUCUCCAUGGAGGAUCUCACAAAGAGCCAGGUCCUCGCUAACCCUUUAUCUCCCUCAUCAACCACAAAGGAGGAUUGAGGUACUUACUAUGAAUCUACAAAGGAUGGGUAAUACAAAUGUUCCCGGGCGCACCACACAAAGAGGAUGCUCAAACGGGCGACUUGCCUAGCUGUCUUGAAGCAAGCUUCAAGAGUAACAAACGCGAAUCGAUGGCCGAAGAUGCUUGGAGUGCUCUUGAGAUGAAUUUGUUGGACCUCACACCCAAAUCCUCAAGACUCACACAUUCAACCUUACUCUCACCCAAUCCCUAGCUCAAACUCUCAAGGAUUUAGCUCAAAGGGGAGUAAGGGAGGAGUAUUCAAUGCUUGGGGGCUGUUUUAGCUCGAGUUGUUCAACAGCAAUGGAUGGGGGGUAUCUAUACCCCAGCCCCUAAAACUAGCUGUUACUGUAUAUUUAUGUGCUUGUUGGAACUUCGACACAGGGUUGGAACUUCCAACAUAGUUAGAUUAAAACGGCUGAGAGUCUCUCCUCGGAAGUUUCAAAAAAUAUCCAGUGACUGUUAUCGAAACUUCCAACACAUCAUCGGAACUUCCGAUGCUAUCAGAUAAAAUCGGGCGAGGACCCCUGGUCGGAAGUUUUUGAAUACUUCCAGCUAGUAUCGGAACUUCCAACCUUCUGUUGGAACUUCCAACACUCAGAGAAAAUGUGAGAACACAAGUAUGUAAGUGAGUAAGUUGUGUCUCUCAAUGGGUGGUUAACAUCUCAAAACAAGCACUUUAGCAUCUUCAAGCUAUCCAUCUGCACCCCCUUUAUAGUACGACAUUCCUAUACUCAAAUUCAAAAUUAGAAAUCAUAGAAAAGUCUUCUUUUGAGCUCAACACCGUUCUUUCUUUGAAAUUUGGGGGUUCUUGAGAUUCCUUUCAUAACCUUUGCACUUCUUUAGAAUUAAAACCUAUUAAUCACUACAUAAAAUUAUUAGUCCCUUAACCAUGCAUGUCAUCAACACCAAAACCCACUUAGGGGGCCAAAUGCACUUUCAAUCUCCCCCUUUUUGGUGAUUGAUGACAACACAAUUAGGGCUCACAUGAGAUAUAUAAACAUUUUGAAUCCAACUAUAUAGGUGACCUCCCCCUUAACAUGUGCAUAGAAAAUAAAAAUGGCCUCAAAUGCCAUUUGCACAUAUUAAGUGAGCUCCUCCUAUAUCCUUGCAUUCGUGGGGUGCAAAGGUGUGACAUGUAUAUCAAGAAUACCAUGUAAGAAAGCAUUUUAAACGUCUAGUUGCCUUAGACUCCAUCCUCUUGAGACAGCUAUUGAAAGAAUUAAUCUGAUUGUAGCAAUCUUCACAACAGGGCUAAACGUGUCUUCAUAAUCUAUCCCAUGUCUUUGUUUAAACCCCUUAGCUACUAUACGGGCUUUAUAUCUAUCCAAGCUCCCAUCAGAUUUUAACUUGGUUCUAUAAACUCACUUGCAAUCAAUAAUGUCGGUGGCUUUCCGGGGAGGAACUAAAUGCCAAGUCUUGUUUCUAAUCAAAGCAUCAUAUUCAACAUCCAUUGCAUCCUUCCAAGCUUUAAUACUCAAGGCUUCUUCUAAAUAUUAAGGUUCACCACUAGAAGUAAAAAGAUUGCUGUAUUGAAUAGUACCAUAUGUAUAUACCUUGGUUUUCUUAUCCCGUCUUGUAGACGGGUGCAGCAUGAUGAAGUUUGAGUGGCUGGAGGUGCUUAUGGAGCUAUCACAGAUGAUCCUGGAGGAGCAGAAGAUCCCAAAAGCUCCAAUCCCGGAGGAGAUCCUGUUGUAGGUGCGUGAAUAAGGUAGGGAUGCGGUUCCCCCUUGCGCUCCGACGCCAGACGCGUGGCGUCGUGCGACUGGCUCGUCAUUGGAUCGCCACCAGGCGCUAUCGGGUUUGCACGUGGAGUGGGGCACGUGGCGCAGCCUAGUUGGGGCGGAUCAGCACUAGUAGGAGGGGCUGCCAUAGACCUUGCAUACGCUGAUUCCAACGGCGAUUCGGUUGGAUCAGCCACCAAAUGUUCCUAGAUUCCAGCCCUAGAUCCCCUGCAGCUGGUUCAACCUACACAGGCUUGGUUUCUUCACAAAAAUCACCACCAUUAGUCAUAUUACGCAUAUGAUCACCUACAUAUUCAUCCCCAGAACUUGGAUUCUGUAGAUAGGAAGGGAGGAGAAUUAUCUGUGAUCUGAGACAUGGUCCAGCAUUGGCGUGCAUGCUAGAGAAAGGGAAAACAUUCUCAUCAAAUAUAACAUCACAGCAAAUAUAGAUGCGCCCUGUGGAUCUGUCAAGGCACUUAAACCCUUUAUGGAUGUUGCUAUAGCUAAGAAAGGUGCAUUGCUUAGAGCAAAACUCAAGUUUAUGCUUAUUAUAUGGGCGAAGAUGCGGCCAACAUGCACAACUGAAGGCUCUCAAGGAGGAAUAAUCUAGCUUGGUGUGGAACAAGCAUUCUAGAGGUGUUUCAAAAUUGAUAACUCGGCUAGGAGUUCGAUUAACGAGGAAUGUAGCUGUGAGAAAAGCCUCGUCCCAAAAUUUUAGAGGCAUGCUUGCAUGAGCCAACAAGGACAAGCCUACAUCUACAAUAUGCCUAUGCUUACACUCAGCUGAACCAUUUUGUUGAUGCGCAUAGGGACAUGAUACAUGAUGACAGAUGCCAAGUUUGGCGAAAAAAGAGUUAAGAUUAUCAUAUUCACCACCCCAAUCUGAUUGAACUGCAAGGAUUUUUCCAUCAAAAAGUCGCUCAACAAGAGAUUGAAAUUCAUGAAACUCUUGAAACACCUCAGACUUGAAUUUUAACAAAUAAAUCCAAGUCAAUUUGCUGAAAUCAUCGAUAAAACUAACAUAAUAUUUAAAUCUCCCAACUGAAUGAGGUGCUAGACCCCAAACAUCAGAGAACACAAGCUCCAAAGGAUGACUAGAGACACUGGUAGAUUUGGGAUAUGGCAACUGAUGACUCUUUGCUUGUUGACAAGCAUCACACACCGAUUUUUUAUUCGACUCAAAACAAUAAUUAAGAUUAUGACUCUUAAGCACCCUUUCAACAAUGGGCAUUGUGAGGUGACCUAAACGACUAUGCCAUCUAUCAAGAGAUGUUUUAUUGUCUCCAAGAACUUGCUUUGUAGUUGCUGUGGGGGGAAGAGGAUAAAGCCCUCUUUGACAUGGUCCUCUAAGCAGAAUGCUCCUCGUGUCCCGAUCCUUUAUGCAAAAGAAAUUAGGGUGAAACUCCAAAAAGACAUUAUUAUAAGAUGCUAGAUGGUGAACAGAAACGAGAUUCUUUUGAGUAGAUGGGACAUGGAGAAUAUUGUGCAAAUUGAGAGGAUGACUAGGGGUAUGAAUAGUAGAUUGACCAAUAUGACUAUUAUGCAUACCUAUACCGCUGGCAGUGUGGAUCUGUUCAACACCAUUGUACUUGUCAUGGACGGCCAACUUCUCUAGCUCUCCAGUAAUGUGACCAAUAGCACUGGUGAGUUUGUUGCUGCAGCUGUGAUGUGAUGCUCUUCAGGCACGAAGUCAUCUUCGAACCUUAGACAACUAUAGGGAUACGAGGUAAGCUACGCUAGCACAAAACAAAAACUUUCUACCGCAUAAACCAGGAAAACUGUCGUAUAUGAAUCACGGGAUUACCACUCGAUGCACUGGUGCGGAAGAUGUAGAAUCGUGUCGGGGCAGCGAAGUGGACCAGCGUAGUUGAACACGUAGUCGAUCACAUCGAUGUCGAGUAGCUCCUCAGUAGCUCGUCCACGUGCAGCUCGUCGUGGCUCAUCGGCGGCUCAUCGUGGCUCGUCCAAGUGCUGCAAGUGCAGCACCUCCAAGGUAUCCACACGUGCAGGGAGGAAGCGUCACAAGCCGGACUGGUAGGUUCGUGAGUUGCAACAGGGCGAGGCCGUGGGAGGCGUGGCAGGUGUGUUUUUGGCCAAAGGGAUGAAACCCUAGGGCGCCCCACCCCUCUAUUUAUAGAGGUUCCUAACAGGCCUCUGGGUCCGAGGCCCAUUAGUACUUCUAAACCUGAUACAACUCGGAUCAUAUCCGAAUUGGGCUUCCAACCCCUUAAGUGCGUGACCCUAUGGGUUCGGAUAUGUAUAGACAUGGCCCGAGUACUCCUACUCAGCCCAAUAGUCAGUAGCAGCCUCUAGCAUGACGUGCCAACUCCUAUACACACACGAAGAUCAUAUCAGACGAACCGUCACAACAUCAUGUACAUGCUAUUCCCUUUGCCUCACGAUAUUUGGUCUAGCUUCAAGCUGACCGCUCUUUCUUGAACUCUUAACCGUACGUAGCAUGGCCAUGCAUUUUCGGAUCCGAUGACUCGAGCGGCCCAGAGAUAUCACUCUUAAUCAAAGAGGGGCAAAUCCCAUCUUGAUUGACUAUGCCUCACAGCAUGCUUCCUGACAAACCCGAAAGCUACCUUUUUAACUAUCCUAUUACGGUGUAGCAUUUGAUAGCCCCUAAGUAAGUCGAUCCACAUCUUGAGUACAUGCGACAAUCUCUGGUCUAAGGAGAAAGCAUACUUGUUGUGUAAAGAGAGAACUACUUCUCAUGUUGGGUCAGUCUUAGCACAUGUCUCUACAUACGCCUACAUUAUUAGUUUGAUAUGUCCAUGUCCAUGACUUGUGAAACAUAGUCAUCAACUAAUACAUGUACUAGUCUAAUAUUCAUGUGUGUCCACACAUGAACUCCGACUAGGGACAACUUUUAGAAUAACCAUACUAGUAAAGAGUUCCACAUACAAUUCACAUAAUUGCAGAUCAAUUCAAGUAGCCUUUAAUGGAUAUUCAAUGAACACAAUAUACAAAUCAUGGAUACAAUCAGAUAUCAUCAUCUAUAUGAUAUCCUCUAGGGCAUACCUCCAACAACAACACCUGUCCGCAAUAUGCCCAUACUUGAGGCAGACUUGGCACUAAGGGUGUAAGGAAGAGUUGUUGUUGCCACCACGAUGUGGAGGGUUGUUGUUGUAGCCGCACCCCAUGACAAUGCCCUGACGCGCGGUGUUGCUGCUGGUGUUGUUGUUGCCGUUGCCGCGGUCAUUGCCUCGACCACCUACGCCACUGCGAUCGUGGCCAUUGCUUCUGCCACGGCCGUCGCCAUGGCUGCCCCGGUUGGCCAGAUUGGCUGACGAGCCAGAGCCGCUUCCUCCGCUAGUGAUGAGCUCCAUGCAUGUUUCAAACGCAAGGAGCUGGGAGUAGAGCUCAUCCACUAAAACAAGCUCUGGUCUAGCAACCAGAGCGGAGAUGAUCGGGUUGAAGUCGAAGUCGAGGCCCGUGAGUAUGUACUCCACGAGCUCAGAGUCUUCAAGUGCUCUCCCAGCAGUAGCCAUCUCAUCACCAAGAGCAUGCAUCUUGCCUACAUACUCAGCAAAAGAUUGGUUACCUUUUGAAGCAGUGGCAAGUGCAAGAUGGGUGUUGAUGGCGCGUGCCCUUGUCCUGGACGCAAACAUCACUUCAAUUGCCCCCCAUAGCUGUGAUGCAGUCUCCCUUGUAGACACUUGAGGAAGGACUUCUCUUGUCAGCAAGGCGAGGAUGAACCCAGAACCUGCUGAUCUGUGGCGUACCUGUGAUGACCGACCCCAAAUCUUUCAAGUUAAUCAACUCCGAGUCCCUAAUCCCCCUCUCAGUUACCCGAGUUGAGUGCUCACCCUCAGUUCUGGUCCCGACCCCCGGUCCCAACCCCAGAGAUCCGACCCCUCUCCGUUGGUUCCCCGUUCCGACCCUGCCGACCCCAAACCCAUACCGCCAGAUCCUUCUAAGUCUUCCCACAAUAUCUCUUUUCAAUCUGAGCAGUGGACCAACCGAGACUGACCGAUGGGCCCACAAAAUCUUUUCCCCAGAUCUUCCGAGACAGACGCACUCGAGUAGCAUGCCUGCCUCAAAGCUUCUCCGCCGCGUGGCUCAACUUCUCCGACACCCGCCGCUCCGCCUCGUCGCCGGCCACGACUGGAUGGAUUCUCGCGCCCCCUUUCCCAAUCGCAGCGGAAGCUCCUCUGCUACCCUUUCUACAGUACCUCACGGCUCGCGCCCAUCAUCACCCCAUCGGACCCCGGCUGUAGAGCCUGAUGCCUUCCGUCUUUUCCGCCGCCUCUCCACUGUCGCGCCGCCCCUGAUGCGCUACGCGAUGAUUCUUCCUCUGCCAACCCCGACCCCGGCCGCGACAGCUCCUUUUCCGCCCUGUCAGAGCUGCGCCCCCGACAAUCUGUUGCUUCGCGCUCGCCCGCGCGACCGCAGCUUGCCUGUCUUCUCACCUGUGUGCCCUCGCUUCUAGCGCCGUUCCCCCGGUCACUUCCAUCAGAUCCCCCGCACGAUGACGCCCGCCUCCGCCAAAUCUCAACCACCGGCAAAACCAUGCCUGUGCCGCCCUGUCUUCGGUGCCCAAUGGCCGACGGUGUCAUCCCCGAAGUCCUGCUCCGCCGGCCCGCUGCUCAAUCGCCACCCCGGCAGCGCACUCCAUCGCUUCUUCCCGGUCUUCGUGCCGCUCUAACCCUCUUUCCUCCGCGUAGCUAUAUAAGGGAAUACCAGAGCCCCGCCGGAAUCCCCUUCGCCAUCACUGCCCUUCCACCUUGCUCUCUGUUUCAUGCUCGAGCACUACAUCCUAAGUCCCUGAGGAACUCUCCUCUCUGCUUCACAUCCGCCCUUUCCAAUCCACCCAGCCGCUUGCUCCUCCGCAUUGCGCAAGAACUUGCUUGUGGUCCACAAGAAGCACCGCUGCCGCCGGAGCACCGCCGGACGUCACCGCUGCAAAUCUUAGUGCUCCAGUUCCUCCGCCCAAGUCUGCUCUUUCCCGACCCCAAGCUUCACCUGUAAGACGAAAGUAAGCUACCGACCCCUUGUCCGCCUCGUCCGACCCUGUCUGACCACCGACCCCUUUCUCCCUCUCGCCCGACCCUACCUGUUUCGCCGACCCUGCUCCGCCUCGCCUGAGGGCACGGCUGUAUCUUUUUCCUUAACCUGAGGGUAUAUGUGUAACAAUCGGGGACUUCUCUGCGUUAAGUCUGAGGACCCCUAGCACAUCUAUUCCUCUAGUCUAAGGGUCAGAUCAUAAGAUUCUUCCCAUCCGACCCUUUUACCUUGUUCUUCUCCAACUCAAGUGAACUUGCUCACUUUUCCCGUAGCCUUGCUACAAAGUUCUGAGCUAGAACUCGCAAGUGUUGCUGUUGAAAUAAUCGUCUAAAUGCUAACCCCUGCAUUGCAUUUCGUGUAGAGUUGCAUCUCGCCAACGGCUUUUACGAGCUGCACCCAGCACCAAAAGACGAAGCUGCAACCGAGCUCCCGCUUCCAGAAGCUGAAGCCGCCCAAGCAGAAGAGCAGCUUUCCCCCUCCUUGUUUGAAGGCAAGCCCCGGAGCAUGAACCCCAGUUUCCCAAACUUGCGCAUGCCUUCUGCAUCUUGUUUGUGCAUUUACGUAUAGGAGUUGUUUGCAACCAUAGAUGCAUGACUUAGAUCCCUAGAGCUGAACACUAGUAUGUUGGGUCCGAGUAGUUGCUAUGCUUAAUAAGGAGCGGUAAAAGCCGAGUGAUUUCCUGUCACUCGCGAGUUGUAGGAGUUGGGUGGUUCUCCUUCUGUUACAACGAUAAGGACGAUGGAUGGGGCAGGGUUUGGUUAACUCUUUGGUGGUCGGCUGAUCGCCCCGUCUGUCUAUGGAACUUGUUAAGGAUCGACAGUGGUGGUGUUCGUGAUCAAGUGUUUGAAAGUACUAACCUCAUACUUAUUAUGGGAUGAGGAAGCCGAGUACCGGAUUGAACCUAGACGUGAGCGGUCGCCCCAUUGUCCUUGGAACGGAGUUUCCCCUGUGGCCACACGUGGUGGUAAGUGUGGUCACAGAACAGCAGAGGCCGGGUCUGUGGAACAUUGCACCAAAGGAAAUGGGCCCGACACGGGUUAUGGAAAUGAUGGGGAAGGCUGAUACAGGAAGCGACCCUCGGUGGUGCGCGGAUGUCGUGAGGUUAGGUUCACCAUGCAUGGUUAAAGAACUCAAAUCGAUUCGUCUGCCUCUCACAGUUUGAGACUACUUGAUCGCUAUGCUACCCUAAGUAAUAAAGGAAUCUGAUGAUGACAUGGUCUCAACGAUGAUAUAUAUACCUUUUGGUUGGUUCUAUGUUUGCUUAGAGUAAGUUGCUAACUUAGACCGGAUAAUGAACUUAGAACCUGAGCUAAAACUUGAAAAUAGGGAUCUACAUAGUGCUUUUGGCAAACAACCCCUCAACCAAAGAGCCUUGCAUGUCUAGAAGUGGUGGAGUAGUUACUCCCGGUUGGUUAAGUCUUGUUGAGCUUAGUAGCUCAGCCUUAUUGUGGCUUUUCUUUUUCAGGUGAAGCCGCUGCUCCCGAGUCUUCUUCUGUUGGCACUUGGCCGCCCCAACUCCCUCCGGGUUGGACGGUCGAGUGGGAUCCUUCCUCGGACGGCGAGGAGAAGGAUCACUAACGUCUUGGCUGGCCUCACCAAGGACGUCCGACCCCCUGCGUUUAGCUUCCGCUGUUUUACCUUCUGUUGUUUCCUUCGAGCUGUGUAAAACUUUGUUUUCGUUUUGUUGUUGAGCUAAAUGGCCAAAUUUGUUUAACUCAGUGGACUUGUUGUAUUCUCUAGAACUGCUCACCUUCGUGUGAGUUUGCUAACUCGGUCCUGUUCAAGUGGUUAAAUCGGAUGAAAUCCGACGGCACUUCGUGUUAACUUGGCUAAGGCAUGAGUGUCGCGUGUUAGGCGGCUUAACCAUGUUUAAUCAAGCUAAUCCGAAGCGGAUCCGCCACAGCUGGUAUCAGAGCAGGUUUAGCAAGAUAGAGAACACAAUAGGCCCUAAAACACUUCUUCUAAAUAAAAGUUGUGUUGACGCCAGAUUUCGUCACAAGUAAAAUCGGCGUCAGGAGAAGAAGAAAUGGGAAGGUACAGUAGAAUACAGGGGUGACAGUUGGAAAUCGGCCGAAUGGCGCUACAGUUAGAGAUCGGUUGGUUGGUGCUACAGUCCAGGAUCGGCCGAUGCUACAGUACAGGAUCGGCCUAUGGAUCUUUAGGAAUUCUGCCUCGCUUAACCCUUGGGGUUUGGAUCGGACACACCUGGUUCCCGAUUGGUUACCUUUUUGCCAAUGAGGAAUCUACCGAUUAGGAGGUUGGAAUAAUUGGGCCGGUGUGGGCUUGGAAAGGAUCAGAAGGAUGAAGAGGAAAUCAGCCCAUGAAGCGUAUAAUAACCAACCUAGUACGAGUCGUGCUUGUAAAUAUUCGUUUUCUAUUUGAAUUAGGGAUAGAGUUCUAGUCAGAUAAGGAGUUUUCUAUACGGGGCUAUAAAUAGCCACCUUUGAAGAUCUGUAAUCAUAUCAACUACUCAAUACAACCAAUUACUAUUUCCUCGUACUUACUUUCAAGCAGGCGACUUCGCCAAAUACUUUCUUCUUUUUCACGAGUUCGUACGGGUUGGCAGGGCUGCAUCAACUUGACCUCCGGCCGAUCUUGUAAGUUCCGUUUACUGAGUAAAUUCUAAGCUUUAACUUCGGGUGCAUCGCUGUUGUUUUAUUUAGAUUUAUUCACUAGUUAUCGAUAUUUACUAGAAUUGUAGGUUUUACCUGUUUUUCUAGUUUUAUCACCAGUUAUCCAGCUAGGAAUCGGCAGUUUUGGUUUUUCUCAUAUUCUGUUGUUUAAUUUACUUAUUCCACGCAUAGCUGAUUAGAUCUGUUCCUAGUGUUGCUACUGUAGCGUUGUACCGAUUACUUCAAUUAGUCGUCGUUCACGCUGCCUGAUAGUCGGCUGCUUCAUAGCCGAUUUCUUUAUUACGGCAAAUCGGCCGAUUCGCUGGUAAGCUCCCUCGAGAUCGGAAAUUUAGCCGAUCGUGACUUUUAGAUCUGACACGUAUUCUUCCUUGCCAAUCAACAGGUCAGAUUGGCUGGCACGCCGCACGAACUGCACCAGGGCAAUCACCCGAACAGGAGUUAAGCAGAUUCUCCCGGGUCGUGUGUCAGACGCUGGGGAUUCGGUUGACCGAUUUCUAGCGCGAAUACAUUUUUGGCACGCCCAGUGGGACAAACACAACCGCCACCAUGUCGAAAGCAGCUGAAGUCUCCGAAGAUAACGUCAUCGAAGUGACAGAGGCAGAUCUCAGGGAUGACCAGAAGGAAGAACUAGAAAAGCAGACGGCACAAUACCGGAAGGUUUGCCUGCAGUUCUUCAGUCGCACCGGAAGCGGGGAAACUAUCAAAAAGUCUCCAUUUCCAACUCCCCGCCAGAUCACAAUCACCGAGGACUCGGACAAGAUGGCCGAGAUGGUCCAACAGUCCGUUUAUCACACCUUCAUUGAUCAAUCCCCGGUGCUUGCAAAUACGGUGUACAAUGCCGUCAUCAGCUCCUUGGCUAGCGGGGUACCUCAAGGGUACAAGGGACCGGCAUAUGCUCCGCCGAUUCCACCAAACAAGGGUUAUCUAAAUUUGGCUUCUCAGCCGAUUCAAUUUCCUGUUGGGGGUUCAGGCGCUUCCUCAUCAUCAAUUCCUUUGGGGUAUAAUGGCACACAACACCUCCAGCCACACCCCGUUCAGCUGUCCUCUGCGCUGUUCCCUCUAGUUAAUCCAGCGCCUUGGGGGGCACCAUCAGCUAUGGCCGUUCAGGAUCAAUCGGCCGGUCAGGGAAGUCCCCAAUUCCAGGCAUCUUUCCAAGCAGCCACUCGACCAACCAUGCCGCCGUACCAGCCUGUCGCAACAGAGGUGAGCAAAGCAUCAGAGCUAAUACUAUACGAUGAGACGAGUGGCUCAUUCAAACAGCCAACCCUGAAUACACAGCCGGCUUUCACUCAGAUGCCACAUACUUUCACUCAGCAUCAGGCCAUUCCACCUCCGAUAUACCAGCACGUGCCAGUCCCUCAGCCAACAGUUUACCAGCAACAGCUGGACUGGUCGGCACAUAUAGCAGAAGUGAUUCAGGAACAAUUCGGCUUGAAGCCGAAGGUACAGACUUACACUUAUAGGACACCAUACCCGUCUACGUACGACCUACUGCCGUUUCCCCAUCGGUAUAAAGUUCCUAACUUCACCAAGUUCUCGGGGAUGGAUGACACUUCAACCGUGGAACACGUUAACAGGUUCAUCAUCCAAUGUGGAGAGGCAGUAGCGCAAGAUGCUCUACGGGUGCGGCUAUUCUCGUCAUCCUUGUCUGGGUCGGCCUUCCAGUGGUUCACGACAUUACCGCCGAACUCGAUUAUUACAUGGGCCGAUUUGGAAAGACAGUUUCAUAAAUACUUCUACGCCGGGGGCAUGAGAUGAAGUUGUCCGAUUUGACCAGCCUCAAGCAGAGAAGUGACGAGCCGAUAUCCUCAUAUGUACAGAGGUUUCGGGAAAUCAGGAACAAAUGCUACUCUUUGGCUCUAAACGACGCACAACUGGCUGAUAUAGCCUUUCAAGGUCUCCUGCCCCACAUCAAAGAAAAGUACGCUUCACAGGAGUUUGAGAGCUUAAGCCAAAUCGUCCACCGAUUGUCUGGACAGGAGGUACGUUCUUUCAAUCCACGGAGGAACUUCCAGAAGAAGGUUGCGUUCCUGGAAGAGGUUGAAGCCGAAGAAGAUGCUGAGGUCGGUCUUGCGGAGUGGGUCAAGGGAAAGAAGCCAAUAUCAUGCCCGUUCGGCAAGAAAGAGCCAGAAACGUUCGGCUUUGACACGACAAAGGCCGAUAAAAUCUUCGACCUUCUCCUCCAGGAAGGACAGAUCAAGCUCUCGCCAUAUCAUACAAUACCUUCUGCCGAACAAUUGAAGAAGAUGAAAUAUUGCAAGUGGCACAACGCUACAUCCCAUGACACUAAUGAGUGCAAAAUCUUCUGGCAGCAGAUACAGUCGGCCAUUGAGCAGGGCAGACUUAAGUUUGAAGUACCAACAAAAUCAGCCAAGCCGAUGAAGAUCGACCAGCACCCCUUCCCCACCAACAUGGUUGACACAGGGAGGAACUCGCUCCAAACAAAGGUGCUGACGUCCGAAUCGGCUAAAAAGAGUGGUGCCAUAGACCCCAGGAAUCAAGCUACACCUGAAGAUGUCAAGGGGAAGCGGCGGAUCGAGGACGACGACGGUGAAUCGGGUGAGCCACGCAUUACUUCCCAAUUCCUGCUCCAAAAAUAUCAGCGGCAGCAUGAACGCUCAAGAUCCCGGGAAGAAGCGAUGCGGCGACACGAAGAUCACUGGAGGUACCCGUUCUUCAUCCACUGUUGGGAGAGCAACCUCAGGCUACCUUCGGCCGAUAAUUUCCCUGAAUGCAAUGGCCCGUAUCGCAACAAUCGGCCAUUCAACAGGUCUCGCUCCAGAGAUGGGAGACCAGAACCGAUCAGAAGGAACUGGCGCGACCAAGACGAUCAGCGCCCUCCCGUGCGUGAUCGGCUGGGGGGCAGAAGUGACCGAUAUGACCGAUCAGAAGACAGACGCCAUGACAGGCCGGGGGGUAGGUUUGAUCGACAUGACCGGCCAGAAAACAGGGCCAACGUUCACAGUCGGCUUGAAGAGAUGGCCGACGCUCGGGUGAUAGACGAAAACCCUUUAGGACGCGAGCCGGAGUGGGAACGCGCCAGGCCAAGAACCAAACCAGUAAACCCCAGGUGGUGUCCCGACGGAUUGACCAAAUCUCAAAAACGAAGGAUCCAACGUCUCCGCCAAUGGGAGCAGCAGGAGGAAGAACAACAAUGCAUGGCGGACAAGAGGGAAGGCAGGUCUCGGGUGUGGCACCCCAAAAGAAACGAUAGAGGGGGUGACGAAUCGGCAGGCGAUGAAUCGGCAGCCGACAUCGGUACGGUUUUCAUACUGCCGAUGGAAUUUAUGACUCCUGCCGACUGACAAGAUAUGUCGGCGAUAGAAGAACAGAUGGCACAAUUGGCUUUGGAGCCCAUGAUAGCCACGUUCGAGAAGCCCGAAGACGACAAACGGCAACAUCUGAAAGCGUUGUUCCUUAAAGCGUUGUUCCUUGAAGCGUUGUUCCUGAAGGUGUCCGAUUUUGGCCUACAGCCGAUCCGAGCAGUCGGCUCCGAAGACUCGGAUUAAAUGGAUCAGUUCGCCCGAGAAGAUGGGAAGCUAGGGCACGGGUUCACGUCGGCCGAUUCAUUAGAGAUGGUAGACUUAGGCGAUGGCACCAAGUCAAGGCCGACUUAUAUUAGUGCAAAUUUAGACUCGGAAUACAAAUGUAAACUGACAAAUUUGUUAAGAGAAUUUAAGGAUUGUUUUGCUUGGGAGUAUCAUGAGAUGCCUGGAUUAGAUCGAUCUAUCGUUGAAUAUCAGCUACCCAUAAAACCAGGAUAUCGGCCGUAUCAACAGCCGGCACGGCGGUGCAAUCCUAAAAUUCUACCAGACAUAAAAGCCAAAAUAACUUGGCUAAUCGAAGCCAAAUUUAUUCGGCAAUGCCGUUAUGCCGAGUGGAUCUCCAACAUUGUACCAGUGUACAAGAAAAACGGAAAGGUAUGUGUGUGUGUUGAUUUCAGAAAUCUUAAUCAGGCCACACCGAUGGACGGGUACCCCAUGCCAACGGCCGAUGUGCUGAUAGACGCUGCCGCGGGACACAAGAUUAUUAGCUUCAUGGACGGAAACGCUGGGUACAAUCAAAUACUUAUGGCCGAAGAGGACAUACCCAAAACGGCCUUCAGAUGCCCGGGCCACCUUGGUUUAUUCGAAUGGGUGGUGAUGACUUUUGGCUUGAAAAACGCCAGCGCCACGUAUCAGAGAGCCAUGAACUACAUAUUUCACAAACUCAUCGGCAUUCUGGUAGAAAUCUACAUCGACGACGUCGUAGUCAAGUCCAAAGGACACGAAGAUCAUCUGGCCGAUUUGCGAAAAGUGCUGGAAUGCACUAAGAAACAUGGGCUGAAGAUGAACAAAAAUAAAUGUGCCUUCGGCGUGUCCGCCGGACAGUUCUUAGGAUUCAUGGUGCACGAGCGGGGAAUAGAAAUCAAUCGGAAGACCAUAGCGGCUAUCAACAAAGUCGUGGCCCCGCAGAAUAAAACUGAAUUGCAUUCUCUAAUCGGCAAGGUGAAUUUCAUCAGAAGAUUCAUAUCUAAUCUAUCCGGGCGGAUCCAGGCUUUCACACCACUAUUAAAGUUGAAGCCUGACCAGGAGUUCAUAUGGGGGGAGGAGCAACGCAAGGCACUGGAAGAUAUGAAGCAGUACUUGGUCUCGCCACCGGUAUUGGUUCCUCCUCAAACUGGUAAGCCAUUUAAAUUAUACUUAUCAGCCGAUGAAAAGGCUAUUGGGUCGGCUCUAGUCCAGGAAUUCAAAGGAAAGGAACGAGUAAUUUAUUAUGUCAGUAGAAGACUUCUGGACGCUGAAACAAGAUAUCCUCUAGUAGAGCGGUUGUGCCUGUGUCUUUACUUCUCAUGCACCAAACUCAGGCACUAUUUACUGAUGGCGGAAUGCGUGGUCGUAUGCAAAGACGACGUAGUAAAAUACAUGCUGUCACUGCCGAUCUUGAACCUUUCAGUCCUGGCCUGUGUUUGGAACAUGUCUCUAAGCGCCACGAUCAUAUCGUGCGCCUCAUGGUUUGUUUCGAACUGCAUCUGCAGCUCGGGUUCCAUGCAAGCAAGCAUAAGGUAGCUUACUUCAAGGUUAGCAUCACAUGCCUUCUUGUAAGCAUUCUUAGUAGCAGCGGGUGCAUCAUCAGCAGGUUCUUCUGGUAGUGGGUUGUCUAGAACAUCUUCCUUUUUCUCAGCCCUGAGAACAAUUCUCAGGUUACGGAUCCAAUCCGAGUAAUUUGUUCCAUUCAACUUGUCCUUCUCAAGGACCGAACGCAAAGCAAAUGGUGUAGUGCUGCUAGGUGCCAUUUAAUCUAUAACAAAGUAAUGCAAAAUACACUAAGACAAACGUAUCCAUGAUAGAGUAAAUCAUAUUAAACUAUUUUAACAGAAUCUACUCCCACUAAAAUCAAUAUCCCUCUAUUGAAACUUAGUGAUUCAGGAUCCACAACUAACAAGUCCACUAGUGAGCUUUAGCAUCACCGCUAGCAAACAAGGUAGAUCGGUAAGCAACUUUUGCUAAUCAUAUCACAUAUGACUCCUGUUGUUGGGUGACAUCCCCAUGUCUCGGCGCCCAACCGUUAUGCCCCAAGGUCCUUAACCGUUAAGAUGACCUCGUUAAGCAAACCAACCCUUAUGCGUGUAAGUGUCCGACACAAACCCGUCUAGUCAAGGAAAACUAGUGGCACCCUAAUUUCAUAGACCCACCACUAAUUGUACAAGACAUGGGAUGGUGCAAGUUUUAGUUGGGAGGGCAUACUAACUUAAACUUUAUGAGGGAUCGUUCUACUUCUAACAUCACAGCAUGCAGAAAGUAAAACAUAAACAGAAUAGCAUUCACAUAGUUGUGACACAGUAUGGCCCGUUUUCAUAUGGUGAUCUCCAUCUCCAUAGAACCUGUUCACUAUGGUGAUCUCCAUCUCCAUGUUCCAUGUGCGCCAUUCUCCUGGUGAUGAGUCCUCCAAGAACUAGAGCAUGCUAUUAUGCCUAAUAGCUAGUAAAGAAUCUAGUAAUGAAGAUUACAUAGUUGCUUGGAUCAUCACAGAUUGGUACGCAGACCAUUAAAUACAAUAAAGUGACAACACAUAUGGCUCCUGCCGUGUUGCCGUACGCGUGACACGCAGGUCAUGAAUGAGUUACACACAUGCAUCACAUACACAAGGGGGCCAUACUGAUCACAAGAUACAUACAUACAUCCUGCAAAACAGAGUUAGGCGUCCUAACGUUCCAAACUUCGGAGGCCCGAAAAUCCAUCUUCCAAGCUGAAUUUGGGAAAUCUAAUUUCGCCGAAAACGGCAAAGCCAAUGAAAUUCAUGUGUAACUUUUUCUGUAGAUCAAUUUUCGUAUAAAAAUCGCCCCGAUCCGAGAUCGUACCGAAAAGUUACGGCUGAUUACCGAAACAUACGCAUACGACAAAAAUCCCGACCCCGGCAGUAGAUCCCAUCUACUAUUGCACAUCGAAUGCGCCUGGCGUAUGACCCUGGAUUUCGAUUUGACCAAUCAUAUUGAUCUUCCCUCACUGCAACUGGAUUUACGUGUAUCACUUAACUCCGAUGGCGGAAACCGACCAGUAGGAGUAUGUCGUUACACUACCAUUGCAGGAAGGGCACGAAAUCAGGACAUAGAUCAAACAGAGAACUCGCAUAUCUCCACAUGCACACAUCCCGAAUCCAAAACUAAGCAGCUACGGCUCUGAUACCACUGUUGGGAUACUAGGUAGGCUACACUAGCGCAAAUCAAAAUUUCUACUGCGUAUAACCAGGAAGAACUGCCGUAUAAGGAUCACGGGAUUACCACUCGAUGCACUACUGGUGCGGAAGAUGUAGAUAUGCGUCGGUGCAGUGAAGACGAUCACGUAGUCGUACGUAGUCGAUCACGUCCAGCAGCUCCUCAGCAGCUCGUCCACGUGCAGCAAGAUCGCCUCCGGUGCCGCGGCUCGUCGUCGGCUCGUCGUGGCUCGUCGGCGGCUCGUCGAUGGCUCGUCCAAGUGCUGCAGGCGCAACACCUCCAAGGUAUCCACACGUGCAGGGAGGAAGCGUCGCAAGCCGGAUUGCUAGAUCCGCGAGUUGCAACAGGAGAGGGCGUGGGAGGCACGGCAAGUGUGUUUUGCCAAAAGGUGUAAACCCUAGUGCGCCCCCACCCCUCUAUUUAUAGAGGUUCUUGAUGGGCCUCUGGAUCCGAGGCCCAUUAGUACUCCUAAACCUAAUCCAACUCGGAUCAGAUCCGAAUUGGGCUUCCAGCCCCUUAAGUGUGUGACCCUAUGGGUUCGGAUACGUAUAGACAUGGCCCGAGUACUCCUACUCGGCCCAAUAGUCGGUAGCGGCCUCUAGCAAGACGUGCCAACUCCUAUACGCACACGAAGAUCAUAUCAGACGAACCAUCACAACAUAAUAUACAUGCUAUUCCCUUUGCCUCACGAUAUUUGGUCUAGCUUCAAGCCGACCGCUCUUUCUCGAUCCUGUGAUUCGGAAUCCCUUUGUAGGUUAACUCUUAACCGUCCGUAGCAUGGCCAUGCAUUUUCGGAUCCGAUCACUCGAGGGGCCCAGAGAUAUCACUCUCAAUCAGAGAGGGGCAAAUCCCAUGUUGAUUGACCAUGUCUCAUAGCAUGCUUCUUGACAAACCCGAAAACUACCUUUAUAACUACCCUGUUACGGUGUAGCGUUUGAUAGCCCGUAAGUAGGUCGAUCCACAUCUAGAAUACAUGCGACAAUCUCAGGUCUAAGGACAAAGCGUAUAUGUUCAACAAUCUCCACAUGUGUCCACAUUAUUAGUUCAACAUCUCCAUGUCCAUGACUUGUGAAACAUAGUCAUCAACUAAUACGUGUGCUAGUCUAAUAUUCAUGUGUGUCCUCACAUGAACUCCGACUAGGGACAACUUUAGAAUAACCAUACAAGUAAAGAGUUUCACAUACUAUUCACAUAAUUGCAAAUCAAUUCAAGUAGCCUUCAAUGGAUAUUCAAUGAACACAACAUACAAAUCAUGAAUACAAAUGGAAUAUCAUCAUCUCUAUGAUUGCCUCUAGGGCAUACCUCCAACAUCUUGUCCAUGCGCCCAAUGCAGUAACCAGAAGUGAUAUUCAAAGGCUUGCUGGGGUACUAUUCACAACCACUUAGAUACGGUUUCAUGUCCAACUAUUUGGUUUGUACCCAUCAUGGCGAAAGAGGGGUUGUAAUGGAAGAUGGUGAAGAGGAGGAGGAUGAUGACAACAUUCCGGACUGCGCUAUAGGCCAAUCUUUUGCAGAUACUAUAAUGGGUGAGGUUGAUGAAGAUGAGUUUGCAGAAGAUGGCCAUACCAAUGACCUCGGCCAGGUGCUUAGGGAUGCACACAGAGAUUGCGAAACUCAGAAGGAAGCAUCAAAGUUGCAGUGCAUGAUAGAUGAUCACAGGAAAUUGCUAUACCUAGAUUGCCAGGGAGGCCAUAAAAAACUAGGUACCACACUAGAAUUUAUGCAAUGGAAGGCCAAAAAUAGUGUGUCUGAUAAGGCAUUUCAGGGGAUGUUGGAAAUUGUUAAGAACAUUCUUCUCAAGAAUAAUGAAUUUCCAUCCACAACAUAUGAUGCUAAACAGAUUGUUUCCCUUCUAGGAUUGGAGGUUCAGAAGAUACACGCAUGCCCUAAUGAUUGUAUCCUUUAUCAUCGUGCUGAAUAUGAGGAUCUGGAUGCGUGUCCCAUGUGCGAAGCGCUGUGGUAUAAGAUUAGGCAAGAUGAUUCUAGUGAUGUCGAGGGGCAACCUCCUAGGAAGAGAGUUCCCGUGAAAGUGAUAUGGUAUUUCCCUAUAAUACCACGCUUGAAGCACUUGUUCAGAAAGAAGGCGAACGCUAAGUUGAUGAGAUGGCACAAAGAAGAACGUAAGGAAGAUAAGAUGCUGAGACACCCCGUUGAUGGGGCUCAGUGGAGAUCAACUGAUAGAGCAUUCCUGGAGUUUGAAGGUGAUCCAAGGAACAUAAGGUUUGGUUUAAGUACCGAUGGAUUCAAUCCAUUCGGUGAGUUGAGUAGUGGUCAUAGCACUUAGCCUGUAACCUUAUGUAUGUUUAACCUUCCUCCUUGGAUGUGUAUGAACGGAAGUUCAUUAUGAUGCCGACGUUUAUUCAAGGCCCAAAGCAACCCGGCAACAACAUUGAUGUGUACCUAAGACCGUUGGUUGAUGAACUUUUACAACUCUGGAAGGAAGAAGGUGUACGUGUGUGGCAUGAGGAUAAACAAGAGAUGUUUAACUUGCGAGCACUGUUGUUCGUAACCAUCAAUGAUUGUCCUGCACUAAGUAACCUUUUGGGACAGACAAACAAAAGAUAUCGAGCUUGCACCCACUGCUUAGAUGACACAAAUAGCAUGUAUUUGAAGCAUUGUAAGAAGGUAGUCUAUAUGGGUUAUCGUCGAUUUCUCCAUGCUCACCACUAGUUGCGAGAAAGCAGGAUGCAUUUCAAAGGGGCGCCAGAAACUCAUAAAAAACCUUUACAUCAUAAUGGAAAAUGUGUUUUUGAGAUGAUAUAGGAUGUAAGGGUAGUAUUUGGAAAACAUCUUGGUAGCCAACCUGUUUCGAACGACGAUGACGGAUGUGCAGCCAUGUGGAAGAAGAAGUCAAUAUUUUGGGAGCUACCUUAUUGGUAAACCUUAGAUGUCCACAAUGCAAUAGACGUGAUACACCUGACGAAAAAUCUUUGCGUGAACAUGCUAGGUUUUCAUGGGUGUUUAUGGGCCCUCAAAAGAUACACUGGAAGCACGAUGGGACCUUAAAGAAAUGGGGCAAUGGGAUGACCUACAUUCGAAAAAGAGAGAUAACGGACAGCACUACUUACGUCCUGCUAGUUACACUCUUAGCAAGGAAGAGAAGGAUAGCAUGUUUGAAUGCUUGAAUAGUCUGAAGGUCCCGUAUGGGUACUCAUCGAAUAUAGAGAGAAUGAUAAAUAUGAAAGAAAAGAAGUUCACAAAUCUCAAGGCCCAUGAUUGCCACAUGUUGAUGGCCCAGUUGCUUCCGGUUGUAUUGAGGGGUGUUCUACCAGAGAAUGUUCGAUUGCCACUCGUAAAGCUAUGCGCGUUUCUCAAUGAGAUUUCACAGAAGGCAAUCGAUCCAUUGAAGCUAACAAAGCUACAGAACGAUGUGGUACAAUGUCUUGUCAGCUUUGAGUUGGUAUUUCCACCAUCUUUCUUCAAUAUUAUAACUCACCUUCUGGUUCACCUAGUAAAAGAGAUUAAUAUUCUCAGACCAGUAUACCUGCUCAAUAUGUGGCCUUUCGAGAGAUUCAUGUCAGUCCUUAAAAACUAUGUUCUUAAUCGUGCCCGUCCAGAAGGAAGCAUCACCAAUGGAUAUGGAACAGAGGAGGUGAUUUAGUUUUGUAUUGAUUUUAUUGACUCAAUUGACCCGAUUGGGAUUCCAACUUCACGCCACGAGGGGAGGCUGCCAGGAAUGGGCACCCUUGGAAGGAAAGCAUGUUUGAGCAAUGAUACUGAUUUGUUCAACAAGGCACACUACACUGUUUUACCGCAGUCAACCUUUGUGGCUCCAUAUAUCGAGCAGCACAAGCAGAUGUUAGUUUCCAAAAACCCGGCGAGAUCCGAUGCCUAGCUUACAAGAAGCCACGUGGAAACUUUUCGCUCCUGGUUGCGCAAACAUCUUAUGGGUAACUCUGAGAUUCACCCACAGCUUGCUUGGUUAGCCAGGGGACCUUCUAGCCUAAUCGUGAAAUUCUAAGGCUACGAGAUAAAUGGUUAUACAUUUUACAUGAGAGCCCAAGACUAGAUAAGCACGAACGAGAAUAGUGGUGUCCGCAUAGAUGCCAUUGGCAGAAAUAGUAGCAUGGACUCUUAUUAUGGUUUCAUAGAGGAGAUGUGGAAAAUCGAAUACGGACCACUGUGCAUCCCUCUGUUUUGUUGCCAAUGGGUGAAGCUAAAUGGCGUAACCAAAGAUCAGUAUGGAAUGACAAUAGUGGACCUUAGCAAGACUGGAUACAGUGAUGAACCAUUCGUACUUGCUAGUGAUGUGCAUCAAGUUUUCUAUGUGAAGGACGUGUCUAGCAAACCCAAGAGAAAUCUAGAAGAUCCAUGGGAGCUAAAGCGCCACAUAGUCCUUCCAAGUAAAAGAAAACUUGUGGGAGUCGAGGACAAAACAAACCAUUCGCUGUUGAAGUUGACCCUAGCAUCCUGCUAUCCAAAGAAGAGGUUCCGUACUUGCGCCGUGAUCAUGACCAAGGAACAGUCGUGAAGAAGUUUUUUAAUGUUACAUUGUAAUGCGCUAAAUUUGCUUCACAUUUAUGAUUAAUUUCAUGUACUACUUGAUCCAAUUUCAUAUGUGCUUAAAUUAGUUGUUUUCGCGCGUAUAAAUUAUUUAAUUGAUAAUUUCUUGAUGAUAGUGAUGCAGUAAAAUAAUUAUUUAAGAAGGUAAUAUAACUAGUGUAGAAUUAAUGAGUCAUUCAAACUUAUUAUAAAUAUAAUUGCUAAUUAAAUAUAUUUUUGCAUGUUCGAAAUAUGUAAAGUUUUAAUUUUUGCUGUAUGAAAUCCAGCAAAAACAUAAAAAAAUAUAUUUCCAAAAAAGAAGAGGGAGAUGAGAAAUGGGAGAGGGACUGUUUAUCCCGGUUUGUAAGGUCUUUUUAUCUCGGUUUGUAAUUAGAACCGGGACAAAAGGGUAAAUUUCAGUUUCCGCCUAGACGUGACCUUUUAUCCGGGUUCGAUUUACGAACCGGGGGGUUGCCCUUUUAUCCCGAGUGCGUCAAAAUCGGGAUAAAAGGGCAGGCCUUUUAUCUCGGUUGCUUACAAACCGAGAUAAAAGGGCAGGCCGUUUAUCUCAGUUUGUAAGAAGAACUAAGCUUAAAAGUCCAUUUCUUUCGAUUCAUCUUACAAACCGAGAUAAAAGGUAGGGGGUGGAUAAAAGUAAUUGGCGUUUCUACUCCCCCCGCACCCGUUAACUUAGUGAAAUUUUUACUGCUCUCUAGCCUCCGCAUCGUCUCCAUCGCCGGCUUCGCGAGCAUCACACAGCCGCCUCCAUCCCCAUCGCCGCAUCAUCUCCAUCCACGCCAUCAUCCUCCGCCUCAAUCCGCGUCGCCGUUUGUCGUCAUCCGCGAGCCAUGUCCUCUCGUCCAUCUGGUGUCCCGUCCUCUCCUCCAUCCGGCGCCCCGUCCAGCCUCCUCCGCCUGGUGCCCCAUCCUCCCUGCUCCGUCCACGCACCCUGUCCUCCCUCCUCCGUUCGGCACCUCGUCCUCCCCUCCUCCAUCAGACGCCCGUCCUCCCUCGUCCUCCGUAUAAAUUUGGCAGUGAUGCAAGACUUUUUUAUUUAUUUUUUUCUAGUUAUAAAAUUUGGUAGAAAUUCAUUAGAAAUUGUACUAAUUAGUACAAAUUUUAUAGAAAUUCCAAUAAAUUAGUAGAAAUCUGUGUAAAUAAAUUACGCUUCAAUUUUGAUAGAAUUCAGUAGAAAUUAGUAUAAAUUUGUAUGGUUUCACGUUUUUCUUCUAUGAGUUCAUGUAUGUACAUUAACUUGUAAUACAUUACAGACAUUUCCUGUAAUUAAGUUUCAUUCAAGAAUUUUUAUGUAUUUUUUAAGAAGUUUUCAUGUAAGUUUAAUUUCAUGUACAGUUUCAUGUGUACGUUUCUAUGAUUUAAUUUAUAUAUCUUAACGUACAUGUAAUUAUGAUUUCAUGUGUGUUUGGAGUAGUUGAGAUGAUGGACGUCGAGAAUGCAAGGUUCAUGAUGGAGGACAGUAUUGCUGGUAGAGAUCAUAACGUAAUGUACACCAAAGAAGAGAGUAACCAGACGGACACGUACCUCAACAUAUUCGCCGAUGGCAAUGAAGAGCCCGAGCAAAACCUUGCUGCGGCGUAAGAUACCGCCGAGGUAUAUAUCAUUAAUAAUGUUGUACCCCAUUUAGAAUGUCUUCUUCUUUAUUAUUAUGUACUAAUUAACGAAUCUUGAACUAUUAGCCAUCUGGAUCAGCGAAACCUAAGAAGACACGAGGUCGAAGCAUGGUGAUGGAUGGAUCGCAAAAGCUAGAGAUCACAAAAGUGUCAGAAGACGGCAGGCCGGUUGCUCCCAUCGAUGUGGCAAACAAGUACGUGACUCAGCUCAGGGCAAUUGUAAGGGACAAUGUGCCCAUCAGCUAGACGAAAUGGAGAGGCAAAAGCAAUGAUCCGGACGCGCUGCUGCAAACAGAAAGGAUAUGCUGUGGGAACAGGUCAAGCAACAUUUCAUAUUUCCCGCUAGAUAUAUUGAAAAGGAUGUGAAAGCGUGGACGUUGAAGAAGAUGGCCACACAGUUUCAAACAUUCAAGAAAUUUCUAGUUUCAAAGUACAUUAAGGAGGACAAAACUCCAGAUUUCAACAAAUUUCCAAAGUUCAGUAGCCACUGGAAGGCAUUUGUCGAGUACAAGAGGAGCCACGACGGUCAACAAAAAAUCAACACCAACGUUGAAAAUGCUAGUCGUAAGAAAGAGCAUCAUAAGCUAGGGCGAGGUGGUUACAAAAUAGUAGUGCCAAAUUUUAGAAGAUGGAACAAGCCCUGCUCGAACGGGGUAUCGUACCAGCAACUCAUGAAUGGAGCCAACAAGCUAAAAAUCGGUUCUUCGCUCAUGGAGGCAAACUGAACCCAAAGGAUGAGACGUUAAUCUUAACUGAGGAAAUACGUCUCAAGGGCGAACAGCUCACCAAGAACAUUGAAGAUGUUAAGGCUGGGAGGUUGGUGGUGGAUCGAGAAAUGGAUGAGCUCACAUUGGCCCUCGGGAAUCCUAAGCACCCAGGACGUGUCUGCGGGUUCGGGAUCAUUCCAUGGAAGUACAGUUUCAAAGAAGACAGAGGCUCGUAUAGAAGCCGCAAGCGAAGAAAGGAUCGGGCUGAGCAGAGCUGGCGGCGCAACCUAGAAUCUCAAGUGCAAUCUAUAGAACAAAGAAUGCAUGACGAAGUCAAUCGUUGAGUGGCCCUUUCCCAAUCAGAAGCACAACCCGAUCCACAGGACCAGCAAUAGUUCGCUGUUGAUUUCAUCAGGCAACACACAUCAUGUGAGUUGCAUGUACCGGUCGGCAACCUGAUUGUUAAGGUAUACUCUUAUACAUAAUUAAUAUUUAUAUAAUAGUCUUCUCAAUCCAUCGAUCCACCACGCCUCAAGAUUGGAGUUUAAUAACAUCUUUAUUUCUGCUAUAUGUACAGGUAGCGUACGCGAAUGCCUUACCAUGCUGGGCAAUGCAGGCGAGCCAUGGCAUGGAGAUUCCACCUAGCUAUGGUAGUGUCUCAGUAGAGCAGCUCGUUGAUUUCCAAUAUGAAGGCUAUGAGCUCCAGCUCCUGGGAAGUAUUAGGGAAAGGACAUUAGGAGAUGCGGUUCAAGGUGGCAUCAUUCUAUGGAGCAAACGCUACAUCAGCAUCCCUAGUAUGGAGGCAGCACCCCUCUCGGAAGAACCCGAGCCGCAACCAUCUCCUCAAAUGGCAAGACCUAUUUCUCCACCACGGUCAAUUACAGGACCGUCGUCUAUGCAUGCUCAAUCAAAGUCUCCAUCUCCACAUCCAGCUGGCAACGACAACAACAACAACACUCCUCCCCGCUCAUCGACGAUGCUGGGACUAAGAGGAGUCCCAAGCAAGGUACCUGCAGCCCCGACUGGAGACCUGAUUAUGAAGUCACGACCAAUGGCUACCAAGCCAGCACAUAAAAAGAGGAAAACAAAUAAGGAGCUUGAAGUGACUCCUGAGGAACGCUGGAAUGCAUUGACUCAAGAGGAACGCUGGUCCAAAAUCUAAGCAGAAUGCAAGGAGUUGUUCAGGAAAAGGGCUGAACAAAAAAAAGCAAGGGCGAUGGAGCCACAACCAACAAUUGAUCAAACUAAAUUACAAUUUUUUCAGAAGAUGUCACAUUCAAACAAGGAGGCGAUGAAUAUAGGGAAAAAAGAAAAGGAAAGUCAUCUUCAAGUGUUGUUGAUCGCUGCCUUCAUCAUCUACCAGAAGGAGAUGCUAGAAGGAUAGUAGCAAUGCCCAAGUCUCAACAAGAUCAAGUAUUGGAAUUCAUGAAAUAAUUUGGAGUGGGACUUGAUCAAUGUAUAGAGCUAGGUGGUCACAAGCCAGCAGCUUCACAACCAUUUCAACCGAGAUGGACGUUUGGGCUAGGAAAGUCUCUGGUAAGGCCUGAGUUGGUAGGGAUCCUAUCACCAAAGAUGUACGAAUUCCAUGAAUGGUACAUGAAGAUGUCCGCUGAUCAGACUUCCAUGUUCGCCCUUAAGGUAAAACAAAUAGAUUUUUACGGCGAAGGCGAGAAAGGCCUCUGGCUGAAAUUCAAAGAUAUAUACGAAGUUGUGGCGGACCGCCCAAAUUAACUUGACUAAAAUGCAUUGAAGUCGCCUGACACGCGAUUAUGCACUUUAAGCAAGUCAACUUGGUCGACCGUCGGAUUUCCUCCGAUAAACCACAUAACAGGAUCGAGAAGCAUCGCUCACGCGAUGGUGAGUAGCACAGAGGUUACAACAUUCCAUCAUGACAACAUAGUUCCACAUUUUAUUAUAUCAGAGUUUUUGAAAUUUAGAACGAAAUUUGCAAGGUUCGAAGUCAAACUAAAACAGCGGAAACUAAACGCCGAUACAUGACAUCAUGACGGAGCCGAUCAUGACAUCAAAAACUCCUUCCUUCGCCGUCCAAGGAAGGAUCCCACUCGACGGUCCAGCCUGGGGGAAGCUGGGUCGGCCAAGUGGUACCCGCAACCAAACUAUUGACAUUACCUGAAAAAGAUUAGCCACAACAAGGCUGAGCAACUAGUACUUAGCAAGACUGACCCGUUGAAAAGUCACGACCGAGACCUAGACAUGCAAGGCUUUCUGGCUCUGGGGUUUUCUUGCCAAAAGCGUCUAAAGUCAGUCCUUACUUUCAACAUUUUAGCUCAUGUUCUAUGUUCUUUAUCCAUUCUAGAUUAGCAACUUAUACUGAACAAACAUGGUUUCCAAGCAAUUACUUAACAAACAUCAAGAUUAAAAUCAUCAUCAUGUUCCAUCUGUAGGGAUACGAGGUAGGCUAUGCUAGCGCAAAUCAAAAUUUCUACCGCGUAUAACCAGGAAGAACUGCCGUAUAAGGAUCACGGGAUUACCACUCGACGUACUACUGGUGCGGAAGAUGUAGAUAUGCGUCGGUGCAGUGAAGACGAUCACGUAGUCGUACGUAGUCGAUCAACGUAGUCGUACGUAGUCGAUCACGUCCAGCAGCUCCUCAGCAGCUCGUCCACGUGCACAACAAGAUCGCCUCCGGUGCCGCGGCUCGUCGUCGGCUCGUCGUGGCUCGUCGGCGGCUCGUCGAUGGCUCGUCCAAGUGCUGCAGGCGCAACACCUCCAAGGUGUCCACACGUGCAGGGAGGAAGCGUCGCAAGCCGGACUGCUAGAUCCGCGAGUUGCAACAGGCGAGGGCGUGGGAGGCGCGGCAAGUCUGUUCAGCCAAAAGGUGUAAAACCCUAGGGCGCCCUCACCCCUCUAUUUAUAGGGGUUCCUGAUGGGCCUCUGGAUCCGAGGCCCAUUAGUACUCCUAAACCUAAUCCAACUCGGAUCAGAUCCGAAUUGGGCUUCCAGCCCCUUAAGUGUGUGACCCUAUGGGUUCGGAUACGUAUAGACAUGGCUCGAGUACUCCUACUCGGCCCAAUAGUCGGUAGCGGCCUCUAGCAAGACGUGCCAACUCCUAUACGCAUACGAAGAUCAUAUCAGACGAACCAUCACAACAUAAUAUACAUGCUAUUCCCUUUGCCUCACGAUAUUUGGUCUAGCUUCAAGCCGACCGCUCUUUCUCGAUCCUGUGAUUCGGAAUCCCUUUGUAGGUUAACUCUUAACCGUACGUAGCAUGGCCAUGCAUUUUCUGAUCCGAUCACUCGAGGGGCCCAGAGAUAUCACUCUCAAUCAGAGAGGGGCAAAUCCCAUCUUGAUUGACCAUGUCUCAUAGCAUGCUUCUUGACAAACCCGAAAGCUACCUUUAUAACUACCCUGUUACGGCGUAGCGUUUGAUAGCCCCUAAGUAGGUCGAUCCACAUCUAGAAUACAUGCGACAAUCUCAGGUCUAAGGACAAAGCGUAUAUGUUGUUUAAAGAGAGAACUACUUGUCGUGUUGGGUCAGUCCUAACACAUGUCUCAACAUGUGUCCACAUUAUUAGUUCAACAUCUCCAUGUCCAUGACUUGUGAAACAUAGUCAUCAACUAAUACAUGUGCUAGUCUAAUAUUCAUGUGUGUCCUCACAUGAACUCCGACUAGGGACAACUUUAGAAUAACCAUACAAGUAAAGAGUUUCACAUACAAUUCACAUAAUUGCAAAUCAAUUCAAGUAGCCUUUAAUGGAUAUUCAAUGAACACAAUAUACAAAUCAUGGAUACAAAUGGAAUAUCAUCAUCUCUAUGAUUGCCUCUAGGGCAUACCUCCAACAGUCUCCCACUUGCACUAGAGUCAAUCUAGAAGGUACCUAAUACCCAUAGCUCUUACAUGCGCAUCAUGCUUAGCCUGCGGGUGUGGUUUUGUCAACGGAUCAGAAAUGUUCAGAUCCGUGUGUAUUUUGCAUAUCUUGAUCUCACCCCGGUUAACGAAGUCUCGAAUUAGAUGAAAUCGCCGCAUUACGUGUUUGUUCUUCUGGUGGUUCCUUGGCUCCUUUGCUUGCGCAAUUGCCCCAUUAUUAUCACAGUAGAGAUUCAAUGGGCUGGACGCAUUCGGGAACACACCAAGCUCAAUGAGGAAAUUCCUUAUCCAAACACCUUCCUUCGCGGCUUCCGAAGCCGCGAUGUAUUCGGCUUCUAUCGUAGAAUCGGCCACCGUCUCCUGCUUGGAACUCUUCCAACUAACAGCACCACCAUUUAGCGUGAACACAAAUCCUGAUUGUGACUUUGAAUCGUCUCUGUCGGUUUGGAAACUAGCAUCGGUGUAACCUGUUACAACGAGCUCCUCCUGACCUCCAUAGACGAGGAACAUAUCUUUAGUCCUUCUCAAGUACUUAAGAAUGUUUUUCACCGCUGUCCAGUGACUCUCACCUGGAUCAGACUGGUGUCUACUUGUCAUACUUAGCGCAUAUGAAACAUCUGGGCGAGUACUUAUCAUUGCAUACAUGAUAGAUCCAAUAGCCGAGGCAUAUGGCACUCUACUCAUGCGAUCCCGCUCAUCAGCAGUCGAAGGACAUUGAGUCUUGCUGAGAUGUAUGCCAUGUGACAUAGGCAAGAACCCUUUCUUUGCCUCUUCCAUGCUGAACCGCUUCAACACUUUGUCAAUGUAAGUAUCUUGGCUUAAACCUAUAAGCCUUCUCGAUCUAUCUCUAUAGAUCUUAAUACCCAGAAUAUAUGCCGCUUCCCCUAAGUCCUUCAUCGAAAAACUAUUUUUCAGUGAAGUCUUUAAGGACUCAAGCAUAGGAAUGUUAUUUCCAAUCAGUAAUAUGUCAUCCACAUAUAAGAUUAGAAAUACUACAGAGCUCCCACUAACCUUCUUGUAAACACAAGACUCUUCUUCGUUCUUGGUGAAGUCAAACCCUUUGACUACUUCAUCAAAACGAAUGUUCCAACUCCUAGAUGCUUGCUUCAAUCCACAAAUGGAUCUCUGAAGCUUGCAUACCUUUCCAGCAUUUUUCGGAUCGACAAAACCCUCGGGCUGUAUCAUAUACACGUCCUCAGCUAGGUUUCCAUUCAGGAAAGCUGUCUUGACAUCCAUCUGCCAUAUCUCAUAAUCGAAAUAUGCAGCUAUAGCUAGAAUAAUCCGAAUGGACUUAAGCAUCACUACGGGCGAGAAGGUCUCGUCGUAGUCAACUCCUUGAACUUGUCGAAAACCUUUUGCGACAAGUCGUGCUUUGUAGAUGUGAACAUUUCCAUCCAUGUCCUUUUUCUUCUUAUAGAUCCACUUGCACUCUAUGGCUUUAACACCAUCAGGCGGGUCAACCAAGUUCCAAACUUGAUUGUCUCCCAUGGACUCUAUUUCGGAUUGCAUGGCACUCUGCCAUUUUUCGGAGUCUGGGUCCAUCAUUGCUUCUGCAUAUGUCGCAGGCUCAUCAUUGUCCAACAAUAAUAUUUCUCGCAUUUCGCGGAGCCUUGCUGACCUUCGUGGUUGUGGCGGUGCUUCUCUUGCCAUGGGUAUCUCAACUUGUUCUGCUACGUUAGCAUCACUCAUUGAUUCUUGCCCGAUUGGCUCAUCUUGAACUUCUUCAAGAUGCACUGUCUUUCCACUCUUUUCUCCUUUGAGAAACUCUUUCUCUAGGAAAACCCCGUUCUGAGCGACAAACACUUUGCCUUCUGAUCGGUUGUAGAAAUAAUACCCCAAAGUUUCCUUUGGAUAUCCCACGAAAAUGCACUUAUCCGAUUUGGGUGUGAUCUUGUCCGACUGAAGUCGCUUGACAAACACUUCACAUCCCCAAAUCUUUAGAAAAGACAAACUAGGAACCUUUCCAGUCCACAUCUCAUAUGGUGUCUUAACUACGGAUUUAGAUGGUACCCUAUUAAGUGUGAAAGCUGCUGUUUCUAGAGCAUAUCCCCAAAAUGACAACGGUAGGUCCGACUGGCUCAUCAUUGAUCGAACCAUGUCUAACAAAGUUCGAUUACGUCGCUCGGACACACCGUUUCUCUGAGGUGUUCCAGGCGGCGUAAGUUGUGGAACAAUUCCGCAACUCUUUAGAUGAUUGCUAAACUCGUGGCUCAAAUACUCGCCUCCACGAUCAGAUCGUAAGGCCUUAAUUUUCUUGCCACGCUGAUUUUCAACUUCAUUCUGAAAUUCCUUGAACUUUUCAAAGGUUUCAGACUUCUGCCUCAUCAAGUAGAAAUAGCCAUAUCUACUAAAAUCAUUAAUGAAAGUUAUGAAGUAUUGGAAUCCUCCUCUAGCCGUCGUGCUCAUUGGUCCGCAUACAUCACUAUGUACGAGUUCCAACAAGUCUACUGCUCUCUCAGGAAAUCCUGUGAAAGGCGUCUUGGUCAUCUUGCCUAGCAAGCAAGCCUCACAUGUCUCGUAUGAUUCAAAAUCAAACGAAGUUAGAAGUCCAUCAGAAUGGAGCUUCUUCAUGCGCUUAUCACUUAUAUGACCCAAACGACAAUGCCACAAGUAGGUAGGACUCAAAUCAUUAGGCCGAGGCCUUUUAGCACUUACAUUACAGACAGGUGAACCAUCAAGAUUUAAAACAAAUAAUCCAUUCACAAUAGGUGCAAAAGCCAUAAACAUAUUAUUCUUAGAGAUCACACAACCAUUGUUUUCACUCGCAAAUGAAUAACUAUCCUUCAUCAAACAUGAAGGAGAUAAAAUGUUUCGACUUAAACUAGGAACAAAAUAACAAUUAUUCAACUCCAUAAUAAAUCCUGACGGGAGGUGGAGUUGCAUCGUCCCGACGGUCAAAGCAGCAACUCUUGCAUUAUUGCCCACGCGGAAAUCAACUUCUCCUCUUUCCACGCUUCUACUUCUUAUCAUUCCCUGCAUCGAAUUGCAAAUAUGAGCAACCGAUCCGGUAUCAAAUACCCAAGAAUUAAUAACUGUAUCAGCGAGAAAUAUGUUGUCUAUAACAUAAACAACAAGCGUACCUGAGGUAGAAGUACUCUUACUUCCGCCGUUCUUCAACGAAGCUAGGUACUGCUUGCAGUUUCUCUUCCAGUGACCAAGUUCAUGACAGUAAAAGCACUCUUUAUCUGGAGCAGGUCCAGGUCUAGCUUUAGCCUUGGGCGGUGGGUUUGGCUUGGACGUUCCAGCCUUGCCCUUCUUCUUCCAAGAAUUGCCCUUCUUCUUAAAGCUGGGCUUGUUCUGUAUCGCCAUCACAUGGCUGGUACUAGCGCUUUUCUUAAUGUCAGCCUCUGCUGUCUUGAGCAUACCACACAGCUCAUUCAGACCCUUCUCCAUCCCAUGCAUAUGGUAGUUCGAGAUGAAGUUCCCAUAGCUAGCCGGAAGAGAUGAAAGAAUGAAAUCAGUGGCCAACUCUUGGCCCAGUGGGAAGCCUAGCUUCUCCAACCGUUGAGUGUAACCAACCAUCUUGAUUACGUGUGGUCCUACUGCUGCGCCUUCUGCUAGCUUGCUCUCAACAAAGGCCUUAGACACAUUGAACCUUUCAGUCCUGGCCUGUGUUUGGAACAUGUUUCUAAGCGCCACGAUCAUAUCGUGCGCCUCAUGGUUUGUUUCGAACUGCAUCUGCAGCUCGGGUUCCAUGCAAGCAAGCAUAAGGCAGCUUACUUCGAGGUUAGCAUCACAUGCUUUCUUGUAAGCAUUCUUAGCAGCAGCGGGUGCAUCCUCAGCAGGUUCUUCUGGUAGUGGGUUGUCUAGAACAUCUUCCUUUUUCUCAGCCCUGAGAACAAUUCUCAGGUUGCGGAUCCAAUCCGAGUAGUUUGUUCCAUUCAACUUGUCCUUCUCAAGGACCGAACGCAAAGCAAACGAUGUGGUGGUGUUGCUAGGUGCCAUUUAAUCUACAACAAAAGUAAUGCAAAAUACACUAAGACAAACGUAUCCAUGAUAGAGCAAAUUACAUUAAACUAUUUUAACAGAAUCUACUCCCACUAAAAUCAAUAUCCCUCUAUUGAAACUUAGUGAUUCAGGAUCCACAACUAACAAGUCUACUAGUGAGCUUUAGCAUCACCGCUAGCAAACGAGGUAGAUCGGUAAGCAACUUUUGCUAAUCAUAUCACAUAUGACUCCUGUUGUUGGGUGACAUCUCCAUGUCUCGGCGCCCAACCUUUAUGCCCCAAGGUCCUUAACCGUUAAGAUAACCUUGUUAAGUAAACCAACCCUUAUGCGUGUAAGUGUCCGACACAAACCCGUCUAGUCAAGGAAAACUAGUGGCACUCUAAUUUCAUAGACCCACCACUAAUUGUACAAGACAUGGGACGGUGCAAGUUUUAGUUGGGAGGGCAUACUAACUUAAACUUUGUGAGGGAUCAUUCUACUUCUAACAUCAUAGCAUGCAGAAAGUAAAACAUAAACAGAAUAGCAUUCACAUAGUUGUGACACAGUAUGGCCCGUUUUCAUAUGGUGAUCUCCAUCUCCAUAGAACCUGUUCACCAUGGUGAUCUUCAUCUCCAUGUUCCAUGUGCGCCAUCCUCCUGGUGAUGAGUCCUCCAAGAACUAGAGUAUGCUAUUACACCUAAUAGCUAGUAAAGAAUCUAGUAAUGAAGAUUACAUAGUUGCUUGGAUCAUCACAGAUUGGUACGCAGACCAUUAAAUACAAUAAAGUGACAACACAUAUGGCUCCUGCCGUGUUGCCGUACGCGCGACACGCAGGUCACGAAUGAGUUACACACAUGCAUCACAUACACAAGGGGGCCAUACUGAUCACAAGAUAUAUACAUACAUCCUGCAAAAGAGAGUUAGGCGUCCUAACGUUCCAAACUUCGGAGGCCCGAAACUCCAUCUUCCAAGCCGAAUUUGGGAAAUCUAAUUUCGCCAAAAACGGCAAAGCCGUUGAAUUUCAUGUGUAACUUUUUCUGUAGAUCAAUUUUCGUAUAGAAAUCGCCCCGAUCCGAGAUCGUACCGAAAAGUUACGGCUAAUUUACCGAAGCAUACGCAUACGGCAAAAUCCCGACCCCGGCAGUAGAUCCCAUCUACUAUUGCACAUCUAAUGCGCCUGGCGUAUGACCCUGGAUCUCGAUUCGACCAAUCAUAUUGAUCUUCGCUCACUGCAACUGGAUUUACGUGUAUCACUUAACUCCGAUGGCGGAAACCGACCGGUAGGAGUAUGUUGUUACACUACCAUUGCAGCAAGGGCACGAAAUCAGGACAUAGAUCAAACAGAGAACUCGCAUAUCUCCAUAUGCACACAUCCCGAAUCCAAAACUAAGCAGCUACGGCUCUGAUACCACUGUAGGGAUACGAGGUAGGCUACGCUAGCGCAAAUCAAAAUUUCUACCGCGUAUAACCAGGAAGAACUGCCGUAUAAGGAUCACGGGAUUACCACUCGACGCACUACUGGUGCGGAAGAUGUAGAUAUGCGUCGGUGCAGUGAAGACGAUCACGUAGUCGUACGUAGUCGAUCAACGUAGUCGUACGUAGUCGAUCACGUCCAGCAGCUCCUCAGCAGCUCGUCCACGUGCACAGCAAGAUCGCCUCCGGUGCCGCGGCUCGUCGUCGGCUCGUCGUGGCUCGUCGGCGGCUCGUCGAUGGCUCGUCCAAGUGCUGCAGGCGCAACACCUCCAAGGUAUCCACACGUGCAGGGAGGAAGCAUCGCAAGCCGGACUGCUAGAUCCGCGAGUUGCAACAGGCGAGGGCGUGGGAGGCGCGGCAAGUCUGUUCAGCCAAAAGGUGUAAAACCCUAGGGCGCCCCCACCCCUCUAUUUAUAGGGGUUCCUGAUGGGCCUCUGGAUCCGAGGCCCAUUAGUACUCCUAAACCUAAUCCAACUCGGAUCAGAUCCGAAUUGGGCUUCCAGCCCCUUAAGUGUGUGACCCUAUGGGUUCGGAUACGUAUAGACAUGGCCCGAGUACUCCUACUCGGCCCAAUAGUCGGUAGCGGCCUCUAGCAAGACGUGCCAACUCCUAUACGUAUACGAAGAUUAUAUCAGACGAACCAUCACAACAUAAUAUACAUGCUAUUCCCUUUGCCUCACGAUAUUUGGUCUAGCUUCAAGCCGACCGCUCUUUCUCGAUCCUGUGAUUCGGAAUCCCUUUGUAGGUUAACUCUUAACCGUAUGUAGCAUGGCCAUGCAUUUUCUGAUCCGAUCACUCGAGGGGCCCAGAGAUAUCACUCUCAAUCAGAGAGGGGCAAAUCCCAUCUUGACUGACCAUGUCUCAUAGCAUGCUUCUUGACAAACCCGAAAGCUACCUUUAUAACUACCCUGUUACGGCGUAGCGUUUGAUAGCCCCUAAGUAAGUCAAUCCACAUCUAGAAUACAUGCGAUAAUCUCAGGUCUAAGGACAAAGCGUAUAUGUUGUUUAAAGAGAGAACUACUUGUCGUGUUGGGUCAGUCCUAACACAUGUCUCAACAUGUGUCCACAUUAUUAGUUCAACAUCUCCAUGUCCAUGACUUGUGAAACAUAGUCAUCAACUAAUACAUGUGCUAGUCUAAUAUUCAUGUGUGUCCUCACAUGAACUCCGACUAGGGACAACUUUAGAAUAACCAUACAAGUAAAGAGUUUCACAUACAAUUCACAUAAUUGCAAAUCAAUUCAAGUAGCCUUUAAUGGAUAUUCAAUGAACACAAUAUACAAAUCAUGGAUACAAAUGGAAUAUCAUCAUCUCUAUGAUUGCCUCUAGGGCAUACCUCCAACACCAUCUUCACUCAAUGCAGAAUAGCGAUCAAGUAGUCCCAAUCUGUGAGAGGCAGACGAAUCGAUUCGAAUUUAUUAACCAUGCAUGGCAAAUCUUAUCUCAUGACAUCCGCGCACCACGAAGGGUCGCUUCAUUUGUCAGCCGUCCCCAUCGAUCCCUUAGGCACGUGUCAGGGCCAACUUCCUUUGGCAUGCAAUGCUCCACAGUCCCGGCCUAUUGCUGCACUGUGACCGCACUUGCACCCACAUGAUGCACCAUGGGAACGACAUUCCAAGGACAGCCGGAGGGUAUGCCACGCCCCAGUUCAAUCAGGUACUAGGCUUCCCCAUCCCAUACUAGGUAUGAGAUUAGUACUUUCAAACACUUGAUCACGAACGUCGACACGUUUCGACCUUAGUUCAUUUUCAUUUAGACAGACGGGGCAAUCCACCAUGUAUCGAACACAAGCCUGACCCCGUCCGUCAUCCUUAUAGUUGCGACAAAUCUGAAAUAUUCAACUCCUAUAACUCGCGAGUGACAGGAAAUCACUCGACUUCUACCGAAACCUAUUAAGCAUUGCACUACUCGACCUUAGCAACUAGUAUUCAGACAAGGUACUAAGUUUAUGCAUCUAAGGUUUCAUUACAACUCCUCAAAAUGUAAAUGCGCAAUCAAGUAAUCAAUAAGUGGCAUGAAAGUAAAAUAGGGAGUUCAUGCACCGGGGCUUACCUUCAGAAAAAGCUUGCGGGUCCUCGGGGUCUUGCUCCGGUUCGGGCUCUCCUUCGCAGGGAUGCAGUUCCUCGGUGGGGUCUUCUUCCGGUGCUGGAUGAAGCUCGUACGUUCUGUCGGCGAGAUUCAACUCUACACGGAAAUGCAAUGUAGGGGUUAAAUAUUUUAGAUGGUUAUUUCAACACACUCAUGUUUUAACACGGACACUUGUAGCAAAGCUACAGGAAAGGUGGGGGAGUUCAACUUCUGUUGGUGGAGAGCAAGAUGAGAGGGUCGGAUUAGGGAAAACUAAGGGUCUGACCCUCAGGUUUAAGGAAAACCGUACCGAGGUCCUCAGACUCAACACAGAGGAAUCCCCAAAAAUAUUUCACCGAUACCCUCGGGUCAAAGAAAAAGUUACAACCGAGCCCUCGGGCGAGGCGGAGAAAGGGUCGGCGAAACUUGGCAGGGUCGGGCGAGGCGAACGGGAAAAGGUCGGGCGAGACGAAAAGAAAAGGGGUUGGGCGAACCGAAACAAAGGGGUCGGGCGAAACGAAAAAGGACAAGGGUCGGGUGAGACGGAAAGGAAAAAAAAAGGGGGUCGGACGAGACGAAAAGGACCGGGAGGUUAAGUAGCUUACCUCCAGGUCUACCGGUGAAGCCUUUGUUGGGAUACGAGGUAGGCUACACUAGCGCAAUUCAAAAAUUUCUACCGCGUAUAACCAGGAAGAACUGCCGUAUAAGGAUCACGGGAUUACCACUCGACGCACUACUGGUGCGGAAGAUGUAGAUAUGCGUCGAUGCAGUGAAGAUGAUCACGUAGUCGUACGUAGUCGAUCACGUCCAGCAGCUCCUCAGCACCUCGUCCACGUGCAGCAAGAUCGCCGAACAGGAGUAGGCUAGGGCGGGAAGUCGUACGUGCUAAGGCUUGGGCAGCGGCGAGACUUUGAUGGUGGUUCGGCGGCGGCGGUGCUUCUUGCGGACACCAGCAAGCUCGAGUACUGCGUGGAGGAGCGGGCGGCUGGUGUGUUGGAAGAAGCGGCUGGAGGGUGGCGGCGAAGUCGUCGGAGUGUGGGGUGGCGCAAAGGGGGUGAGCUCCACGGAAGCUCAGCGGCAGCGCGGGGAGAAAGUGGUGGCUCAGAGGAGAAAGCAGGGCGCAGAGGAGAAAGCGGCGACGCAGGUGCGGGCGGUGGCAAGGGGUGGCAUUGCCGGUGAGGGGGUUCCCUUUUAUAGGGCCGGGGUGGCGCGGAGGGUCGAGGUGGGGCUCCGGUGGGGAAAGGAUAAGGCCGGGAGCGGCGAGUGCUCGGGCGAGGUGGCCAUUGACCGACGACGCCAUUGGGCAGAGGAGGCGGAGCUCUGGGUGGUCUUCGGCGGCGAUUGGCCUUGGGCGGCGCGCGUCUGGGGCUUCCGGUUUGUUGGGCGGGCGAGGCGGAAGGCUACCGUGGAGGUUGGGCGAGCGGGCGGAGGCGCGGGACGUCAGGGGCGUCUCAGCUUUCUCGGCAAAUGGGCGGAACAGGGUUGGCGGGGCAGAGCCGUGGCAGGUGGAAGGCGACCUGCGCGCGGCCGGCGAUUGGCUAGCCCUGCGCUCGCUCCGUCCUGUCGCGGGCGCGGGAUGGGCGCCGUGGCUCUCAUCCUGUCGCUGUCGCGCUGGUGAUAGGGCGCCGGCGAGCUGCCGGUGGCCGGCGGCCACGCGGCGCGCGGCGCGCGAGCGAACAUGCUCAGGCACGCGGGCGUCGAGGCUCCCUUCGGGCAGCAAGCCCGACCAGCUUUGGAGCGAUCCUUCUCCGAAUCUUUCAACACAACUCCCGAAACUCCCUUAAACAAACUUGUUCAACUCUGGUCGUUCUUCAAACUUCGUUUAAGGUGUUGGCUUAGAUUGUGAAAGGAUUCAAAGAUAUUUUACGCCAAAGUUAGACAAAAAUCUGGAAUUCCAGACUUAGGAUUUAAGGCAUCCGUGGUGAGUUGACUAGUUUACCUCACUUUGACCGGGAUUUUGAACAAGUUCGGGUCUGAUUUGGAUCUGGGUCAGUGUAACAAAGUUGGAACACUCUCGAGGUACUACAACUUCUAUUAAGGCUCUGACUCGAGUUUAGAUAGGAAAACAGGAGAUGAAAGCUUGCAAAGAUGGAGGAAAACUCGAAUUCCAGGACUUAAGAGAUUUCAGGGUCCUUUAGGAAAACCGGCUUUGGUUGCUGUUUUUGACUCCCUUCCACUCCGAAUUAGUCAAGGUGCCUUUAACAAAAGUUGUUGGAAUUUAAAAGUUUUACAACUCUUAUUUGGGCGGAAACUUAAGUUUGUAUAUAGAAAUUCAAGCUUUAAAUCAAACUCCAAAAGGAUCUUCUUAAGUUUAUAAAGGUCAUUUCACUUCUUCAAUUAGGGAUUUAUCACCGGUUUAGAGUUAAAAGUACUUAAUUUGGUAGAGUUGUUACAGAAGUGUACCAUCAAGAUGCCCUAGACGUCUCUCUCAUCAGCGUCUGGGCUCUGUAAAUAUUCGUUUAUCUAUAUGUAAAUUUUGGACCAUAUCAUUAUUUUUUAUGCAAGCGUCGCCCUACUAACUUUGUCUUCCUUUUUAUGUAGGCGGCUAAUUCAGAAGUGCCGAGAAGAAGGAUACUUGCAUGUUGGCUUCAUGGAUCCAUCCGUAGUUAACCAAACCCAACUAUGAGAUUUUAUAGAUAAAAUGUUGGUGGAAUGUUUCAAUAUGCUGGACCUUCAAGGUGGCCAGAGCUACAUACUACUUCCAUACAACUUCGAGUAAGUGUUUGUACGUACGUAUACCAUCUAUCUUAGUAUCCUUUUCCUUAUUUGAUUAAUGAAUAUUUACGUACAUAGUUACCACUGGAUCCUAAUAGUAAUUGAGCCUGAUAGAACCCGAGUUACCAUCCUUGAUUCCUUGAGAAAACCACUAGCGGAGUACCAAGAGAUUCAAGACAUUCUACACUUGUAAUUAAUAAUUCUGGAUCUUUAUCUCAAUACAAAAGUGUGUUUCCUAAAUUUUCGCCUAACACUAUAUCAUUCGUUAUUUUAAUUCGUAGGGCAUGGAAAUAAUUUGUCAAAAAAUGAUGCCAAGGUGCAUUCCAAGAAAAACUUACAUGGGACAUAGACUUCCCGGUACGUAUGAAGUUUGCAUAUUUUGUACAUUCUAUAUGAUGAAUAUUUUAUAACUUAUUUUUUUCCCACUGAAGUGCUUAAUACAGGAACAAGGGAAUAAUCUGUGUGGGUACUAUGUGUGUGAGAACAUGCAAAGUUUUUUGUCACACAAGGCCAGGUUGACGUCGCUGGAAAAAUAGGAAGUACGUAAUAUAAAAUAAUACUAUUAAUAGUUAAUUGUUUUCUAGCUCCUUAUAUUUAAUUGUUCGUGUAACAUUAUUUACUUCCAAAUUACAUAUGCAUAAUAUUCGAGACAAGAUUUUGGAGAAGAAAAGAAUACACACAAUAUGCGAAAGUCUCGUAGGAUUCGUGCUGGACGAGGUGAUAAAUCCACAAGGAGAAUUUGAUUCCGGUGGAUGAAAUUAACAAGCACCGAGCAACACCUCGACGAAGAUCCUAGAGUUAUAUAGCUAGCUAGCUAGGAAUUAAUUGUACUAUAUAUAUAUAUACUAAUCAAGAAUUGAACAUAUACUAGCUAAUUGUAUAAGAAUGGUAUAUAUAAGUAUGUAAUAGUUAAAAAGAGUCGUUUAAAUACUAUAUAUAGUUUGAUUGAUUUCAUUAAUUAUAAAAAAACUCUCAACUAACUAAAGGGAUAUGUAAUGCACAAAAUUAUAGUUAUAGGCACCAUGCAAGCGGCUGCAUGGCGCUAUAUAUACGCACUUUAGUCCCGGUUUGUUACACCAACUAGGACUAAAGGGGUCUGUCCAGUGCCUGGCGUGGCAGCCCAUUAGUUCUGGUUGGUUUUGCAAACCGGGACUAAAAAAGGGUCUUAUAUCCCGGUUCAGCGACUCGUGAUAAAAGACCGCCACCUUUUAUCUCGACGGGUUAAUUCCGGAUGCAUUUUCGGGAGAUAUGCACCCUACGAACCGGUACUAAUACCCAGUUCUCUAAUAGUGUAACAUAAUUAUGUUAUUUGAGAAACUAUACAGAUGAUUUUUUAUGUUUGUUCCAAACAAUGCAAUGUAAAUCACUUAUAUCGAUCCAGUGAGCUAGUGAUAAAAUUCUUCUAGUGCACCUUUCUGUCCCUUAAAGAUAAGGAUUUUUUCCGGAUAGAUUAGCAUAGAGACUAAACAACUUAGUUUGCAUGAGAGGGGUUAGGAAACUGCAUGCUACGUUGCUGCUCCAAAUAUUAGACAUGCACAAUUUAUUACAAACUCCAGCGUAAUUAGUGGCCAAUUAAUUGAAACAACAAAAAGGACAAAGGAUGCAAUGCUGGAUGUGUGUCAAGAUAAACCAGUACAAGAAUACAUAAUUGCAUCUUGAUCAAUCAUUACCGUCUCUAAUAUUCAAAGCCUAUAUAAUAGGACCGAUCCAAACAUGGGCCUACAAUAAUUUCUGUAUAUAUAUAUAUAUCAAUAAUUAUAACAAACCAUCAAACCAACCAACUUAUGAUCCCAUAAAAAAUCAUGGUCCUGAGAUCUAUUAAUAGAGAACACGUAGCUUCCUUACCAUCCCACCUACACACCACAUCUGACUAUAUAGAGGAUGCAAUCCUUUUGUACUAAAUCUUGGGGGACCAUUUUAUCCCGGUUUGUAAUACCAACCUUUUAUCCCGGUUGGUAUUACAAACCAGGAUAAAAAGUUUUGAUAGAUUUAGUUAGUUUUUAGCCACCCGUGGGGGACUCUUUUAUCCCGGUUUGAAACACCAACUGGGAUUAAAACCCCCCUUUAUCCCGGUUGGUAUUACCAACGGGAAUAAAAAGGGUUCGAGGGCUUCAAUUCUUUUUUGCCACCUGUGGGGAACCCUUUUACCCCGAUUAGUGUUUUCAACCGGGAUAAAAGACCUUAUUUUAUCCCGGUUGGUGUCGUGAGCUUUAGUCUCGGGUGGUAACACCAAUCGGGAUUAAAAUGGUGACCUUUAGUCCUGGUUGGUCUUACCACCCGGGACUAAAAGGUCCCUCACGGGUAGCUGAUUUUUUCACCCGGGACUAAAGGGUCCCCCAUGGGUGGCUGAUUUUUUACCCAGGACUAAAGGGGUCUUUAGUCUCGAUUGAUAUUUGACCCGGGACUAAUGCACCUUUUGUCUCGGGCCAACUUUAAAUCGGGAUAAAAGGGGGUGCAUGUCUCGAUUGCGUUAUCCCGGAUUGGUUUUCAGGAGAUUUUCACCCUACCAAUCAGGACUAAUACCGAGUUUUCUACCAAAUAAUCUUAACUACUGGCAUCUAACCAAAUUAUCUUACUAUUAACUAUUCCCGUUCAUUUUUUUGAAUAAAAACACACGUGAUCCAUUUAAAGAUCAGCAUCUUGUAGAUGUACACCUAAUUAAAGGCAUCUAAUCAAAGGUCUUACAUAUUUGUUAUCCAUGUCAUCAACCUACAAAAAGUUAUGUCCACUUGAAGAUCGGCAUCUUAAGAUUUAAACUUAAUUGUUGGCAUCUAACCAAUGGGUCUUACUUAUUUUUCAAUAGGAUAAUAAAUAUGCAAACCAAUAUCCAUGAGAUAUAAUGAGCAUCGGUGUGGUACAAAGUACAAUAAUUGCAUAAUUCCGUUGUUUGGAAAACUAUAGAAAAUAUUUUCUUUAUAUUUGUUCCAAACAUAUGCAAACUACUACACUUAUUUGGAAGAAUGGGUUUUGUCCUGAAAUUAUAAUUGAGUGCUUGAAUGAUUUGGAAUGGACAAUUAACUAGUCAAGAAAAUUAACUUGAAACCCUAUGUCACUACGGGGAAGACUAAAUUCGCCGAGCAUAAUUUUUUCACCGAGUGCAAUAAUGCGGGCACUCGGCGAAGGCCCCGUUUGCCGAGUGUAUUGCUCAUAACACUCGGCAAACACAAUGCACUCGGCGACAAAGCGAUUUGCCGAGUGCCAAAUAAGAAAACACUCGGCAAAACCCCGUCGACACUUGGCAAACAUAAUACACUCGACGAACUAUUGAUCACAUGACCUGCACGUGCGCCGUCCGGUCGAAACCGUGACGGACGUUAGUAGGUUUGCCGAGUGUUGUGAUGGGACACUCGGCAAAGCUGCGAUUAUGCCGAGUGCUAGGGGGAACACUCGGCAUAUUUUAGGGUUUGCUGAGUGUUUUUUGACACACUCAGCAAAGUAAUUUUUUUUCCCUCCUCCACCCUCCAAACUUUUUCCACUCCACAUGUAUGGCAUUUGGCACUGCAUGGUAGAAGGUGGACUAUUUAUUGACCUUUUUGCUAUAUUUAAUCAAUUAAUUUCAUUUAGAGUAAUUUGUUGAUUUAAGUCAAAUUUGAACUGCAGGUGAUUGGAAUAAUGGAAUAAUAUGAGUGGAAAAAUCAUAUUCAUGUUAGUGAGUCCAAAUUGAGGUCUCACCCAGAAAAUGAAAAGAAAUUUCAAACAUUCUGUUAAGGAAACACGACUACGAACGUGUGGCCAAAUGAUUUUUUAAUUCUCAAAGAUACAAACGAAGUUUGAAAAUCACGAGAGUUUAUUAUUUGUCAUACCCGUGCCAAACCAACAGCCGUCUUUAGGGUUGGGAUGUUGUGUACAAGGUAUCGCCACACGGUAAACUACCGAGCUGUGGGUAAGUACUCCUCGUACUAAAUUGUUCAAUACAUCACCUACUUUUGACAUUUUUGAAAUAAUAACUAUAUACGCGUCUAUAUGCAGGAUUUCUAAAGAUGCCAGGAGGGAUUCGAGGUCAAGGCGAAGGCCGUCUGUGAUGUAGCCGCCAAGAAGCUCGUGAAGGACAUGCAUUACGAGGCGCGCAUCCAGGCCAUCAUCGAAUUCCACGCUCAAUACAGACAGAUGAAGGUUAGAAAAGAGGAGGCAAGAACAAUGAACCUGACUAAGGACCAAUUCAUGAGGGUAAGUAAAGAACGUUGAUACUUACUAUUUAAGAUUAAUUAGGCUCAUUUUCUUUUUCAUAUGUCACACGCUUGAUGAUGUAGGUGCCUCCGUGGUGGUGUCGUGCGCAUAUGCCGUGCUGGGAGAGGAUGGUCGACGUGUGGUUGGAGCCCGGGUGGUUGGAGAACCACCUUGCUUGCCGGCAGCGGUGUUUGCAGAUGCCGAGUGCACCACACCAUCAAGGCAGCCUAAGCUUUGAUGAAUAUAGAGAAAAAUGGGUACGCAACUUCAAUUCUUUAUUGUAACGUUCAGUUCUGCAUAAUUCCUAAUCAUUUUGUAUUUUUUGCCGCAGUCGGCGUCACAUGAUGGCCGACCUUGCUCCCAGCUCAAGGCAUGGGUCCUCUCCAAAAAGGGCAAGGUGAAGGCCGAUAUCGAUUUCAACCCAGACGACCUGUCCGAGGCGUACAACCACCCUAGCAUACACAGUCGCGUCAGCGAGUAUACAAAGAUGGCUAGGGAGGUUCACGAGCCAGACUUCGAUCCGAGCUCCGAGGACAUUGAUGGAGAAAUCAUGAUGAGGGUGGGAGGAGGCAAGAAGCAUGGCCGAUAUUGAAUUGGUGACGGCGUUAUCGACACGGCCUCUACUCCUACUCUCUCCUAGAUCCGAGCUAGGAGCACGGACUCGAGCCCGGCGAUACGGCCACGACCCACCACUGCACAGUUCCAGAUGGAGGCUCUCCAGGUUCUUUCUCUUCCAUUCAUCGUUCAUUUGUUGUUAUACUUUAGCUUUGCAUUAUAACAUUGCAAUGAAAUAUUGUAGGCGCAGGUGGAAGAAGCAAGGAAGAAACAAGAGGAGAUGGCGGCACAGAUGGAGAACAUGCGGCGGCGAUGGAGGAAGAAAACCGGAUUAGGAUGGAGCAGAUGUUCCAGUACAUGCAGAAUUUUGCUUUGAGCAUAGGACAGUCUUUGCCUCCGCCACCGCCGAUGAUGUUCCCUCCGCCUCAGCCACCCACGACUACUCCUGUGAGUCACUUGACAUAUUGUGCUUAAGAUUCAAUACUUUAAUUUUGACAACUUUAGAUGUUAGUUCAGAAUGUCCUAUCCCAUGUGCAGAAUCAAUCGGCGGCUUCGAAUAAUGAACAUCAAGAUUUAUCGCAGUGGUCUCCUUGGCCUCCACGGAACUAGACUUGGUUGUGAACUUGGUUGAAACUAAAUUGUGACUUGAACUUGGAUUUAUGGAUUGUUUUGUGCUUAUGUUGAAUUAUGCAUGUGAUGUUUAUGAAUAAUGUUUCUAAUGGUGGUUGUGAAUUAUGCCUGUGAUUGUUUAUUACAAUCGAGUCAGAUUAUGAGCCAACUGCCGAAUGAGGCCCCUUUUGCUGAGUGUCGUCUCCAUGACACUCGGCAAAGAUCACCUCUUGCCGAGUGUCAUGGAGACGACACUCAGCANNNNNNNNNNNNNNNNNNNNNNNNNNNNNNNNNNNNNNNNNNNNNNNNNNNNNNNNNNNNNNNNNNNNNNNNNNNNNNNNNNNNNNNNNNNNNNNNNNNNNNNNNNNNNNNNNNNNNNNNNNNNNNNNNNNNNNNNNNNNNNNNNNNNNNNNNNNNNNNNNNNNNNNNNNNNNNNNNNNNNNNNNNNNNNNNNNNNNNNNNNNNNNNNNNNNNNNNNNNNNNNNNNNNNNNNNNNNNNNNNNNNNNNNNNNNNNNNNNNNNNNNNNNNNNNNNNNNNNNNNNNNNNNNNNNNNNNNNNNNNNNNNNNNNNNNNNNNNNNNNNNNNNNNNNNNNNNNNNNNNNNNNNNNNNNNNNNNNNNNNNNNNNNNNNNNNNNNNNNNNNNNNNNNNNNNNNNNNNNNNNNNNNNNNNNNNNNNNNNNNNNNNNNNNNNNNNNNNNNNNNNNNNNNNNNNNNNNNNNNNNNNNNNNNNNNNNNNNNNNNNNNNNNNNNNNNNNNNNNNNNNNNNNNNNNNNNNNNNNNNNNNNNNNNNNNNNNNNNNNNNNNNNNNNNNNNNNNNNNNNNNNNNNNNNNNNNNNNNNNNNNNNNNNNNNNNNNNNNNNNNNNNNNNNNNNNNNNNNNNNNNNNNNNNNNNNNNNNNNNNNNNNNNNNNNNNNNNNNNNNNNNNNNNNNNNNNNNNNNNNNNNNNNNNNNNNNNNNNNNNNNNNNNNNNNNNNNNNNNNNNNNNNNNNNNNNNNNNNNNNNNNNNNNNNNNNNNNNNNNNNNNNNNNNNNNNNNNNNNNNNNNNNNNNNNNNNNNNNNNNNNNNNNNNNNNNNNNNNNNNNNNNNNNNNNNNNNNNNNNNNNNNNNNNNNNNNNNNNNNNNNNNNNNNNNNNNNNNNNNNNNNNNNNNNNNNNNNNNNNNNNNNNNNNNNNNNNNNNNNNNNNNNNNNNNNNNNNNNNNNNNNNNNNNNNNNNNNNNNNNNNNNNNNNNNNNNNNNNNNNNNNNNNNNNNNNNNNNNNNNNNNNNNNNNNNNNNNNNNNNNNNNNNNNNNNNNNNNNNNNNNNNNNNNNNNNNNNNNNNNNNNNNNNNNNNNNNNNNNNNNNNNNNNNNNNNNNNNNNNNNNNNNNNNNNNNNNNNNNNNNNNNNNNNNNNNNNNNNNNNNNNNNNNNNNNNNNNNNNNNNNNNNNNNNNNNNNNNNNNNNNNNNNNNNNNNNNNNNNNNNNNNNNNNNNNNNNNNNNNNNNNNNNNNNNNNNNNNNNNNNNNNNNNNNNNNNNNNNNNNNNNNNNNNNNNNNNNNNNNNNNNNNNNNNNNNNCUUUGAUUUCGGGCAAACACUACUUUGCCGAGUGUCAAAACUCGAACACUCGGCAAACAUUUUGCCGACGGCCCAAAAACACUCGGCGAAAAAAAAUACUCGGCGAAAUAGGCGCUGACGGCGUCGGGGGGUAAUGGCAGCUUUGCCGAGUGCCGGAUCGCAGGCACUUGGCAAACACCAGGGGUAUGCCGAGUGUCAGCACUCGGCAAACACCACGCGUAUGCCGAGUGUUAGCACUCGGCAAAUGGGGCCCCUUUUGCUGAGUGUCGUCUCCAUGACACUCGGCAAAGAUCACCUCUUUGCCGAGUGUCAUGGAGACGACACUCAGCAAAAGGGGCCCCAUUUGCCGAGUGCUAACACUCGGCAUACGCGUGGUGUUUGCCGAGUGCUGACACUCGGCAUACCCCUGGUGUUUGCCAAGUGCCUGCGAUCCGGCACUCGGCAAAGCUGCCAUUACCCCCCGACGCCGUCAGCGCCUAUUUCGCCGAGUAUUUUUUUUCGCCGAGUGUUUUUGGGCCGUCGGCAAAAUGUUUGCCGAGUGUUCGAGUUUUGACACUCGGCAAAGUAGUGUUUGCCGACACAAAAUUUGUCGUGUGUUGUUUGCCGAGUGUUACACUCGGCAAAGCCUUUGCCGAGUGUUUUCAUGCCUUUGCUGAGUGCCUGUGGCACUCGGCAAUUUGUGUGUUUCCCGUAGUGUGUAGUCAAGAAUUGCACAGUUUGGCGAUUAGUUAUUAGAAAUAAUCUAACUUAACCCCCAAAAUUCUGACCUAUAUUACAUACCUUUAUCAUUAUAAAAACAUAUCUGAAAAUACUCCUAUGUAUGCUUCUAAAUUAUCCGCAUCUACCGCAGUUAAUAUCAGAAACUCACAAUAUAGAUAACAUAUACAUAGAUGCAGGAAGCGUUGCGGUUAAUCAAGUGUUGAUGCCAGAUUUCAUCACUAGUAAGAUCGGUGCCAAGAAGAGAGGGAAUUGGAAAAGUACAGUUGGGAAUCGGCCGAAUGGUGCUACAGUACAAGAUCGGCUGAUGACUUCUCCCUCGCUUCGGAUCGUACGCGCCGGAGUCCCAAUCGGUUGGCUUUUGCCGAUAAGGAAUCGGCCGUUUAGGAGGUUGGUUUAAUUGGGCCUGUAUGGGCUUGGAAAGGAAUAGAAGGAUAAGGGGGAGAUCAGCCCAUGAAGCGUAUAGUAACCAACCUAGCACGAAUCGUGCUUGUAAAUAUUCGUUUUCUAUUUGAAUUAGGGAUAGAAUUCUAGUCAGUUAAGGAGUCAUCUGUACGGGGCUAUAAAUAGCUACCUUUGUAAAUCUAUAAACAUCAACAAAUCAAUACAAUCAACUAUUUUUUUCCACGUACUUACUUUCAAGCAGGCGACUUCGCCAAAUACUUUCUCUUUUCACGAGUUCGUGCGAGUUGGCAAGGCUGCAUCAACUUGAUCCCCGGCCAAUCUUGUAAGUUCCGUUUACCGAGUAAAUUCUAAGCUUUAACUUUGGGCGUAUCGCUAUUGUUUCGUUUAGAUUUAUUCACUAGUUAUCGAUAUUUACUAGAAUCAUAGGUUUUACUUGUCUUUCUAGUUUUAUCACCAGUUAUCUAGGUAGGAAUCGGCGGUUUCGGCUCUCUUUACAUUAUGUUAUUAAAUUCAUCUAUUUUAUAUUGCCGAUUAGAUCUAUUCCUAGUGUUGUUAUCAUAGCUUUGCGUCGAUUACUUCAGUAAUUUUCUGUCUACAAGACUAAAGUGAUCGGCUGUCUUAUAGCCGAUUUCUUUAUUACGGCAAAUCGGCCGAUUCGCUGAUAAGCUCUCUCGAGAUCAGAAAUUUAGCCGAUCGUGAUUUCUGGACCUGACACAUAUUCUUCCUUGCCAAUCAACAGGUCAGAUUGGCUGGCACGCCGCGCGAACCGCACCAGGGCAAUCACCCGAACAGGAGUUAAGCAGAUUCUCCCGGGUCGUGUGUCAGACGCUGGGAUUCGGUUGACCGAUUUCUAGCGCCAACACACUUUUGGCACGCCUGGUGGGACCAGUACAACCGCCAUCAUGUCGAAAGCUGCUGAAGUCUCCGAAGAUAACAUCAUCAAGGUGACGGAAGCAGAUCUAGAGGACGACCAGAAGGAAGAACUGGAUAAGCAUACGACACAGUUCCGGAAAGCUUGCCUACAGUCUUUCAGUCGCUCCAGAAGCGGGGAGACUAUCAAGAAGACUCCGUUUCCUGCUCCCCGCCAGAUCACAAUUUCUGAGGACUCGGCCAAAAUGGCCGAUAUGGUUCAACAGUCCGUUUAUCACGCCUUCGUUGAUCAGUCCCCGAUACUUUCAAAUAUGGUGUACAACGCCGUUGUCAACUCCUUCGCUGGUGGGAUACCUCAAGGAUACAGGGGAUCGGCAUAUACUCAGCCGAUUCCACCAAACCGGAGUUAUUUGAAUUCGGUUUCACAGUCGAUCCAAUUUUCUGUUGGGGGUUCAGGUGCUUCCUCAUCAUCAGCUCCUGUGGGGUAUAACUCCAUCCAAAUGUCUUCUGCACCAUUCCCUCCAGUUAGCCCAUCACCUUGGGGGGCACCAUCAGCCACGGCCGGUCAGAAUCAAUCGGCCAGUCAAGGAAGCCAUCCAUUCUAGGCAUCUUUCCAAGCGGCCAUUCGGCCGACCGUGCCACCAUGCCAACCUGUCACACCAGAGAUGAAUAAAACAGCAGAGCUCAUGCUGUAUGAUGAAACAAGUGGCUCAUUCAAACAGCCGAUUUUCAAUACACAGCCGGCUUUCACUCAGAUGCCACCUGCUUUCACUCAACAUCAGGCUAUUCCACCUCCGGUAUACCAGCACGUGCCAAUGCCUCAGCCAACGGUUCACCAGCAACAGCCAGAUUGGUCGGCACGUAUUGCGGAGGUGAUUCAGGAACAAUUCGGCUUAAAGCCGAAGGAAAAUUACACCUAUAGGACACCAUACCCGUCUACAUAUGACCUACUACCGUUUCCCCAUCGGUAUAAAGUUCCUGACUUCACCAAGUUCUCGGGGAUGGAUGAUACUUCAACCGUGGAGCACGUAAAUAGAUUCAUCAUCCAAUGCGGAGAGGCAGCUACGCAGGAUGCUCUACGGGUGCGAUUGUUCUCAUCAUCUUUAUCUGGUUCGGCCUUUCAGUGGUUCACGACAUUACCGCCAAACUCAAUUAUCACAUGGGCCGAUUUAGAAAGACAGUUCCACAAAUACUUCUACGCUGGAGUGCAUGAGAUGAAGCUAUCCGAUUUGACCAGCCUCCGGUAGAGAAGUGACGAGCCGAUAUCCUCAUAUGUACAGAGGUUUCGGGAAAUCAGGAACAAGUGCUAUUCCCUGGCUCUAAACGACGCGCAGUUGGCCGAUAUAGCUUUUCAAGGCCUUCUGCCCCACAUCAAAGAAAAAUACGCCUCACAGGAGUUCGAGAGUUUAAGCCAAAUCGUCCACCGAUUGUCUGGACAGGAGGUACGUUCUUUCGAUCCACGAAGGAAUUUCCAGAAGAAAGUGGCGUUCAUGGAAGAGAUGGAGGACGAGGAAGACGUUGAGGUCGGGCUUGCGGAAUGGGUCAAGGGAAAGAAGCCAAUAUCAUGCCCGUUCGGUAAAAAGGAGCCAGAAGCAUUCGGUUUUGACACAACAAAGGCCGAUAAAAUCUUCGACCUUCUACUCCAGGAAGGGCAGAUCAAGCUCUCACCCUAUCCUACAAUACCUUCUGCCGAACAACUAAAAAAGAUGAAAUAUUGCAAGUGGCACAACGCCACAUCCCAUGAUACUAAUGAGUGCAAAAUCUUCAGGCAGCAGAUACAGUCAGCCAUUGAGCAAGGCAGACUUAAAUUUGAAGUGCCGACAAAAUUGGCCAAACCAAUGAAGAUCGACCAGCACCCCUUUCCCACCAACAUGGUUGAUACGGGGAAGAAUUCACUCCAAACAAAGGUGCUGACGUCCGAAUCGGCUAAAAAGAGUGGUGCCGUUGACCCCAGAAAUCAAGCUACGCCUGAAGAUGUCAAGGUGAAGCGGCGGAUGGAGGACGACGAUGGCGAAUCGGAAGAGCCACGCAUUACUUCCCAGUUCCUGCUCCAGAAAUACCAGCGCCAGCAUGAACGCUCAAGAUCCCGGGAAGAAGCGAUGCGACGGCACGAAGAUCACUGGAAGUGCCCGUUCUUCAUCCACUGUUGGGAAAACAACCUCAGGCUACCUUUGGCCGAUAAUUGCCCAGAAUGCAACGGUCCGUAUCGUGGCAAUCGGCCGUUCAACAGGUCUCGCUCCAGAGACGGAAGGCCAGAACCGAUCAGCAGGAAUUGGCGCAACCAAGAUGACCAGCGCCCUCCCGUGCGUGAUCGACUGGGGGGCAGAAGUGACCGAUAUGAUCGGUCGGAAGAUAGACGCCAUGACAGGCAGGGGGGCAGGACUGAUCGAUAUGACCAGUCAGAAAACAAGACCAACGUUCACAGUCGGCUUGAAGAGAUGGCCGACGCUCGGGUGACAGACGAGAACCCUUUAGGGCGCGAACCGGAGUGGGAACGGGCCAAGUCAGGGGGCAAACCAAUAAACCCCAGAUGGUGUCCCGACGGGUUGACCAAAUCUCAAAAACGAAGGAUCCAACGUCUUCGCCAAUGGGAACAGCAGCAAGAAGAACAACAGAGCACAACAGACAGGAAGGAAGGGAGGCCUCGUGUAUGGCGCCCCAAAAGAAACGAUAAAGGGGACGACGAGUCAGCAGGUGAUGAAUCGGCAGCCGAUAUUGGCAUGGUUUUCAUACUGCCGAUGGAAUUCAUGACUCCGGCCGAUCGACAGGACAUGUCGGCGGUAGAAGAGCAGAUGGCACAGUUGGCUUUGGAGCCAAUGAUGGCCAUGUUCGAGAAGCCCGAGGAUGACAAACGACAACACCUGAAGGCUUUGUUCCUCAAAGGGCAUGUCAACGGUCGCCCCCUCACCAGAUUAAUGGUAGAUGGUGGAGCUGCGGUCAAUAUCAUGCCAUAUGCCGUGCUCCGGAAGCUUGGGAAGAGCGAUGAUGACUUGACCAAGACAGACAUGAUGCUCAAAGACUUCGAAGGCGACGUGUCAAACGCUCGCGGCGCUCUCUGCGUCGACCUCACCAUCGGCAGUAAGACCCUUCCCACCACCUUCUUUAUUAUUAAUGGCAAGGGAUCCUACAACAUGCUACUCGGCCGGGACUGGAUAUACACAAAUUGCUGCAUCCCAUCAAUAAUGCAUCAAUGUCUUGUACAAUGGGUCAGCGACAACAUCGAGGUAGUCAACGCCGAUUCCGCAUACAGCAUCGCGGCAGCCGACACGCAGCAGUGGAGCUGCGAAACCGUCAGGUGCAUAUCUGGCAGAGUAUGGGAGACCGAUUUCCUGAAGGUCACUAAUUUUGGCCUGCAGCCGAUCCGAGCAGUCGGCUCCGAAGACUCAGAUUAGAUGGAUCAGUUCGCCCGAGAAGAUGGGAAGCUAGGGCACGGGUUCAGGUCGGCCGAUUCACUAGAAAUGAUAGACUUGGGCGAUGGUACCAAGCCACGACCGACUUAUAUUAGCACAAAUUUAGACCCAGAAUACAAAUGUAAAUUGACAAAUUUGUUAAGAGAAUUGAAGGAUUGUUUUGCUUGGGAGUAUCAUGAGAUGCCCGGUUUAGAUCGAUCUAUUGUUGAACAUCGGCUACCCAUAAAACCAUGGUAUCGGCCGUACCAACAGCCUGCACGGCGCUGCAAUCCUAAGAUUCAACCAGACAUAAAAGCUAAAAUAACUCGGCUAAUCGAAGCAAAAUUUAUUCGGCAAUGCCGUUAUGCCGAGUGGAUCUCCAACAUUGUACCGGUGUACAAAAAGAACGGAAAGCUACGCGUUUGCGUUGAUUUCAGGAAUCUUAAUCAGGCCACACCGAUGGAUGGUUACCCCAUGCCAACGGCCGAUGUGCUGAUCGACGCUGCCGCGGGACACAAGAUUAUCAGCUUCAUGGAUGGAAACGCCAGAUACAAUUAGAUACUUAUGGCCGAAGAGGAUAUAUCCAAAACGGCCUUCAGAUGCCCGGGCCACCUUGGUCUAUUCGAGUGGGUGGUGAUGACUUUUGGCUUGAAGAACGCCGGCGCCACGUAUCAGAGAGCCAUGAACUACAUAUUUCACAAACUUAUCGGCAUUCUGGUAGAGAUCUACAUCGAUGACGUCGUAGUCAAGUCCAAAGGACAUGAAGAGCAUCUGGCUGAUCUGCGAAGAGUGCUAGAGUGCACCAAGAAACACGGGCUUAAGAUGAAUCCCAAUAAAUGUGCUUUCGGCGUAUCCGCCGGACAGUUCUUAGGAUUCAUGGUGCACGAACGAGGAAUAGAAAUCAAUCAGAAAACCAUAGCGGCUAUCAACAAAGUCGUGGCCCCGCAGAAUAAAACCGAAUUGCAGUCUUUAAUCGGCAAGGUAAAUUUCAUCAGAAGAUUCAUAUCUAAUCUAUCUGGGCGGAUUCAGGCGUUCACACCACUAUUGAAGUUGAAGCCUGACCAGGAAUUUAUAUGGGGGGAGGAGCAGCGCAAAGCACUAGAAGAUAUCAAGCAAUAUUUGGCAUCACCACAGGUAUUGGUUCCUCCUCAAACUGGUAAGCCGUUUAAGUUAUACUUAUCAGCCGAUGAAAAGGCUAUUGGGUUGGCUCUAGUCUAGGAGUUCGAAGGCAAGGAACGGGUAAUUUAUUAUGUUAGUAGAAGACUUCUGGACGCUGAAACAAGAUAUCCUCCAGUGGAGCGGUUGUGCCUAUGUCUUUACUUCUCAUGCACCAAACUCAGGCACUAUUUACUGUCGGCAGAAUGCGUGGUCGUAUGCAAAGACGACGUAGUAAAAUACAUGCUAUCACUGCCGAUCUUGAAAGGACGAAUCGACAAAUGGAUCUUAGCUUUGUCAGAGUUCGACCUGCGGUAUGAAUCGGCAAAAGCCGUCAAGGGUCAGGUCAUGGCUGAUUUCGUCGCCCAACACUGCGGACCGGAGAUUACCCUCGUAGAGCCGGCACCUUGGACUUUAUAUUUUGAUGGGUCGUCAUGUGGGGUCAGAUGAGGAAUCGGCAUCGUUCUCAUAUCGCCUCGGGGGGCAAGCUAUGAUUUUUCUCUGCCGAUAGAAGCCACCGCUACUAACAAUCAAGCGGAGUACCAAGCUGUAUUGAAGGGCCUACAACUAUUGAGACAAGUCAAGGCUGAUUCUGUUGAAGUCUUCGGGGAUUCCAUGCUUAUUGUGGAUCAACUAACCGGAAGAUCCGAAUGCAAGGACGACGUGUUAAGAAUUUAUUACGAAGAUUGCUUGCAGCUCUUAAAAGAAUUUAGAUCGGCAGUAAUCAAGCACAUCCCAAGGGACCACAACGAGGGUGCUAACAAGCUCGCCCAGCACGCAUCUGGAUAUCGGCCAAUUCUAGGCGCUAUGGCUCUAGAACUCACGGCCGAUGAUUGGCGGAAAGAAAUUGCCGACUACCUGAAAGACCCGUCUAAAAAGGUGGAACGACGAGUACGUUUUCAUGCUACUAAAUACGUAUUGCUCGAAGACGACCUGUUCUACCGAACGAUCGACGGUGUCCUACUCAAAUGCCUGGGAACAGAGGAGGCCAAAACUCUAAUGGGAGAAAUCCAUGAAGGGGUAUGUGGAGCACACCAAUCGGCCCAUAAGAUGAAAUGGAUGAUCAGGAACAAUGGGUAUUACUGGCCAACGAUCCUCGAAGACUGUUUCAAAUAUUAUAAGGGAUGCCAGGAUUGUCAGAAAUUUGGGAAUGUCCAGCAUGCACCCGCAUCAGCCAUGAAUCCCAUUAUCAAACCAUGGCCGUUCAGGGGAUGGGGAAUAGACCUUAUCGGCCAGAUUUACCCUCCAUCAAGCAAAGGGCACAAAUUCAUUUUGGUAGCUACUGAUUACUUUACCAAGUGGGUGGAAGCAAUUCCGUUAAGAGCCGUGACAUCGGCUAUCAUGGCCGACUUCGUAAGGGAUCAUAUCGUCUACCGAUUCGGUAUUCCCCGGACUAUAACGACCGAUCAGGGAACAAUGUUCACAUUGGGUGAAUUCGAAGAAUUUACAACCGAUAUGGGGAUCAAAUUGUUGAAUUCUUCUCCGUAUUACGCCCAAGCUAAUGGUCAGGCCGAAUCCUCCAACAAAGGGAUAAUUAAGUUAAUCAAAAGGAAAAUCGAAGAGCAGCCAAAGAAGUGGCAUCUAUGUUUGACUGAGGCCUUAUGGGCGUACAGGAUGGCUUGUCAUGGGGCCACUAAGUUAUCUCCUUAUCAGUUGGUGUACGGUCAUGAUGCAGUACUACCAUGGGAAUCAAGGGCGGGAUCGAGGCGCAUUUCGCUCCAGGACCAGUUAACGGCUGAUGAAUACUCGUCGCUCAUGAAGAGGGAACUCGAUGACUUGGCUGGCCAGCGAUUGGCAGCUUUAAUAAGCAUUGAGGAAAACAAAAAGAAAGUAGCCAGGUGGUACGAUAAGAAGGUCAAAGUUAAACAAUUUUCCCCUGGGGACUUGGUUUGGAAGCUAGUAUUGCCGAUUGGGUCGAAAGAUCCUAAGUUCGGAAAGUGGUCCCCUACAUGGGAAGGGCCGUAUAAAAUCGGCAGAUGUGCUCCAGGAAAUGCUUAUAUUUUGGAAACAAUCGAGGGAGAAGAAUUUACUAGGGCUCUGAACGGAGGGUACUUAAAAAGAUACUACCCUAGUAUAUGGGUCGGAGCAUAAGGGAUUGACCGUAAUACAAUCGCACACAGCCGAUACAAAACAGUUCAAACAUAUGAUCGUCCAAAUCGGCCGAUGUAUUCAUUCGGUAUGGACGAUGGAUUACACGGCCGACAAAACACAAGUCGCCCUUAGAACAAAAAAUACAAUACCUAAUUAUUCUUUUUCUUGCGCUCUCUCUCAGUCCGGCCUAGUUCUAUCAUGAGACGGAUGUACUCUUCUUCUAUUUCCUUCAUCGAAGCCUCCGCUUCGACCUGAUGGGGGAGAGGGUGGCUCCGGUCCAACGCCGGGCAUGACGUUCCUGCCGUCAUGUCUUCAAGGGAAACUCGCGGGGGAAGCGGAUGACUCCUGUCAGUUGGAGGUCGCCGGCGACCGUUGCUCUCCAGGAAGUCCAAGACCACACGGGCCUCCGCAGUGAUGUGUUCUUGAAGUUCGUCACGAUGAGCCCUGAUCAGGUCCUUAUCCUCUGACGACAACGGGUCAUCAGAGUGUAUGAGCUCAAUGGCGCGUUUGAGCUCGGGGCUAAGACGCCGAGGCUGAAAGAAAGAAAGAUUAAAAAGGGUCAUCCUCUACUCAAGAGUUAAAAAGAGAGAGGGGAAUCAAGGCUAGGGUUUCACCUGGUUGACAGAGGAAGAGGAAGUCGACGAAGACAUGACAGAAGGUCGUGCCGACGAGAAUGGAUGCGUGAAUAAAACCGAAGCCAAGCUGGUGCUCUCGGAAGGAAGUGCCUAGGUCGGUACUUAUAAGAAAAAGAGAAGUGGAAAUUUGGUAAGGAUGCAUCCCGUCGGAAAUAGGAAAGGCAAUAAAUAAAGGAGGCGUCGCGAAGGAUGGUCAAAGCAGUUAUUAAAGGUUCGUACAAAUAGUCAGUGCCUUUACAGAUUACCCAGAAGGGUAUCGAUAGCCGCGAUCACCCGACGCCGGAUCUGAUCGGCAGAGUCCAGGACCCGUUGGUCUUCAUCCGCCGAUCCAGGGACUUCUGACGCACUACGGUGGAGCUUCAGGGCUUCGUGGGCCAAAUACUACCUCUCCUGUUUCAAAUCAGCAAUGACUAAAGGAAGUUCUUGGAGCCUUUUCUCUUCGGCGCUGAUUGCCUUGGUCACUAGCUCCAUUUCCUUAGCAAGCUCUGCCCUCCAGCGCUUGAGGCGGUCUAUCUCACCGACGAUCCCUGGGCGGGAGUCCUCCAGAAAAUGGAUACGCUGGUGCACCUCUUGAGCCUGACGUUUGAACGCAUCCUCCUCUUCACGAGUCUUGGCCAGCUUGGCGCGAUCGGCCAUGUGACGAAGGGCCCUGAAGACCGGGAUCCUCAUGGACUCGAUGAAUGCAGCCGGCGCCAAGGCUUCCUCCGCCUCUUCUGGUACUCGUCCGCUGAUGUCACCGAAAAGCUGCCGAAUCGGUGAGGCAUCUUCCACUAAUUGGCCGAUGUCCCCUUGAAGAAGGGAUCGGAUGUCGGUAAGCUUGGCUCGGACAUCGUCAGGGAUGGAGCUCGGGGCAAUUUGACGAGAGGCGACUUCUUCAUCAUCGGAGAGGGCAACCGCAAAAGAGAAGAGGUUGUUGUCAGGGGUGUCCUGUUCCUGGAGAUAAUAAAGAAGAAAAGUAAAUCGGCUGACGGUGGUAGCGAAUCGGCUAAAGAAAGCUGGAGGAUAUCUUACCGCUUUGAAGCGAAUCUCUUCAUGUUGCAUUUGGGAAAGCGUCGUGCCUUGCUCAGGGGCUUGUACCAUGGGUUCAUCGGAAGAGGAAGACUCCACGAUGAUCGGUGUGGUACUUGGACCAGCUCCCUGGGAGAGGACCAGUGGUUGAGGAGCGCUUGGCGUGCCGAUGACCUGUGUCAGAAGGUUGAAUAAGUAUAUUAUGCAAAUACUAGGGGAAUCGGUGAAAUGGUGUUGUACCUCAACAGUUGGAAGCGGGGGCGCGUCAAUGACCGAUUGGGUUGCUGCCGAUUGUUGUGUAGCCAUGGGAGUACUCUAUGCAGUCUAAGAUAAGAAGGAUUAAUAUCAAAACAACAAUCGGGAGGAAUAAAACAUGAGUUUACCUGAACGGCCUCUAACAACAAUGACGCGGCGGCUGCCCCGGCUUGUGCGACGACUUGGGUGUCAAUGACCCUGGUGGCCUGAGGGGGUGGCGCGGCCGGAGUCUCUACCGAUACGAGCAUAGGAGGAUCUGCUGAUUCUAUGCGGGCUCGGACUCGACGGCUGGUCUUCUUCACGACUCUCUUCUGAGUUUGUUUUGAUCGGCCAGCAAUCACAUCCACGGAUGGGGCAUCAUAGCCGAUGAGAGGGUAGGAGGUGUAUGGAUGAUGACCCUCUAUUAGGCGACCGCUCCGGCUAUGCGUAGGGGGAGUACGAUUCUCAGCCUAAAGAAAUAGUAAAACAUUAGUGUGUGGUCGCGUUGAAAAAGGAAUAAAAAUCGGCUAAGGAAUAUACCUCGGCGUUCGGGUCAAUGUUGGCUGGAUCCAGGAGGUUGCAGUAUGCCGAUGCCGAAUUGCAGAAGAGGAACUGUUUCCAUUCAGCCCACCAGAGUUUGAAUGGCUGGACAGCAAAGGGGGCUACUAUCCAGUUGUUUAGAUCAAUAGUGUUGGAGUCCGGGAUCCGAUCUCGUACCCGACUGUAGUCCAAGCCUGAUGUGAGGUCGUCUCUGAACUUGACUCGACCGGCAAAAUACACUUGAAUCGGCAGUUGACCCACGCCGAACUGACGUGCUGCAACAGAGGGGUUGUAGAACUCAUACGUGGGGGCAUCUUUCCCCGAGAAGAAGUUGGCUGGCAAAAUUCCUGGCUUGAUUAACUCAUCGGUGAGUUCUUCGUCGAAUCGGCCAGUGGUUGAGUCAAAGCAGGUUGGGAGUUCGAAGAUCGGGUCAUCCCGCUGAUAAGGAAACCAGACGGUUGCGUCUUCAUUGAAGCCGUUGUAAAAGCAUCGAAAGUACUCGGCCACUUUUGUAGCAGAAUACGGACAACCUGGGAAGGCCGACGCCGCUUCGCCAAAAGACAUGCAUCGGCGACGAGCGGUAGGAUCUUCUGCCGAUUCAAUGUUAGGGAACAUCAUGUGACCCACAUUCUGCUUAGUAAUCUGGUUCAUAUAAAGAUUCAGCCAUAAAUUGAUGAACCACCAGGGGCCACCUGGGUUUCCAAUCGGCUUUCCCUUGGAUAGCUUGAUGCCGAUUUGAUGAAGCAUGUGGUACGCCGCCCCUAGCAAGUGUUUCCCAAGGGGAACAUGGGUCCCUCCGGAUAGUGCUUCGGCUAAAGCCUGGGUGUUGGUUGAUGGGUCGGCUGCUCUUCCACAAAAGAAGUAUUUUUCUAACCACAUCAUUAAGAAGGCCAUGUGCUCCCUAUUCUCAACAGACCCAUUUCUUUUAUUGCAUCUGAUGAAUCCUUUCCACCCACCGAUUCCUCUUGUGUCCAGCCGAUGUGACGUUACGGCUAAGAGGCGGAAAGGUGUGUCCGGGGAGGAAAUGUCAAGGCCAGUCAACAGAACCACAUCGGCCAGUGUUGGGGUCAUAGGUCCAUGCCCAAAUAAGAAAGCAUUGAGGGCAUCAGACCAAAAGUAAGAAGCCGCUAUUACCAACGGCUCAUUUUUCUCCAUCUGGGAUAAAGACAGGUUGAUACACUGGCCGAUUUUGAGCUCGUCCCAUGAGACCCUCUUCGACUCGGCUAUUCGUUGGUACCACUCCCUCCAACCUGGGGUUUCAUUCGGCCAAGACCUAAAGGUGCCUAGCCAGUGAUCCAGGUCCAUGGUGGAUUGCUUGAAGGGGAUUCUGUGGGUUUCUAGAUUGAUGAGCUCUAUUGGAUCUGGGUUCCCCAUGGGACCGAGGUAAAUAAGGCCGGGAUUUCCCGUAAGAUGGAUAGUAAUGCGAUGCCUAACCGCCUAAAAAAGGAAAGGGGGGUGUAAAAAGGUAAGAAACAGAUCUAAAGUAAAUGCAUUGCCGAUAGAAGAAGGAUUCGGUAAUAACCUCUGGGAUGAAGUUCCGUGUGGUCGGCGUGGUCGCCGGUACAGCUGCGGAGGAUGAGGCCGCGACGGGGAUCGCCAUUGGGAUCUCCGAUGAAGCUCCUUCUUCUGCCGAUGGAGCAACUGCUGUUGCCACUACCGCCGGAGGUGCUACUUCCGGAGCAUCGCGCGCUGGAGAGCUGCCAGAAGGAGCCGCCAUUGCAGGGGAAGAGAAGAAGUAACAGGAGGAUGGCGCUAAGAAGCUUCGGCGGCAAAGGAAAGGUGCUAAGGAAAGAAGAAGGCGCGCGCGCUGAGGAAGAAAGACGUGAGCUUGAAGAUGAAGUGCGGGGUGAACCGCUAUUUAAAGGGCGCCCGAAGAGGGGUAAAAAUGGAAUUUUUACCGCACCGGCGUUUCGAGUUUUUCGGGAGUAGUGGUUGUCGUGGGCGCCCGUUUCGAAAAGAUUGCAAUCAUCAGCUGGAAGACCGCGAAACAGAAGGAUAUUUUCAUUGCGGCUGUUUCGGAGGAGAGGUUAAAAAAGAAUUUCGAAGUAAAAGACUAUGUUUUACUCUGAAACUGGGGGGCAUGUGUUAACGCCAGAUUUCGUCACUAGUAAGAUCGACGCCAAGAAGAGAGGGAAUUGGAAAAGUACAGUCGGGAAUCGGCCGAAUGGUGCUACAGUACAAGAUCGGCUGAUGACUUCUCCCUCGCUUCGGAUCGUACACGCCGGAGUCCCAAUCGGUUGCCUUUUGCCGAUAAGGAAUCGGCCGUUUAGGAGGUUGGUUUAAUUGGGCCUGUAUGGGCUUGGAAAGGAAUAGAAGGAUAAGGGGGAAAUCAGCCCAUGAAGCGUAUAGUAACCAACCUAGCACGAAUCGUGCUUGUAAAUAUUCGUUUUCUAUUUGAAUUAGGGAUAGAAUUCUAGUCAGUUAAGGAGUCAUCUGUACGGGGCUAUAAAUAGCUACCUUUGUAAAUCUAUAAACAUCAACAAAUCAAUACAAUCAACUAUUUUUUUCCACGUACUUACUUUCAAGCAGGCGACUUCGCCAAAUACUUUCUCUUUUCACGAGUUCGUGCGAGUUGGAAAGGCUGCAUCAACUUGAUCCCCGGCCAAUCUUAUAAGUUCCGUUUACCGAGUAAAUUCUUUAACUUCGGGCGUAUCGCUGUUGUUUCAUUUAGAUUUAUUCACUAGUUAUCGAUAUUUACUAGAAUCAUAGGUUUUACUUGUCUUUCUAGUUUUAUCACCAGUUAUCUAGCUAGGAAUCGGCGGUUUCGGCUCUCUUUACAUUAUGUUAUUAAAUUCAUCUAUUAUAUUGCCGAUUAGAUCUAUUCCUAGUGUUGUUAUCAUAGCUUUGCGUCGAUUACUUCAGUAAUUUUCUGUCUACAACGCUACAGUGAUCGGUUGUCUUAUAGCCGAUUUCUUUAUUACGGCAAAUCGGCCGAUUCGCUGAUAAGCUCUCUCGAGAUCGGAAAUUUAGCCGAUCGUGAUUUCUGGACCUGACACGUAUUCUUCCUUGCCAAUCAACAGGUCAGAUUGGCUGGCACGCCGCGCGAACCGCACCAGGGCAAUCACCCGAACAGGAGUUAAGCAGAUUCUCCCGGGUCGUGUGUCAGACGCUGGGAUUCGGUUGACCGAUUUCUAGCGCCAACACAAAGCAUAUAGAGUUACCAAUAACUAUAGUAUGCCAGAACUAGAUAGAACCAAGAAACUUAUCAGCGCGAACAAGCAAGUUGUUGGAAUAUGAACAAAUGUGACAUAUGCAGUGAGAAUCUGGAAAAGGCACCAUCUAUCACUUAUAUCAAUGAAGCGAGCUAGGGACAAAAUUAUACUACUCCAACUUGCUGUGGCAUAGCUGAUCUGUGGGCCCACUGUGGUAGCUAGUAAAAAGGAACAUCAGUUGCAUAUAGAGGGGAAACGUCCACAACUAAAGUGCCAGUGUGCCGCUGGCCCGUCUACCACACGUACCUUGCCCGGACUUUUGGAAUUGCUGAUAUGCUGGCACAACUAAGACAAACAAGAGACUAGCUGGAUGUCAAAUUUCAUUAUAAACUCUAUAUAUACUCCUGUUUCACAAUACUAAUAGUUACCCCAUCACCCUCUACCUUUGUCUAUAGCAUCUCCAGCCACAGUUACCCCAUCACCAACCAAUCUCUGGAUAAUAAAUCGAUUCAGGGUUGUAACACCCUACCUUCAAAAUCUACUCAGUCCCCAGCUCCUCGCAUGGAAAUGAGCCCAUAUAUGGAUAACACCUAUCUUGCACUUGCCAGCACCCAUCCACCUAUCUUCGUCUGAGCUCAUCUCUUUCCAGCACCCACCUAUGCCCAUCCCCUUCUUGCAUCUCUUGCGGCUGCUGCCACAGGAUCCACCGCCAUAGACAAUUCUCUCGGUAACCCAUCAAUACUUGGGCUCAUGCAUCUACACCAGCCAAUUGAUCUCCCCUGCCUAAAUCACGCUGCCACCGCCACCUUACGUAACUGUCCAUGCUCUGCCAACCUCAAAUAUGUUGUCCUGCCGCACCACUCACCUUCCCUAUAACACCAACUAAAAAUGAUCCCCAAACUCCAAACACUCAAACCCAAACCCUAAUCUCGCUGGAGGCUGUAGGGAAUGAGGUCGCUCAGCCUUUGAUUGAAAAAUGGAGGAUGAAGCAAAAUUCAGAAGUGCGGGGCAAGGAAAUGAUUGCUGAAAUUAGGUGUAGAUUUCCUAGACCAAAGUAUUGUGGAAUAGAGGAGCAGUACUACACAGUAAAAAUAUAUCAUUAUUUUGUACAUAUGAUGUAGGCAAUAAUUGCGACUUUUUUUUUUAGGGGGGGGGGACCUACCUGAAAUUUCAUUGGAGCUGGAAGACCCAGGUGGAUUUUCAGAGUUCGUAAGUAAAAGACCUAGGAAAAGACUGAUUGCGUAAUUACAUGGUAAACAUUUGGCACCAGAUUCAGCAACUAUUCUUUCCUCCCUCUUCCAGCGGUGGCACCAUAGUCUUGCCUCUUCUUUGCAGGUAGCACGCAGACGUCCAAGAGAUGGCUCCAUGUUCAACACUGUUCCUGUGUUUCCAGAGUUGCCAGGCGCAGAGAAGCACAAAGGUGGUGUAGUGUAGGAUGGGAAGAUUUGCCGGACGGGGAAGUUCAGUCACCUUGCAGCCUGCAGUGUCAAUCUCCAUCGACUGCCAGAAGGAACUCCCGAAGGGGCAGGCGAACAGAAGGUGGUCACUGGUUUCCUCCGCCCUUUUGCAGACUUCACAGGUAGCAUUGGAUAGAACAUUCUUCAUACGUACGCAGGUUCACCCGGCUCUGGAUUCGGUCCUGCACCAGCAGCCAGGUGACGAACUUGACACGCGGAGGCGCCUUGUUCUCCCACACGAUUCAUGGAAGACGCAUGGUGCAGGGCCAAUUGCCUGCAUCGUGGCCUUGUAGACCGGCCCUGCUCUCAUGGUGCCGUCAUCGCUCAGCAGCACUGAUGCUUUGUAGUCGUCGCCAUCUCCCAGCUGGAUGUUUUGUAGUAGUUCCUGCAUUAGCCGUGGAACAAAGAGCUGGCGCAGAUUAGAGCUCAGAUUAAGUGCACUUGACGCUUACUCUUUUCUUCCAUGUACUAUUUUAUAUCUUUCAUUUAGUGUGUAAGAUAUUAGAACAUGGGGUGGUAUCAGCACAUGGUUGGCGUGGCGGUGAAGUUGUACUAUGAUUGGAGGGCCACUAUCACAUGUGCUAGUUAAAGGCCAGACCAACAAGACGUCAACCAGACCAUACCGGGCCUCUAUAUAAAGGAACCCGAACCUAGAUAAACGUCCACACCGAAAAUGGCUGCAACACUCUUGUCCUCCUCUAUGGCUCUCGCUCUGCUUCCACUCCUGCUGCUAGCAGCCGCGUCCAUUCCCUCUCUGGCUUCAGCUUCACCUUCCCUCGACCAUGGUUUGGAUGGCGAGGAGCUGCUGAUGCUGGGGAGGUUCCAUGGGUGGAUGGCGGCGCACGGCCGGUCAUACGCCAACGAGGAGGAGAAGCUUCGCCGCCUCAAGAUAUACCGAAGCAACAUGGAGUUGAUCGAGGCGGCCAACCAGGAUGGCCGGAUGAGCUACCAGCUCGGCGAGACACCGUUCACCGACCUCACCAAUGAUGAGUUCAUGGCCCAGUACAGCAGCAAUCUGUUGUCCUCGGUGCCGCCGGAGGAGGAGAUGAUCAGGACUCGCGCUGGCCCCGUCCAUGAGGGAGGUGGCCAUGGCGGUGAUCUCCCUCUCGCCGCCGGUAAGGAGCCACCGCGACCCGCGUCCUACCAACCUGACAUCAUUGCCGGCCAGCAUUGAUUGGAGGAUGAUGGGCGUCGUGACGGCAGCCAGGAAUCAAGGCGCUUGCGGUAAGUAUGCCAGUGACAUCCAAAGCCAUGCAUGCGUGAAAAUUUACUGGUGCAAGUGUCUACGUGCUUGAAGGGUCUUGCUGAGCGUUCGCGUCGGUGGCGACGAUGGAGAGCGCACAGGCAAUACGCACACGAACAGUGCCUUCACUCCAGUCGGAACAGCAGCUGGUAGACUGCGACGGGUACGGCUAGACUUGUCACUGGAUUUGCAUUAUCCAUAGUCCAUUUGAACUAUUUUAUCCUUAGACUCUAUUGGACUGCAUCAUAUUGGUUAGGUCCAAACCUAACACAGACUUGGUUGAUCCCUUUCCAUCACCAUCUCUAGGUACGACCUAGGCUGCCGUGGCGGCUUUUUGGGCAAUGCAUUCCCAUGGGUGAUCCAGAUCGGGGGCAUCAUCUGGGCCCCGUUGUACCCCUACAUCGGUAUGUCUGGUAUGUGCCAGAGAUUCAAGCCUGCUGCGGUUAGGCUUCGGAGCUACCGGUGGGUUGUGCCCAACGAGGUGUCGCUCAUGCAGGCCGUGGCGCAGCAGCCCGUCGCGGUCACCAUCUGACGCGAGCAACCCCUGUUUCCAGCAUUACUACGUAUAAAUUGUAUACAGAUCCCAAAAUAAAUAUUCUCGUUUUGUUGUGUUCCUAAUGAGUCAUAGUUCUGUACAAAAUAUGUAUGCUCAAGCUACUCACUACGGGAAACCUCAAAGUUGCCGAGUGUAAUUGCUUCGCCGAGUGUAUUAUUGUGGGCACUCGGCGAAGGACCGGUUUGCCGAGUGCAAUCCUAGAAACACUCGGCAAACAUAAUACACUCGGCGAAAACACGAUUUGCCGAGUGCCACCAAAAAAACACUCGGCAAACACCCACGGGGCACUCGGCAAAGAUGGGGCACUCGGCAAAGUCUUGAGCACGUGACUUCCACGUGCCGCGCUGGGCCGCCGCCGUGACGGACAUUAGGCUUUGCCGAGUGUCGACGGGGGGCACUCGGCAAACUUGGAGUUUGCCGAGUGUCUCCAUGGGCACUCGGCAAGACAGCGUUCAGAGCACACCUCUCGGUGGGGCACUCGGCAAGCGCAAGCUCAACGAAUUCCUGGCUCUUACCUAGGGAAACCGAAAAAACCCUCCUCCCACUAGUGUGCCGAGUGUUGCGAAACGUUCCCCCGAGUCCAGUGCGGCCACGCGUGCGCCGCGCCCCCUGACGCGGCCAGCCACCACCAGGGCUCCCGCUCUCCGAGCCCUUUGCUCUUCUCCCUAUCCCCCCCACCACUUAUUGCAGCCGCCUCGCGCACGGCACGCCGAAAGCUCGCGUCCUGUUAGUGGCCUCGAGUAGCGUUCCCAGUGCGCAGCGGGACGGAACGAAGCCCGACCGCUGCGAGAUUUCAAGCCUUGGAUUGCGGCCGCUGCGAGAUUUCAAACCUUGGACUGCGGCCGCGUUAGGGGAUGCCUGAGUGCGCUAGUAUGCCGAGUGCUAAAAAGGACACUCGGCAAACCUACUAGUUUGCCGAGUGUCGUGAUGGGACACUCGGCAAACCUAUUAGUUUGCCGAGUGUUGUGAUGGGACACUCAGCAAAGUGGCGAGUAUGCCGAGUGCUAGAGGGAACACUCGGCAUACUUUAGGGUUUGCCGAGUGUUUUUUGACACACUCGGCAAAAGUAAUUUUUUUCCCUCCUCCACCCUCCAAACUUUUUACACUCCACAUGUAUGGCAUUUGGCACUGCAUGGUAGAAGGUGGACUAUUUAUUGACCUGUUUGCUAUAUUUAAUCAAUUAAUUUCAUUUAGAGUAAUUUUUUGAUUUAAGUCAAAUUUGAACUGCAGGUGAUUGGAAUAAUGGAAUAAUAUGAGUGGAAAAAUCAUAUUCAUGUUAGUGAGUCCAAAUUGAGGUCUCACCCAGAAAAUGAAAAGAAAUUUUGAACAUUUUGUUAAGGAAACACGACUACGAACAAGUGGCCAAAUGAUUGUUUAAUUCUCAAAAAUACAAACGAAGUUUGAAAAUCACAAGAUUUUGCAAGAUGCUAUGAUUUCAUAUGCAGAGGCUGUGGUAAAAAAUUGACAAGGUUUCGCACAAGUUUUGACAUAUGAUGUUUAGAAUUCGAAGCAUCUCCGGAGAGGAUUUGUAGAAGUUGGAAGGAUCCGGUAAGAUUUUGAGACGAAUCGAUACUUGAAUUUGUCAUUGAGUCCCAAUUUAUUUUUAUAGGCUAUAGAGAACAUAGAUUGGUUCAUGUCAAAUUUUGAGAAUUUUUCGGAUCCGUUUGGUAAUUUUUAUUCAUUAAUUGCACGUAUAUGAAUUUAAUAGAUAUAAAUUUAAUAUGAGCUAUAAAUCCAUGAAAUAAUGGAAUAAUAUGACUUAAAAAAUGAAAUACGCAAUGUUUAGUGAAUUUGACUAGGCUUUUGCAAACUUUACAUACUUUUAAUUAAUAAAACCAGUUUGGACAUGAAAUAAUAGUACCUAUUUGCCGAGUGUCACGGGAUGGCACUCGGCAAAGAGCCUAUUUGCCGAGUGUCAACCCUGGGACACUCGGCAAAUGUCGCCGCGGUCCACCUGUCAGCCGCAGUUUGAAAUUCGAAAAAAAAAUUUAAAACAAUAAAAAAAAUUGUUUGCCGAGUGCUCCUGAUCUAGCACUCGGCAAAGGCUUUGCCGAGUGCUAGAUCAGGAGCACUCGGCAAAGCGGGCACCCCCACCACACUUAGCGCAUCACGCGCCUCACGCGGACAGGCACAGGCACAACACGCACACGCCCGCGCCCGCCCGGCCCCCCGCGACCGCUCCGCCGCCCGGGCCGAGCCGUCGCCGCUCGCCCGCGCCGCCGCCACCGCCGCUCGAACAACCGCGCCCGCUCCGCCGCCCCGCGCCCGCUACCGCCACCAUGUUCGCGCCGGCGCCGCUCGCCCUCACCGCACUGGCACCCCAGCAUCACCGCGACCGGCUGCGCGCCGCACAGACUGGUCUGAGACGCCAAUGAAUAGAUGACCUUGCUAGAGAGUCAACUCAGGCCCACAUAGCGCAGGCUCGCCCGUCCGCUUCGACUCCGGCCAGACCCCGACCCCGGGGCGUCUGGCAGGAUCGCUUGUCGCCGUCCCCAUUGCCCUNNNNNNNNNNNNNNNNNNNNNNNNNNNNNNNNNNNNNNNNNNNNNNNNNNNNNNNNNNNNNNNNNNNNNNNNNNNNNNNNNNNNNNNNNNNNNNNNNNNNUUGAAUACAGAUAGCUUGGAAUUAUCCCUGCUCUCAGCGGAUCAUUAACUGGUUCUGUUUCCCACCUUUGCAGUUUUCUUGGACAGAUAAGCUUAUGUGUUGGUGUCUUUUGUAUCUAUGGUAGAAUCCGGUUCGAGAUAGAGUUCGGCAGCACCUUACUUUUAUUCUCCAGAACACAAUCUCCCUGUCAAGGACGUGUAUUUGGAGAACAGCGGGGAGGUGCUGCCGAAAUUUUAUCUCGGGUCAGAGUAGACCAUGGAUAUUAAACCCACCUACACAUUCUCGGGUGGGAUUAGGACCUAUCUUUACCUAGUAGACAAUAAAGGAACGUGUAUAUGUAAUGUGAAUUUUGUAUUACUCGCUUAAAUGGUAGAGGAUGGAGGAUCGUCAGUGGAUGUACAUGGGUCGCAAUAGUCAGAAUACGUUGACCAAUGAAUGGAUUGACAAGACGGAUGCUUUCUUGGAACGGGCAUUUGCAAGUGUCAAAGGAGCUCGAUCGACUUGGUGUCCGUGCAGCAAAUGUGGAAACAUGCGUCGGCAAACCAAGCUAGACAUGGGCAAACAUCUUGUGAAGAACAGAUUUACGUCAGACUACACCAGGUGGAUCUACCAUGGUGAAUCUGACCGUGGGAGAGAGGAGGUCCUGAGACAACGCAUCGAGGAAUUUGAUGAUGAUGCCGGGGUGGGAGACAUGUUAAAUGACUACCAUGAAGCACACUUCGAAGAAGCACGUAGGGAGGAGGAGCCAGAGGCUACCGCUAAGGCUUAUUACGAAAUGUUGUCUGCGGCACAGCAACCCCUUCACGGCCAUACCAAGGUUUCUCAACUAGAUGCCAUUGCACGCCUAAUGGUUGUGAAGUCUCAGUUUAGUUUGAGUCGAGACGCGUUUGAUAUUAUGUUGACAGUUUUUGGAAGCCUGCUCCUGGUUGGUCACAUCUUGCAAAGAGCAUGUAUGAGGCACAAAAACUCCUUCGUGCACUUAAGAUGCCAUACGAGCAUAUACAUGCUUGCCCGAAGGGAUGCAUCUUAUUUAGGAAAGAGUAUGCGGAAGCAAAAUACUGUGUGAAGUGCGAAUCGUCUAGGUUUCUGGAGGUAGACUGUGGUGACGGUCAGAAAAAGCAGCUCGCAAUUCCUGUGAAGGUUCUACGGUAUCUUCCUUUCAUACCGAGGAUCCAACGGCUUUUCAUGACUGAAGAAUCCGUGAAACAGAUGACAUGGCACAAAAAUGGCUGUCGCUAUAAUCCUGAGAAGCUGGUACACACAUCCGAUGCUAAAGCCUGGAAAAGCUUUGAAGCGAUUUAUCCUGCAAAAGCUCUAGAGGCCUGUAACGUACGCGUUGCGUUGGCAACUGAUGGGUUCAAUCCUUAUGGAAUGGCUGCCGCCCCGUACACCUGUUGGCCCAUUUUUGUUAUCCCCCUGAAUCUCCCCCCCGGCGUCCUAUUUCAAUGACAUAAUAUAUUCUUAUCGUUGAUAAUUCCAGAGCAUCCGGGGAAUAAUAUGAGUGUGUACAUGGAGCCUCUGAUUGAUGAUUUGCUCCGUGCUUGGGAGGAAGGGGUAUGGACAUUUGACCGAUCCACAAAGACAAACUUCAAGAUGCAUGUUUGGUACCAGUACUCACUGCAUGACUUGCCGGCAUAUGGGAUUUUCUCCGGAUGGUGUGUUCACGGGAAGUUCCCAUGCCCAGUAUGUAAAGCAUCUUUAAAGUUCAUUUGGUUGUCGAAAGGUGGCAAAUAUUCUUCGUUCGACAAACAUCGACAAUUCCUCCCUCCUGACCAUCCAUUUAGACGAGACAUCAAGAACUUUACCAAAGAUGUUGUAGUUACAGCCCCCGCACCGCCGAUGAUGACAGAGGCCGUAGUUCGUGCUCAGUUAGACGCUCUCAAGGUCAAUAAUGAAGAAGGUGGUUUUUUGGGAUAUGGCGAGCAACAUGCUUGGACGCGGAAGUCGUGCUUGUGGAAGCUUCCAUAUUUUGAUGAUCUUCUUGUUCCACAUAACAUUGAUGUAUUGCACACGGAAAAAAAUAUCGCCGAGGCAAUUUUUGGUACAAUAAUGGACAUUCCUGACAAGACAAAGGAUAACGUUAAGGCUAGAGUGGAUCAAGCGACAUUGUGCAACAGACCACAGCUAAACAUGGCGCCUCCAAGAGCUGGCAAGUCGUGGAGGAAGCCUAAGGCUAAUUUCGUUCUGACAAGGGCCCAAAGGAGGGAGGUUCUAGAAUGGUUCCAAACGUUAAUGUUCCCUGAUGGCUAUGCAGCGAACUUGAAGAGGGGAGUGAAUUUAGCAACUAUGCGAAUCAACGGGCUCAAGAGUCAUGAUUACCAUAUAUGGCUUGAGCGCCUACUUCCGGUGAUGGUUCGAGGCUAUGUCCUUGAGCAUGUGUGGCAGGUGCUAGCGGAGUUGAGCAAUUUCUUCCGCCGGCUUUGUGCGAAGGAGUUAUCUCGUACUGUGGUUGCAAAAAUGGAAGCAAUGGCACCUGUGUUGCUGUGUAAGUUGGAGAAGAUCUUUCCUCCAGGCUUCUUCAAUCCAAUGCAGCAUAUGAUUCUACACUUGCCGUAUGAAGCAUGAAUGGGGGGGCCUGUGCAGGGUCGUUGGUGCUACUCAAUUGAGAGAUGUCAAAAGGUUCUUCGAACUAAAUGUAAGAAUAAGGCAAAAUUGAAGCAUCCAUUGUAGAGGCAUACAUUCUGGAGGAGGUGUCAAACUUCACAUCGAAAUACUACGCUGACAACCUUCCUAGCAUGCAUAAUCCACCUCCUCGUUACAAUGCCAGCGAAGAUGAAUUAAGCCUUAGCAUUUUCCGAGGGCAACUUGGAAGUGCAAGUGGUGCGAUCCGCAAGACCCUAAACCAUGAAGAGUGGCGCUCUAUCAUGCUGUAUGUGUUGACCAACUUAUUUGAAGUGGAGCUGUACAUGAUGUAAGUUCUCAUAAACUUGUUUCGACAUAGUCACCGUAUCUCUUGCCUAAACGUAUCUUUCUCGUUGCUAUAGGCAAUUUCAUCAUCAAUUCUAGCGUAAAUCAAGGCAACCGUACCCGCAUGAAGCUGAGACUCUUCUUAAAGAGGGUGCGGGAAAUGGAAUGCCCGAUUUCAUUUCCUGGUUCAAACAGAAGGUACAAUUUCAUUUCUUCGAACAUUCUCGUUCUCGUACAUACGAUUAAUAUAACGAACUGCCCUGUUUGAACUUGCAGGGCCGAACCGAUGCAUCUAUGAAUGUCGAGUUGAGACAGGUUGCCGAUGGUUGUGACUAUAGGGUCAGGUCGUUUGCCGGUUAUGACGUCAACGGAUAUAGGUUUCACACAACAAGGCACGAGCAGAGUUGGCCCAAUCGAAGAACCACAAAUACCGGAGUUUUCACGCCAGGCUCCGAUGGGGUCGAGUACUACGGAAGAAUUGAAGAAAUAUACGAACUCACUUUUCAUGGGUGCAAACCUCUUAAUCCAGUUAUAUUCAAAUGCCAUUGGUUUGAUCCAUCUGUCGUGAGACGGGCCCCUAACCUUAGGCUAGUCGAAAUUCGACAGUCAUCCAGGUUACCAGGAGACGAUGUCUAUAUUGUGGCUCAACAGGCUACGCAAGUUUAUUAUUUGUCAUACCCGUGCCAAACCGACACCCGUCUUAAGGGUUGGGAUGUUGUGUACAAGGUAUCACCACACGGUAAACUACCUGUACCAAACAAUGAAGAUUACAAUAUAGACCCCGACACGUACGAAGGAGAGUUAUUCCAAGAAGAUGGGCUCGAAGGGAGUUUUGUGAUAGAUUUAACCGAAGCGAUCGGAAUGGAAGUAGACAACGAGAGGGUUGCUGCAGAGGACGGUGGAGACGAGGUUCAGAAUGUGAAGGACUUAGAAUUACUUCAACGAUUACAGUUAGCUAAUGACAGUGAUGACGACAUUCCUUCUUCGGAGCACGAGCUUGACUAUAUCGACACGCGUGAUAGUGAUGAUGAGACUUAUGAUCCAGCUAAUCCCGAUCAUGAUGAUUAUUUCUAAUACAUGUAUGAUUCGUACUAAUUUAGUUAUAAUUUAAUUAUAAUUUGCAUAUCUUUGUAAUUAUGUGUUGUUUGCCUAUGCUGACUCGUGUACUCUUUUUAAUUGCAGGUCAUUGAGCAACGGUGGGCGGUAUAAGGAAGCUCACGUCGAUUUGCGAGAGACUGGCCGCGUCAGGGACUGGUUUAGGGUCAGGGUCACGUUUAGGGAGCGGUCGAGGGAGGUGUCAAGGCAGGCCUCGACAGCAUGUGUGGCAGGUGCUAGCGGAGUUGAGCAAUUCUUCCGCCGGCUUUGUGCGAAGGGAGUUAUCUCGUACUGUGGUUGCAAAAAUGGAAGCAAUGGCACCUGUGUUGCUGUGUAAGUUGGAGAAGAUCUUUCCUCCAGGCUUCUUCAAUCCAAUGCAGCAUAUGAUUCUACACUUGCCGUAUGAAGCAUGAAUGGGGGGGCCUGUGCAGGGUCGUUGGUGCUACUCAAUUGAGAGAUGUCAAAAGGUUCUUCGAACUAAAUGUAAGAAUAAGGCAAAAUUGAAGCAUCCAUUGUAGAGGCAUACAUUCUGGAGGAGGUGUCAAACUUCACAUCGAAAUACUACGCUGACAACCUUCCUAGCAUGCAUAAUCCACCUCCUCGUUACAAUGCCAGCGAAGAUGAAUUAAGCCUUAGCAUUUUCCGAGGGCAACUUGGAAGUGCAAGUGGUGCGAUCCGCAAGACCCUAAACCAUGAAGAGUGGCGCUCUAUCAUGCUGUAUGUGUUGACCAACUUAUUUGAAGUGGAGCUGUACAUGAUGUAAGUUCUCAUAAACUUGUUUCGACAUAGUCACCGUAUCUCUUGCCUAAACGUAUCUUUCUCGUUGCUAUAGGCAAUUUCAUCAUCAAUUCUAGCGUAAAUCAAGGCAACCGUACCCGCAUGAAGCUGAGACUCUUCUUAAAGAGGGUGCGGGAAAUGGAAUGCCCGAUUUCAUUUCCUGGUUCAAACAGAAGGUACAAUUUCAUUUCUUCGAACAUUCUCGUUCUCGUACAUACGAUUAAUAUAACGAACUGCCCUGUUUGAACUUGCAGGGCCGAACCGAUGCAUCUAUGAAUGUCGAGUUGAGACAGGUUGCCGAUGGUUGUGACUAUAGGGUCAGGUCGUUUGCCGGUUAUGACGUCAACGGAUAUAGGUUUCACACAACAAGGCACGAGCAGAGUUGGCCCAAUCGAAGAACCACAAAUACCGGAGUUUUCACGCCAGGCUCCGAUGGGGUCGAGUACUACGGAAGAAUUGAAGAAAUAUACGAACUCACUUUUCAUGGGUGCAAACCUCUUAAUCCAGUUAUAUUCAAAUGCCAUUGGUUUGAUCCAUCUGUCGUGAGACGGGCCCCUAACCUUAGGCUAGUCGAAAUUCGACAGUCAUCCAGGUUACCAGGAGACGAUGUCUAUAUUGUGGCUCAACAGGCUACGCAAGUUAUUAUUGUCAUACNNNNNNNNNNNNNNNNNNNNNNNNNNNNNNNNNNNNNNNNNNNNNNNNNNNNNNNNNNNNNNNNNNNNNNNNNNNNNNNNNNNNNNNNNNNNNNNNNNNNNNNNNNNNNNNNNNNNNNNNNNNNNNNNNNNNNNNNNNNNNNNNNNNNNNNNNNNNNNNNNNNNNNNNNNNNNNNNNNNNNNNNNNNNNNNNNNNNNNNNNNNNNNNNNNNNNNNNNNNNNNNNNNNNNNNNNNNNNNNNNNNNNNNNNNNNNNNNNNNNNNNNNNNNNNNNNNNNNNNNNNNNNNNNNNNNNNNNNNNNNNNNNNNNNNNNNNNNNNNNNNNNNNNNNNNNNNNNNNNNNNNNNNNNNNNNNNNNNNNNNNNNNNNNNNNNNNNNNNNNNNNNNNNNNNNNNNNNNNNNNNNNNNNNNNNNNNNNNNNNNNNNNNNNNNNNNNNNNNNNNNNNNNNNNNNNNNNNNNNNNNNNNNNNNNNNNNNNNNNNNNNNNNNNNNNNNNNNNNNNNNNNNNNNNNNNNNNNNNNNNNNNNNNNNNNNNNNNNNNNNNNNNNNNNNNNNNNNNNNNNNNNNNNNNNNNNNNNNNNNNNNNNNNNNNNNNNNNNNNNNNNNNNNNNNNNNNNNNNNNNNNNNNNNNNNNNNNNNNNNNNNNNNNNNNNNNNNNNNNNNNNNNNNNNNNNNNNNNNNNNNNNNNNNNNNNNNNNNNNNNNNNNNNNNNNNNNNNNNNNNNNNNNNNNNNNNNNNNNNNNNNNNNNNNNNNNNNNNNNNNNNNNNNNNNNNNNNNNNNNNNNNNNNNNNNNNNNNNNNNNNNNNNNNNNNNNNNNNNNNNNNNNNNNNNNNNNNNNNNNNNNNNNNNNNNNNNNNNNNNGGUUGCGAGGUCCCUCAUUCCUCCCGAAGCGGCCGAUACCUGAGCAUUUACGCCCGCUGAUUAAACCGGUUGGGACCAAGUAAGUAACUUUAAAUAUUCUUAAUAUUGUUCUUAUGUUGAAAGUUACAAAAACUAAUAAUUCAUAUUAAUGACUUGUGCAGGAGUUGGAUUAAGCUCAGUGGGGGUGACCACAACCGUAAGGCCAACGGGAUCCUUGGCCUUUUGUGCAGGGUUCACUUCCCUGGCUUGGUGGUGUACGCCGGACAGCAGCAGCCAGCCUACAUGUGGGACGACUAUCUCGCCGCCCCCGAUGUCCCUGAUCGUCAACAGAGAAGAUUCCCCAACAUAGCGGAGCGGGUCAAGGCCGAGAUGUGGGUAAGUACUCCUCGUACUAAAUUGCUCAAUACAUCACCUACUUUCGACAUUCUUGAAAUAAUAACUGUAUACGCGUGUAUAUGCAGGAUUUCUAUUGAUGCCAGGAGGGGUUCGAGGCCAAGGCGAAGGCCAUCUAUGAUGUAGCCGCCAAGAAGCUCGUGAAGGACAUGCAUUACGAGGCGCGCAUCCAGGCCAUCAUCGAAUUCCACGCUCAAUACAGACAGAUGAAGGUUAGAAAAGAAGAGGCAAGAACACUGAACAUGACUAAGGACCAAUUCAUGAGGGUAAGUAAAGAACGUUGAUGCUUACUAUUUAAGAUUAAUUAGGCUCAUUUUUUCUUUUUCAUAUGUCACACGCUUGAUGAUGUAGGUGCCUCCGUGGUGGUGUCAUGCGCAUAUGCCGUGCUGGGAGAGGAUGGUCGACGUGUGGUUGGAGCCCGGGUGGUUGGAGAACCACCUUGCUUGCCGACAGCGGCGUUUGCAGAUGCCAACUGCACCACACCAUCAAGGCAGCCUAAGCCUUGAUGAAUAUAGAGAAAAAUGGGUACGCAACUUCAAUUCUUUAUUGUAACGUUCAGUUCUACGUAAUUUUUAAUGAUUUUAUAUUUUACCGCAGUCGGCAUCACAUGAUGGCCGACCUUGCUCCCAGCUCAAGGCAUGGGUCCUCUCCAAAAAGGGCAAGGCGAUGGCCGAUACAGAUUUCAACCCAGACGAUCCCGUCCGAGACGUACAGCCACCCUAGCAUACACAGCCGCGUCAGCGAGUAUACAAAGAUGGCUAGGGAGGUUCACGGGCCAGACUUCGAUCCGAGCUCCGAGGACAUUGAUGGGGAAAUCGUGAUGAGGGUGGGAGGAGGCAAGAAGCAUGGCCGAUAUUGGAUUGGCGACAGCGUCAUCGACACGGCCUCUACUCCCACUCUCUCCCAUAUCCGAGCUAGGAGCACGGACUCGAGCCUGGCGAUAUGGCCACGACCCACCGUUGCACAGUUCCAGAUGGAUGCUCUACAGGUUCUUUCUCUUCCAUUCACGUUCGUUUGUUGUUAUAAUUUGGCUUUGCAUUAUAACAUUGCAAUGAAAUAUUGUAGGCCCAGGUGGAAGAAGCAAGGAAGAAACAAGAGGAGAUGGCGGCGCAGAUGGAGGAAAUGCGGCGGAGGAUGGAGGAGGAAAAUCGGAUUAGGAUGGAGCAGAUGUUCCAGUACAUGCAGAACUUUGCUUCGAGCAUGGGACAGUCUUUGCCUCCGCCACCGCCGAUGAUGUUCCCUCCGCCUCAGCCACCCACGACUACUCCUCUGAGUCACUUGACACAUUGUGCUUAAGAUUCAAUACUUUAAUUUUGACAACUUUAGAUGUUAGUUCAGAAUGUCCUAUCCUAUGUGCAGAAUCAAUCGGCGGCUUCGAAUAAUGAACAUCAAGAUUUAUCGCAGUGGUCUCCUUGGCCUCCACGGAACUAGACUUGGUUGUGAACUUGGUUGAAACUAAAUUGUGACUUGAACUUGGAUUUAUGGAUUGUUUUGUGCUUAUGUUGAAUUAUGCAUGUGAUGUUUAUGUAUAAUGUUUCUAAUGGUGGUUGUGAAUUAUGCCUGUGAUUGUUUAUUACAAAUGCCUAUGAUGAUGUGUAUUAUGAAUUGAGAGGGAUCCGUUAUACGUGACAAAAUGGGGAAAAAAGGGGGGUUCUGGGCACUUUCCCGAAUGUUACACUCGGCAAAGAGGGGCCUUUGCCGAGUGUUUUGGCUUUAACACUCGGCAAACAUGGGCACUUUGCCGAGUGCUGACACUCGGCAAAGCCCUGGUGUUUGCCGAGUGCCUCCCGUCUGGCACUCGGCAAACCUGCAGUUAAACCCGACGCCGUCAUCGCGUAUUUCGCCGAGUACAUCUUUUCGUCGAGUGUUUUUUGGCCGUCGGCAAAAUGUUUGCUGAGUGCUCGCAUUUUGACACUCGGCAAACUAGGCUUUGCCGACAGGAAAUUUGCCGUGUGCUCUUUGCCGAGUGUUUUUGGGCUUUCGCCGAGUGCCUGUGGCACUCGGCAAAGCUUCUGGUUCCGUAGUGACUAUUGUAGAUCGUUUGCGAAACUAAUUUUCUUAGCUUCCUUGUAUCAUUUAUAUUCCAGAUCUGUAACUUGAACUCGUGGAAUAUAUGUGUUUUCCCACUGUUUUGGAUUUAUUCCUUGUUUGCUGAUUGAAUCUUGAAAAGUUCAUAGUAAAUAGCAGAAAAAUGAUAAAAUGUUGGAACUACAUUUGUUAGACUAGUUUUCCUGUACAGAACCUCUGAAAAAUUUUCUCCAUGUCUUCAUUGCCGGCACUUAGCCCAGAACGCCUUGCACUGUUGCACAGUCCGCAACUAACUCUUCUCUUCUACUCUUUUUGCACGGAAGUUCCCUGAAAUCAUAUCAGAAGUCUCAAAUUAUUACACACGCCAUAGCUUUUCGUUGUACACCUCAGAAGCCCUCGAGAAGUAAAAUUGACCAUAAUUUAGCCGUGUAAUCGGCCAAUGCCACAUCAAAUAGUCAAAUCAAGUAGUAAGCAUUUGCCAGAUCAAGUAUUCUGCAUCUCAAGUAGGAGUUAACAAAAGCAGCAAAUGCAUUUCUUCCAAUGUGACGGAAAACAUAAAUAAGCCGGAUUCUCCAAGCAAGUGUAGCCCCUGUGAUAGAUCAUGCAACGGAGAAAAUAUAUCAUUUGGUCAUACCUGAGAAUUGGGAUGGGAUUUUGGGAGGGAUACAUGUAUUUGUAACCAGUUCGUUCCUUCACAUAUUGUGGUCGUCGGUGGCAUGGUGCAGCUGGGUUUUGCCAUCCUAUUUUCGAUAGAAAAAACAAGAUCAUUUAACAUAUGUGCACAGGUAUAUGCAUGUAUACAUUAGCUUCUAAACCGUAAAAGAACUUGAAUUAGUGUGUAUCAUGGCUGGCGAAGGGAUGCGGCUGAUGGACUCCGUGCUUGCGUCGUCGUGCAUUGAUUGGAGGAUGAUGGCCGUCGUGACGGCAGCCAAGAAUCAAGGCGCUUGCGGUAAGUAUGCCAGUGACAUCCAAAGUCAUGCAUGCGUGAAAAUUUACUGAUGCAAGUGUCUACGUGCUUGAAGGGUCUUGCUGGGCGUUCACGUCGGUGGCGACGAUGGAGAGCGCACAGGCAAUACACACACGAACAGUGCCUCCACUCCUGUCAGAACAGCUGCUGGUAGACUGCGACGGGUACGGCUACACUUGUCACUGGAUUUGCAUUAUCCAUAGUCCAUUUGAACUAUUUUAUCCUUAGACUCUAUUGGACUGCAUCAUAUUGGUUAGGUCCAAACCUAACACAGACUUGGUUGAUUCCUUUCCAUCACCAUCUCUAGGUACGACCUAGGCUGCCGUGGCGGCUUUUUGGGCAAUGCAUUCCGAUGGGUGAUCCAGAUCGGGGGCAUCACCUGGGCCCCGUUGUACCCCUACAUCGGUAUGUCUGGUAUGUGCCAGAGAUUCAAGCCUGCUGCGGUUAGGCUUCGGAGCUACCGGUGGGUUGUGCCCAACGAGGUGUCGCUCAUGCAGGCCGUGGCGCAGCAGCCCGUCGAAGUCACCAUCUGACGCAAGCAACCCCUGUUUCCAGCAUUACUACGGCGGCGUGUACGACGGAAGGUGCUUCUGGAACGGCGUCUACAUCGGUGGGGCGUGCGGGACGGCGCCGAAUCACGCGAUAGCCAUCGUCGGCUACGGGACCAAGCCGGGCGGAACCAAGUAUUGGAUCGGCAAGAACUCGUGGAGUGGGAGUUGGGGUGACAAAGGUUUCGUUUACCUCCUCAGGGACUCUGCACGCGUAGGAGUGUGCGGCGUUGCUCAGCAAGCGCGCUACCCUAUCAUCUGAUCAUCCCAGUCGCCAAAUCGCCACGCACCUCAUAUGUUUGCCUCCAUGUGCUUGCAUUCAUGUUUUCACCAUACCUUGCUGUUUACUCAUGUAUACUCCAUUGUUGCAGUAUGAAUGCUACAUGUGUAUACGCGUACUGUAUGUUUGUACUUUAUACAUGUAUCAUUGUAAGGGUUAGGAUGCUACACAUGCAUCCUUGCCUAUGAAUAAAUACUCUUUGUAUAAUGGACGUCCAACUUAUAAGAUGUCUGGAAAAUAGGAUCUAUAUAUCCAGGUCAUAGGUGUCGUCCGACCGAUUCCACUACUACAGAACAUGUUAUCUGUGCUGGCCAAAAGCGCACCGGCACGGAAAACUGUUGUGUCAAUCAUAAGUAUUUUUACCUGAAGGUUAUACACAGAAGUAAAGUAAAUAUGGAAGAAUACACAAAGAACAAGUAUGGAAAUUCAUUCACUUUAGAGUACAAUGCAAUUUCCCAUUGUGUGGCUGCUGAAUCACGUGGCCUCGAGAGGCCUCCGGACAAUAAGAGAAGUUUCAAUUUCAAGUAGCGUUGAAGGGAGGCAUACAAUUGAAGGACUCGAAAGGCAACAAGAGGGGUUGAAUGCGAGCCGAUUCAAAUUUUCUCCAAGAACUUCAGCUAAAAACCCACAAGCCUCUCUUCUAGCAAAAUCAAGUCCACUUAGCUAUGCACAAGCUAAUAGACCUAGGAAUGAUGCUACGAACCCAAUUUGAGAAUAGCGGAAGCAAGAAAAACUCCAAACAAGCUCCGGAAGACAAACUUUGAAAACCAACAUCUCUGUGCGGAAAAAUUCGGAGGAACCUUCGGAAAAUUCCGGACGUGCGAAAAUUUCCGAAGGUCCGGAGAUUUCCGGAAUUAUAUCAGGAGGUUUCCGGAAUUCCAAAACAGCCUGCGCGAAGAUGGUAGAAAAAUCUGAAACGGGGUCAAACGACCUCCAAUAAUCACAAAAUUUGAACCAUAGCUUCACAACUUAGUAAAGAAGCUUCUCCUAUGAAAUCAUCCCCAAAAGAUUUGCCAAUCAAGAAGAAUUCCAAAUCUUGUGAAGAACUCUAUUUUCUCAACCCCAAAACUUGAAUCGAUCCGAUCUUUGAACUCGUAAUGUUUCAAUUAAAUCCCUUCGGUGGAAAGGUUCAACUCACAUCCUAGUUCAUUUUCAAACAACUGGAUUGAUUUAAAACUCCCCACAAAACAUGAAUCGACCAAAAAUGUGAAGGCAGCGGAGAGGAAGAAGCAAAAACGUGAAGAACACAAACGCAAAUUGCAAAUCCAAACGGGAUGCAACAAGAUAGCAUGAAAUUGAUCUUUGGAUUACUUCACCAUGUCCGGUUACAAGCCACUCCUUAGCACAAUCAAAGCUAGGAUGGCAACAAGAUCAAACAAAGAUCCACUCUUCUCUCCCUCUCUCCCUCUACCAAAGACUCUCACAAAACAAAUGAGUAGCCUACCACCAACAAGCCCAAGGAGAUGGCUGCCCCAACAGCCCCUCCUCAUAUAUAUAGACAUUUGGCAAAUGUCCAAAAUACCCUUACAUUAAGCAUACAACCCAAAUAUCUCUAGGGGUAAAAUUGUCUAACUUUUUCCUCGUACAUUCGAUGGACCCGACACCUUCACGACUUAGCUUCGUCUUGUCACAAGCUUCGCGAUGGUACCACGUGUGCUCCAACUCGACCCGUCCAGCCGCACCAAACUCGCCCCCGGUUUUGAGGCCCAAACCGGCAAACCUGCCUGCGCGGUGGUUUUGAGGCCCAAACCACCCAAACCCUCUGCACGCCCACCUGGCGCGACUCACCUCCGAUUUUGAGGUCAAACCGGUCAAACCCUCUGCACACCCUCUUGGCAUGACUCACCCCCGGUUUUGAGGUCAAACCGGUCAAACCCUCUUGCAUGCCCCGCAAGGCAUGACUCACCGAUGUCGACGCGUGUCCAGCCUCUGCCAAGCCUUUGACGCCUCCAAGUCUUUCGCUCCCGGCUCUCGGGCCGCCUAUUCGACUCGCCUCCAUCCCGCUUGACUCGAUCGACGCCGUCUCCAUCCCGUCCAUGUACUCUUGCUCUUCCGUGCACCAUGUGGAUCGCCCAUGACUCUGCCCGGACUCCUCGGGUCCCUCGAUCCAAGCCUACUCAUGUCCACCCUUCACAACCCUAGUACAUCAGCAUGGACCUUUCGCGCUUGACCAUCACCUCAUGCCGUGUACCGCCAUGUCGCAUCCUACACCUGCACAUUACAAGCCAAGAGACACAACACACAAGAUAUGUUUUAUACAAACACCGCAACACAACUCACACCUCCGGUUAGCCGUUAGCUUAAGCAAGUGCAUAUGGAAUAUGGACUUAACCGGUAAAGCCUUAAAUCAUCUAGUCAAUCACUCAUCACAAAUAGACCAAGGCACAUCUCAACUUGGUCUGUCAAUCUCCCCCUUGAUAAGUGCAUUGACAAAAGAUGAUUUGAAAGCAAAAGAGAACUCAUUCAAGUACCCAAAAGCCAAGUAAGAGCAAACACAAGGCCACUUGAAAUGAGAAGGGAUUAUGCAAGCUCCAAACAAAAAACUUUCAGUUCCUAAAGAAAAAGGGCAAAGAGUUAACACAACUGAAAAGUCAAGCGAAAGACACAAGAGCUCCAUGCAUCCCAAAACCUUCAAACAUAUUUCAACAAUUGUCAAACGCUCAUCACUAUCAAAUCAAGAUUCAUAUUAACUUGAUUUCUCAAUCUUCCCCUUGAUGAGUGUGUUGACAACAUUCAAGCACAAAGAAAUGGUUUGAGAGGCAAAAGUCAAAAAUCUCAUUCAAGUGAUCGAAAGCUAAAUAAAAACAUAGAUCAAAGUCACUUGAGAUGAGAAAAACCAUAAAAGCUAAGUUGUGAAACCAAUUAGGCAAACCUCCCAUUCAAGUGAUCGAAAGCCAUGUAAAAGCUAUGAUUAAAGUCACUCGGCAUGAGAAGACAUGGGCAACGGCUCGACACAACCGAGAUAAAUAACACAUGAUCCCUCAAUAAGAGGUAGAAAGAGCUCAACACCAAUCAUGUGAAGGUCGAAAACACAUGAUCCCUCAAGAAGAGGUAGAAUGGGCUCAACACCAAUCAUGUGACGAUCGAAAUCUCAAACCAAAUGCCGGUUCCUCAGGAAGAUGUAAAAGCUCAACACAACAAGCAAAAGAGCAAAAGAGAGCACAAAACUCACAAGCUCGCCCUGACACAUGCACUCCCCCUGGAAACAUGCCACAAUGAAAUGCAUGCACAAGAGCAAAAGAAUGCAUGCUCCCCCUCAAAUGCAACACUCCCUAUUAAAUGCAAGACUCCCCUUAAAUGCAAACACAAGAUUCACGUGGGAGCACAAAAUGCAUCCCAUGAGGUGUACAACCUACCAAACUUGUUAAAUAUAUCACAAAGCACUUGCAAAGUCUACAAGUGAGAUAAUACAAGCAGGUAGAUCAUAAAGAGCAAUUGCAUCGCCAUAAAGAGGAUAUUAUGAUAUAAGCAAAAUACGAAGCAAGUUGUCAAGUUUUGCAGUUCAUAAAAGUAUCACCACAUGAGCAAGCACCUAGUCAUUAGUCACUCAAGCAAGAAGUAAACAAGGCCAUCAGAGCUCAUACAAGGAAGAUACAUUCUCAACAAGAGAUCAUUGCAAACACCCAUAUAUGCAUCACAAGUCAUGUCAAGGCUUGUCGAAACCAUGUGCCUACUUGUUUUGGUAGACAUCAUGUAACAACUAAGCAAGCAAGGAUAUCAACAUUAAGCACAAAAACUUGGUGAAUUACUGAUUUUUUCUUAUCAUCAUUUUUCAUCAUUCACAUUAAACAAGUUACAUGAAGUGCCUUUGCGGCACAAAGAAGCCAUGCUUCCCCAAGGAAUGCAUCAUGGGCUAAACAUUUGCAAUGAUACCUAGAUCUUUGAUCCAAUUGAAAAGAACAUGAAUUACAAGUAGAAGCUAAACAUGGAGCUAGCAUUCAAGAAAGAGUAAUGCAUAAAUAGGUAGCUAAUCAUAGGUGAUAAGCAUUUCAGAAUUCAUUAUUCAAGGUGAACAUUUGAUUCAUGAAAGCAUUUAGCUCAACAUGGUUAUAUGACAAUAUCAUCAAGAGCAUAUGCUGCACAUUGCUACAUAAUCACCAACCAAUGCACUAGCUCACAAAUAGCAUAAGAAAAUGCUAAGGAUAUAAAGAAGAAGCUCAUCUAGUGCAAAAUGUACAAGGUGCAAUAUGGUACAGAUGCAAUGCGAUGCUAAAAGAGAUGGGGUUCGACUAAAAUCAAGAAAGCUCAUGAGGGGUCAAACCAAUCUAGGAAAAGCUUCGUAGCAAAAGAAGAACUGCCAAGGAUCCCAAUUGAGUACCAUAGAAAAGAUACCAAUCGAAGGAUCAAAAAUUGAUAUCACUUGAAGAAAAUGAAAUCCAAUUGAAAGAUCAAAUGUGAUACCAAUUAAAAGAUCAAAAGCAGAUCUCAAAAAUCAAAGCAAGUCCUUAGUCCAAACUCCCCCUCGAAUGAAGCUGAACUCCCCCUCAACCAAAGACACCUAGCAAAAAAAAGCUAGAAAAAGAAGGGGCAAAAGAAAAGCUCUAACUCCAAUAAAAAAGCAGAGAAAAUGCAACCCAAAGACAAGACAAGCCCAAAAGCAAGAUAAACCCCAAUUCAUGUCACACAAUGCAAUGAUGAUACAAAUGAGAGGAAUUAAAGUAUUGCAACAUGAUUCUACAUUUAUGAAUAAAAGAUUGGGCAAGCAAACAUGUCAAUAAGGUGCAAAGGACUAUACAAAGAUACUAAGCUAAAAUGAUACCAAAUGAACAAUAUGCCAUACCUGAUACAAAAACUAAGCUAAAGCAUGGCACGAUGUUCAUGUGGAUCAUCCACCAAGAUAUAUUAAAAAGCUAGCAUGACAAGAUAUACAUGAAGAUCACACAUGCUAACAUGAAAAGGUGGCUAGCCUACAAUGGUAUAUUCAUAGCAUGAUACAAGUAUAAAUCCACAAGUGAGUAGUAUACACGAAAGGAAAAACUCACUAUACAAGUGUACAUCCAAAUGGUGUGGAGAACCGUCAAGUCUUGAUCACCUCAAGCAAAAGAUUCAAGUCCCUUCGAGCUCAUGUCCUCCACCCGCAUCCCCGUACCUACACAUGAGGGGACAAAGAAGACUGAGUCUUGGAUCCCAAAGGGUUAGCAAGCAUAUACUUGGGAAUCCAAAACUUAGUCACAUAGGUAAAAGUUGCACUCAACUUAUCAUGUGGGUUAGCAUAAUGCAAAUGCUGGUUCAAAUGUGAUGAUUUUGAAACACCCUUGGAAACAUGACUCAAAGGAGCAACUCGAGAAGAAGAACGAGUGCUACCACUAGCAAAAAGGCAAUGAUCCCCGAGGUCUUAAGAGAAGAACCAACACAAGCAUCAUGAGAACCAUGUCGUGGACCAGCAUAGGAAGAAUUAGAAGCAUGUCCAUGAGCAUGACCUAACUCACUAGAAAAGGAGUCAUAAAACCCAUCAAUGAAAUGUGGCUUAUCACUAGGCUUACAACUGCUCAUGCCAUGAGACAGGCCAUGAACAACCAAAGGCCUAGAAACACGAGUUUGCCGCAUUUGUCUUGCACGACGAUAACAAAAGCUCUCUUCAUGCCCAUCUUUCUCACAAUGGGAGCAAUGGUACAAAGGCCUUUUUGGAGGCAUGGUCCGAGAGGACAAAUCACCAUUCUCAUCCAAGUGAGAAGUCCCUUGGGACUUAGAGCAAGAAGCAUCAACAACACCAUUUGACCUGGUGCCCACAUUAGGUUCACACGUGCCAUGGGAACGGCUACGUGGCUUCCUAAACAUUUUGGCAUGUACACGUCGCUCGUGCUUGACACGACGAAAGCAAAACUCAACGGUAUGCCCAUCUUUCUUGCAAAAGGUGCAAUGGAACUUCGGUUUGGGAGUAUGAGUUCUAAAAAUAUGAGACACACCCUUGCCACUUGAAUUGUCUUGGGAAAUACCGGAAGAAGUAACAAGCUUAGGAAUAGCUAUAAAAGAGCUAUCCACAGUAGUAGCACCAGUGCUAUCAUCCAAAGACUCAUGCUCAACACAAGAAGCCAACCCCGAUUGGGAAGAAGCAAUUUUGGAAGCAUGAACAUCGGAGUGACAAGAGUUGCGAGAAUCAAAAGACUUAGCACAAAGACUCUUGCAUCUUGUGGCCAAAACCUCAUUUUCAUGUUUGAAGUGAUCACAAGUACCACAUGGAGCAUUUCUCAAAUUAUCCAUCUCCUUUUCAAUGCAUUUAGCAUAUGUGGUAUGCAAGAGUUCAUUUUCUUUUUCAAGGUUGGCACUCAUCUCAUUGUGCUCAACCAACUUGGCACUCAUAUCAUCACACAUUUGCUUCAAAGCCAAAACUUCACUUUCCAGUUCAAUGCAUGAUGUUCAAAUAAGACCACAUGAAGAAACAUCAUCAUUCACAUCAAGCAAAGCAUCAUGAUUAUCACAAGAAGUAAGGCAAGCAUCAUCAUCAAGAACCAAAGAGCACAUGCUACAAGGCAUAGACUUCAUAUCACAAAUUUCAGCCCUAGCAUGCUCAAGUUGUUCAACACAUGUGGUGUGAGUUAAUUUUAAUUCAUUAAUUUCAGCAAGCAAAGACCCACAUGAAACACAUGGUAAAGAAGCAUUUAACUUCAAUAAAGUAAUUUCAUCUCUAGCUUUAUCAAAAUCAUUAUUCAAAGCAACACAUGAAUUACAUGGCAUAGAGGUAUUCGAUUUCAACAUGUCAUUUUGAGAUUUCAAGCAAUUAAGAGAAGAGUUCAAUUCAUCAUUCUUUCUAAGCAAGGCAUCACAAAAAUUGCAAGGAUUUAAAGCAUGUGACUUCCAAUGAGCAAUUCCACAUUUCAACCUAGCAAGAGAACAUUUCAUCUUCUCAUUCUUUCUACGUAAAGCAUCAGAAAGCUCUAUGUUUCUCUCAUUCUCAUCUUCACAAUCAUCAACACGAUUGCAUAGAACCAUGAUGCAUUUUGCAAGUGUACCUUGGCUCAUGUCUCUUAGCCCGCGGUAGAACUCAACCUUUGUGUGGUCACCAUCCUGGUAGUUCUCGAGGAGAUUCAUCAUUGCCUCCACUUCGGGUUCCAACUCAAUCUCCGAACUCCUUCUACCUGAGGACAAUGAAACACAAGAAGAAGAGCUUGGUGCCAUGGCUCAAAGCACCGGUUAGGAUUAGCCAAAAGCAAGCUCAAAUCGCGAAAACCAAAUCCGAAAGAAAACGCACCCUUUCGCUUGUCGCCCCGUGGAUCACAAAGCCGAUUAAGGUUGUGUGAUCCUUAACCAAGCUCUGAUACUAAUUGAGGACCGGAAAGGCGACCAGAGGGGGGGUGAAUGGGAGCCGAUUCAAAUUUUCUCCAAGAACAUUAGCUAAAAACCCACAAGCCUCUCUUCUAGCAAAAUCAUGUCCAGUUAGCUAUGCACAAGCUAAUAGACCUAGGAAUGAUGCUAGGAACCCAAUUUGAGAAUAGCGGAAGCAAGAAUGACUCCAAAAAUCUCCGAAAGACAAACUUUGAAAACCAACACCUCUAUGCGGAAAAAUCUGGAGGAACCUUCGGAAAAUUCCGGACGUGCGGAAAUUUCCGGAGAAACCUUCGGAAAUUUUUGGAGGUCCGGAGAUUUCGGAAUUAUGUCCGGAGGUUUCCGGAAUUCCAAAACAGCCUGCGCGAAGAUGGUAGAAAAAUCCGAAAUGGGGUCAAACGACCUCCAAAAAUCACAAAAUUUGAACCAUAGCUUCACAACUUAGGAAACAAGCUUCUCCUAUGAAAUCAUCCCCAAAACAUUUGACAAUCAAGCGGAAUUCAAAAUCUUGUGAAGAACUCUAUUUUCUCAACCCCAAAAUUUGAAUCGACCCGAUCUAUAAACUCGUGAGGUUUCAAUCAAAUCCCUUCGGUGGAAAGGUUCAACUCACGUCCUAGUUCAUUUCCAAACAACCAGAUUGAUUUAAAACUCCCCAAAAAACAUGAAUCGACCAAAAAUGUGAAGGGGGCGGAGAGAAAGAAGCAAAAACGUGAAAAACACAAACGCAAAUUGCAAAUCCAAACGGGAUGGAACAAGAUAGCAUGAAAUAGAUCUUUGGAUUACUUCACCAUGACCGAUUGCAAGCCACUCCUUAGCACAAUCAAAGCUUGGAUGGCAAAAAGAUCAAACAAAGAUCCACUCUUCUCUCCCUCUCUCCCUCUACCAAAGACUCUCCCAAAACAAAUGAGUAGCCUACCACCAACAAGCCCAAGGAGAUGGCUGCCCCAAUAGCCUCUCCUCAUUUAUAUAGAUAUUUGGCAAAUAUCUAAAAUGCCCUUACAUUAAGCAUACAACCUAAAUACCUCCAGGGGUAAAAUUGUCCAACUUUUUCCUUGUACAUCGGAUGGACUCAACGCCUUCACAACUUAGCUUUGUCUCAACACAAGCUUCGUGAUGGUGCCAUGUGUCCUCCGACUCGACGCCGUCCGUCCGCACCGAACUCACCCCCGGUUUUGAGGCCCAAACCGGCAAACCUACUUGUGCGGUGGUUUUGAGGCCCAAACCACCCAAACCCUCUGCACACCCACCUGACGUGACUCACCCCCAGUUUUGAGGUCAAACCGGUCAAACCCUCUGCACACCCUCCUGGCAUGACUCACCCCCGGUUUUGAGGUCAAACCGGUCAAACCCUCUUGCACGCCCCGCAAGGUGUGACUCAACGAUGUCGACGCGUGUCCAGCCUCCACCAAGCCUUUGACACCUCAAAGACUUUCGCUUCUGGCUCCCGGGCCGCCUACUCAACUCGUCUCCGUCCCGCUUGACUCGACCAAUGCCGUCUCCAUCCCGUUCAUGUACUCUUGCUCUUCCAUGUUCCAUGUGGAUCGCGCAUGACUCCGCCCGGACUCCUCGGGUCCCUCGAUCCAAGCCUACUCAUGUCCACCCUUCACAGCCCUAGUACAUCGGCAUAGACCUUUCGCGCUUGACCUUCACCUCAUGCCGUCGACCGCCAUGUCGCAUCCUGCACCUGCACAUUACAAGCCAAGAGAUGCAACACACAAGAUAUGUUUUAUACAAACACCGCAACACAACUUACACCUCCGAUUAGCCGUUAGCUUAAUCAAGUGCAUAUGGAAUAUGGUCUUAACCGGUAAAGCCUCAAAUCAUCUAGUCAAUCACUCAUUACAAAUAGACCAAGGCACAUCUCAACUUGAUCUCUCAACAAUGUUGCAACAUAUCACAACAUGUCGAGAAGGUGGUACCCAAUAAUGCAUAUUUUGAAAAAAGGUGGUUCUGAUCAAAAUCCUUUGGAUUAGUUCAAGGAGAUCGAUAUCCAGAGCAGUUCUUGUACUCCACAGUGCCUUAGGGAAUUUUACAUAUGUUCAGAUGUGAGACCUUUUGAUAUCAUUAAUCUCUAUACGAUGAAUAAUCAACACGUUCGAUGCGAUCUAUUGCAAAGAGAUCCAGAUCUCUGUACUGCUCUUGAUGCACCGGCUCGUGUUUGUUCAUCCACGUGCUGUCUCCACAAGAUGACACAAGGUGCGUGAUGCACCAAGAAUUGGCUGGACACGCAAUGCAAAUUAUUUGAUACAUCAUACUUUCGGAUCUAGUUUCUGGGGCCACACAAGAAUUGCGCUGCCAGAGAUGAUCUACUUGUUGUUUGUUUAAGAAAAAGGGUUCACCCAGUGUGUGAAGGGGAGAUUAGAUCACACAUGUGUGAUAAAAGAUAUUAUUAAAGUUUAGUCAUACGACUAGGGCCAUAGUUGCGAAUUUAAGUUCUGCCACCACACAAAUAUGCCCCUACAUUGGUCCUAGCCUACCAGUCAUCUUUCCGACCGCCGGCGGCCAGCGGCAUCCCACCAGCUCGUCGUGCCUCCCACUCAACUCACACCCGGCGCCGGGCUUUCCUGGUUCCCUUCCCUAACCCCAAUGUCCAUGGUGUCGCCUCAACAAAGAAUAUGAACAAGGGUGCUGCUACACCUGCCAGCGACUUGGAAGGGUUUUCUAUGCCCGACGACGAUAAGUCGUACGCGUGAUUGGUAGUAUUCUCGGAUUUUUCCUACACACUGACUCGCAGAUAUUAAUGGCGCAAUGUGUUAUUUGGGGCCAGUAUAAUAUACUAUCAACAAAAUGGAUCCAUGAAAUAUAUUCUUGCCCUCGUGCAUCUCACCCAUAUGGUAAGAUUCAAACGUGGAUCCGUACACACAUAUAGGAUGCAUGCAUAACCCCACACUAUAAACCACAUAUUAUGUGACGUGAAUAAGAAAUAGAAAAGGUGCUUGUACAUGGACACCCCUUAGAUUGUAAGAACACUGAAGACGCUGCAGGUACAACACUACUGAGAGUUCCACUUGGGCAUCUUAUUUCCUUCAAAUUAUUAACUUAACAGGUACUUCAGAGAAACUUCCUGUGCAAAUUUCUCAAAGCACAAUUUGAUGUGUUUUGUUGCAUCUUAAAUAGACAUAGGGCCACCAUUAGCCUGUAUACAACAAAGUAAAAUCAAGGCUAAUGUUAGAUCAUAAGCAGACAGUUGUUCUUUGUCAGUAGUCUAGACAAAUUUAGUUUUACUGCUAGAGUCACUACAGAGACUGGUGGAAAAGUGAGCAUUAGUCUAUGUUGGAUAGCCUCAUAUAUCUCAAAUAUACAACUGGGACUAAUUUUUCAAGACUAAAGGUCCCUCCAGGUCACUCACCCAGGACUAAACACAAUACCAACCGGGACUAAAGAGGCCGCCAUGCAGGCGCAUGCACGUGGCCCCUUUAGUCCCGGUUGGUAUGUUGGUAUUACCAACCAUACCAACCAGGACUAAAGACCUUUUUUCAUUUUACCCUGAAUUCCUUUUCAUAUUAAUGCUAAUUGUUGCUUCACUUAUAUAUACCUAUACGUAUACAUCCUUAGCAUACAUUAUUUACACGUAUACGCUUGUAUUGUAUGCAUGUCAUAUAUAUAUUUCAUGGUAGUAUAUGCAUAAUAUUAAUUAUAACUACUAUAUAUACAAUUAUUAGUAGUUUAUACACAUCAAACUAGUAUUUAUACAAUUUCUAUACAUACAAUAAUUUGUCCUCUUCAUUCUUAGGAUCCUCCCAUCGUGGUGUUGCUCGGUUCGGCUAUUGAAUGUCCAACGUAAUAAAAUUCUCCAAUGGGAUUUAUCAUCUCGUCCACCAGAAAUCCUAUGAGAGCUUCUUGAUUACCAAAAGCCUCUCCUUCUCUAAGAGUUCUUCUCUAAUAUGCAUCAUCUGUAAUUUGGAAAUAUGUGAAUGUUACACCAACAAUUAAAUAUAAGAAGUUAGAAAAUGAUUAAUUAUUGAUAGGUUUAUUUUAUGCACAAUUAUAUCAUUCGAUAUCACCUUGUCCCUCACAAAAUGGUACAUGUGCUCAAAGAUGUAGUAUCCACAUAAAUUAUUCACUUACUCCUAUCUCAAGCACAUUACUGGAAAAAAACCAUUUAUGAAAUAUUCAUGUUAUAGAAUGUACAAAAUGUGCAAACUUCAUACAUACCGGGAAUGAUGUACUGAAUGUAAGUUUUUCUUUGAAAUCACCAUAGGGAUGCUUACAGAAUCGUUUCCAUGCAUUGUGAAUUAAAAUAAUGAAUGAUACAGUGUUAGGUGAAAAUUUAGGAAUCAAACUAUUACAUAGAGAUAAAGGUUCGAAAUUAUUACAAGUUAAGAAUUUCUUGAAUGUCUUUGUACUCGUCCUUUGGUUUCCUCAACGAAUCAAACACAACAACGUUGAGUUGAUCAAUCAUAAUUGUAAGGAGAAUCCAGUGGAAACUAUGUACAUAAAUGUUCAUAUUAGAACUAACUAACAUUAAUUAGGUAAGGAAAAGGAAAAUGAAAAUAGACGGUACCCACACUUUACCCACACUUACUUAAAGUUGUAAGGUAGUAGUAUGUAUUGUUGGAGGUAUGCCCUAGAGGCAAUCAUAGAGAUGAUGAUAUUCCAUUUGUAUCCAUGAUUUGUAUGUUGUGUUCAUUGAAUAUCCAUUGAAGGCUACUUGAAUUGAUUUGCAAUUAUGUGAAUUGUAUGUGAAACUCUUUACUUGUAUGGUUAUUCUAAAGUUGUCCCUAGUCGGAGUUCAUGUGAGAACACACAUGAAUAUUAGACUAGCACAUGUAUUAGUUGAUGACUAUGUUUCACAAGUCAUGGACAUGCAGAUGUUGAACUAAUAAUGUGGACACAUGUGGAGACAUGUGCUAGGACUGACCCAACACGAGAGGUAGUUCUCUCUUUAAACAACAUAUACGCUUUGUCCUUAGACCUGAGAUUGUCGCAUGUAUUCUAGAUGUGGAUCGACCUACUUAGGGGCUAUCAAACGCUACGCCGUAACAGGGUAGUUAUAAAGGUAGCUUUCGGGUUUGUCAAGAAGCAUGCUAUGAGACAUGGUCAAUCAAGAUGGGAUUUGCCCCUCUCUGACUGAGAGUGAUAUCUCUAGGCCCCUCGAGUGAUCGGAUCCGAAAAUGCAUGGCCAUGCUACGUACGGUUAAGAGUUAACCUACAAAGGGAUUCCGAAUCACAGGAUCGAGAAAGAGCGGUCGGCUUGAAGCUAGACCAAGUAUCGUGAGGCAAAGGGAAUAGCAUGUAUAUUAUGUUGUGAUGGUUCGUCUGAUAUGAUCUUCGUGUGCGUAUAGGAGUUGGCACGUCUUGCUAGAGGCCGCUACCGACUAUUGGGCCGAGUAGGAGUACUCGGGCCAUGUCUAUACGUAUCCGAACCCAUAGGGUCACACACUUAAGGGGCUGGAAGCCCAAUUUGGAUCUGAUCCGAGUUGGAUUAGGUUUAGAAGUACUAAUGGGCCUCGGAUCCAGAGGCCCGUCAGGAACCUCUAUAAAUAGAGGGGUGGGGGCGCCCUAGGGUGGAUACCUUUUGGCGAAACACACCUGCCGCGCCUCCCACGCCCUCGCCUGUUGCAACUCGCGGAUCUAGCAGUCCGGCUUGCGACGCUUCCUCCCUUCACGUGUGGAUACCUUGGAGGUGUUGCGCCUGCAGCACUUGGACGAGCCGCCGACGAGCCACGACGAGCCGCGGCACCGGAGGUGAUCUUGCUGCACGUGGACGAGCUGCUGAGGAGCUGCUGGACGUGACCGACUACGUAUGACUACGUUGAUCGACUACGUACGACUACGUGAUUGUCUUCACUGCAUCGACGCAUAUCUACAUCUUCCGCACCAGUAGUGCGUCGAGUGGUAAUCCCGUGAUCCUUAUACGGCAGUUCUUCCUGGUUAUACGCGGUAGAUUUUUUGAAUCGUACAUAGUGUAGCCUACCUCGUAUCCCAACAGUGGUAUCAAGAGCCGUAGCUGCUUAGUUUUGGAUUCGGGAUGUGUGCAUAUGGAGAUAUGCGAGUUUUCGUUUGAUCUAUGUCCUGGUUUCGUGCCCUUGCUGCAAUGGUAGUGUAACGACAUACUCCUACCGGUCGGUUUCCGCCAUCGGAGUUAAGUGAUACACGUAAAUCCAGUUGUAGUGAGUGAAGAUCAAUAUGAUUGGUCGAAUUGAAAUCCAGGGUCAUACGCCAGGCGCAUUAGAUGUGCAAUAGUAGAUGAGAUCUACUGCCGGGGUCGGGAUUUUUGCCGUUUGCGUAUGCUUCGGUAAAUCAGCCGUAACUUUUCGGUACGAUCUCGGAUCGGGGCGAAUUUUAUAUGAAAAUUGAUCUACAGAAAAAGUUACACAUGAAAUUCAACCGCUUCGCCGUUUUUGGCGAAAUUAGAUUUCCCAAAUUCGGCUUGGAAGAUGGUGUUUCGGGCAUCCAAAGUUUGGAACGUUAGGACGCCUAACUCUGUUUUGCAGGAUGUAUGUAUGUAUCUUGUGAUCAGUAUGACCCCCUUGUGUAUGUGAUGCAUGUGUGUAACUCAUUCGUGACCUGCGUGUCGCGCGUACGGCAACACGGCAGGAGCCAUAUGUGUUGUCACUUUAUUGUAUUUAAUGGUCUGCGUACCAAUCAGUGAUGAUCCAAGCAACUAUGUAAUCUUCAUUACUAGAUUCUUUACUAGCUAUUAGGCGUAAUAACAUGUUCUAGUUCUUGGAGGACUCAUCACCAGGAGGAUGGCGCACAUGGAACAUGGAGAUGGAGAUCACCAUGGUGAACAGGUUCUAUGGAGAUGGAGAUCACCAUAUGAAAAUGGGCCAUACUGUGUCACAACUGUGUGAAUGCUAUUCUGUUUAUGUUUUACUUUCUGCAUGAUGUGAUGUUAGAAGUAGAAUGAUCCCUCGCAAAGUUUAAGUUAGUAUGCCCUCCCAACUAAAACUUGCACCGUCCCAUGUCUUGUACAAUUAGUGGUGGGUCUAUGAAAUUAGGGUACCACUAGUUUUCCUUGACUAGACGGGUUUGUGUCGGACACUUACAUGCAUAAGGGUUGGUUUGCUUAACGAGGUCAUCUUAACGGUUAAGGACCUUGGGGCAUAAAGGUUGGGCGCCGAGACAUCGAGAUGUCACCCAACAACAGGAGUCAUAUGUGAUAUGAUUAGCAAAAGUUGCUUACCGAUCUACCUCGUUUGCUAGCGGUGAUGCUAAAGCUCACUAGUAAACUUGUUAGUUGUGGAUCCUGAAUCACUAAGUUUCAAUAGAGGGAUAUUGAUUUUAGUGGGAGUAGAUUCUGUUAAAAUAGUUUAAUGUAAUUUGCUCUAUCAUGGAUACGUUUGUCUUAGUGUAUUUUGCAUUACUUUUGUUGUAGAUUAAAUGGCACCUAGCAAUACCACCACAUCGUUUGCUUUGCGUUCGGUCCUUGAGAAGGACAAGUUGAAUGGAACAAACUACUCGGAUUGGAUCCGUAACCUGAGAAUUGUUCUCAGGGCUGAGAAAAAGGAAGAUGUUCUAGACAACCCACUACCAGAAGAACCUGCUGAUGAUGCACCCACUGCUGCUAAGAAUGCUUACAAGAAAGCAUGUGAUGCUAACCUCGAAGUAAGCUGCCUUAUGCUUGCUUGCAUGGAACCCGAGCUGCAGAUGCAGUUCGAAACAAACCAUGAGGCGCACGAUAUGAUCGUGGCGCUUAGAGACAUGUUCCAAACACAGGCCAGGACUGAAAGGUUCAAUGUGUCUAAGGCCUUUGUUGAGAGCAAGCUAGCAGAAGGCGCAGCAGUAGGACCACACGUAAUCAAGAUGGUUGGUUACACUCAACGGUUGAAGAAGCUAGGCUUCCCACUGGGCCAAGAGUUGGCCACUGAUUUCAUUCUUUCAUCUCUUCCGCCUAGCUAUGGGAACUUCAUCUCGAACUACCAUAUGCAUGGGAUGGAGAAGGGUUUGAAUGAACUGUGUGGUAUGCUCAAGAUAGCAGAGGCUGACAUCAAGAAAAGCACUAGUACCAGCCAUGUGAUGGCGAUACAGAACAAGCCCAGCUUUAAGAAGAAGGGCAAUUCUUGGAAGAAGAAGGGCAGGGCUGGAACGUCCAAGCCAAACCCACCGCCCAAGGUUAAAGCUGGACCUGGACCUGCUCCAGACAAAGAGUGCUUUUACUGUCAUGAACUUGGUCACUGGAAGAGAAACUGCAAGCAGUACCUAGCUUCCUUGAAGAAUGGCGGAAGUAAGAGUACUUCUACCUCAGGUACGCUUGUUGUUAAUGUUAUAGACAACAUAUUUCUCGCUGAUACAAUUAUUAAUUCUUGGGUAUUUGAUACCGGAUCGAUUGCUCAUAUUUGCAAUUCGAUGCAGGGAAUGAUAAGAAGUAGAAGCGUGGAAAGAGGAGAAGUUGAUUUCCGCGUGGGCAAUAAUGCAAGAGUUGCUGCGUUGACCGUCGGGACGAUGCAACUCCACCUCCCGUCAGGAUUUAUUAUGGAGUUGAAUAAUUGUUAUUUUUUUCCUAGUUUAAGUCAAAACAUUUUGUCUCCUUCAUGCUUGAUGAAGGAUGGUUAUUCAUUUGCGAGUGAAAACAAUGGUUAUGUGAUCUCUAAGAAUGAUAUGUUUAUGGCUUUUGCACCCAUUGUGAAUGGAUUAUUUGUUUUAAAUCUUGAUGGUUCACCUGUCUGUAAUGUAAGUGCUAAAAGGCCUCGGCCUAAUGAUUUGAGUCCUACCUACUUGUGUCAUUGUCGUUUGGGUCAUAUAAAUGAAAAGCGCAUGAAGAAGCUCCAUUCUGAUGGACUUCUAACUUCGUUUGAUUUUGAAUCAUACGAGACAUGUGAGGCUUGCUUGCUAGGCAAGAUGACCAAGACGCCUUUCACAGGAUUUCCUGAGAGAGCAGUAGACUUGUUGGAACUCGUACAUAGUGAUGUAUGCGGACCAAUGAGCACGACGGCUAGAGGAGGAUUCCAAUACUUCAUAACUUUCACUGAUGAUUUUAGUAGAUAUGGCUAUGUCUACUUGAUGAGGCACAAGUCUGAAACCUUUGAAAAGUUCAAGGAAUUUCAGAAUGAAGUUGAAAAUCAGCGUGGCAAGAAAAUUAAGGCCUUACGAUCUGAUCGUGGAGGCGAGUAUUUGAGCCACGAGUUUAGAAAUCAUCUAAAGAGUUGCGGAAUUGUUCCACAACUUACGCCGCCUGGAACACCUCAGAGAAACGGUGUGUCCGAGCGACGUAAUUGAACUUUGUUAGACAUGGUUCGAUCAAUGAUGAGCCAGUCAGACCUACCGUUGUCAUUUUGGGGAUACGCUCUAGAAACAGCAACUUUCACACUUAAUAGGGUACCAUCUAAAUCCGUAGUUAAGACACCAUAUGAGAUAUGGACUUGAAAGGUUCCUAGUUUGUCUUUUCUAAAGAUUUGGGGAUGUGAAGUGUUUGUCAAGCGACUUCAGUCGGACAAGAUCACACCCAAGUCGGAUAAGUGCAUUUUCGUGGGAUAUCCAAAGGAAACUUUGGGAUAUUAUUUCUACAACCGAUCAGAAGGCAAAGUGUUUGUCGCUCGGAACGGGGUUUUCCUAGAGAAAGAGUUUCUCAAAGGAGAAAAGAGUGGAAAGAUAGUGCAUCUUGAAGAAGUUCAAGAUGAGCCGAUCGGGCAAGAAUCAAUGAGUGAUGCUAACGUAGCAGAACAAGUUGAGAUACCCAUGGCAAGAGAAGCACCGCCACAACCACAAGGUCGGCAAGGCUCCGCGAAAUGCGGGAAAUAUUAUUGUUGGACAAUGAUGAGCCUGCGACAUAUGCAGAAGCAAUGAUGGACCCAGACUCCGAAAAAUGGCAGAAUGCCAUGCAAUCCGAAAUAGAGUCCAUGGGAGACAAUCAAGUUUGGAACUUGGUUGACCCGCCUGAUGGUGUUAAAGCCAUAGAGUGCAAGUGGAUCUAUAAGAAGAAAAAGGACAUGGAUGGAAAUGUUCACAUCUAUAAAGCACGACUUGUCGCAAAAGGUUUUCGACAAGUUCAAGGAGUUGACUACGACGAGACCUUCUCGCCCGUAGUGAUGCUUAAGUCCAUUCGGAUUAUUCUAGCUAUAGCUGCAUAUUUCGAUUAUGAGAUAUGGCAGAUGGAUGUCAAGACAGCUUUCCUGAAUGGAAACCUAGCUGAGGAUGUGUAUAUGGUACAGCCCGAGGGUUUUGUCGAUCCGAAAAAUGUUGGAAAGGUAUGCAAGCUUCAGAGACCCAUUUAUGGAUUGAAGCAAGCAUCUAGGAGUUGGAACAUUCGUUUUGAUGAAGUGGUCAAAGGGUUUGACUUCACCAAGAACGAAGAAGAGUCUUGUGUUUACAAGAAGGUUAGUGGGAGCUCUGUAGUAUUUCUAAUCUUAUAUGUGGAUGACAUAUUACUGAUUGGAAAUAACAUUCCUAUGCUUGAGUCCGUAAAGACUUCACUGAAAAAUAGUUUUUCGAUGAAGGACUUAGGGGAAGCAACAUAUAUUCUGGGCAUUAAGAUCUAUAGAGAUAGAUCGAGAAGGCUUAUAGGUUUAAGCCAAGAUACUUACAUUGACAAAGUGUUGAAGCGGUUCAGCAUGGAAGAGGCAAAGAAAGGGUUCUUGCCUAUGUCACAUGGCAUACAUCUCAGCAAGACUUAGUGUCCUUCGACUGCUGAUGAGCGGGAUCGCAUGAGUAGAGUGUCAUAUGCCUCGACUAUUGGAUCUAUCAUGUAUGCAAUGAUAAGUACUCGCCCAGAUGUUUCAUAUGCGCUAAGUAUGACAAGCAGACACCAAUCUGAUCCAGGUGAGAGUCACUGGACAGCGGUGAAAAACAUUCUUAAGUACUUGAGAAGGACUAAAGAUAUGUUCCUCGUCUAUGGAGGUGAGGAGGAGCUCGUUGUAACAGGUUACACCGAUGCUAGUUUCCAAACCGACAGAGAUGAUUCAAAGUCACAAUCAGGAUUUGUGUUCACGCUGAAUGAUGGUGCUGUUAGUUGGAAGAGUUCCAAGCAGGAGACGGUGGUCGAUUCUACGACAGAAGCCGAGUACAUCGCGGCUUCGGAAGCCGCGAAGGAAGGUGUUUGGAUAAGGAAUUUCCUCAUUGAGCUUGGUGUGUUCCCGAAUGCAUCCAGCCCAUUGAAUCUCUACUGUGAUAACAAUGGGGGAAAUUGCGCAAGCAAAGGAGCCAAGGAACCACCAGAAGAACAAACACGUAAUGCGGCAAUUUCAUCUCAUUCGAGACUUCGUUAACCGGGGUGAGAUCAAGAUGUGCAAAAUACACACGGAUCUGAACAUUUCUGAUCCGUUGACAAAACCACUCCCGCAGGCUAAGCAUGAUGCGCAUGUAAGAGCUAUGGGUAUUAGGUACCUUCUAGAUUGACUCUAGUGCAAGUGGGAGACUGUUGGAGGUAUGCCCUAGAGGCAAUCAUAGAGAUGAUGAUAUUCCAUUUGUAUCCAUGAUUUGUAUGUUGUGUUCAUUGAAUAUCCAUUGAAGGCUACUUGAAUUGAUUUGCAAUUAUGUGAAUUGUAUGUGAAACUCUUUACUUGUAUGGUUAUUCUAAAGUAGUCCCUAGUCGGAGUUCAUGUGAGGACACACAUGAAUAUUAGACUAGCACAUGUAUUAGUUGAUGACUAUGUUUCACAAGUCAUGGACAUGCAGAUGUUGAACUAAUAAUGUGGACACAUGUGGAGACAUGUGCUAGGACUGACCCAACACGAGAGGUAGUUCUCUCUUUAGACAACAUAUACGCUUUGUCCUUAGACCUGAGAUUGUCGCAUGUAUUCUAGAUGUGGAUCGACCUACUUAGGGGCUAUCAAACGCUACGCCGUAACAGGGUAGUUAUAAAGGUAGCUUUCGGGUUUGUUAAGAAGCAUGCUAUGAGACAUGGUCAAUCAAGAUGGGAUUUGCCCCUCUCUGACUGAGAGUGAUAUCUCUGGGCCCCUCGAGUGAUCGGAUCCGAAAAUGCAUGGCCAUGCUACGUACGGUUAAGAGUUAACCUACAAAGGGAUUCCGAAUCACAGGAUCGAGAAAGAGCGGUCGGCUUGAAGCUAGACCAAGUAUCGUGAGGCAAAGGGAAUAGCAUGUAUAUUAUGUUGUGAUGGUUCGUCUGAUAUGAUCUUCGUGUGCGUAUAGGAGUUGGCACGUCUUGCUAGAGGCCGCUACCGACUAUUGGGCCGAGUAGGAGUACUCGGGCCAUGUCUAUACGUAUCCGAACCCAUAGGGUCACACACUUAAGGGGCUGGAAGCCCAAUUCGGAUCUGAUCCGAGUUGGAUUAGGUUUAGAAGUACUAAUGGGCCUCGGAUCCAGAGGCCCGUCAGGAACCUCUAUAAAUAGAGGGGUGGGGGCGCCCUAGGGUGGAUACCUUUUGGCGAAACACACCUGCCGCGCCUCCCACGCCCUCGCCUGUUGCAACUCGCGGAUCUAGCAGUCCGGCUUUGCAACGCUUCCUCCCGUCACGUGUGGAUACCUUGGAGGUGUUGCGCCUGCAGCACUUGGACGAGCCGCCGACGAGCCGCCGACGAGCCACGACGAGCCGACGACGAGCCGCGGCACCGGAGGUGAUCUUGCUGCACGUGGACGAGCUGCUGAGGAGCUGCUGGACGUGAUCGACUACGUACGACUACGUUGAUCGACUACGUACGACUACGUGAUCGUCUUCACUACAUCGACGCAUAUCUACAUCUUCCGCACCAGUAGUGCGUCGAGUGGUAAUCCCGUGAUCCUUAUACGGCAGUUCUUCCUGGUUAUACGCGAUAGAUUUUUUGAAUCGUACAUAGUGUAGCCUACCUCGUAUCCCAACAUGUAUUGCUUGUGUCUCGAAGUGCGACACGUGUCAACGUGUCAAGGCAAGCCAUUUGAAGGAGUAGGUACCUUGCAACCGCUACCUAUUCCAUCUUUGAAAUGGGAAGAUAUAUUAGCAUGGAUUUCAUUGUGGGAUUACCCGUUACCUCUCAGUGACAUGAUUCUAUUUAGGUUAUAGUGGAUUGCUCACUAAGACGGCACACUUUCUUCCUGUUCAGAUUGCCUACACUGCCCGAAAAUAUGCAGAGUUAUACCUAGACCGUAUCGUCUCCUUACAUGGUGUUCCGAAGACGAUCAUCUCUGAUCGAGGUGCUCAGUUUGUGGCACGUUUCUGGGAACAACUGCAAUCGUCACUUGGCACCAAGUUAAUUCGUAGCUCCACUUACCACCCUCAGACUGAUGGCCAAACAUAAAGGAUAAAUCAAAUCCUAGAAGACAUGCUACGCGCUUGCGUCGUACAUUUUGACAAGAAUUGGGAUAAAUGCUUACCAUUGGUAGAGUUCUCUUACAACAAUAGCUACCAGUCUAGCUUAAACAUGGCACCAUUUGAAGCCUUGUAUGGCCGAUGGUGUCGAACACCAUUGAGUUGGUCACAAGCCGGAGAGAGAAGAAUUUACGGACCCGACUUGGUGAUAGAAGCCGAAGAACAAGUAAGAGUGAUUCAGGCACAUCUAAAAGCCGCUCAGUCAUGUCAGAAAAGCUAUUCCUACAAAAGUAGGAGACCCUUGCAGUUUGACAUUGAUGAUCAUGUAUACCUCCGAGUCUCCCCGACCAAAGGAGUGCAACAGUUUGGAGUAAAGGGGAAAUUGGCGCCCCGUUUCAUUGGCCCUUAUGAGAUUGUGGAAAUAUGCGGACCCGUUUCUUAGUGGAUCCAACUACCCGAAAAGCUCUCAGCUAUUCACGACAUCUUCCAUAUCUCUCAACUAAAGAAAUGUGUCCGAGUCCUGAUUGAAAUCUUGGAGCAGGGACAACUUGAAAUCGAACCCGACUUAUCCUAUGCGGAAUAUCCUGCCAAAGUCCUCGAUCGUAACGAGAGGUACACCCGACGAAAAGUUGUGAAGAUGUACAAGAUUUAGUGGAGUAACCACACAGAAGAUGAAGCGACAUGGGAAACAGAGGAAUAUCUGAAUAAGCACUUCCGAGGUUUUAUUUUCAGGUAAGGAGGUAAGACCCACAAACCCCACUAGUUCUCCUUGCACUCGAAUCUCGGGACGAGAUUCUUUUUAAGGGGGGUAGGCUGUAACUGUUGGGAUACGAGUUAGGCUACACUUGCGCAAAUCAAAAUUUCUACCACGUAAAACCAGGAAGAACUACCGUAUAAGGAUCACGGGAUUACCACUCGACGCACUACUGGUGCGGAAGAUGUAGAUUUGUGUCGAUGCAGCAAAGACGAUCAACAUAGUCGUACGUAGUCGAUCAAUGUAGUUGUACGUAGUCGAUCACGUCAACGUCCAGCAGCUCCUCAGCAGCUCGUCCACGUGCAGCAAGAUCGCCCUUGUACCGCGGCUCGUCGGCGGCUCGUCGUGGCUCAUCGGCGGCUCGUCCGAGUGCUGCAGGCGCAACACCUCCAAGGUAUCCACACGUGCAGGGAGGAAGCAUCGCAAGCCGGACUACUAGAUCUGCGAGUUGCAACAGGCGAGGGCAUGGGAGGCGCGACAGAUGUGUUUCACCAAAAGAUGUAAACCCUAGGGCGCCCCCACCCCUCUAUUUAUAGAGGUUCCUAACGGGCCUCUGGGUCUGAGGCCCAUUAGUACUUCUAAACCUAAUCCAACUCAGAUCACAUCCGAAUUGGGCUUCCAGCCCCUUAAGUGUGUGACCCUAUGGGUUCGGAUACGUAUAGACAUGGCCCGAGUACUCCUACUCGGCCCAAUAGUCGGUAGCGGCCUCUAGCAAGACGUGCCAACUCCUAUACGCACACGAAGAUCAUAUCAGACAAACCAUCACAACAUAAUAUACAUGCUAUUCCCUUUUCCUCAUGAUAUUUGGUCUAGCUUCAAGCCGACCGCUCUUUCUCGAUCCUGUGAUUCGGAAUCCCUUUGUAGGUUAACUCUUAACCGUACGUAGCAUGGCCAUGCAUUUUUGGAUCCGAUCACUCGAGGGGCCCAGAGAUAUCACUCUCAAUCAGAGAGGGGCAAAUCCCAUUUUGAUUGACCAUGUCUCAUAGCAUGCUUCUUGACAAACCCGAAAGCUACCUUUAUAACUACCCUGUUACGGCGUAGCGUUUGAUAGCCCCUAAGUAGGUCGAUCCAUAUCUUGAAUACAUGCGACAAUCUCAGAUCUAAGGACAAAGCGUAUAUGUUGUUUAAAGAGAGAACUACUUCUCGUGUUGGGUCAGUCCUAGCCCAUGUCUCCACAUGUGUCCACAUUAUUAGUUCAACAUCUCCAUGUCCAUGACUUGUGAAACAUAGUCAUCAACUAAUACAUGUGCUAGUCUAAUAUUCAUGUGUGUCCUCACAUGAACUCCGACUAGGGACAACUUUAGAAUAAACAUACAAGUAAAGAGUUUCACAUACAAUUCACAUAAUUGCAAAUCAAUUCAAGUAGCCUUUAAUGGAUAUUCAAUGAACACUAUAUACAAAUCAUGGAUACAAAUGGAAUAUCAUCAUCUCUAUGAUUGCCUCUAGGGCAUACCUCCAACAGUCUCCCACUUGCACUAGAGUGAAUCUAGAAGGUACCUAAUACCCAUAGCUCUUACAUGCGCAUCAUGCUUAGCCUUCAGGAGUGGUUUUGUCAACGGUUCAGAAAUGUUCAGAUCCGUGUGUAUUUUGCAUAUCUUGAUCUCACCCCGGUUAACGAAUUCUCGAAUGAGAUGAAAUCGCCGCAUUACGUGUUUGUUCUUCUGGUGGUUCCUUGGCUCCUUUGCUUGCGCAAUUUCCCCCAUUGUUAUCACAGUAGAGAUUCAAUGGGUUGGACGCAUUCGGGAACACACCAAGCUCAAUGAGGAAAUUCCUUAUCCAAACACCCUCCUUCGCGGCUUCCGAAGCCGCGAUGUACUCAGCUUCUGUCGUAGAAUCGGCCAUCGUCUUCUGCUUGGAACUCUUCCAACUAACAGCACUACCAUUUAGCGUGAACACAUCCUGAUUGUGACUUUGAAUCAUCUCUGUUGAUUUGGAAACUAGCAUCGGUGUAACCUGUUACAACGAGCUCCUCCUCACCUCCAUAGACGAGGAACAUAUCUUUAGUCCUUCUCAAGUACUUAAGAAUGUUUUUCACCGCUGUCCAGUGACUCUCACCGGGAUCAGACUGGUGUCUGCUUGUCAUACUUAGCGCAUGUGAAACAUCUGGGCGAGUACUUAUCAUUGCAUACAUGAUAGAUCCAAUAGCCGAGGCAUAUGGCACUCUACUCAUGCGAUCCCGCUCAUCAGCAGUCGAAGGACACUGAGUCUUGCUGAGAUGUAUGCCAUGUGACAUAGGCAAGAACCCUUUGUUUGUCUCUUCCAUGCUGAACCGCUUCAACACUUUGUCAAUGUAAGUAUCUUGGCUUAAACCUAUAAGCCUUCUCGAUCUAUCUCUAUAGAUCUUAAUGCCCAGAAUAUAUGUUGCUUCCCCUAAGUCCUUCAUCGAAAAACUAUUUUUCAGUGAAGUCUUUACGGACUCAAGCAUAGGAAUGUUAUUUCCAAUCAGUAAUAUGUCAUCCACAUAUAAGAUUAGAAAUACUACAGAGCUCCCACUAACCUUCUUGUAAACACAAGACUCUUCUUCGUUCUUGGUGAAGUCAAACCCUUUGACCACUUCAUCAAAACGAAUGUUCCAACUCCUAGAUGCUUGCUUCAAUCCAUAAAUGGAUCUCUGAAGCUUGCAUACCUUUCCAGCAUUUUUCAGAUCGACAAAACCGUCGGGCUGUAUCAUAUACACGUCCUCAGCUAGGUUUCCAUUCAGGAAAGCUGACUUGACAUCCAUCUGCCAUAUCUCAUAAUCAAAAUAUGCAGCUAUAGCAAGAAUAAUCCGAAUGGACUUAAGCAUCACUACGGGCGAGAAGGUCUCGUCGUAGUCAACUCCUUGAACUUGUCAAAAACCUUUUGCGACAAGUCGAGCUUUAUAGAUGUGAACAUUUCCAUCCAUGUCCUUUUUCUUCUUAUAGAUCCACUUGCACUCUAUGGCUUUAACACCAUCAGGCGGGUCAACCAAGUUCCAAACUUGAUUUUCUCCCAUGGACUCUAUUUCGGAUUGCAUGGCACUCUACCAUUUUUCAGAGUCUGGAUCCAUCAUUGCUUCUGCAUAUGUCGCAGGCUCAUCAUUGUCCAACAAUAAUAUUUCCCGCAUUUCGCGGAGCCUUGCCGACCUUCGUGGUUGUGGCGGUGCUUCUCUUGCCAUGGGUAUCUCAACUCGUUCUACUACGUUAGCAUCAUUCAUUGAUUCUUGCCCGAUCGGCUCAUCUUGAACUUCUUCAAGAUGCACUGUCUUUCCACUCUUUUCUCCUUUGAGAAACUCUUUCUCUAGGAAAACCCUGUUCCGAGCGACAAACACUUUGCCUUCUGAUUGGUUGUAGAAAUAAUAUCCCAAAGUUUCCUUUGGAUAUCCCACGAAAAUGCACUUAUCCGACUUGGGUGUGAUCUUGUCCGACUGAAGUCGCUUGACAAACACUUCACAUCCCCAAAUCUUUAGAAAAGACAAACUGGGAACCUUUCCAGUCCAUAUCUCAUAUGGUGUCUUAACUAUGGAUUUAGAUGGUACCCUAUUAAGUGUGCAAGCUGUUGUUUCUAGAGCGUAUCCCCAAAAUGACAAUAGUAGGUCCGACUGGCUCAUUAUUGAUCGAACCAUGUCUAACAAAGUUCGAUUACAUCACUCGGAUACACCGUUUCUCUGAGGUGUUCCAGGUGGCGUAAGUUGUGGAACAAUUCCGCAACUCUUUAGAUGAUUGCUAAACUCGUGGCUCAAAUACUCGCCUCCACGAUCAGAUCGUAAGGCCUUAAUUUUCUUGUCACGCUGAUUUUCAACUUCAUUCUGAAAUUCCUUGAACUUUUCAAAGGUUUCAGACUUGUGCCUCAUCAAAUAGACAUAGCCAUAUCUACUAAAAUCAUCAGUGAAAGUUAUGAAGUAUUGGAAUCCUCCUCUAGCUGUCGUGCUCAUUGGUCCGCAUACAUCACUAUGUACGAGUUCCAACAAGUCUACUGCUCUCUCAGGAAAUCCUGUGAAAGGCGUCUUGGUCAUCUUGCCUAGCAAGCAAGCCUCACAUGUCUCGUAUGAUUCAAAAUCAAACAAAGUUAGAAGUCCAUCAGAAUGGAGCUUCUUCAUGCGCUUUUCACUUAUAUGACCCAAACAACAAUGCCACAAGUAGGUAGGACUCAAAUCAUUAGGCCGAGGCCUUUUAGCACUUACGUUACAGACAGGUGAACCAUCAAGAUUUAAAACAAAUAAUCCAUUCACAAUGGGUGCAAAAGCCAUAAACAUAUCAUUCUUAGAGAUCACACAACCAUUGUUUUCACUCACAAAUGAAUAACCAUCCUUCAUCAAGCAUGAAGGAGACAAAAUGUUUCGACUUAAACUAGGAACGAAAUAACAAUUAUUCAACUCUAUAAUAAAUCCUGACGGGAGGUGAAGUUGCAUCAUCCCGACGGUCAACGCAGCAACUCUACAUUAUUGCCCACGCGGAAAUCAACUUCUCUCUUCCACGCUUCUACUUCUUAUCAUUCCCUGCAUCGAAUUGCAAAUAUGAGCAACCGAUCCGGUAUCAAAUACCCAAGAAUUAAUAAUUGUAUCAGCGAGAAAAAUGUUGUCUAUAACAUUAACAACAAGCGUACCUGAGGUAGAAGUACUCUUACUUCUGCCAUUCUUCAACGAAGCUAGGUACUGCUUGCAGUUUCUCUUCUAGUGACCAAGUUCAUGACAGUAAAAUCACUCUCUGUCUGGAGCAGGUCCAGGUCCAGCUUUAACCAUGGGCGCUGGGUUUGGCUUGGACGUUCCAGCCUUGCCCUUCUUCUUCCAAGAAUUGCCCUUCUUCUUAAAGCUAGGCUUGUUCUGUAUAGCCAUCACAUGGCUGGUACUAGCGCUUUUCUUGAUGUCACCCUCUGCUGUUUUAAGCAUGCCACACAACUCAUUCAGACCCUUCUCCAUCCCAUGCAUAUGGUAGUUUGAGAUGAAGUUCCCAUAGCUAGGCGGAAGAGGCGAAAGAAUGAAAUCAGUGGCCAACUCUUGGCCCAGUGGGAAGCCCAGCUUCUCCAACCGUUGAGUGUAACCAACCAUCUUGAUUACGUGUGGUCCUACUGUUGCGCCUUCUGCUAGCUUGCUCUCCACAAAGGCCUUAGACACAUUGAACCUUUCAGUCCUGGCCUAUGUUUGGAACAUGUCUCUAAGCGCCACGAUCAUAUCGUGCGCCUCAUGGUUUGUUUCGAACUGCAUCUGCAGCUCGGGUUUCAUGCAAGCAAGCAUAAGGCAGCUUACUUCGAGGUUACCAUCACAUGCUUUCUUGUAAGCAUUCUUAGCAGCAGCGGGUGCAUCAUCAGCAGGUUCUUCUGGUAGUGGGUUGUCUAGAACAUCUUCCUUUUUCUCAGCCCUGAGAACAAUUCUCAGGUUACGGAUCCAAUCCGAGUAAUUUGUUCCAUUCAACUUGUCCUUCACAAGGACCGAACGCAAAGCAAACGGUGUAGUGCUGCUAGGUGCCAUUUAAUCUACAACAAAAGUAAUGCAAAAUACACUAAGACAAACGUAUCCAUGAUAGAGCAAAUCACAUUAAACUAUUUUAACAGAAUCUACUCCCACUAAAAUCAAUAUCUGUGGCGGAACCGCCCAACUUAAGCUGGUUUAAGUGCGCCUAAUCGCUGUCGGGGCAGCAAUUAUCCGAAACGCACCUAAAACAGCAUAAGUCCAGUAGUCCGUCGAGUGUCCCUAGGACUCCUCGAAAGAUCCACGGCGGGUUUCGUCACCAUACAUCAGGAUAGUAUCCGCGAUGGGAUAAUAUCAACAAAUAUUACAUUUUUACAUACAUAAUUAAGAGGUACGAGUUAUUACAAGACUUAAGUUGAGACAAACUUAGUGAUGCAGAGUUAGACAAGCUCUAAGAUUAAACAUAAACAGUUUAGGAGAAGAUGCGUCGAUGAACGGUUUUCUAGAGUAUUGAGAGACUCAGGUCAAUACUCUAGGUCUUCGGGGUCUCCUCCUCGGCAGCUUCCUGGGUAGCUUCUGAAAGAUAACCACAAGGGGGAAAACCCUGAGUACGGGGUACUCAGCAAGUCUUACCCGACUAACCAAUAUAAUAGCUUUUCUUUGGAAUGCAUGUCAGCCUUUGGGUGUGCUUGGUUGACACGAUUUUUUUGCCGAAAAAUCUUACUACGAGUGAGGCCUUAGUUUUGUCUUUUAGUUUAGUUAAGUUGUUACCUAACCAUUCUAGAUGAUAACAGAAGUAAAACAAUCAUAACUGUUAAUUCAUACAGUACCUAGCAACAGGAGAUUUUAUAUCACAUGAGUUAUACUACGAUGCUCAACAGUGAUCAAGUGCAUUCAUAACCGAGAAUUGCGGCGAUCCGGAUCAAAUUACAUCCUACAGGAGAGCACCCCGAUCACCAGCAUUAUACGACUGUCCAGGUCGUACUAACAACCUCUCGAUUAGUAAAGUCAAUGAUUAGGAAUACAACUACCCGGACCCAGGGAUGCACCCCCACACGGGACCCCACGUCUGGCCUGAUCCCCAUGUGAGUUUCAGGCUACACCCCUGCCAAUCUCCAGCACGUCAAAUGCGGGUACGAAGCAUUCCUGAUCAUAGAAUUUACUAAUCUACUGGGCUUUACUGGUCCCAUACCCAGUAAGUGAUCAGAGGUUAUCACUUGAUCAGCGUUCUCUCUACAACGAUCGGGCCUUAACCAGAUUAAUCUAGCAGACAGAACUACAUCUCUAGCCUCUGUCCGUUUUCAUAUUCCAGACUAUUCUUCAUAAGCAAAUAUGUAUGACUUAAGAGUUUUCCUUAAGGUUGGUAAACCAAGCAUGUAAGCAAGUAAGCAAUUCUAGACUUGGGUUGUCUUCUAAAGUUUGAACAAGUGGCAAAGAUGUCCUUAAAACAAGGUAUGAUUAUACACAAGAAUAGGUUUCAAGCAACUCCGAGACUUAGUGCAUACAAUAACUAAAUAACCUAUAACUAGUCACAUGAAAUAACGACUUCAAAAUAGAUAGGUAUACAUGCACCGGGGCUUGCCUUGAUCGUUAAAAAGAUUAGUAGAAGCCGACGGAUUCGCUUCACAGGGGACAAAUUCAAACACCUCGUCGGACUCCAAAGGUCCUUCUGAAAAUUCCCAGUAAUCCUCUUCUGGUGCUUCAGGAUCUACGGCGCAAUAAAUGCAGGGGUUAGAAUGCAAACUUUUUAAAUAACAGACUAUACAACUUUCCUUCAUGAUAAAGUUGCAAGCCAACAAGGACUAUACGACUUAUCACGAAUAAGUUGUAAGUCAACACAUAAAAGAAAUCUAAAAAGGUUAACCUAUAUUUUUAUUUUCUUAUUUAACCCUUCCUAUAGCUUUUUCUUUUAUUUUUAGGAAAAGUGAUAAUUAUUUUCUAACUUGAAAAUCUGAUUUCCUAUGAGUUAAGAAUUAUUUGUGAUUAAUAAAGUGUUAUUCAUAUUUUAUACAUUUUAUAAAUAUUAAGUAUUUAUUUAAUUACCUCAAAAGGAAGGCAUUAAAUAAAUACCCAAAUUUUUAUUAUUUUCCUAGGGUGUAAAAAUUUUAAUGCAUAAAGGAAAAUAAAACAAGCCUAACAAAAUUGGUUUCACUAAUUUUGGACACUCCUAAAAAUUUCUGUGAUUAAAAUGGUGCAAAACGAAUUUAAACAGAUUAUUUUACUAAAGAAAUCUAACUUUUCCCGAAAUUCCCCCGGAAAAACUUUUCUCACUCACCCACGCUCUACCCUCUCUCACGAAUCACUGGACCCCACGGCGCGGACCCACCUCACCUAUUCAUUCUACCCGCCGGCCUUACUCCUCCUCCCGACGGGCCCCGCGGGCCGAUUUCCGCUUCCCUUUCCUCUAACAGCCCAGCACCGGCCCACGGCCCCUCUUUCUUUUUCUUUCUUUUCCACGCGACGCCGGCCUGUUUCUGCUCUGGGCCUCCGGCCUCCUUUUCUUUUUCCCCCGGCCGACUCGCGCGUUAGCCCCCUGGGCUCCUGCGAUGCCGGCCCAAAGACCGCACCGGCCCCGGGCCUUCUUUCCAAUUUCCGCCGACCGCGCGCAUGCGCUGCUAUUGGGCCUCCCACGCUACGGCCCAGCAACCGCUUACGCAGCGCUGGCCUGCUUUCCUCCUCCUUCUCUGACGCGCGGGCCCCGGGCGCACAGCUCCUUCUUCCUCCUCCCGCCAAAAGCGCGACCGGAAUAGGGGGCGGCGCGGCUCGCCGGCCGGCGCCCUCCCGGCGGCGGGUCUAGACGACGACACCAACCCUAACCCUACACGACCUCGCGCGCAGCGACAACUCCCUUGGAGACGACCGGAGCUACCCCCUCCACGGCGACGGGCGGCAACACCCACGGCCGGUGGUGACUUCUUAUGACAACGGUACAACCUACUCAAACAACUAACCUGACACCAUCCUAGGACCCUGAGGACUCGACUACGACUACUCAAGAAGGAAGAGAGACAGCGCAAGGUAGUUCUCACCGAGAGCAGGCGGUGCGACGGCGGCGGAUAGAAGCGGCGGCGAGCAUGGCUAUUCCGGCGAGGAUGUGGGACAACAACUAGCUCGGGGUGUGGCUGGGGUGUCUGUGGAGGAGUGGGCGAGAGGAAUCGACGAGAGCUGCUCGGAGGUGGUAGAAUUUUGCUUGGCGGCGAUACUGAUCAGAGGAGAGCGGGCGGCGGUAAAAAGGGGAAGCAGUGAAACGGUGGCGCGGGAACAGUAAACAUUCAAGGAUUUCACCGCGCGCAUGGCUGCCACCGUGGUCUACUGCUAGGCUUGCGUGGUGAGGAGGUGGCCUAGCUAGUCAUGCUGGCGGACGACCGACGACGGCGGCGGCGACACGUCUGGGUGCUCUGUCACCGCUCUUCUGGCGCCCGUGAUCUUCAGAAGCGGCUAGCGGUUGAUCCUUGAUCCGACGGCUUCUCGUGCUUUAACAGAACUUGGGGAUAAACUCAAGGCCUUCAUCUUUUAUUUUGGCGUCGACUUGAGAUAAACAUCGAAUCAACUGAAUUUUUGAAGUUUAGCUCGGGUUAGCUCUGAAUGUCGACUGAAUUGCAACUGCUGUUCGUCAGUUCGACAGUGAUAUGGACUUUAAUUUGGGAACCAAUUUUAAGGACUUAAAUCUUGUUUUUCCAGUCCAACUUCUUCUCAAAUGUGUUCUAUGAUCUCCCAAGUUUCCAUUUUGCCCAAGAACACCCACCCUUCUUGAUCUACAUUGCUCUGAAUUCGAACUCCAAGUUAAUGUACUGCUGAUUUUCAGACUUAGCAAAAAUUCAGAGUUUUCAGUCACUUGUGAUUUUGUGCUGAUUUUGAGCUCGAGUUUGACUUCCUUCCUUUUACUGUUCCUGGCUAACAACUCAUGAUUAUUGUAGUCUGAAGUCUAUAUUUCAACAUGAUGUAGUUGUUCUGGUGUACUUAGUUGCCAAAUUCCCCGGAAAUGAAUUUUGAAAACAGACUCAGUGGCUGUUGCUGUUGUCGGACGGUGAACAGUAAACGGCAGUUUUCUUUUCUUUUUCUUUCUCUGAUUCUUCUAAGAGAUUUAGCACUAGCUUAGCUCCAAAUUUUUGAUCCUUCAGUCCUAAAUAUUCUUACACUUGUAUUCCACACUUUUGACAAAUUUUUCUGAAUUUCAAAUUUGAAAUUCAAAUUUCGGUCAAAAUUUGGCCGAAUUUGACCUUUUUGCCAUUUUUCUUCUUUUUCUUUUGGAUUUCCUUCUGAAUUUUUCAGGGUCACUAUUUGACUUUAAAUGGCACUUAUUACAAUAUCCCUCUAUUGAAACUUAGUGAUUCAGGAUCCACAACUAACAAGUCUACUAGUGAGCUUUAGCAUCACCGCUAGCAAACAAGGUUGAUCGGUAAGCAACUUUUGCUAAUCAUAUCACAUAUGACUCCUGUUGUUGGGUGACAUCUCCAUGUCUCGGCGCCCAACCUUUAUGCCCCAAGGUCCUUAACCGUUAAGAUAACCUUGUUAAGCAAACCAACCCUUAUGCGUGUAAGUGUCCGACACAAACCCGUCUAGUCAAGGAAAACUAGUGGCAUCCUAAUUUCAUAGACCCACCACUAAUUGUACAAGACAUGGGACGGUGCAAGUUUUAGUUGGGAGGGCAUACUAACUUAAACUUUGUGAGGGAUCGUUCUACUUCUAACAUCACAGCAUGCAGAGAGUAAAACAUAAACAGAAUAGCAUUCACACAGUUGUGACACAGUAUGGCCCGUUUUCAUAUGGUGAUCUCCAUCUCCAUAGAACUUGUUCACCAUGAUGAUCUCCAUCUCCAUGUUCCAUGUGCUCCAUCCUCCUGGUGAUGAGUCCUCCAAGAACUAGAACAUGCUAUUACGCCUAAUAGCUAAUAAAGAAGCUAGUAAUGAAGAUUACAUAGUUGCUUGGAUCAUCACAGAUUGGUACGCAGACCAUUAAAUACAAUAAAGUGACAACACAUAUGGCUCAUGCCGUGUUGCCGUACGCGCGACACGCAGGUCACGAAUGAGUUACACACAUGCAUCACAUACACAAAGGGCCAUACUGAUCACAAGAUACAUACAUCCUGCAAAACAGAGUUAAGCGUCCUAACGUUCCAAACUUCGGAUGCCCGAAACUCCAUCUUCUAAGCUGAAUUUGGGAAAUCUAAUUUCGCCAAAAACGGCAAAGACAUUGAAUUUCAUGUGUAACUUUUUAUGUAGAUCAAUUUUCAUAUAAAAUUCGCCCCGAUCCGAGAUCGUACUGAAAAGUUACAGCUGAUUUACCGAAGCAUACGCAUACGACAAAAAUCCCGACCCCGGCAGUAGAUCCCAUCUACUAUUGCACAUCUAAUGCGCCUGGCGUAUAACCCUGGAUUUCGAUUCGACCAAUCAUAUUGAUCUUCGCUCACUGCAACUGGAAUUAUGUGUAUCACUUAACUCCGAUGGCGGAAACCAACCGGUAGGAGUAUGUCAUUACACUACCAUUGCAGCAAAAGCACAAAACCAAGAUAUAGAUCAAACUGAAAACUCGCAUAUCUCCAUAUGCACACAUCCCGAAUCCAAAACUAAACAGCUACGGCUCUGAUACCACUAUUGGGAUACGAGGUAGGCUACACUAGCGCAAAUCAAAAUUUCUACCGCGUAAAACCAGGAAGAACUGCCGUAUAAGGAUCACGGGAUUACCACUCAACGCACUACUGGUGCGGAAGAUGUAGAUUUGCGUCAAUGCAGCGAAGACAAUCAACGUAGUCGUACGUAGUCGAUCACGUCAACGUCCAGCAGCUCCUCAGCAGCUCAUCCAUGUGCAGCAAGAUCGCCCUCGUGCCGAGGCUCGUCGGCGGCUCGUCGUGGCUCGUCGGCGGCUCGUCGUGGCUCAUCGGCGGCUCGUCCGAGUGCUGCAGGCGCAACACCUCCAAGGUAUCCACACGUGCAGGGAGGAAGCAUUGCAAGCUGGACUGCUAGAUCCGCGAGUUGCAACAGGCGAGGGUGUGGGAGGCGCGGCAGAUGUGUUUCACCAAAAGGUGUAAACCCUAGGGCGCCCCCACCCCUCUAUUUAUAGAGGUUCCUAACGGGCCUCUGGGUCCGAGGACCAUUAGUACUUCUAAACCUAAUCCAACUUGGAUCACAUCCGAAUUGGGCUUCCAACCCCUUAAGUGUGUGACCCUAUGGGUUCGGAUACGUAUAGACAUGGCCCGAGUACUCCUACUCGGCCCAAUAGUCGGUAGCGGCCUCUAGCAAGACGUGCCAACUCCUAUACACACAUGAAGAUCAUAUUAGACGAACCAUCACAACAUAAUAUACAUGCUAUUCCCUUUGCCUCACGAUAUUUGGUCUAGCUUCAAGCCGACCGCUCUUUCUCGAUCCUGUGAUUCGGAAUCCCUUUGUAGGUUAACUCUUAACCGUACGUAGCAUGGCCAUGCAUUUUCGGAUCCGAUCACUCGAGGGGCCCAGAGAUAUCACUCUCAAUCAGAGAGGGGCAAAUCCCAUUUUGAUUGACCAUGUCUCAUAGCAUGCUUCUUGACAAACCCGAAAGCUACCUUUAUAACUACCCUGUUACGGCGUAGCGUUUGAUAGCCCCUAAGUAGGUCGAUCCACAUCUUGAAUACAUGCGACAAUCUCAGGUCUAAGGACAAAGCGUAUAUGUUGUUUAAAGAGAGAACUACUUCUCGUGUUGGGUCAGUCCUAGCCCAUGUCUCCACAUGUGUCCACAUUAUUAGUUCAACAUCUCCAUGUCCAUGACAUGUGAAACAUAGUCAUCAACUAAUACAUGUGCUAGUCUAAUAUUCAUGUGUGUCCUCACAUGAACUCCGACUAGGGACAACUUUAGAAUAACCAUACAAGUAAAGAGUUUCACAUACAAUUCACAUAAUUGCAAAUCAAUUCAAGUAGCCUUUAAUGGAUAUUCAAUGAACAAAAUAUACAAAUCGUGGAAACAAGUGGAAUAUCAUCAUCUCUAUGAUUGCCUCUAGGGCAUACCUCCAACAGUAAUAGUGCUUAAAUAGGUGUUUUAAACUUAAGAGCAAGUCCUUUGGGCUUAGAGAAGAGCUUUGGCAACUUUUAGGCAAAGUCCAAGUCUUGGGGCUCUCUAUUUAGAGGUUUCCAAUAUCAUCUAGAGUUGAGCCCUAUACCAAAGUUUUAGAGCUUCGGGACCUUAACAACUUUGCUUUAAGGAGAAAGUUCGAAAGAUGCCCUGAAAGCCUUCAAAAUCUAGGUCAAAGUUCCUAGUUUGGUCAACUCUGCCUCUUUAGCCAUUCCGGCUAAGUCUGGAAUUCAGCCCGACCUGGCGCCUUAGGGCAGGUUUAUCUUUGGAAAGUAGAACAGAACAUCAGGAAGUCCUUUUGUAGAAGUUAGGGAACUAAGUUCCUAUAAUAACUUUGUUAAUUGGACCUUGGUCCAAUUCACCUCCGAAGCUUCCCAAAUCUGCAGCUCAAAUCUGCCCAGAACCCUGAAAACCAGCCAAACCGCCAUUUUUCCCUAAGUCCUGAAACUGGUGUUCCUCCAAACUUUGGAGCUUUGAAUCUCCAAAUCCACCAUGUUUUUGAACUCCGUCAAAUUACAAGAGUUGGACCUUGGUCUAUGUACUACAACUCUUGUAAAGGGAGUCAACAUGGCGCAGUUUGAAAAUCCGGAGAUCAAGAGGCAGGAAGAUGGGCCUGGCAAAAGAUCUCGCGCAUCCGUCGGCCAGACAGCGCCAGACCGCGCGUGCGCCACGCGUAGAGCUCCACCGCCGCGUGGCAUAACCUCACCGAUGAGCGUCGCCUCGCCCAGUCACCGGCCGCGACACGAUAGAUCAGCGCGCCUCUUUCCCAGUCGCGCGUAGAAGAGCCCUGCAGACCCCUUUGCCCCAUCUCGUCUCGCUCGAGGCCUCGCCGGCCGCGCCAGGUGCCCUGCCCGCAGCUCCGUCGUCGCCCCGGCCACUCUGUAACCGAAGACCGGCUGCUGCCACGCCGGUACCGCCUCACCUCCCGUGUGCAUCCGCCUCACCCAGUUCCCCGGCCGCGCGCCCCAACGCCUUUCGGCCCUCCCGUCACACCUCAGUCGCGCUGGCCCCGUGCGUGCCCCGCGACGCUACUGUCUCCGCCAACUGCCACGCAGGCAGUGACAGCUCCUCCCCCCGCCUCGCCAGUAGCGUGCCCCGUCAGAGCUGGUAGUUCCGCGCAUGCUCACGUCACACCACUCAUCCUGUCACCUCUCUGCAGUGCCCUUCCCUUCCUCCUGUCCACCAAUGGCACCAUCGCCAUGGAUGGCUGCAACCACACGCGCGCGCAGACCUAGCAGAUCCGUGUGCCCAGCGAACCCGCUUUGCCCCCGACCCCAAAUCCUUGCUGCCCAACCAGAGCAAGAUUGCGUCCGAGCUCGCCAAUGGAGGCGCCGACCAAUCGCCGCCGCGGCAGAGCACUUCUUUCUCCCUCGAUCUUAUCCUCUCGCCGCUCAAGCUCAUUUCCUUCCUCUAAGCACUUCUGCGCAGCUAUAAAAGGGGUACUGGAGCCUCUUACCCAAGUUCCCUUCAUUACCACCGCCUUUGCCGCACUACAUGCUUUGUUCUUCUCCACCGCACUCGCCGCUGCACACUCCUCUGCUUCGCGCUGAAGCACCGCCACCUGAGCUCUCUGUGGAGCUCCCCCUUCCAUCCAACACCGCACCUUGCCAACCCCACCAGCUGCUUCGCCAUCCUUUCACGCAGCGCUAGAGCUUGCUUGUUGUCCACAAGAAGCACCACCGCCGCCAAAACGCCGUCUUUCCUUGUUCCGCCUCGGCUUGUUUCUUCCCAACCCCGAGACCUCGUCAGUGUGACCGGAGGUGAGUUUCUAACCCCCUUCCAACUCACCCAACCCUGUCCGACUCGCCCAAGUGCUGUCCACCUCGCGCCGACUCACCCGAGUGCUGUCCGCCUCACCCGACUCGCCCGAGUGUUGUCCGCCUCGCCUGAGGGCUCGGUGUGUCUUUUUCUUUUGAUCGAGGGUAUCUGUGUAAAAUUUUGAGGACUUCUCUAUGUUAAAUCUUAGGACCCUGGUACAGUUAUUCCUUAGGUCUAAGGGUCAGAUAGUAAGUUUUCCCCGAUCCGACUCUUUUAACUUGUUUUAAAUCGAUAGAAGCUUGGAAAUUGCAUCUUAAAUCAAGGAAAAAUCAGAAAAAUGUGAAAUCACUUGGGUUGGAAUCCUCGUUCUGAGUAGAAUCCAAUAAAGUGGGUUUCACACCUUUUCCUAUAGUUUUGCUAUAGUUUUGGGUUUAAAUCCUUGCUUACUAUUGAAAUCACCGUCUAAGUGUCUCACCCUUGCAUUGCAUUUCGUGUAGAGCUGAAUCUCGCCGAUGGCACAUACGAGCUUCACCUAGCAUCGGAAGACAAAGUCGUAGCUGAGCUGCCGCUUGCAGGAGUCGAGCCCGUGCACGUCGAGGAUCAGUUCGCUACCGCCCCGCUUGAAGGCAAGCCCCGGAGCAUAACCCAGUUUUUCUAAACUUGUGCAUAUCUUCUGUUGUUAUGUGUGUGCAUUUACGUUCCAGGAGCUGGUUGAAACCGUACAUGCAUGACUUAGUUUCCCUUUGAUCUGAACACUAGUAUGAUAGGCCGAGUAGCUGCUUGCUUAAAUAGGACUCGGUAAAAGUCGAGUGAUUUCCUGUCACUCGCGAGUUAUAGGAGUUGCUUGCUUCGUUUGUUACAACCAUAAGGACGAUAGAUGGGGUAGGGCUCUAUGAACUAUUUUGGUGGUCGGUGGAUUGCCCCGCCUAUCUACAUGAAAUUGGAUUAAGGUUGGAAAGUGAUGGUGUUCGUGAUCAAGCGUUUGAAAGUACUAAUCUCAUAUCUAGUAUGGGAUGGGGAAGCCUAGUACCUGAUUGAAUCGGCAAGUGGAUUAUACCCCUGCUGUCCUUGGAACGUAGUUCCCAUGGUGCAUCAUGUGGAUGCAGGUGCGGUCACAGUACGGUAGAAACUGGGACUGUGGAGCAUUGCAUGGCAAGGGCAGUUUGGACCUGACAUGCGCCUGGGAAUUGAUGGGGAUGGCCGACAAGUGAAGUGACCCUCCGUGGUGCGUGGAUGUCGUGAGAUUAGGUUCGCCAUGCAUGGUUAAGAAAUUCGAAUCGAUUCAUCUGCCUCUCAUAGUUUGGGAUUGCUUGAUCGCUAUGCUACACUGAGUAAGAAUGGAAGAUGAUGGUGAUCUAAAUAUUGUUACUUGUUUAAUUGCUUGGAAACCAUUGCUUGUUUAGUAUAAUUGCUAACUUAGAUUGGUAAAUGAAUGUAGAACUUGUGGCUAAAAUAUUGAAAGUAAGGAUCUACUGUAGUCGCUUUUGGCAAAACAAACGCCUCAGCCAAAAAGCCUUGCAUGUCUAGAAGUUGGUGGAUUAGAACCACCCGUCGGUUAAGUCUUGUUGAGCAUAGUUCCUUAGCCUUGCUUGUGGCACAUCUUUUAGGUGAUGUUGAAGCCCCUGAGUUUGCUGCCUGUGGCACUUAGCCUCCCCAGCUUCCUCCUUGGUGGACGGUCGAGUGGGAUCCCUCUCAGACGGUGAGAACAAGGAUCAUUGAUGUCAUGAUCGGCCUCAUCGUGACGUCCAACUUCGGCGCUAGCUUUCGUUUGUUUAUUUCUGCUGCUUAAGAACUCUGCAAACUUUGUUUGAAUUUCGAACCUGGUGUUGUAAUAAAUUAAUGUACUUGUUUAAUUUGGAUGAUCUAUUAUAUUCUCUGGAACCACUCACCUUCGUGUGAGCUCUGCUUCCUUGGUCCUGUGUAGUGGUUUAUCGGAUGAAAUCUGACAGACCGCUGAGUUAACUUGAUUAAAGCAUAUGAUUGCGUGUCAGGCAACUUAAUUGUGCUUUAGCAAAGUUAAUUAGGGCGGUUCCGCCACAUAUAUAUGGUAUAUAUGUAUACCUUAAUUGUGAGGUUGCCAAAUGGCCUUUACAGCUCACAUGAGGUGUGCUGAGUGAUGUCAUCCAUAGGGUAACAUUGGUUGUCUUGCACAACCAUGGGUAAGCUUGGCAUGUUCUUAUCAGGGACCCCUGUGGAAGCACAUCUGCUUCGGUGUUGAGAAGGGCUGAUGACAAUGUUGGGAUCUAGCAGCGCUAUAGAUUGGGCCAUCUCAGUAACUGCCAGAGCCACUUUAGCUUAAACAUGCGCUGCCACCUUUAUCUUAUUCAUGCACUUUAGCUUCUAACAUGCACUGCCACCUUUCCUCUUGCUAUAUCUUUCUUCUCUUUCAGCUUCUGUAUGUGUCGAUGUCCCUACGAAAAGCAUACUUCCAUGGAACCACAUUGAAGCCUUGGCAGCAUGUUGGGUGCUUGGGAUUCCUGAGCGCCAAAGUGAGCUCAUCGAUCUCUCUAUCAGGCUUGAACUUUCCCACUUUAGAAUCUUCAAUGUUUUUGAUAAGUCUGAGGACCUUCUCACAUAUUGUUUCGUUGAAAACAAGUGACCCCAUCCUUAGGGUUUAAGGGUGCCUUCGUGAGCGUAAUACCAAUUCUUCGAUCGAUCGGGCCAAUCAAAAGUCGCUAAUACGAUACCUCGAUCGAGUAGGUCUUGUUCCAUCUUUCUCCAUCUAGGAACUGCACUCUUGUAACUACCUUGCCCUAGAUGAUGAUGAUACUCCUUCUGACGGGCAUUGCCUGUGUUGAUCUUAACCUUGUUCGCACUAUCUUCAGUCCUCUUGUAUUCCAAAAAUGAGUUUUAGUGAUCUCUUAACUUUGGCCAGCAUUAAAAUCUGGAGUUCGGCCCUUCUUGAUAUAGUUGGUAUUCAGAUUUUUCUUGAAGGUCUGAAAUUGGGUUGCCAUCUUCUUGAGCGUCUAGUCUUUUACUAAGUUUUCAUUGAUGCCGUCAAGAAGUGUGAAGUAUUUCUUGACAUCUUCCCACAACAUAUCUUUCUAUGUCUGCGAGAGCACGUAUGGAUCAUCUUAUUUACUGGACUUCAAUUCUCGAAUGCUGAUGGGCAUGUUGUCCCUUACAAUAGUCCUGCAUUGACUUGCGAACUUUCUAGUGACUUUUUCGGGAGCAAUUAGCUGGCCCUCUUCUAUCACUUCGGUGAUAUGAAGCUUUCCCUCCAUUAUCUUUGUACGACCUCACGGCUUCUUUCGCGUCAAUGAUCCAGAGGGCUAAAAGUUGAAGAUUCAUUAAUUAGUGCAUAGUAAUAGUUAAUAUGAAGUUAUAGAUAGGGUAAAAUGAUAAAAAUGAUAUAUACCUCGCCGGAACCUUCCAUCACGACAAUGUCUUGUUCUGCAUUGUCAUCAACACCGUGCUCGUGCUCAUCAUUGCCAUCACCGGACAUAUUGACGAACAUGUCCGCCUAGCUACCCUCAUCCUCGGUGUAGGUUCUUGGAACGUUUGAGCCACUACUGCCAGCAACAAUCUACUCUGUUAUAUAACUUUCGUCCUCUUCGUCUUCCAUCUCAACUAAUAAUGACAUUAGUUAUACACACAUGUAAUCAUAGAUACAUUAAGUUAAACAUAGUAUAAUAAAUAUAUAUACAUGAAAUCAUACUAAUUUGUACUAAUUUCCUAAGCAUUUAUAGUGAUUUCUACUAAUUUCCUAAGAAAUUAUAACAAUUUUCCGAAGCAUUUAUAGUAAUUUGUACUAAUUUCCUAUACAUUUAUAGUGAUUUCUACUAAUUUCCUAAGCAUUUAUAAUGAUUUCUACUAAUUUCCUAAGCAUUUAUACUAUUUUAUACUAAUUUCCACUAAUUCUCUAGGGCAUUUGCACUAAUUUUAAUUCUAGUAUAUUAAGCAUUUUUCUAAGUACUUAUAAUUAAUUUACACUAUUUUCUAAUUUAUAAAAUUUUUCUAAGUAUUUAAACUAAUUUAUACAGUUUUUUAAAUAUUUAAAACAAUUUAUACUAAUUUUCGAUGGAUUUAUUCUAAUUUAUACAAUUCUUCUAAGUUAUAUAAUUUACUAUUCUAAUUUUCUAUGAAAUAAAAAAAACGCUAAUGCAAGCCGUAGUUGGAGGCGGCGCGCCCGUACCUCGUUGCAGGGGGGCGUCAGGGAUGAGUGUGGCGGCGUGCGGUGGCGGAUGGAAGGGUCGUGGGCCCGUGUGCGAGGCUGGGGGACGGUGGGACGGCGCCGAUAGAGCUCAAUUCAGCCCGCGGCAGCGCACGGUGGUCGACGGUGUUGAGGGCGGCUCUCUGCGAUGCCGGGAUAGGGAGGAGGGUGCCGCCGGGGAGAUGGGGCGCGUAGGCGAAGGGGGAGUACGGCCGUGGCGGCCGACAGAGAGGGUCGGGGUGCUGCUGCCGGGGGGCGCUGGAGGCAUCGUUGAGGAGCCGGGGGAGGCACCGGGGUGGUGCCACGAGCCACGAAGAAGACGCCGGCCGAAGCGACGAUGAGAUCGAGGGGAUGCCCGCAGAGGAGCUAAUGGCAGCGCUGGUGGCGAUAGGGGCGACGAAGGCAGCGAGGAUCGUGAAGUUAGCUAAGUCCUGAGGAGGGAGGAAGGGCUUGGAUAUUUAUACUCCCACCCUUUUUGUCCCGGUUGGUCGUACCACCCGGGACUAAAGGGUCUUUAGUCCUAGGUGGUAUUUCCAACUAGGAGUAAAGAGAGCCUUUAGUCCCCGCUGGUAAUACCACCCAGGACUGAAGGAGGUGAAGUUUCAUCUCCCGCGCGCUGCCCCCCUUUAGUCCUACUGCCCCUCUUUAGUCCCGGGUGGUAUUUCCAACCGAGACUAAAGGGUCCCUCGCCUUUGCCUUCCCUGCAUAAGCCAUUAUUUCCACCCUUUUAUUUCAACAAUCAGUUUACUCAAAAUGCUGCAAAUUUUACAAAUAUGUAAUUAAUGUACCAGAGUAGAUGAGAUGUUGAAUAUAUUUUUUUAAUUACUAUUUUUAAGAUGUAAUAAAAACAGUACUAAACUAUAAUUCUUAAUAUGUUUUAAGUUGAUUUAAUACUUUUGCUUAAUCAAGAAAAAUGAAAAAAAUCAAUGUUUUAAACAUGCAAAAAUAUAUCCAAUUAGCUUAUGUGAUUAAGUUAAUAUAUUGACCAUAUAAUAUUUUUUAACCUUAUAUUGUUGUUUAUAUUGAUCGAAUAAUCAUGUGAUGAGCCAAAAACUCUCAUAAAGGAUGAUGAUAUAUAGUCCAUUAUAUAAAUGAGUUUUACACAUCACUAAAAUAUAAUAGAAAGGUUCUAAUGAUCAUAGAGCAUUACAAUGUAACGUAAAAAAACUUCUUCUUGAUGAAAGUUCCUUGAUCAUGAGCGCGGUGCAAGUACGGAGCCUCUUCUUUGGCUAGCAUGAUGCUUGGGUCAAUUUCGACAGCGAAUGGAGGUGCCAUCAAACUGAUCCUAAUCAUCGGACUAGUAUAUUUUGUCCUCGACUCCCACGAUUACUCUUUAACCUGGAAGGAAUAUGUGGCGCUUUGACUCCCAUGGUUUUUUUAUCUUCUGAAUUAUUCUUAGGUUUGCUAGACAUGUCCUUCGUAUAGAAAACCUGAUGCAGAUCAUUGGCAACGACAAAUGGUUCAUCUUUGUAUGUAGUCUUGCUCAGGUCGACUAUUAUCAUUCCAUACUUAUCUUCCGUUAUGCCACCUCCAGUUAGCUUCACCCAUUGACAACAAAACAGAGGGAUGUUCAGCGGUUCAUAGUCAAGUUCCUAGAUCUCCUCUAUGAAACCAUAAUAUGAGUCUCUCAAUGCUGUCUAGGACAUCUAUACGGAUACCACUAUUUUGGUUGGUGCUUUUUUGUCUUGGGCUCUUGUGUAAAAUGUAUAAUCAUUUAUCUUGUAACCUUGCGUUGACGUUGGAUUUUGACACGUGUUUGGAAUCGGUGUCAAAGGAGGAGAAAGGGAGCCGAUGCGGUGGACUAGAAGCUACAGUUGGGAAUCGGCUGAUUAAAGCUACAAUAUUUUGGCCGACUGGCGGAAGGAGUCAAUGGAGGCUGGCCGAUUGGGAGCCAGAACGGCCUGGCCAUUUUUGGCCUAAGGUGGGCCAGGAUGAAGAUUUGCUGAAGAAGGAGAUUGGCCCGUGGGAAAAUAAUAACCAACUCGGAUACGAGUUGUGUUUGUAAAUAUUUAUUAUCGUUUAAAAUUAGAGAUAGAUCCUAGUCAGUAAGGAAGUCAGUUGUGGCAGGGUAUAAAUAGCUGCCUCAUGAGGCUUGUAAACAACAAUACCAAUCAAUACAACAAAUCUACUUUUUUCUCGUACUUUACUUUCAAGUCAGCGUCUUCGCCAAAACCUUUUUCUUUCACGAGUUCGUACGGGUUGGCAGGGCUGCAUCGACAUGAUCUCCGGCUGAUUUUGUAAGUUCUGCUUAUCGAGUAAUAUCUAAGCUUUAACUUCAGGUGCAUCGCUGUUGUUUCGUUUAGAUUUAUUCACCCGUUAUCGAUAUCAACUAGAACUAUAGGUUUUAUCUAUUGUUUUAGUUUUAUCACCAGUUAUCCACCUUGAGAUACGAACUAUCGGCUUUUUCGUCAUUAUUUUCUUUUAUCACAUAGCCGAUUAGAUCUAUUUCAAGUGUUGCUUUGUAGCGUUGUUUGGAUUUCUCUAGUAGUUUCUUUGCAAUCACUCCAUGGUCAUCGGCUGCCCUAUAGCCGGUUACUCUCACAGUAAAUCGACUGAUUCGCUGACACGCUUUUCAAGACAGAUCGGAACUUUAGUCAAUCGAGACCUCUGGAAUUUAACACUUUUCUCUCCUUGUCAAUCAACAGGUCAGAUUGACAAGCACGCCGCGCAAAAUGCACGAGGGCGAUAACCCGAAUAGGAGUUAAGCAGAUUCUCCCGGGUCGUGUGUCCGACGCUGAAAGUCAUUGGCUGAUUUUUAGUGCCAACACCUUGGAAUUUCACGAUUGUGCUAGAAGGUCCCCUAGCAAACAAAGCGAGUUGUUCGGGAAUCGUGGAGUUACCCAUAAGGUGUUGAUGCAACCAAGAGGGAAAAUUAUCCAUGUGAUGAUGUAUAAUCUAGGUAUCAGAUUUCAUCGGGUAUUGGGAAAAUAGAAUCUACUUGUGUUCUUCAAUAUACGGAGCCACCAAGGAUGAUUGUUGCAGAACCGUGAAGUGUGCUUUAUGGAACAAAUCACUAUCAGUGCUCAAACUUGAUUUCCUUUCAAGGGUGCCCUUCCCUGUAGCCUCCCCUUGUGGCGUGAUAGUGGAACCCAAUUGAAUUAAUUGAGUCAAUAAAAUCAACACAAAACUCAAUGACGUCCUCUGUUCCAUAUUCCUUGGCGAUGCUUCCUUCUGGAUGGGCACGAAAACCUCUCGAAAGGCCAUAUAUUGUGCAGGAAUACUGGACCUAGAAUAGUAAUACCUUUGACUAAGUGAACCAGGAGGUGCGUCAUAAUAUUGAAGAAGGAUGGGGGAAAUACCAACUCAAAGCUGACAAGAUAUUGUACCACAUCAUUCUGUAGCUUUAGUAGCUUGGUUGGAUCAAUUGCCAUCUGAGAAAUCGCAUUGAGAAAUGUGCAUAAUUUUACGAGUGCCAAUCGUACAUUCUCUGGUAGAAUACCUAUAAGUGCAACCGGAAACAACUGGGUCAUCAACAUGUGGCAGCCAUGGGCCUUUACAUUUGUGAACUUUUUUCUUUCAUAUUAAUUAUUCCCUUUAUAUUCAAGGAGUACCUAGAUGGAACCUUGAUACUAUUCUUACAAUCAAACAUGAUAUCCUUCCUUUCCUUGCUGAGAGUGUAACUAGCGGGAUGUAAGUAGUGCUGUCCUUUAUCUCUCUUUUCCGGAUGUAGGUCAUCUCGUUGCUUCGUACGUUUGAGGUCCUGUCGUGCUUCCAAUGUAUCUUUUGAGUUCCCAUAACAACCUAGGAAGCCUAGCAUGUUCACGCAAAGAUUCUUCAUCUGGUGUAUCACAUCAAAUGCGUUGCGAACCUCUAGGAUUUUCCAAUAAGGUAGCUCCCAAAAUAUAGACUUCUUCCACAUGGGUGCACAUCCGUUAUCAUCGUUUGGAACAGGUUCGGUACCAAGACCCUUUUCAAAGACUACUCUUACAUCCUUUAUCGUCUCAAAUACACGCUUUCCAUUAUGGUGUGCAGGUUUUUUAAUAAGAUGUAUUUUUAUUAAUGUAAUUUUUUAUAUAAUAUGAAAAGGUGAUUAUUUUGAAAAUUCUCUUAAAUGUAAAAAAAUGAUUGGCAGUGUUCAAGGACCUCACAGUUAGAAGUCAAAUCCAAUCUUUUAAAUUCAAAAUGUCACAAAUUUAUUAAAUUCAAAACAUCGUUUCAGUGUCAGUACAUCCCCGCCACGAACAGUUUCUGGCCUUUGUCAAGAAGCAAGGCUCCGACGUCGAGCUCAUUUGGGAAUCGGGUGCCAUGUCAUUGCCUUACUUACAACUCCUGCCAUCUUGUAUCACCCACCCCUGAUGUCGUGCAUACCUAAUACGUGUACGUCUCAAUGUUUGCCCUGCGUGCAAGAGCGACAAAGUUCAUCACAAUCCACAAGGCUUGCCGAACCAACUAAGGGGAUGGUUGGCAGCACUCCACUCCAGAAAAAAUAGCUCCACUUCACCAACUCCACAAAAUUGCCUGCCAACAAACACGUCCAGCUCCACAAACUCCAGCUGUAGAAAAAAUGUGGAGCUAGAGGUUAGAUCCACAUUUUUCCUGGAGUACCUUAACAUCAGUUUCAGACUUCCUCAUGGAGUUAGGGGUUAUUUACCCACCUUUGCCACUCGUUACACAACAUAUCAGUUCGUUUCUAAUUUUUUCUUUCUGCUCUCGCUGUCUCCAUUUCCUCCCUCUCGCUGUCACCUGCCAGCACUGCGCUGCCUUCACCAAUCAGCACUGCGCUCCCCACGCGGCCCUCGCCCAAUGGAGCCGCGCUAGUGCGCUACCCACGCCGUCGUCGCCCUCCGGAGCCGUGCCGCCCUCACCCCCUCGGCCGUGGCCACGCCGCCCCUGCUCGUUGAACCUCGCCGCCCCUGGCCAUGUUGGUCGCGCGGCCCUUGCUCGCCAGACCUCACCGCCCCCACCCACUAGGGCCAUGGGGCUUUGCCCUCUUAUCCUUUCCACGUUGCCGACCUCAUCUCUUCCUCCCCCUCAUUCUCCCCCUUUCUUCUUCCUCCAGCCGGGCCAAUCCAAAAGUAGAGCCGAGUCUAGCACCUUUGAUCCGCCACCCAAAUUCGCCCCUUUCCCUCCACCAAAACAAAUUGCCACCAACCGGACCUCCCUCACCUCUCCAGCUCCACCCUUAGCCACUCCUCACCGUCGGCCAUGGCUCCUGCGGCCGUGGGUUGAAGUUUCCCUAUUCGCCGGGUGCCGCGAGCCAGUGUUGGCCACCCUCACGUUGACGGCCUAGCUCCGGCCACCUCUCCCCAAGAUGACCGUCUUGGUGAGCUAUGCACGAUGCACUGAUGCUCAUCUCCCCCUCGUCUUCGCUUUUCUGGUGACUUUCCGUGGCGGUUCACCGCAUCGCCCCCCCCCCCCAAUCGCGUCGCCGCUCGCUGCCGGCCUUGCUCCGACCAACAUUUGUGCGCGACAACCACAUGGGUAGAUGCGCCUCGUGUUGCUGAUCACCUUGGUCGUGUUGUCAUCACCAGCUGGCCGCCGGUCAAAGCUGGUGAACUUCAGCUUUGACUCGGUCUUGACCGGCCUGGAUCUGUUGACCCUUGCCCCACGCGUCAGCGGCCGUAGAGGAGGGUGGCUGGGUAAAGCUGAGUAGGAAAAGUUUGUGUAGGGUCUUGGUUUUUCGAGAAAAGAUGAGAGAAGAGACUAACACGUGGACCCAUUCACAAAGGGUAAAAUAGACUAUUCACAAUAAGUCUUCAUAUUUGUGGAGCUGCGGCACUGCAAUCAGCCAAACAUAUACAACAACUCCAAUAUUUUUGUGGAGUUGGUGGAGUGGAGCUGAGGUGGAUUGGAGUUGGUGGUGUCACUGGUAGAAAACUGAGCAUUAGUCCCGGUUGGUAAGGGUCAUAUCUCUCGGAUAUCCAUCCGGGAUAAACCAACCGGGACAAAAGGGGGGUCCCUUUAGUCCCGGUUGGAUUUCCCAACCGGGACUAAAGGGGUCCCCUUUAGUCCCGGCUCAAUUCCAACCGGGACUAAAUUGCGCUUGCAUGGCACUGGUGACGCCUGAAUUUUUCAUGCAUGCAUCACGUAUACGUAUAGUAGUACCGCGGCCCUUUUAAUUUGUUAACCUUGUAGUUGAGAUUUUUUUAGAAUGAAUUAAAUCAACUAGUAUUUAAACGAAUGGGAUUUGUAAUUAUACAACUACUAUAUAUAUACACAAUCCUUAUACACAAUUCAUAUACACAAUUCAACUAGCUUAAUUAGUACAAAUCGAUCAUAUAUACAAAUAAAUCAAAGUAUCUUCCUACGAUCUUCCCGUCGUGGUGUUGCUGAGAGGAGUGUCUAAUUGUCGUCCAUCGUAAUAAAAUUCUCCUCUUGGAUUUACCACCUCGUCCAUUAUGAAUCCAAUGAGACCUUCACAUAUUGCCGCUACUCUUUCUUCCUUCAAGAGUCCUUGUUGAAUAUUUAACAUCUAUAAUUUGGAAAUUUGUCAAUGUUACAUGAACAAAUACAUAUAAGGAGCUAGAAAAUAAUUAACUAGUAAUAUAUUUAUUUUACGUACUUUAAAGUUGUGCGGCGUCAUCUUCGGUCCCUUGGGUCCCAAAAAACUGUGCAUGUGCUCACAGAUGUAGUAGCCACAUAGGUUAUUCCCGGGUUCCUGUCUUAAGCACUUCAGUGCGGAAAAAAAUAAGUUAUGAAAUAUUCGUGUUAUACAAUGUAAUAAAUGUGCAGACUUCAUACGUACCGGGAAGUCUGUGUUCCAUGUAAGAUUUUCUUUUAAUGGACCUUUGUGUGUCCUUAUGAAUUGUUUCCAUGCGCUGCGGAUUAGAAUAAUGAAUGACAUAGUGUAACACGGAUAAAAUUUAGGAAAUAAAUUUUUGCAUAGAGAUAAAGGUCCAGAAUUAUUACAAGCCUAGCAUGUCUUGCAAUUCUUGGUAGUCCACCGGAUCUUUCCGUAACGAAUCAAAGACAGUGACGUGGCUUCUUUCAGGCUCAAUUAUAAUAAGGAUCCAGUGGAAGCUGCGUGCGUAAAAUGUUCAUGCAUAUUAGAGCUAACUAACAUGUAGAGAUAAGGAAAAAGACAUCGAAAGUAGACGGUAUACACACACUUACUUGAAGUUGUAUGGAAGUAGUAUGAAAUCCUUGAAUGUUUGUUUGUGUAGGAAAUUGUAUAUUUCGGCAAAGGUUUUUUCCGGCGCUAAUUGUAUCUGUUGUUGGUUAAGUACAGAUGGAUCCAUGAAGCCUACAUGUAGGUACGCCUCUCGGCGGCAUGUCUGAAUUAGCAUCCUACAUGAAAUGGAAGAUGAAGUUAGUACGGUGACGCACGCCAAAAUUUACAUGUAGAGAUAAUAAACGGACACUUACAGAAUCCAAGCGCUGAUCAGAGAGACGUCCAGGGCAUCAUGAUGGUACACUUCGUAUAUAUCCUUGAAGUCUAGCCACAGCACUUUCUCCCCUUCACCGUGAAAAUCUAUCGGUUUUACCUUCAUGCCGAUCAUCUCCCUCGAUUUGGCGGAUGCCGUCAUGUACCAUUGAUGGAAUUCGUACAUCUUUGUUGACAGCUUCCGUACCAUUGCCGGCUUCACUAGAGGCUUGCCUAGCUCAUAAGGCCAUCUCGGCUCAGGGGGCGGUGCAGUUGGCGUCUCGACUUGCCCUAUGCAUUCAUCAAGUCCCAGACCUGUUUCUUCCAUGAACUUCAAUAUAUUUUCUUGUUGAUCCAAGGGCAUUGCUUUUACCCGUUGAGCAUCUUUCUUUGAUAAAUGGCUGAGGUCGGGGACUGAACCGCUGGAGGAUGAUUUUCCUUUUCUUUUAUCCUUUUCAUCAGCCUUUACUAGAGCCCGUUCAUAGUUUGACAAGAGUGGUAUCCUUUUCUUGGCUCCUUCCUCCAUCCUGAUAAAAAAGUUUAAAUCCCGCCGACUUACUGGCGGUGGCUCCAUCUCCCUUGCCUUUUUUAAUUCGGCUUGUUUCUUGAACCACUCACUGGCCUCUCGUUGGAUUUCUGCCCACUGUUCCGCAUGAGACAUUGCCUCAAAGCGUUCCUUGCGAGCCACUUCAGGGUCGACCUUUGUUUUCUUCUUUCGAGGCUGUCUUUGCUUGGGAGGCAGUGCUCGUGACUUCUUGAGUGGUGCUGCAGGUUCCUUCGAGGGGGCCGCUCUUGGUGCCGGCGACGGUGAUCGGGAAGGGGUGUUGUUAUUGUCGUCGUCGCUCCCAGCACCAGGAUGUGGUGGAGAUGGAGACCUUGAUAUAGAUGGAAGCGACGGUCCUGGAGCAGGAGAUGCCGGUCUCGAGGUAUGAGGAGAAGGUCGCUGCUCGGGAUCUACGGGGAGCGGUCUUGAGGUCUGAGGAGAUGGCUCCGUGCGGGAAAUAAUGAUGUAGCGUUUCUUCCAUAGAAUGAUCCCAUGAAGCGCAUCUGCCAAUGUCUUUUCCCCGUCGCCUCCCGGGAAGUCGAGCUCUAGACCUUCAUACUGGGCAUCUACUAUUUGCUCGACGCAGACGCUGGCGUAGCCUGUUGGAAUGUCCAUGCCAUGACUGCUCUGCCCUGCCAGCGUUGGUAACGCACUCUCGUACGCUACCUGUACAUAUAGCAGAAGUAAACAAGUUGAACUCCGAUCUCGAGGCCUGGAUCAAUUGACAAGAUUGCAUAAAUAUUAUGUAUAAGUAUACCUUAAUAGUGAGGUUGCCGACCGGUACAUGCAGCUCACAUGAGGUCCGUUGCAUGAUGGCAUCCACGGGGAACCGUUGCUCCUCCACGGGUAACCUGGGCGUCUGCGCAUCGGGGACCCCUGUAGAAGCACAACUGCUCCCGAGGCGUUGAGAAGGGCUGGCGGUGUGAGGAUUCGGCAGUGCUCCAGAUUGCGCCAACUCCGCAACUGCGUCGGCCACCCGCCGAUUGAUUUCAUCCAUCAUUCGUUGUUCUAGCAUCUGCCGCCAGCUCUCCUCCAUCUGUUCCUUUCUUCGCUUCCGGCUUCUGUAAGAGGCGCUGUCGCCUCGGAAAGCGAACUUCCACGGAACCACCCCGAACCCCCGGCAACGUCCUGGGUGCUCUGGAUUACCGAGGGCCAAUGUGAGCUCAUCAUUUUCUCGGUCCACCCUCAACCUCCCAGCCUUGGAAUCUUCAAUGUUCUUCAUGAGAUGUUCGGCCUUCUCACGUAUUCUGUCAUUGAAAAUCAGCGUCCCAUCCUCUUGGCUUAGGGAGCCUCCAUGAGCGUAGUACCAGUUCUUUGAUCGUUCGGGCCAUUCAAUAGUUGCAGGUAUGAUUCCCCGUUCGAUCAGAUCUUGUUCCAUCUUUCUCCACUUGGGAAUUGCUGAGCCAUACCCACCUCGCCCCAAAUGAUGGUGGUAGCCCUUCUGACUAGCAUUUGCAACGUUGGUCGUGAUCUUUUUCACACCUUCUUCACUCCUCUUGUAUUCAACAAAUGCAUCCCAGUGGUCCCUCAACUUGGGCCACACGUUGAAGUCUGGAGUUUUGCCCUUCUUGAUGUAGUGGGUGUCCAGCAUCUUCUUGAAUGUCUGGAAUUGAGUAGCCAUCUUCUUAAGUGUCCACGCUUUGACAUCCUUCUCGCUAUAAUCUUCGGAGAAUGUGAAAUGCCUCUUCACGUCUUCCCACAGCAUAUUCUUUUCUGUCUCUGGAAGGGCGUACGGAUUAUCGCUUCUGCCCUUCCAUUCUCUGAUGCUGAUAGGCACGUUGUCCCGGACGAUUGCCCCGAUUUGACUAACGUACUUCUUUGCGACUUUCUCGGGAGCAACCGGCCUGCCCUCAUCUGUAACUUCGGUGAUGACAAGCCUCCCUUCCAUCACCUUUGUACGACCUCGGGUCUUUUGCCCUUGUGUCGAUUCGGAGGGCUAACAGUUUAAGAUUCGUUAAUUAGUACGUACUAGUAGCGGUGGCGUGAAACAAUACAAGAAUGGUUGUAUAUACCUCGCCGGAACCUUCCGCCACGGCAAGUUGUUGCUGCGGCUGUUGCUCUUCAUUCACAUCGGCAGACAUGUUGAGGAACAUGUCCGCCUGGGUGCCCUCUUCAUCCGUGUAUGAUAGUGGAACGUUGUCGCCACUACCAUCACCAGCGAUUAUCUGCUCCAUGAUAUACCUUGCGGUCUCAUCGUCUGCCAUUUCAACUAUUGCUGCAAACAUACAUGGAAUCAUACAUGACAGUCAUAGAAAUCGUCUUAAUACAAAUUUGUAUAUAAUCACAGUUCGGAAUCAUACAUGUAUAUAAUGAAAUCAUAAAAUAACAUGAAUCGUACAAAGUUCGGAAUCUUUAUACAAAUUUCUAUGAAUUUAUACAAAUUUCUAUGAAUUUAUACAAAUUUCUAUGAAUUUCUAUGAAUUUCUAUGAAUUUCUAUGAAUUUCUAUGAAUUUAUACAAAUUUCUACGAAUUUCUAUGAAUUUCUAUGAAUUUAUACAAAUUUCUACGAAUUUCUAUGAAUUUCUACAAAUUUCUACGAUUUUCUAUGAAUUUCUACAAAUUUCUACGAAUUUCUACGAAUUUUGACGAAUUUCUACGAAUUUUGACGAAUUUCUACGAAUUUCUACGAAUUUCUACGGCGGCGAUAAGGGCGGCGGAGGCGGGACGGCGGCGGUCAGGGCGGCGGAGGCGGGACGGCGGCGGUCAGGGCGGCGGAGGCGGUUCACCGGAACCACGGGCGGUGCCUAAGCUACUACGUUGUGAUGGGCGGCAGGACGGCGGCGAUCACGGCGGCUACUCGGCGGCGAUCACGACGGCUACAAGGCGACUCUCACGGUAGCUACUCGGCGGGACGGCGGCGAUCACGACGGCGGGACGGUAGUUAACAACCUAACUACAAAUCUAACUUAACAAACUAACUAGAAAUCCAAAAAUCUAACUUAACAAAAUUAGAAAUCUAAAAAUCUAACUUAACAAAAUUACAAUUCCAUCUAAAAAAGAACAAAAUUAAAAAUUAAAAGGAAACCCAGCUCUCCCGGCGCACCGGCCGGCGCGGCAGACCUCUCGCGCGCGGGGCGGCGGCCGGGGCGGCCUGACGGCGGCGGCCAGGGCGGCGUGACGGCGGGACGGCGGCGGCCGGGCGGCGUGCGGGAUAGCGGCGGCCGGGGCGGCGACGAGGACGAAGACGAUGACGGCGGGACGACGGCGGCCGAGGCGAAGACGACGACGGCGUCCGGCGAGGAGCGACGAGGGGCGACGAGGGGCGACGAGGAUGGAGCCGGCGACGAGGGGCGAUGCAGCCGGCGACGAGGUGGCCGGGCCGGGGGCUGGGCCCGUCGACGGACGAGGAGGGGAUCGAGGAGGGCCGGCCGGGGGACGACGACGGCGCAAUGCGGGACUUCGACGGCGCAAUGGGGAACGACGACGGCGGCGGCCGGCGAGGGAGGCGGACGGGCGGCGACGGGCGGAGAGCGCGGGACUUGCGAAAAUUUCGCUAAGUGUGGAACUGGCGGGGGGUAGAAGGGAGUACAGUGCUUUUAACCCCCCCCCCUUUUAUCCCGGUUCGUAAUGGCACCCGGGACAAAAGGGCCUUUUGUCCCGGGUCCCGUUUGCAACCGGGAUAAAAGGGGGUCCUUUUGUCCCGGUUGCUGUUAGCACCCGGGACAAAAGGUCUUUUUUCCUAUUUUUCUUCUCCCGCCUGUUUUUUGGAAAUGGAUUUUAUUUAACCUUUUCACUGCAUUCCAGGAUGAAAAACAAAACCUUCUCAGAUUUUGUACAUGCAAAAAUAUAUUUAAUUAACGAGUAAAUUGACAAUAAGUAUGAAGUAAUCAUUAUUUCUAUACCAACUCAUGUAGCCUGUAAAAUAUUUAUUUUACUGCAUUGCUGUGAUCAAUAAAUUAUUCAAUUAAAUUAUUUGAAUGCGCAGAAAAAUCCAUGUUAGUAUGUGGUUAACAAUGUUCAUGUAUAUCUAAAAAAUCUUCACCUAACAAAUUUAAUAACACAUGAAAUCAUACAUAGGGUAAAUUACAAAUUGUAUCAAUUAAUACACAAAGGUCAUGCACAUUUAACGCAUUACAAUACAACGUUGUAAAAUUACUUCUUCACGAAAGUUCCUUGAUCAUGAUCGCGGUGUAAGUACGGAGCCUCUUCUUUGGACAGCAGGAUGCUUGGAUCAACUUCAACGUCGAAUGGAGGCAUGCCAUCAAACUGAUCAUAAUCAUCUGAUUGGUCUGUUUUAUCCUCGACUCCCACGAUUUUUCUUUUACCUGGAAGAACUAUGUGGCACUUUGGCUCCCAUGUCUCUUCUGGAUUCCUCUUGGGUUUGCUGCACAUGUCAUUCACAUAGAACACCUGAUGCACAUCAUUGGCAAGUACGAAUGGGUCAUCACUGUAUCCAGUCUUGCUCAGAUCUACUAUUGUCAUUCCGUACUGAUCUUUGGUGACGACAGUUAGCUUCACCCAAUUGCAAAGAAAUAGAGGGAUGUACAGCGGUCCGUAUUCGAGUUCCCAUAUCUCCUGUAUGAAACCAUAAUACGACUCCUUGCUAUUAUUUCUGUCCAUGGCAUCUAUGCGGACACCACUAUUCUGGUUCGUGCUUUUCUGGUCCUGGGCUCUCGUGUAAAAUGUGUAACCAUUUAUCUCAUAGCCUUGGAAUUUGACGAUUGUGGUAGCAGGUCCCCUGGCUAACCAGGCAAGCUGUGGGUGAAUCUCAGAGUUACCCAUAAGUUGUUGGCGCAACCAGGAGGGAAAAGUUUCCAUGUGAUGACGGGUAAGCCAAGCAUCGGAUUUGGUCGGGUUUUUGGAAGCUACCAUCUGCCUGUGCUGCUCGAUAUACGGAGACACAAAGGAUGACUGUUGUAGAACAGUGUAGUGUGCCUUGUCGAACAAAUUAGUAUCAUUGCUCAAACUUGAUUUCCUUCCAAGGGUGCCCAUUCCUCGGAGCCUCCCCUCGUGGCGUGAAGUUGGAACCCCAAUCGAGUCAAUUGAAUCAAUAAAAUCAACACAAAACUCGAUCACCUCCUCUGUUCCAUAUCCCCUGGCGAUGCUUCCUUCUGGACGAGCACGAUUACGAACAUAGUUUUUUAGGACUGCCAUGAACCUCUCGAAAGGCCACAUAUUGUGCAGGUAUACAGGUCCGAGAAUACCAAUCUCUUUUACUAGGUGAACCAGUAAGUGCGUCAUAAUAUUGAAGAAGGAUGGUGGAAAUAACAACUCAAAACUGACAAGACAUUGCACCACAUCGUUCUGUAGCUUUGAUAGCUUGGAUGGAUCGAUUGCCUUCUGCGAAAUCGCAUUGAGAAACGCGCAUAGCUUUACGAGCGGCAACCGGACAUUUUCUGGUAGAACACCCCUCAGUGCAACCGGAAGCAACUAGGUCAUCAACAUGUGGCAGUCAUGAGCCUUGAGAUUUGUAAACUUCUUUUGUUUCAUAUUUAUUAUUCCCUUUAUAUUCGAGGAGUACCCAGACGGGACCUUCAUACUAUUCAAGCAUUCAAACAUGCUAUCCUUCUCCUCCUUGCUGAGAGUGUAACUGGCAGGACGUAAGUAGUGCUGUCCAUUAUCUCUCUUUUCCGGAUGUAGGUCAUCUCGUUGCCCCAUGGCUUUCAGGUCCUGUCGUGCUUCCAAUGUAUCUUUUGAGGUUCCAUAAACACCCAUGAAGCCUAGCACGUUCACGCAAAGAUUCUUCGUCAGGUGCAUCACGUCUAUUGCGUUGCGAACCUCUAGGAUUUCCCAAUAAGGUAGCUCCCAAAAUAUUGACUUUUUCUUCCACAUGGGUGCAUGUCCGUUAUCAUCGUUCGGAACAGGUUGGCUACCAAGUCCCUUUCCAAAGACUACAUGUACAUCCUUCAUCAUCUCGAACACACGCUUUCCAUUACGGUGUGCAGGUUUUUUUACGAUGGUCUGGCGUCCCUUUGAAAUGCAUCCCGCUCUUUCUCAGCUGGUGGUGAGCAGGGAGAAAUCGACGAUGACCCAUAUAGACGACCUUCUUACAGUGCUUCAAGUACAUGCUAUCUGUGUCAUCUAAACAGUGGGUGCAUGCCCGAUAUCCCUUAUUUGUCUGUCCUGAAAGGUUACUCAAUGCAGGCCAAUCGUUGAUGGUUACGAACAACAGUGCUCGUAGAAUAAAGAUCUCUUGUCUAUCCUCAUCCCACACACGUACACCUUCUUCCUUCCAGAGCUGUAAAAGGUCAUCAACCAACGGCCUUAGGUACACGUCAAUGUCGUUGCUGGGUUGUUUUGGGCCUUGGAUAAGCGCCGGCAUCAUAAUGAACUUCCGCUUCAUGCACAGCCAAGGAGGAAGGUUGAACAUACAAAGGGUCACAGGCCAAGUACUAUGACCACUACUCAACUCACCGAAUGGAUUGAAUCCAUCAGUGCUUAAACCAAACCUUAUGUUCCUUGCUUCACUUUCAAAGUCUGGGAAUGUUCUAUCAAUUGAUCUCCACUGUGCCCCAUCUGCGGGGUGUCUCAGCAUCUCAUCUUCCUUACGGUCUUCUUUGUGCCAUCGCAUCAACUUAGCAUUCGCCUUGUUCCUGAACAAGCGCUUCAAGCGUGGUAUUAUAGGGAAAUACCACAUCACCUUCGCGGGAACUCUCUUCUUGGGAGACUGCCCCUCGACAUCACCAGGAUCAUCUCGCCUGAUCUUAUACCGCAGGGCUUCGCAGACGGGACAAGCAUCCAAUUCCUCGUAUUCAUCACCACGAUAGAGGAUACAGUCAUUAGGGCAUGCGUGUAUCUUCUGAACAUCCAAUCCGAGAGGGCAAAUAAUCUGUUUAGCUUCAUGUGUUGUGGACGGUAAUUCAUUAUUCUCGGGGAGAAUCUUCUUGACAAUUCUCAACAUCCCCUGAAAUGCCUUAUCGGACACACCAUUUUUUGCCUUCCAUUGCACAAAUUCUAGUGUCGUACCUAGUUUUUUAUGGCCCUGCUGGCAACCUGGGUACAACAAUUUUUGGUGAUCAUCUAUCAUGCGCUGCAACUUUGCUGCUUCCUUCUUAGUUUCGCAAUCUCUGUAUGCAUCUCGUAUCACCUGAUCAAGGUCAUCAGUAGGGUCAUUUUCUGCAAACUCAUCUUCAUCAGCCUCGCCCAUUGUAGUACCUGCAAAAGCUUGGCCUGCAACCCAGUCCGGAAUGGUGUCAUCUUCCUCCUCCUCCUCGCCAUCUUCCAUUACAACCCCUAGUUCACCGUGCUUGGUCCAAACCAAAUAGUUAGGCAUGAAACCGUAUUUAAACAAGUGGCUGUGAAUAGUCCCCCAGGAAUCCUUUGAAUACUCCUUCCUGUUAUUGCAUUGGAAGCAUGGACAACAUACGAACCCAUUCUCUAGCUUGUUCGCUUUUGCCACUUCGAGAAAAUAAUGCAAGCCAUCAAUAAACACCUUGCUCCGCCUGUCUGCAUUAUACAUCCAAUGCCGGUCCAUCUGCAUCGUAUUACGCACGAAAAUGGAUUACACUUGACAAUGGAUUACGCGUGAAAAUCGAUUAAAGAUCCAAACAACAUGGUACAAUACAACAACAUGAAGAUCCAAAUACACAUAUUUAAAUUAAAGUCCCAAACACUGCAUAAGUUGUUCAACUUGAAGACCGUGAUCAUCUCGCGAGGAUGUCCUCAACUGGGCGGCACCGCACUUCGUCAUUAAAGAGGUUAGAUGCUACGGAAAAGGGGACACGGUCACGAUGUCUGUAUCCACUCUUUCUCGUCGAAUCGAACCUCCUUCUUGACAUACGUUGCUGCUCGACGGAGAACAUCCUCGGCGAGAUGAACACGGUAUGCAAGUUCAACAAGUAGCAGAAGUCAUCUAUGUACAAAAAUUCUUUCCUUACCACUACAGAAGUUGUUGAACUUGAAGACCGUGUUCAUUUCGCGAGGAUGUCCUCAGCUAGGCGGCACCGCACUUCGUCAUGAAAGAGGUUAGAUGCUACGGAAAAGGGGACACGGUCACGAUGUCUGUAUCCACUCUUUCUCGUAGAAUCGAACCUCCUUCUUGACAUACGUUGCUGCUCGGCGGAGAACAUUCUCGCCGAAAUGAACACGGUAUGCAAGUUCAACAAGUAUAUGGAUUUAAAAAACCAUAUUGAAUUUGAUAAGAUAAACCGUCUAGACAAGGUAGCAUAUGGAUUUAAACCACUGCAAUAAUGCAUACUAUAUAUGACACAUCAAUCUCCCUCACAUUCUAGCUCAAAAUACCUCUCCAUUUUUCUACUUCAUCAUCACAUUGUAGCAAAUAAUCUUUCCAUCUCCAAAGAAUAAAUCAAAGCAUAACACGAGGAUGAAGUAGCAAACCUUCGCAUUACUUGUGUUGGCCGAGUGAAAUUCCAACGAAAAUGAGGGAAAAAACUUCGGGCAGCACCUCCCUUGCUUGGGCACCACCGGAGAGUAGGUGAAGCUCAGCUCUCUAUCAAUGUGCUGGACUGCUCGGGCUGGAGGAAGAAGAAAGUCUCUGUCUCGGGAUAUAGUGGGGGAUGAGUUUUUAUCCCGGUUAAAAACUCCAACCGAGACAAAAGGAAACACCUUUUGUCCCGGUUGGAAGUUAGUCCCGGUUGGAGGAUCCAACCGGGAUAAAAGGGAGUCCCGGUUGGUGCCUCCAACCGGGAUAAAAGGGUGUCCCUUUUAUCCCGGUUGGAUCCUCCAACCGGGAUAAAAGGGUCCCGCCACCGACGGCCCCCCGCUAGCCGUUGCAACCGGGACUAAAGGGGGGCCUUUAGUCCCGGUUGCAAUUACCAACCGGGACUAAUGCUCCCCUCCAAAUUCCCGCACCCCGGCGCACCCCCUUUUGUCCCGGGCCACUUUUAAACCGGGAUAAAAGGGGGCGGAUCGAAAGUCAGUUCUCUACUAGUGUGUGGAGCUAUAAAAAUUUUUAGUGGAGUGCUGCGAAACACCCCCUAAAAGUCAUUUCCAAUGUGACACAAUUUUUUUUUGGCUUCGGGUAUUUGUACUUUGGAGACCCUGAACUAAAGUCCGGAUAUGACAAAAAGAUCAGUAAUCGUAUGGAGUCACUGACAAUAGGUUUAAGUGACCACGAAUUGCUUGUGUCUGUGCUCAUGGACGUGCGACAUAACUCUAAUAUGCCUCUGCUUACCAAUAUAGUAGGGUACUUUAUAUGCAGUGCAUACUCAGUUCCACUAACAAUUUAACAUUUCAAAACGUGCAUAAGUCUAAUAUAAUUGUUGCAAACUUUAAUUUAACAUAUUUCUUUCAAACUUCGUAUACUUGUUCACACAUCUUACCCAAUGCAUAUGUAGAUACAUACAUAUGUAGCAAUUUAUCCUUGCAGCGCCACAUGUUGCAACACAUUUACAAGCGCUAGUAUAGACACUAACAAUACUUGCUGGGCCUCUAGUAAUGCGUAAUGCAUUGCUAAAGGGUUAUUCGUCAUGUGACAAGGAGAUAUGGUGCCGCUAGGUUUCUACUAUGGGCAGCUAGGGUUCUUCCCUGGUCCUCCGUAGAAUAUGUAAGUGCCCCAGUUGAUGCUAUUGGUGCCGCUCUGCACGUUGUAGCAGUUGGGCUGCUUAUUCCCCAAUCCCACAACAUUUGGUGAAUUGAGUUUGUUGAACGAAUCGACCACUUGUAUGUUCCUGAUGUAGCUGGCCUUGCUGUACCCUUCCCCAGGGAAGUGCCCACUGCCCAUGUCUGUCGAAGUUUGGCCGGCGUAAGGCGAGUACACCUCUCCGCCCCACAUGACAUAGGAUGCACUAAUUUGCAAGUACGAGAAAAUGGUUGAUGGCCAAUAACCCAAAAUAUGGUUUCCUACUUGCAACCACCAGUUGCCCCCCUUUGGAUCCUGCAGGCAAAAAAAUUACUGGAGAGUCAGACAGGAUUAUGGCAAGGGGAUAUAGUUCAAAAGGCUAACAUGAGAGAUCUAGUUGCAUUUGUGGAAAAAUCUGUUGCGUGCAUGGGAACAACUCGACUCAUGAGUGAGGCCACAAACAGGCCAACGUCAUCACGGUUGUAGCCUCAACUUACAAUUGAACUUUUGCCUCGAGAAAGAACAAGAAGCUGGCACGCUUUCGGUGUCCAUCCAUGAAUUUGAUUUGCUAUGCUCGGAAUGUGAAAGAUUUUUUGGUUUACCUUCCAGAUUAAAAUAGUUAUUUCAUAUUGUGAGCCACCGUAUCUGGAUACAGGGGAGAAGCUACCACCGAUGGCGAUCUGAUUGUUUGUUUGGAUGAACCCUGAGCACUGUAGGUUAUAGCAACCUGUUCUUCGAUAUGCAUCACGCUACAAUAUUCCGUAGCAAUAAAGAAUUAGUAACUUAUAUGCCAUUUCCUAACUUACUGAUAAAGAUAAAAAGGAAUGUGAUGCUUAUCUUACAGUCCAGUAUAUGAAGAGUCUUGUAGAUCUAUCCCCGUACAACUCAGGGUAAACCUGCAAUUUUGUGGAGAGAACAGACCGUUAGCCAUACUGAAAGAGAUUGCAUGACUUAAUAAUAUGCAUUACAACAUGCAUAGGAAUCACAAAAUUUAUUGCCAAGAGUUUGUCAAAAUACCUAUGUAGAUACAUUUUAAUUUGGUCCUCAUAUGAAGUAUUUCCAUUAAUUACUAAAUGCUCUAUAUUCUCUUUCAUCCCAACUCUUAGUUUCUCCGUUUUCGUCACACCUUGGAUACAUGUUUACUUAAAAGCUUAGCUUCAUCGAUUUCACUUCCUAUUGCAGCCUUCUAUAAUAACUUGGUGCUAUGGCUAUUGCUAGUUUCGUCAUUUCAAGAUGUGUCGUUUCCGUUCACCUCCUAUGAGCUACUGUUCUAGGCCAUGAUGCGGAUGAAAACUCCCAUUCCUUUAGUGGUAGGUGAUGUGCUCGUAAAAAACUACACGUCUUUUGGUUACUUUAUUAAUCUAAAGAUGUGCGAGCCUAGUCCUUCGAAGCUUUCAUAGGGAUUGGAUGUGCAAGCAUGCCUUCAUAAAGGUGAGUAUUAUGUGCAUCUGUGUGACUCAGGUGUUUAUAGUGGGUGAGUGUACAUGCAUAUAUGUGAGUGUCUUUAUCUAUUCUGUGUUUUUGCAAAAAAAUUGAACAUGUGUAAACACAAGAGCUGUAUAUCACUGGUAGAAAAGUGAGCAUUAGACCCGGUUGGAGAGACGCAUAAGUCUCGAAAAUCCAACCAGAACUAAUCUUUCGAGACUAAAGGUCCCGACCUUUAGUCCCGGUUAUCUCACCCAGGAUUAAAGCUUACCUUUUAUCCUGGUUGGUAUUACCAACCGGGACAAAAGGCUUCCAAAAAAAUAAAAAAAAAUGUGGGCCAUCCCCAUUGUGCCUGCUCACGUCUCUACCACUAGCUACAGCUCUGCCUCAACCACCACCUCCUCGAGCUCCAACUCCACCACAGAGAUAAUCAAAUCAAGAGCAUAAAUAAUUGACACUUCACAAAUUGAAGCAUGAAACAUGCUCAUCUUACAUGACUAUCACACAAGUAAUAGAGCACACAACCAAUCAAUUCACACAUGAUCUGAUUCACAAGUCACAACACAUGAGUUCGAUUUGAUUCACAACACGUGGUGGAUUCACCAGCAAAAAUCACAAACAAAUCAUUAAUAGAGGUGAAUCAAAUCUAGCAGCUCGCUUGGGAGCAUGAGGCAUGCUAGGCCGAAGCCACUUGCACUUGCACUAGGGCCGCCCGCGCCAUGACGGGCCCUUGUCCACCGGUACCGCGCCGGGCCGUCGCCCCCCGGCACCGCAUUGGGCAGCUCCGCCCACGCCGGGCCAUCUCACAGGUAGGGAGCUAGGAGGAGGAGGCCGGGGAGGUGGGGAGGGAGGGAGGGAGCAAACGGAGAGGAGGAGGUGGGGAGGAAGGGAGGGAGCAAAGAGGGAGGAGCGCUAACUAGGAGGCUGGGGAGGGAGAGGGAGCAGAGGGUGGAGCGAGUUGAGGGAGAGGAGAGGAGCAUAUAAGGGAGAGAGAGAAGUCGGAGAGAUAAAUGCUGGCGUCAUGAAUUAGUCCUGGUUGGUGGCUUCAACCGGGACUAAUUCAUUUUAUUCCAGCUGGUAGCUCCAACCGAGAUUAAAAGCUCCACUUUUGUCUCAGAUGGAACCACCAACCGGAACUAAAAGGGCUCUGAGUUAUUACCAAUUUUAGACCCGGGACUAAUACCUCUUUAGUCCCGGGUCCGAUUCGUUCUGAGAUUUUUGUCAAGGAUCAAAAGUGGUUUCUCUAGCUCUGUAGCAAAUCUACUUGCCCUUCGCCCCUGGUAAUAAUGCUGCUAGAACAACUCAUGAAAGAAUCUUUUUUAGGUAAUUCCUACUCGUCGUAGCUGUGGCUCUUUCAGCAUCACAUAUACCAUGGAGGCUGAAAGUCAGCGUUUCACAGAACAUUUAUGAAGGUGGGUUAAUGUUUCCCUUGGAGGUCUAACCUGCCAUCCUGCUUCAAUUGUAUUGAGGUCGUUGCCGCUAUAGGAACCCCCAGAGAUCCAGAGCUGGGCCAAGCUGAAAUCUUUGGCCCUCCCAAUAGUUGGUUCCCACAGAUUGAUGCUGGUUUUGGUUCCAUAGUACCUAGCCUUCGGUGUAUACGCUAUGGCGUGCUGCUCAAUGAGAGAGCAAACGAAGUUAAAUGAUAAAUUUUAAAAUAAUAAUUGUACAAUGGUGAUUCUUGAAUAGGUGUUGUACCUGGUGGCCAAUCGUCACAUUGAGCUUGUUAGGGUCAUCAAUAACGGAAAAGAAGUUCGGUAUGCUCCUUGGCCUCUUCUUCCCAUACCUCUUGAUAGAGCUAGCCCUCAGGACAUCCUCCUCCUUGGUCCUUCGGAUUGGUAUUGUGUUUGGAGGGCAGCAUUUGCCAUUCUGAUGCCAUGUUUGGGUGAUUGAAUGUGGUGCGAUGUUGGAAUCAUCGCUCAGGCCUUCUGGGUGGUAAGAAGGCCGCAUCUGGAAGGUGACGAUGCACGCAAUGUGUUUAUGUGGUGUUGGGGGGAACUGCAGCUAGUCGAUCUGCACCCAACAAUGAAAUGAAAAGGGCAAUGGUGCAGCUGAGAGGAACCUGGAUAGUAUGGUUCUUGAGGAGUGGAUGAUCGAAUGCAGGCUGUUUGGAGAUGGGCACACAGUCUAUGAUAUCUCCAUCUGCACUCUGUUGUUUUCAUAGAAUCAGUACUCGCAAUAAAAGUAGAAAAGAAGAGAGGAUUAUGCAUACAUUAGGACUGGAAUGAAUCCGAAGGUCAUAUGAAAAUUUUCAGUUGCAAAAAGUAAGUAAAUAUAUGUGGAUCAUUUUUGUAAUAUAGUGUACUGCACGCAAAUCAUGAAGCUGCUGAAUGACAACACAAGAGAAUGAAGAGUACCUCAAUGCUUGCGAGAGGAUCCUUGUUGAGCCUCUUGAGGAGGCUUCGCACCUGCCGCCGCCGCUGCUCCGACGUCCCGGCAGCGCCCCCCGCUGCCGCCACAACUGCGAGAGCCACGACGAGCGCGAUCAAGCACGCUCGCGUCACUGCCAUUGUAAGAUCCUGUUGUUAUCUCGGUUUCUCUUCAGCAUGAGCUUUUAAAAGGUAAGAGAUGUACGUCUCGGCCGGCCUGGCUCUGGCGUACGUCAGAGUAUUUGUUUUAGGGAUAUGGACUGAAACAAAGUUAUCUUAGCUACUACCUUCUAUAAUCAAGAUGUAUAUUAUAUAUGUGGCGUCAGAGUAUUGUUUUUUCAUACGCUUUGACAUAAGAAGAAGAUGCUUCGAAAGUUGCUAGCAUGUUCGCGGAACCACGGAUGGAUUGGUAAGAGCUGCUCUCCUUCUGACAUGAAUUGACAUUUGCCAGCACCUGAUGCCGAGGUUUCAUGCCGUCGAGGUGCUUUUGUAUAUUGUCACCAAGGUAUUGAGGUGCUGUGUUUUAAAAAGCUUUCUACUCCAUGGAUUUUUAAAGUAUAUACGUGAGCUCAGAAAACAAAAUCAGCAAACUGAUUCCAAGAGUUGACAAACUCCAUGGACAGACGUUGAUUAUGUCACUUAACUAUCUAGCCACCAAUCGGUUAGUUGCUAUAGUUGACCUUGAAUUUGUAAAGAUGCAAAUGCAGAGACAUUAUCCAUUUAUAUAGACGAUUGUACAUCCAAGUAGAUAUAUAAUGUGGGUGCAGACAUUACCCAACUAGUAAAUGUCUUAGUCGUCCGUCGAUCUAUGGUUAAUUGCGUUGCAACAGUAUCCCGCGUAUAGGCACUAUUCAGUCAAUGUCACAGAAAUUUCAAAGCUCUAAUUCGCUCCUUUCGGCAGAUAAUCGACCACAUCCUUCCCUUUGAUUGCGUGAUUAUCGGGUGUAGACUUACUCCAAAUCUUUUGUUAAGUGAUUAUUUGCUGCUAACGAUUAUUCAACUUCGAGGGUAAAUACUUAAAUUAAUCGUAGCGUAUAUUUAACUUCAAGCAAUGUGAUGCCAACAAAUAAUUAAGCCAAUCUGUUAGGUGCUGAUUACGAGGACAUACUUGGUCCAAGUCUUUUUAGUGAAAGAUCACAACUUUUGAAUGUUCAACUGACAUUUUUUAACAUGUUAACUUUUGAAUCGUCAGUCUCUCAAAUGAUUUGGAAGUUUGACUUGAGACGGUUGUUGGGAUGCAAUCUCAAAGAGACUCGUGCUCAAAAGAUGGAAUGGGAAAAACACUUGCCAUCUCUGGAAAAUCAUCCCUCCCUUUACAACGGGGUAGGACUCCCCUUUUAUAGUGACUCGGAGGUCAUUUUACAUACCGUGAAUACCCUUUCUCACCUACUACAUUACUGGAAUAUGUUGUACAUAAAGGUCUUUGGGGUAACGUGUACAAAUUAAACUCUCCUGCAGAGUCACGUAUCUCACGUCUCCUUGUAGUCACGCCUCCUUGUAGUCAUGCUUAUCACGUUUUUAUGUAGUCAUGCUUCUCACACCUUCGAGACUUUAACCACGAGGCUUCUUGUUUUCGUCUAAGUCUUCAGCUUCAGAACCUUAUUAGCUUCGCAUUGAGGAGACUCCUUAGCCUCAUGUCUUCAACCUUAACGCGCAUAGCUCAGUCUAGACCUUGAGUAGAAAACAUAACAAAAAACACAGUGCUUGAGAUUAGCUUCGAGCGUUCAAGGGCAAGUUAAUUCAUAUCUUAGCCAUCAGCAAAUAAUGUUUAGCCUCGAAGUCGAAAUGACAAAGAAGAUGCAAGGUUAACGUAGUUUACACGCUUAUUUAGAACCUGCAAGGUUAAGUAAGUUUUGUCCACUGAUCUUGAUCUUGUGAGGUUAGCUAGUUUUUGCUAAUGAACACCGCUCAAGGUUGAUCAAUUUUUGGAUGAUCCCCAACAAUAGCCCCUCGUGGGUGAGGGUCGACUCUGACGUGCUAAACCCGCGACAAAGGAUCACUCUACCAAAAAACAUCACCCUCGAGCAUCGGAGAAGAGAUGAGCCAAUAGUUAACUUUUGUGACCUACGUGCCAACUUCCAAUUGAUUGAUGGUUCGUUUUCAGCUUGAGGUUCAAGGCUCCCUUUCAUGCGGGUCGCUUUCAGAUUGCCUUUGCGUUUUGCUGCUAUACUAUGCACCGUCAACUGAGCUUUUUAAGAUUCAUGCUUGCUUUGUUGUUUUCCUCGAGCUUCAAGGCCUCGAAGGUACUGUUGUUGUUCAUGUUUUUUAUUCUUGCUUAACUUCAUUUUGUUAUUGUUGGCGCUAGAAAUCGGUCAACCGAAUCCCCAGCGUCUGACACACGACCCGGGAGAAUCUGCUUAACUCCUGUUCGGGUGAUUGCCCUGGUGUGGUUCGCGCGGCGUGCCAGCCAAUCUGACCUGUUGAUUGGCAAGGAAGAAUACGUGUCAGGUCCAGAAAUCACGAUCGGCUAAGUUUCCGAUCUCGAGAGAGCUUAUCAGCGAAUCGGCCGAUUUGCCGUAAUAAAGAAAUCGGCUAUAAGGCAGCCGAUCACUGUAGCCUUGUAGACAGAAAACUACUGGAGUAAUCGACACAAUGCUAUAAUAACAACACUAGGAAUAGAUCCAAUCGGCAAUAUGUAAAAUAAGCGAAUUCAAUAGCAAAACAUAAAGAAAGCCGAAACCACCAAUUCCUAGCUGGAUAACUGGUGAUAAAACUAGAAAGACAGGUAAAACCUAUGAUUCUAGUAAAUAUCGAUAACUAGUGAAUAAAUCUAAACAAAACAACAGCGAUACGCCUGGAGUUAAAGCUUAGAAUUUACUCGGUAAACGGAACUUACAAGAUCGGCCGGAGAUCAAGUUGAUGCAGCCCUGCCAACCCGUAUGAACUCGUGAAAAAGGAGAAAGUAUUUGGCGAAAUCGCCUGCUCGAAAGUAAGUGCGAGGAAAAAGUAGUUGGUUGUAUUGAUUUGUUGAUGAUUACAGAUUUACAAAGGUAGCUAUUUAUAGCCCCGUACAGAUGACUCCUUAACUGACUAGAAUUCUAUCCCUAAUUCAAAUAGAAAACGAAUAUUUACAAGCACGAUUCGUGCUAGGUUGGUUAUUAUACGCUUCAUGGGCUGAUUUCCCCCUUAUCCUUUUAUUCUUUUCCAAGCCCUUACCGGCCCAAUUAUCCCAACCUCCUAAUCGGCCGAUUCCUUAUCGGCAAAAGGCAACCGAUUGGGAACCCGGUGCAUUCGAUCCGAACCCCAAGGGUUAAGCGAGGCAGAAGUCAUCGGCCGAUCUCGUACUGUAGCACCAUUCGACCGAUUCCCAACUGUACUUUUCCAAUUUCCUCUCUUCCUUGCGCCGAUUCUACUAGUGACGAAAUCUGGCGUCAACACAAUGGCCCCCAGUUUCGGAGUAAAAACAUAGUCUUUUACUUCAAAAUUCUUUUCAACUUCUCCUCCGAAACAGCCGCAAUGAAAAUAUCCUUCCGUUUUGCGGUCUUCCAGCUGAUGAUUGCAAUCUUUUCGAAACGGGCGCCCACGACAACCACUACUCCCUAAAAACUCGAAACGCCGGCACGGUAAAAAUUCCAUUUUUACCCCUCUUCAGGCACCCUUUAAAUAGCGGUUCACCCCGCACUUCACCUUCAAGCUCACGUCUUUCUUCCUCAGCGCGCGCGCCUUCUUCUUCCCUCAGCACUUUUCCCUUGUCGCCGAAGCUUCCCAGCGCCAUCCUCCUGUUGCUUCUUCUCUUCCCCUCCAAUGGCGGCUCCUUCAGGCAGUUCUCCAGCGCGCGAUGCUCCGGAAAUAGCACCCCCGGCGGUAGUGGCGACAGCAGUUGCUCCGUCAUCAGAAGAAGGAGCUUCAUCGGAGAUCCCAAUGGCGAUCCCCAUCGCGGCCUCAUCCUCCGCAGCUGCACCGGCGGUCACGCCGACUACUAGGAACUUCAUCUCAGAGGUUAUUACCGAAUCCUUCCUCUAUCGGCAAUGCAUUUACUCUUAGAUCUGUUUCUUACUUUUGCACCCCCCUCUUUCCUUUUUAGGCAAUUAGACACCGCAUCACCAUCCAUCUUACUGGAAAUCCUGGCCUUAUUUGCCUCGGACCCAUGGGGAACCCAGAUCCAAUAGAGCUCAUCAAUCUAGAAACCCACAGAAUCCGCUUCAAACAAUCCACCAUGAACCUGGAUCACUGGUUGGGCACUUUUAGAUCUUGGCCGAAUGAAACCCCAGAUUGGAGGGAAUGGUACCAACGGAUAGCCGAGCCGAAGAGGGUCUUAUGGGACGAGCUCAAAAUCGGCCAGUGUAUCAACCUGUCUUUGUCCCAGAUGGAGAAAAAUGAACCGUUGGUAAUAGCGGCCUCUUACUUUUGGUCUGAUGCCCUCAAUGCUUUCUUGUUUGGGCAUGGACCUAUGACUCCCACAUUGGCCGAUGUGGUUCUACUGACCGACCUUGAUAUUUCCUCCCCGGACACACCUUUCCGCCUCUUAGCCGCAACGUCACAUCGGCUGGACACAAGAGGAAUCGGCAGGUGGAAAGGAUUUAUUAGAUGCAACAAAAGAGCCAGGUCUGUUGAGAAUAGGGAGCACACAGCCUUUUUAAUGAUGUGGUUAGAAAAACAUUUCUUCUGCGGAAGAGCAGCCGGCCCAUCAACCAACACCCAGGCUUUAGCCGAAGCACUAUCAGGAAGGACCCCUGUUCCCCUUGGGAAACACUUACUAGGGGCGGCGUACCACAUGCUCCACCAAAUCGGCAUCAAACUAUCCAAGGGGGAGCCGAUCGGAAAUCCAGGCGGACCCUGGUGGUUCAUCAAUUUAUGGCUGAACCUUUAUAUGAGCAAGAUCACUCAGCAGAGGGUGGACCAUAUGAUGUUCCCCAACAUUGAAUCGGCAGAAGAUCCUACCGAUCAUCUCCGAUGCACCUCCUAUGGCGAAGCGGCAUCGGCCUUUCCAGGUUGCACAUACUCUGCUACAAAAGUGGCUGAGUACUUCCGAUGCUUUUACAAUGGCUUUAAUAAAGAUGCAACCGUCUGGUUUCCUUAUCAGCGGGAUGACCCAAUCUUUGAAGUCCCAACCUGCUUCGACUCAACCACUGGCCGAUUCGACGAAGAACUCACCGAUGAGUUAAUCAAGCCAGGAAUCCUGCCAGCCAACUUCUUCUCAGGGAAGGAUGCCCCCACGUACGAGUUCUACAAUCCCUCUAUUGCAGCACGCCAACUCGGCAUGGGUCAGCUGCCGAUUCAAGUAUAUUUCGCUGGCCGAGUCAAGUUCAGAGAUGGGCUCACAACAGGUCUAGACUACAGUUGGGUAUGAGACCGGAUCCCGGACUCCAACACUAUUGAUCUGAACAACUGGAUAGUAGCCCCCUUCGCUGUCCAGCCAUUCAAACUUUGGUGGGCCGAAUGGAAACAAUUCCUCUUCUGCAAUUCGACAUCGGCAUACUGCAACCUCCUGGAUCCAGCCAACAUCGACCCGAAUGCCGAGGUAUUUUCCUUAGCCGAUUUUUUGUCCUUUUUUCAACGCGAAUGAACACUAAUAUUUUACUAUUUCUUCAGGCUGAGAAUCGUACUCCUCCAACACACAGCCGGAGUGGUCGGCUAAUAGAGGGUCAUCAUCCAUACACCUCCUACCCUCUCAUCGGCUAUGACGCUCCAUCCGUGGACGUGAUUGCUGGCCGAUCAAAACAAACUCAGAAGAGAGUCACCAAGAAGACCAGCCGCCGAGUCCGAGCCCGUAUAGAAUCGGCGGAUCCUCCCAUGCUCGUAUCGGCAGAGACUCCGGCCGCGCCACCCCCUCAGGCCACCAGAGACAUUGACACUCAAGUCAUCGCACAAGCCGGGGCAGCCGCCGCGUCAUUGUUGUUAGAGGCCAUUCAGGUAAACUUAUAUUUUAAUCCUCCCGAUUGUUGUUUUGAUAUUAACCCUUCUUAUCUUAGAGUGCACAGAAUACUCCUAUGGACACACAACAAUCGGCAGCAGCCCAAUCGGCCGUCGACGCGCCCCCGCUUCCAUCUGUCAAGGUACAACACUAUUUCACCGAUUCCCCUAGUAUUCGCAUAAUAUACUUACUCAACCUUCUGACACAGGUCAUUGGUACGCCAAGCGCUCCUCAACCACUGGUCCUCUCUCGGGGAGCUGGUCCAAGCACCGCGCCGAUCAUCGUGGAGUCUUCCUCUUCUGAUGAACCUAUGGUACAGGCCCCUGAGCAGGGAACAACGGCUUCCCGAACGCAACUUGAAGAGAUUCGCUUCAAAGUGGUAAGACAUCUUUCAAGCUUUAUUUGGCCGAUUCGCUAUCACCAUCAGCCGAUUUAUUUUUUCUUCCUUAUUAUUUCCAGGAACAGGACACUCCUGACAAUAGCCUCUUCUCUUUCGCGGUCGCCCUUUCUAACAACGAAGAAGUCGCUUCCCGCCAAGUCGCCUUGAGUUCCAUCCCUGACGACGUCCGAGCCAAGCUUACUAGUAUCCGAUCCCUUCUUCAAGGGGACAUCGGCCGACUAGUAGAAGAUGCUUCACCGAUUCGGCAGCUUUUCGGUGACGUCAGCGGACGAGUGCCAGAAGAAGCGGAGGAAGCCUUGGCGCCGGCUGCAUUCAUCGAGCCCAUGAGGAUCCCGGUCUUCAGAGCCCUUCGUCACAUGGCUGAUCGCGCUAAGCUGGCCAAGACUCGUGAAGAGGAGGACGCAUUCAAACGUCAAGCUCAAGAGGUGCACCAGCGUAUCCAUUUUCUGGAGGACUCCCGCCCAGGGAUCGUCGGUGAGAUAGACCGCCUCAAAUGUCGAAGGGCAGAACUUGCCAAGGAAAUGGAGCAGGUGACCAAGGCAAUCAGCGCUGAAGAGAAAAGGCUCCAAGAACUCCCUUCCGUCAUUGCCGAUUUGAAACAGGAGAGGCAGCACUUGGCCCAUGAAGCCCUGAAGCUCCACCGUAGUGCAUCAGAGGUCCCCGGAUCGGCGGAUGAAGACCAACGGGUCCUGGACUCUGCCGAUCAGAUCCGGCGUUGGGCGAUUGCGGCUAUCGAUACCCUCCUGGGUAAUCUGUAAAGCACUGACUAUUUUGUACGAACAUUUAAUAACUGCUUUGACCGUCCUUCGCGACGCCCUUUUUAUUUAUUGCUCUUCUUACUUUCGAUGGGGACGCACCCUUACCAAAUUUCCACGCCUCUUUCUCUUAUAAAUACCGGCCUAGACUUCCCCUUCCGAAAGCAUCCGUUUGGCUUCGGUCUUAUUUUCUCAAUCUGUUCUUAUCCAGCGUUUCCGUCCAUGAAGCUGAUAAUCUUGUGCCCCACGGUAGUGUCGAUCAGCACAUUGGCCGUUGGCAUGGGGUAACCAUCCAUCGGUGUGGCCUGAUUAAGAUUCCUGAAAUCAACGCAAACGCGUAGCUUUCCGUUCUUCUUGUACACUGGUACAAUGUUGGAGAUCCACUCGGCAUAACGGCAUUACCGAAUAAAUUUUGCUUCGAUUAGCUGAGUUAUUUCAGCUUUUAUGUCUGGUAGAAUCUUAGGAUUGCAGCGUCGUGCAGGCUGUUGGUACGGCCGAUACCCUGGUUUUAUGGGUAGCCGAUGUUCAACAAUAGAUCGAUCUAAACCGGGCAUCUCAUGAUACUCCCAAGCAAAACAAUCCUUAAAUUCUCUUAACAAGUUCGUCAACUUACAUUUGUAUUCUGGGUCUAAAUUUGCACUAAUAUAAGUCGGCCUAGGUUUGGUACCAUUGCCUAAGUCUAUCAUCUCUAGUGAAUUGGCCAACGUGAACCCGUGUCCUAGCUUCCCAUCUUCUCGGGCGAACUGAUCCAUUUAUUCUGAGUCUUCGGAGCCGACUGCUCGGAUCGGUUGUAGGCCAAAAUCGGUCACCUUCAGGAAGUCGGUCUCCCAUACUCUGCCGGAUAUGCACCUGACGGUUUCGCAGCUCCACUGCUGCGUGUCGGCUGCCGCGAUGCUGUAUGCGGAAUCGGCGUUGACUACCUCGAUGUUGUCGCCGACCCAUUGUACAAGACAUUGAUGCAUUGUUGACGGGAUGCAGCAAUUUGCGUGUAUCCAGUCCCGGCCGAGUAGCAUGUUGUAGAAUCCCUUGCCAUUAAUAAUAAAGAAUGUGGUGGGAAGGGUCUUACUGCCGAUGGUGAGGUUGACGCAGAGGGUGCCGCGAGCGGGAGACACGUUGCCUUCGAAGUCUUUGAGGAUCAUGUCUGUCUUGGUCAAGUCAUCAUCACUCUUUCCAAGCUUCCGGAGCACGACAUACGGCAUGAUAUUGACUGCAGCUCCUCCAUCUACCAUUAAUCUGGUGAGGGGGCGGCCGUUGACAUGCCCUUUGAGGAACAAUGCUUUCAAGUGUUGUCGUUUGUCGUCCUCGGGCUUCUCGAACGUGGCUAUCAUUGGCUCCAGAGCCAACUGUGCCAUCUGUUCUUCUAUUAUCGACAUAUCCUGUCGAUCGGCAGGAGUCAUGAAUUCCAUCGGCAGUAUGAAAACCAUGCCGACAUCGGCUACCGAUUCAUCACCCGCCGAUUCAUCAUCCCCUUUAUCGUUUCUUUUGGGGCGCCAUACCCGAGGCCUUCCUUCCUUCUUGUCCGUCGUGCUCUGUUGUUCCUCUUCCGGCUGUUCCCAUUGGCGGAGAUGUUGGAUUCUUCGUUUUUGAGAUUUGGUCAAUCCAUCGGGACACCACCUGGGGUUUAUUGGUUUGGCUCCUGACCUGGCGCGUUCCCACUCCAGUUCGCGUCCCAAAGGGUUCUCGUCUGUCACCUGAGCGUCAGCCAUCUCUUCAAGCCGACUGUGGAUGUUGGCCCUGUUUUCUGGCCUGUCGCGUCGAUCAAACUUGCCCCCCGGCCUGUCACGGCGUCUGUCUUCUGACUGGUCAUAUCGGUCACUUCUGCCCCCCAGCCGAUCACGCACGGGAGGACGCUGAUCAUCUUGGAGCGAGACCUGUUAAACGGCCGAUUACCACGAUACGGGCCGUUGCAUUCUAGGCAAUUAUCGGCCGAAGGUAGCCUGAGGUUGCUUUCCCAACAGUGGAUGAAGAAAGGGCACCUCCAAUGAUCUUCGUGCCGUCGCAUCGCUUCUUCCCGGGACCUUGAGCGUUCAUGUUGACGCUGAUAUUUCUGGAGCAGGAACUGGGAAGUAAUGCGUGGCUUUUCCGAUUCGCCGUCUUCAUCCUCCAUCCGCCGCUUUCCUUUGACGUCCUCAGGCGUCGCUUGAUUUCUGGGGUCUACGGCACCACUCUUUUUAUCCGAUUCGGACGUCAGCACCUUUGUUUGGAGUGAGUUCCUCCCCGUAUCAACCAUGUUGGUGGGAAAGGGGUGCUGGUCGAUCUUCAUCGGCUUGGCAGAUUUUGUCGGCACUUCAAAUUUAAGUCUGCCCUGCUCAAUGGCCGACUGUAUCUGCUGCCUGAAGAUUUUGCACUCAUUAGUAUCAUGGGAUGUGGCGUUGUGCCACUUGCAAUAUUUCAUCGUUUUUAGUUGUUCGGCAGAAGGUAUUGUAUGAUAUGGCGAGAGCUUGAUCUGCCCUUCCUGUAGGAGAAGGUCGAAGAUUUUAUCGGCCUUCGUUGUGUCGAAACCGAACGCUUCUGGCUCCUUUUUGCCGAACGGGCAUGAUAUCGGCUUCUUUCCCUUGACCCACUCUGCCAGUCCGACCUCAGCAUCUUCUUCGGCCUCAACCUCUUCUAGGAAUGCCACCUUCUUCUGGAAGUUCCUCUGUGGAUCGAAAGAACGUACCUCCUGUCCAGACAAUCGGUGGACGAUUUGGCUUAAGCUCUCGAACUCCUGUGAUGCGUAUUUUUCUUUGAUGUGGGGCAGGAGACCUUGAAAGGCUAUAUCAGCCAGCUGUGCAUCGUUUAGAGCCAAAGAGUAACACUUGUUCGUGAUUUCCUGAAACCUCUGUACAUAUGAGGAUAUCGGCUCGUCGCUUCUCUACCUGAGGCUGGUCAAAUCGGACAGCUUCAUCUCAUGCACUCCGGCGUAGAAGUAUUUGUGAAACUGUUUUUCCAAAUCGGCCCACGUGAUAAUAGAGUUCGGCGGCAAUGUCGUGAACCACUGGAAGGCCGAUCCGGACAGAGAUGACGAGAACAACCGCACCCGUAGAGCGUCUUGCAUAGCUGCCUCUCCACAUUGGAUGAUGAAUCUAUUCACGUGCUCUACGGUUGAAGUAUCAUCCAUCCCCGAGAAUUUGGUGAAGUCAGGAACUUUAUACCGAUAGGGAAACGGCAGUAGGUCAUAUGUAGACGGGUAUGGUGUCCUAUAGGUGUAAGUUUGUACCUUUGGCUUUAAGCCGAAUAGUUCCUGAAUCACCUCUGCAAUACGUGCCGAACAAUCUGGCUGUUGCUGGUGAACCGUUGGCUGCGGUAUUGGCACGUGCUGGUAUACCGGGGGUGGAAUAGCCUGAUGCUGAGUGAAAGCAGGUGGCAUCUGAGUGAAAGCUGGCUGUGAAUUAAAGGUCGGCUGUUUGAAUGAGCCACUUGUUUCAUCAUACAGUACGAGCUCUGCUGUUUUGUUCAUCUCUGGCGCGACAGGCUGGUAUGGCGGCAUGGGUGGCCGAGUGGCCGCCUGGAAAGAUGCCUGAAAUUGUGAGCUUCCCUGACUGGCCGAUUGAUUCUGACCGGCCGUGGUUGAUGGUGCCCCCCAAGGCGAUGGGCUAACCGGAGGGAACGGCGCAGAGGACAGCUGGAUGGAGUCAUACCCCAUAGGAACUGAUGAUGAGGAAGCGCCCGAACCUCCAAUGGAAAAUUGGAUCGGCUGAGAAACCGAAUUCAAGUAACCCUGGUUUGGUGGAAUCGGCUGAGUAUAUGCCGGUCCCCUAUAUCCUUGAGGUAUCCCACCAGCGAAGGAGUUAACAACGGUGUUGUACACCGUAUUUGCAAGCACCGGGGAUUGAUCAAUGAAGGCGUGAUAAACGGACUGUUGGACCAUAUCGGCCAUCUUGUCCGAGUCCUCAGAGAUUGUGAUCUGGCAGGGAGCUGGAAACGGAGUCUUCUUGAUAGUCUCCCCGCUUCUGGAGCGACUGAAAGACUGCAGGCAAGCUUUCCGGAACUGUGCCGUAUGCUUAUCCAGUUCUUCCUUCUGAUCGUUCUUUAGAUCUGCUUCCGUCACUUCGAUAAUGUUAUCUUUGGAGACUUCAGCAGCUUUCGACAUGGCGGCGGUUGUGUUGGUCCCACUAGGCGUGCCAAAAGUGUGUUGGCGCUAGAAAUCGGUCAACCGAAUCCCCAGCGUCUGACACACGACCCGGGAGAAUCUGCUUAACUCCUAUUUGGGUGAUUGCCCUGGUGCAGUUCGCGCAGCGUGCCAGCCAAUCUGACCUGUUGAUUGGCAAGGAAGAAUACGUGUCAGGUCCAGAAAUCAUGAUCGGCUAAGUUUCCGAUCUCGAGAGAGCUUAUCAGCGAAUCGGCCGAUUUGCCGUAAUAAAGAAAUCGGCUAUAAGGCAGCCGAUCACUGUAGCCUUGUAGACAGAAAACUACUGGAGUAAUCGACACAAUGCUAUAAUAACAACACUAGGAAUAGAUCCAAUCGGCAAUAUGUAAAAUAAGCGAAUUCAAUAGCAAAACAUAAAGAAAGCCGAAACCACCGAUUCCUAGCUGGAUAACUGGUGAUAAAACUAGAAAGACAGGUAAAACCUAUGGUUCUAGUAAAUAUCGAUAACUAGUGAAUAAAUCUAAAUAAAACAACAGCGAUACGCCCGGAGGUAAAGCUUAGAAUUUACUCAGUAAACGGAACUUACAAGAUCAGCCGGAGAUCAAGUUGAUGCAGCCUUGCCAACCCGUACGAACUCGUGAAAAAGGAGAAAGUAUUUGGCGAAAUCGCCUGCUCGAAAGUAAGUGCGAGGAAAAAGUAGUUGGUUGUAUUGAUUUGUUGAUGAUUACAGAUUUACAAAGGUAGCUAUUUAUAGCCCCGUACAGAUGACUCCUUAACUGACUAGAAUUCUAUCCCUAAUUCAAAUAGAAAAUGAAUAUUUACAAGCACGAUUCGUGCUAGGUUGGUUAUUAUACGCUUCAUGGGCUGAUUUCCCCCUUAUCCUUUUAUUCUUUUCCAAGCCCUCACCGGCCCAAUUAUCCCAACCUCCUAAUCGGCCGAUUCCUUAUUGGCAAAAGGCAACCGAUUGGGAACCCGGCGCAUUCGAUCCGAACCCCAAGGGUUAAGCGAGGCAGAAGUCAUCGACCGAUCUCGUACUGUAGCACCAUUCAGCCGAUUCCCAACUGUACUUUUCCAAUUUCCUCUCUUCCUGGCGCCGAUUCUACUAGUGACGAAAUCUAGCGUCAACAGUUAUUCUUUUUAAUUUUCUUCUUUUGUACUUUUCAGCCGGCUCGUAUUAUGCAAACGGCGAGGUUGAUGUUUGCCGAGGAACAAGCGGAACAAACGAGGUUACGCGACGACAUUGCUGAGGGGCACGAGUCAGACGAGGCUACUAAUAUUGAUAGUGGGGAGGAUAUUUCGAAUGUCAAGGUUGACCCAUCAGAAUUAAUGGCUGGCAAGGACGAUUAUCCUCCUACUUUGCACUUUGGGCGAUAACUGGCCUUGUAGAACACGAUCAAUUUCUAUGUGAGCGAGGGAUACUUUUCCAACGGUAUUGCUAGGCCUCCUGGCGGCGAGGUUGUGCCAAAGCUAGUAAUUGGCGAGUCUGUGGUAUCCAGGGACUUUUUCACCGUUGGUCUGCGAUUUUCAUGUGACAAAAUGCUGCUUGUGAUUUUGGAGAGAUAUAAUGCGAAGUUUCACCAGCUUACACCCAACUCUUUUGUGGCACUUUCCAAGUUCUACUGGGUUCAGUGCACUUUUGGAGGCACGAUCGAUGUUGAUGGUUUUGCGAGGCUAUUUGAGCUUCAUGUUUAGAAAAAGAAUGUGGAAUUUGACGAGGAGGAUGGCAUUUUUUAGAUGCAAUUUGGCUGCUGCACAUUCAUGACUCGAAGGAAGAAUGAGAGCAAAAAAGAUUUCCAGAGUUGAGCUUUCUUCAGCAUAGAAGAAUAGGUGGGAUGAUGAUUGGCUCUGAUAUUGGUUUUGUAUUAGGAUGGAUAUAUCUGAGACUUGUGGCUAUAGUCAGCCAUUUUUUACAUUUUUUUACCUCACUGUCGCCUAUGGAUGUCACAACUGCUCCCUCAUUUGCGAGGUCAAAAGCUUUUAAAAAGUGCAAACAUGCUUUUAUGGUAGCUUCAUCAUCAAUCACUAGGCGAGAUUUAGUUGAGAAGUUUCUUGUAGCAUACAUUUGGCCCCUUUCCUAUGGAUGGGAGCCAAAGGACAUUGUUAUGAAGCCUGUAACUUGGUGUUCUAGUCUAGUCCCCUAUCCUAUCUUUGGAUUGACUUUGCCAAAAGGGGUUAACACCGGCAUUUUCAUUGAUGAGGUUGAGAGGCGGGCUGUGGACAUUAUUGGACCCUGCCAUGAGAACGAGCACAUGUCUGCUCAUAAGCUUGUUACACACAGUCUCCGAGUGAACCGUGUGCUUUCAGAGAGGGGUAUUGAGGUUGAGCCUUGCGCCAAGCAUCGCAAGCCCUUCAAGCAGAUGCGCGAGACUGGCGCGACUAGGUCAGUUGAGAUGGGAAUUGUGGCAAAGGGAAAAAGAAGAAAACUGACGACUUGGCUUUUAAACCCAUGAGCGAGGCUGGCAAGAAGUCCACGACCUCCAGCCUCGAGGCUCUUAAGAAGAAUGGUAUGCUCAGCCAAGGCACUUCUAGUGACGAGAUAAUCGUCCUUGGUGAGAAAUUGAAGUUUGUUAAGGGCUCAGCCCAUAACUCAUGACCUCGAGGCUAAGCCAACGACUACUAGGUCAGAACUCGAGGCUACCGGUGCUCUUGCUGGCAUGAAGGUGAAGAAAGAUGGCGAGAAAACUGGGAAGCUACCAGCACCGUUGCCAGCUAGCAGGUCUAGAAUUGUCAAAGCCAUGGAUGAAGAGGAAUACGCAGGUUUUCUAAACGAGGAUUUGUCCCUGGCCUCAUCUCGGCACCCUGAAGCUAAGUCUCCACUGAAAGAAAUGCAACUCAAGGAUGCUAUUGUUUCUCCAUGCCCUGAAGCUAAAUCUCCUCCAAUAGAUGUGCCACCCAAGGCUGCCGCUGAUGAAAAAAUGGAUAAGCCUGAUCCGAUGCCUAUUGAACUAGGUAAAAAUGUUGUUGAAUUUUUGCCUAAGUUAGGCCUUGUUGAUUCUAGGGGCGCUUCUGUUAAGUUUUUGAAGGAGUUACAAAAUACUGUUGGCGUAGCUGGAGAGGCGUAUAGUGAACCCCUACUACUUCUUAGGGUGGAACCUUUUACUAAGAGCUCCACUCUGCCUCUGUCCAUUGCUAGCUACGACAAGGCGUUCGGCACUAACAUCAAAGAAAAAUUGUUAUCUAUCCACGUGCCUAGGUCAGGUGAGGAUGAUGACCCUUACAAUCCACCACUAUUGUGGGGUAUUAAGGAUUCACUCUGUGCUAUAAAUGUCUUUGUGGCUUCAAUCCUGAUGAUCUAGCUAGGAUAAAGGCUACCCUCGGAUACAAGGUACCGUUUUCGUAACUUUUGGCAAUGUUUUAGUUAGUCUAUUAAUUUGUUUUUUUCCUUAUUUUUUUACUUCUUUAUCGUUGCUUUUCUCUUCUAGGCUGUGAUUGCUGGCAAAGUUGUUGUUAAAAGUCUUAUGGAGAAGGAGAGAGACAUGCUCAGUCGCAGCAUCAGGUUGAUGGAGCUCAAGGCUGAAGUUGCGAGGCUAAAGAAAGAAAACAGCACUCUGAACAACCUGAAGACUUCACUUUCCGAGGUCAACACUGAGCUGCAGGAAAAUAAGGAACUGCUUGUUAAGACAUGCAACCUCGUUCAGAGGGUAGAGGGUUUAGAGAAGAACUCGCAAGAUAAUCUUGGUGUUUUGGAGAAACUUCAAAACACUAUAGUGUCAGAUUUAGUAGCCCGACAGUCCACCAGGGGGUUACCCAAGUGGUUGAUUUGUAGGUGAGGGCGAUUGCAAAACCAAGAACUCGAAGGUGAUCACGAGAACAUGAAGGGGUCACGAGGGUUUUACACAGGUUCGUACCUCCGGAGAGUAACACCCUACGUCCUGUAUGUUGGAUUGUAUUGCUCAAGAUUGAUCUAAUUGGCUCGAGAGGCUCCCUCAGCUGCCUUAUAUAGGCUGGCGACCAAGAGUUACAAGUCGGUUUGAACUUAAUCUACUCAGUAGUUACAUGGAAGGUAAUCUAAGUUAGAUUACAAUACGCGUCCCAUGAUAUCCGGGUAGAUUUGUACCAUCUAGUUGCCUUGACUUUUACUCCAAGUAACUUCAUUUGCUCAGCCCGCACGUCCUGCUUGGGCGGGCCCACUUGUCAGGUCCAGCCUGUAUCCUAGUUGGUGGGGACCCAUGAGGUACUCAUAUCCCUCUAGCCCCCGAGCAAUGUGUAGAUGAACAAGAACUUGAGGUCAUCAUAGCGAAGCUUGAAAUUAGGUCAGCUGAAGCUGCGAUGGCGUCAUGGUGACAGAGAGGCUGUGCAGUGCUCAAAAAAAGAAAAUUCGAGUGAACACAGAGCCAACGUGGAGAGUGAAGACGAGUGCCGAGUUGAUGGGCACCGACGUCCAGCAGGUCAAAGCGACAGGCACUCAGUAGGAGUAGCCCCCGAGCAUUGAAGUGAUUAGAAGAAUCGGUCCAAUGGUCAAGAAAAAAGAAGUUAUCUCUUGAAGUAGAUCUCAGUGCCCGAGCAAAAAGAUAGGCAUAGCCACAGAGGCCUACUAACUAGAAAUGCGUGCCCAAAUCUCUGGAGAUAAGAACUAAAGCAAUGAUAGGUAAGUGAAAAAAGUCCUUGUUCACAGGAGUACUACACCGUCGGAGUAGCUUCACGGGAGUACUAUCCUUCAGUACUUGAAGAGAAGGCCGAUCAUCAUGUGAAUACUGUGGAGCCCCAUUGGUAUGGUGGAGUUAUGUCGUGCACCCUCACGAGUGUACUGUAGCGUCUUGGAUGCUAGCUGGAGGCCCAGCUAUAAAUAGACCACCAUUCAUCUAGGAGAGUCAUGGCUCGAGUAGUAGCUCUUGUAGGAUUGAAGCUUGUAGUUUUCGAUAGGAGUAGCGCCCGUCCAUAAGCCUGAUGCCAGAAGAAUUCUCGUGAGGAACACCAGGGUGCUCCUUCCCUUCACAGUCUCUGCAAUAGAGUCGGGGGGUAACAACGCUAGAAGAAUCCUCAUGAGGAGGCUGUAUCGUGAACCCUACCAACUUUGUCCAGGACACCGCUAGGGAAGCAUGAAGCGUAGAUUUCUUGUAUUGUGCUUUUUUUAUUUUUUCUACGUUGUAGCUUCUUAUCCUCGGAUGUCAGCUAUCCCAGAGCUAUUCACAGUCUUUUGUAAUAUGUAAUGCUAGGAAUUUGAUUUUAGCUAAAUGAAGAUAUGCCUUUGCAACUAGUUUUGGUGAUUUAUGGGGCCAUAGAGGUUGGAAAACUAGCUGUGCUGAGGAAGCUAGCCGAGUAGAAGUAAGCGUCCAGCACCCGAGGAUGAGGAUGGGCAGUGCCGCUGAGGCACGCUGAGUAGAUUUAGGUGUCCAGGCCCCGAGGAUGAGGACUGGUAGAGCCACAGAGGCAUACCGAGUAGAAUUAGGCAUCCAGCCCUCGAGGAUGAGGACUGCCGGAGCCACGGAGGCGCACCGAGUAGAAUUGGGUGCCCAGCCCCCGAGGAUGAGGACUGGUGGAGCCACGGAGGCGUGCUGAGUAGAAAUUUUGCCCGGCACGUUGUGCUAUGUUAAUGAAGGCACGUGAUUUCCGUUUAUAACUCACGCCGUCAUCCCCUUCAAAAGCGUGAGGGGCACGGAGCCGUUAUCAUUCAUAUCUUCAAUCUCUGUCAGCGUCUCUGCCUUGAGCCCACUAAGCACUUCGCUGCUUGUCUCACGAACCCUAGGUUGCACCGCCGCAGUCUGCAUCCCACUCACGCACAUGCCAUCACCGCCGUAUGAGCUGCUGCGCCGCCACCACCUGAGCCGCUGCGCCGCUAAAUCUCAAGGACUCAAGCUCAAAGAGAUGGCGCAACCCAAUGCCCCAGAGCCUUCUUCGAUGUGGAUAAAGUCUGUGAUGACGUAGUAGUGUAUCCAAGCCCUCAUCGACCAUGGCCUCCUCGUGCCACAAGCACUGCUUGAGUGGAAGCCCACCGUCGGUCAGGAGUUCCCGUCUGAGGACACGACGGAGGCAGUGGUGUUCGCGCCGUUCUUUGAGCGCGGAUUUGGGAUCCCCACAAGAGACUUCUUCUGCGACCUCCUCAACUACUACAAGAUUGAACUGGUACACUUAAAUCCGAACUCAAUCCGGGACAUCUCCGUCUUCAUCUAUCUAUGUGAAGCAUUUUUGGGCAUCCCCCCCCAUUUUAAUCUGUGGUGCCACUUAUAUCAACUGAAACCAGUGAUUACUAAGGAAAAAAAGACAAGGUUAUUGGGGGUUGUUGUUUCUCGCUACGACCCAAGAGGAUGCAGGAGCAAUUUGAUCUGCAAUUAAGGGAGUCCAAAAAGGGGUGGCAUGCCGAGUUGUUCCUUAUUGCGAAUAAGAAACCUGAGCUGCCGCCACAUAUGGGGUAUAGGCCAGUAUCAGUAUUUGAGUUGCAAAAUCUGCCUACCUCGGAAUAACAGGUUCAAGUGGAUGAACUAUCUACAAAGAUCGCUGAUCUGAAGGUACAAGGGCUGACAGCCGCAGCCAUCAGCAUCAAUUUCUGUCAGAAGGCAACGCAACCAAUCAAAUACCAAGUACAUCCAUUGUACGAGUACUCGGGACUAGAGGAUCCGGGAAGGUGCCCAACAAAGAGGUUAUCGGCCGGGUGUGUGAGUUCUUGAAGGGUGUCGUUAGUAACAGGGACGUCCCCAAGGCCUUCUCAUUGAAGAGGCCGUCGCCUACCUCGGUAAGACUGUAUUCAGCUUUGUUUUGAUGCAAUGUGUGUCUGCUUGUGAUGUUUCUAACUUGAAGUAUUGAAUUGACCAGGAUGACGCUUUUGUUUACUUUUUCCCAUCACCACUGCUUGGAGGGGCCGAGGCGAGGCCACCCAAGAUCUGUCCAUCUGAUGUGCUGGUUGCGCUGCUUGCCGACCUUGAGUUUGACUCGAAGUCCUCUUUUGGGUCGGUCGUGAGUGCGAUGAAGGAGGCUGGCAAGGAGGAAGGCACCGAGCAGGUUGGGCGGCAGACCCAACAGGUCGUGCGCAAGCGGCCCCUUCCCAAGGCUCCUUAGCCGAGUGGGAAGAGGAAGAAGAUGGCCGACAAGAAGAAGGAGAAAGCCGCACCGAGUACUGCUAUCUCAACCAUGUCGGUUAGCGAGGCGGAGUCCGACGUACCGAGCUCGGUUACAAAGAAGAAGAAGUCGGAGCUCGAGGAGACCACCUUGGCUGAAGCAGCACACCUGAAGGAGGCAUUGAAGGCAAAGAUGCUCGGCAGGGCUAGAGAAGAUACAGUGGCACCGCCGCCACUGUUGCGCCCCAAGUACCGGAAGUAUAGGAAACACACUAUGUAAGUAUUGCUUUCUCGUGAUGUUUGUAUUGUAAUUGUGAUUGCUGGCUGAAACUUGUGUGAAUUGCUUGCUGUGUCGACGAUGUAGGAGCAGCGUGCAGUCUGAUGAUGGUGGUGUACAACUAACCAGCUGCUUGGCCCAGACCGAGGUGACUUGCAGUCGUAUUGAGGAUCAGCCGUCGACCAUGGAGGGUGGUCAUACUGAAGAAGUUGCGCCGAGUUUGCCGCCGCAACAGGGUGAGGUCAGCUCCAAGGCUGCCGACGACACCAUGGUCGACCCCGAGGUCGCAAAGAAGGCAGAGGACGAUGUCAUGGUCGGCCCUGAGGUCGAGAAGAAGGCUACUGAGGAGGCCAGAGCUGGCCCUCAGACUAAUGAGUUGCCCAAAGAUGACCUAUUGCCAGGGAUGAUCGCCGAGGAAGUUGACUUUGGUGUGAUUUGUGAAGAAUCUGACCCCGAGACCUUCUCCGAUGAGGCUUUGGCGGGAGACAUGGUGCGGGACAAGGAAGACUUGUUCAACCUAUGAAAACUCUCCUUGUAUGCUGGCAAGCUGAUCCAUGUAAGUGCACUGAGCGACUGUCAUUUGAUUUCAAAUUUGUUUAUAGGACUCUGAUUGUUGUGGUGCAAAAUAGAAUCUGGCCACCCGAGAGUAGAAGAGGGCGAAGGGUACUCAGAAAGUCGAGCACUAUCGCCUAAAGGUGGAGCGCCUGGAGCCAUGCUCAAGAAGGCGAACGGGAGUCCCGAGCUCGAGAAGGAAAUGACUGACGCACUCAUGAAAGGUAAGUUGUGCCGACCUCUUUUAGUCACUUUUUGCUUUGGCAACCUCUAAUGCUGAUGUGAUCCUGUGUUGGUUUACACAAAUUCUGCAAUGAAGAUAGCCAGACUCCAGUGGAACCUCAAGGAGUGUGAGGACUCCAAUGCACACCUCCAACAAGAGCAUGACAUGGCGGUCAAGCGUGAGUAUGCAGUAUCACAGAAGCUGGCUUAUGAAGCUGAAGCGCACAAGGAAACUGAGCGUUGCUUAGAAGCUGCUGUAAGUAACCUUUAGAAUGACCAACGUGUAAUUGCAGGGCUGAAGGUAGAGCUUCAGGAGCUACAGAAGCCAGCCGGCUAUGUGAUGGACAUGGUCCAUCAUGACGCCAACCCAUCCGCGCCAACACCAGUUUUGGACCAUCUGAAGGCUGAACCUAGUCGGCUCAAGACAUUAUUGAAAGAAACUGUUGUGGAGUGCGUCAAGAGCACCUUUGCCUUGAUAGCAUCGCAUUUCCUCAAGCUAGAGUUGGAGCAUGCUGUGACGGGAGUUGCUGCUAACUUUAAUGAGGACUUGAUUCCUGAGCUGGCCGAGCAAUAUCACAAUGCGGCAAAAACCAUUGUAAACGACCUGGACCUAUUUUGUGAAUCGUUGAAUGCAAUGUUUUUAAUUAUAUGUGAUGAAGGAAAACUCCCUCCCUCCCUUGGUGUAUACGACAGGACAACAUGUGGCUGACGCCUAUAGCCGCUAAGCACCUAGUCUCUCCUAACCAACGUCCUGCUAAGACCGGAUCUCAAGCUUGUAGAAGGGGUGAACGCGAGGUUGUCUAGGUUUCGCUAGCUAGGAUGCCGACCACACGAGUUACUUGUAUAGCCUCAAGAGGGGGAGGAGAGAAAAGGCGAGGCCCAGAGGUCGGCCUGUGACAUUCCUAGAAUUCAAAAGGGCAAAAUAAGAAUUCAAAAUAGUAAAGCAAGAGAAAUUAAGAAGAAAAUUUGGGACAAAUCAAAGUUGCAAAAUGCCAAAGCGAAAAACCCAUCAAAUUCCCUAAGUGUUCAAAAACACCCUAAUAAGAACUUAUUUGGGGAAGGAGCUAAAAAUAUAAAUUCAUAUGUAAACUCAACUUUUGGCCAAUAUAAAAGUUGUAGAACUUUUCAAACUAAACAACUUUCAUUAUUUGCACUUUCUCUGAUUUUGAGUGGAAGGCACUAAAAAAUUGGAUCAAAUUUGGUUAAAUUUGGGGCAAAUUCAAAUUUCAGCCUAGCCAGCGUUCCACGAAAGUUUCCACGAGUUUAACUCCAAAUCCAGCCCGAAUUUCACCUGGUAGCCUUUGUAAAAGUUGUAGCCCAUAGUUCCAACUCAAACUUAUGUAUUUGAACUUUCAAAGUUUAGUUUCAAAAUAUGGAGCAAAUUUGCGCCAAAGCUGCUUCCCUCACACACCACCAGCGACACCCAUGUGCAUGAAUCCGGGGUGAUCACGCAUGACACGUCGCGUCGUGCCGCGCCGCUGGCCAGCGCCACCAGGCCAACCCUCGCUGGUGACAAUACAAGUCACGCCCGGCGCUUGCCCAACCCGUGCGCGUGAUUAUCCUCCCCUGGCGCGGCAUAUCUCGGCUGGCCAACCCAUGGCCGCGCAUGCUAGCGCACCGCACGCGGCCCCGGCCACUCCCUGCGCGACACCUGGCUGACCUCCGCCACUCGGCCAACCACCGCCAAUGACGUGAUGGGAUGAUCCAGCCUUCGCCUAGUCUUUGGCCACGCUAUCUUCUUCUCACCACACCACAAUCUGCUUCGGCCAACCACAGCACAUGGCCCACGCGCGUGAAUGCCGCACGCCACCGCUGGCCUCUCCCGGUGCACCUCUACCUAUCGCCUCUGACUGGCCACCGCACUCUCACCCAACCGCGCGCUGAGCGCACGUUGCACAUCGCCAGCUCGCUCACGCUCUUCUGCUGCUACAAAAGGGCAAUGCCUAGCUCGCCGGCGCUACCUUUCACCACCCCUACACCGAAACUCUACCGCCGCCCGUAGCGCUGCCCAUGCAGCUAUUCCCUCCAAGCACCCCUUCCACCGCCCAAGCUCCCCAAAGCCACCUACGACCACCAUUCAACCUUCCUGACCCUGCUCCUGGCCAUCUCUGCCGCCGCCGUCGCCGGAGAUGACGAGCCCCCGCCGCGCCCACCACCUCACCGCCGACUGCCGCCGCUAGCCCUCCUCCGCCCGUGACUUCCACAGGCCGCCGACCCUCAAUGAGCCCCUCAACGCACUUGUGCCCCUAGCUCACCCUCUCCCCACCAGAGUGCCGCCAGCCAAGCCCCGAGGACCACAUUGCAUAGCCCCAAAUCUUUCCAGGGUCUAAGCCAUGAAAUGUAAGGGCCCGAUUGUGAAUCUUUAAAAGAUCCAAGGGCCUAAGCACGAAACGUAUUUUCCUUUUUUGGUUUAAAUUUGAUUUAAAUAGCUGAAACUCAGGAAAUGUCUCGAAAAAUGUAGAAAAAUGGAAAAAAUAUGAAACUUAUUUUGCUAGGUUCCUAAUGAUGUCUAGAUUGACGUAAAAAUGUUCAUGUGCAUGUUACUGUCAUAUAUCUGACAUUAGAAUUUAUUUUGCAUAAAAACAAAUAAAUGCCUUAUAACUCAUAGGAUGCUCUAAAAAAUGUGAAACCACUUUUGUUACUUUCCUUUUGACAUGCAUGUUCAGGAUCUAUAAUUUGUGCUACUGGAAUAGAUGAUGUUCAUACUGUUUUGAAAUUCAAAAGCUUAAUUGAUGUUUUAAUCUUGUUAUUUGCAUGAUAAAUAGUGGAAACUAGAUAAAAAUGCAAAAUAAAUUUGUUAGGUUCCUAAUGUAAAUGUAUAACUAGUAAAAAUACUUGCUCCAAUAAAAUAUAUGUUUUACAUUGCUUUAGUAAAUACAUGUGGUUUAAUGUCCUUAUUAUGUGAUAAAUAGUUUUCAUGCCCAUUAAACCCUGAAACUUAUACAGUAGCAUAGGUUUGUGUUGGUAACCUUUCUGUAAAAUUUGUGGAACCAGAUGGAUGAUGAAACUCUAGUUAAAAAUCCUUCUUCGUGUUGUACAAUUUAAUACUGUUUGGUUUUUAGUAAAUUUUGUAGACGUCAAAUGCAUCUUAAUUUUUUUCAAUACAUCACUUGUGUAGAGGGAAAGCUUCUGUAAACAUUUUAUAUUCAUAUAUUAACAGAUGCUUCUAGAAAUAUUUAUUCAUGUUUAAGAGCUAGCUUAAUUUUUAAUAAAAAUUGCUACUAGAAAUGGUAGGAUAGCGAAAUGAUUAAUUAUAUUUUUAUUCAAAAAUAGGAUAACUUUUGAAAUGAUUGCUAAACAACACCAACAUGACACCACCUUUCUUGUAUGAAUUCUAAGUUCUUAAAAUCUUAUAUGUGUACAUAAUCACUAUCAGAAUGGAACCCAAGUUUUAAUCACAACACACCUUGUUUUGCGAAGAAAAGAUUUUUAAAAUCUUGUCUAGGUGAAUGUUGUCAAAAUUCACAUUAAGCUUUUACAAUGUUAAUGAAAUGCAACCUACACCUUGAAAACUUGUAAAUGAAAUCUUAUGCAUAUGCAUCUCAUGUAGAAGCUAAUCUUGCUGACGGUACGCACGAGUUGGUUCAAGAAGCUGAAGAGGAACACUCGGCUGCUAUGGUGAACUUGAUCGAGGCCACACAAGACCUGAGCCAAGCUUUGGAAGAGCCACAGGCUAGCGUAGUACAAGAAGGCAAGCCCCGGAGCAUAACCUUCGUUUCUAAAAUUAUGCAAUACUUUUGUUACUUAUGUUUGUGCAUUAAGUUCAUUGGAGUUGCAUGAAACCUUAGUUGCAUGCUCCUAGUACCCAUGUGUUGAAUACUAGCAUGAUAAGUCGAGUAGCUACUAUGCUAAAUAGGGACAUGGUAAAAGUCAAUUGAUUUCCUAUCACUCGUGAGCUAUAGGAGUUGCCUGUUUACUGAUGUUGGAAUCAUAAGGUUGACGGGCAGGGCUUGGUAAUAUAUUUUGGAAUAGGUGGUUACCCCAUCUAUUUAGAGGAAAACUGCUCAGGUCAAAAUGUGUUAGAGUUGUGGUCAAGUGUUUGAAAGUACUAAACACAUACCAAGUAUGGGAUCGGGAAGCCUAGUACCUGAUUGAACCAGCGUGGACCUUUUCCCCACUCUCUCUGAAACCAGGUUCCCCUGAUGCAUCAUGUGGGUACAAGUGCAGCCUCGGUACAGCGUUGUCUGGGACCGGUGGGGCCUUGUAUCCAAGGGAAGUGGGCUCUAUACAAGCACCGCAAAUUGAUGAGAACCGCUGAUAUAUGUGAACCCGUCGUGGUACGCAUAUGUCGUGUGUUUAGGUCCACCUUGCAACGUUAAGAAACUCGAUUCGAAUCGUCUGUUUCUCAUAGCUUGGGACUGCUUGAUCGCCGUUUUGCACUAAGUAAGAAGAGGAACAAAGGUUGAUGGUUAAUAUGGAUGCUUGAUUAAUUUGCUUGUUUCACCAUGCUUGCUUAGAAUAGGUGCUUACCUAGAAUGGUUAAUCAACUAGAAUUUGAUGCUAAAACUUGAAAGUAAGGAUCCACUUUAGAAGCUUUUGGUAAAUACAAACCCCUCAGCCAAAAAGCCUUGCAUCUCUAGGAGUCGAUGGAUUAGAUACCACUUGAUGGGUAAGUCUUGCAGAAUAUUAGCAUGCUCAACCUUGCUUGUGGCUAUGUUUUCAGGUAAUGUUUUUUUUGGAUAUGGUUGCCAGUGUGACUCGGCCGUCUCAGCGUCCUCCGAGUUGGACGGUUGAGUGGGACCCAUCCUCGGUCGGUGAGGAUCGUGGUGAGUGAUAUCAUGGCAAGCUUCACCAUGGUAUUAUGUAUUGUCGUUAGAACCAUCGUUUUCUUUUUCCGCUGCUAUGAACUCAGAACUACUGUUUUAUGCAUUUGAACAUCCAAUUUGUAAUAACUUAAUUUGGUACCUGUAAUAUGUUAUCUGGAUUGUUGUAAUCUCUAGACUCAUCUUAGUGCGAGCUUUGUAUGGUUGUUUUUAUCAGAAACACAUGGUUGUAUCGGGUUAAACCCGAUAGACUACCAUUUUAAUUCAAUUAAAGUGUUUAUUCGUAUUUGAGGUGAUGUUGGGUACACUUUAGCUGGAUUAAUUUGGGUGGUUCUGCCACACGGCCCCAGGGGAAGCCCCUGAGCUUAUGAGUGAGCGGGCUGCUAAACAGACACCCCUGAGGAUCAGGGACAGCUCAGAAAGGGGAACAGUAAGGCAGUACGUACGUAGAAAAAGACUGCAAUGGUUUUAUUUAUUCAAUAUAAAAGGGAAACAGAGUACAUAGCUUUAUAUAUCUAAGGGUAGAAGUGUUGUAGAUGCUCGAUGUUUCUACGGAUUGGGGACGCCGGAGCCGUCUGCCCAUUAUAGUCGGUAGGUGCUUGGUUGGAUGACCUCUUUGAUGAUGAAAGCACCUUCCCAAGGGGUGGCUAACUUGUGUAUGUCCUUGGUGAACUGGACCUGGCGAAGCACCAAGUCACCAACGCUAAAGGAGCAUUCCCUGAUAUUCCAAUCAUGGUAGCACCGUAUCUACUGCUCAUGGCGUGCGUACUGGAUGAGGGCCACCACACGAUGCUCUUCAAGGCUGUCGAUGUCGAUCUUCCAACUCUUUUCUGCCUCACCCUCCUCGUAGUACUGGAUAUGCGGAACGCCAAAGGCCACAUCAGAUGGCAAGAUGACUUCUGAGCCAUACACCAUAAAGAAAGGAGUGUAGCCAGUAGCCCGAAUAUUCUAUGUUCAUAGGCCCCAGAUGACUUGGGGUAGCUCACGUAGUGGUAGCAUAUUUGGACAUGUCAUCGAAGAUGCGUGACUUGAUGGAUUGGUGGACCAUCCCGUUUGCUCGUUCCACUUGACCGUUGCAAUGUUGGUGCACUACUGAGGAGUAGUACACAUCAAUGAGAUUGUCUUGGCAAAAGUCUUAGAACAUAGAGCCUGUGAACUGCGCGCCAAGGUCGGUUAUAAUUCUAUUAGCCACUCCAAAGCGGUGCAUGAUUUCCUCCACAAACUGAGCUACUUUAGCUGACUCAAUGCUGGUGAUAGCCUUGAUCUCAAUCCACUUUAUAAAUUUGUCAACUGCCACAAAGAUAUGUGUGUAGCCGCCAGGAGCGGUUUUGAAUGGCCUAACCAUGUCCAGCUCCCAGCAUGCAAAAGGCCAGGAUGGUGGGAUGGUGCGCAGAGCCUAAAUCGGAAGGUGCUGCUACUUGGAGAAGAAUUGACACCUUUUGCAUCGUUGGACGAGCUCCUUUGCACUGGCUACUACUGUUGGCUAGCAGUAACUAGAGAGGAAGGCUUUGCCGACCAAAGUGCCCGAGGCAGCGUGGUUGCCAGUCAUUCCUGAGUGAAUUUCAUGUAGUAGAUCAAUACCCUCACUGCAUAAAACACAUUUCAUCAAUAUCCCUAUGGAUGCAACUUUUCUAUAGAGCUCUUUGCCGAUGAUGACAUAAUUUAUACUGUGUUGAGAUAGUUUUUCAUGCUCUAUCUUGUCCUUUGGAACCAUCUAGUCGGUGAUCAAGGCUAUGAACGGGGCACGCCAAUCUUCUUCUACCUCAAUCAUCAUUAUGUUAGUGGGUAUUGGGUUGGCCAGAAACCUAAGCGCCAGCAUCAUUGGCCUAGUCCAGGUCCAGGAUUUUGAUGGAAGGUUUGCAGAGAUCUUGUACGAAUACACUAGCCAGAACCUAUGCACGCUUGGACCCAAGCUUCAAUAAGACAUUAGCAGCAACGUUAUGGUCCCUAGGGAAGUGAUAGAACUCAAGGCCAUCGAAGUGGGCCCCAAGUUUACAGAUUUCUGUGCAAUAAACAUCCAUGGAUUCCUUGGUGCAGUCCCAAUUCUUGUUGAAUUGCUCAAUGACAACCUUGGAGUCACCAUAAGCGAGUAUACCCUAGAUUGCAAUGGACACGGCGAUGCGGAGGCUAUGGAUUAAAGCUUCGUACUCGACGCCAUUGUCGGUGGCCUUGUAGUGGAUCUGGAGCACAUACUUGAGCUGCUCGCCUUUGGGGGAUAUAAAGAGGACCCCCACGCUAGCUCCUUCAAGAUUGAGGGCGCUGUCAAAGUACAUGGUCCAGUGUUUUGGCCUCUCCAGGGAGGGCGGUUUCUGGAUCUAUGUCCAUUCAGCUACGACGUCGGCUAGGAUCUGUGAUUUGAUUGCAUGGCGCGGCCAAAAUUCGAGGUCCAACUUGCCGAGCUCCAUAGACCACUUGAAAACUCGGCCAUUGACAUCCCUGUUAUGGAGGUUUUCACCAAUGGGGAACGUGGAUACCAUACAGAUCUUGUGCACCUGGAAGUAGUGACGCAACUUUCUUGAUGAAAUCAGCAAUGCGUAGAGCAGUUUCUGAACCUGGGUAUAGCGGGUCUUGGAGUCGCUGUGGACUUGGCUGAUGUAAAACAUCGGGCAUUGCACUGCAUAAGCAUGCCCGGGUUCCUAGCGCUCCACAACUAGCACGGUGCUGACAACAUGCGUCGUUGCAGAGAUGUAUAGGUACAAUGUUUCUUGGUCAGCCGGGGCCGUCAUGACGAAAGGAGUGGUGAGGAAAGCCUUGAGCUCUUCGAGCGCCUUGCUAGCCUCAUCAAUCCACACAAAUUUGUUCACCUUUUUGAGGAGUUUGAAGAAUGGUAGACCUUUUUCCCCAAGUUGGCUAAUGGAGCGGCUAAGGGCUGUCAUCAUGCUAGUGAGCUUCAUAACGUCCUUCUUUUUAGAUGGUUUCAUCAUGUUUCGAUUGCAUCCACUCUGACGGGGUUGGUCUUGAUGCCUUGCUGGUUGACCAUGAAGCCCAGGAGCUUGCCAGACAGGACACCAAAGACACACUUGUCGAGGUUAAGUUUCCAGCAGUAGGCUCGGAGGCCAUUGAAGGUCUCCUCAAGGUUGGCUAUGAAGCUUUCCUCGUCCUUUGUCUUGACAACCACAUCAUCAACAUAAGCCUCAACGUUCCUAUGCAGCUGUGUUGCGAGGCAACCCUGGAUUGCCUUCUGGUAGGUGGCACCGGCAUUUUUCAACCCAAAGGUCAUGGUAUUGUAGUAGUAGAUGCCGAAGGGUGUUAUGAAUGCCGUCUUGUCUUGGUUGGCUGGAUUAAGGGCAAUCUAGUGAUAGCCCAAGUAGCAGCCAAGGAAGAAGAGCAGGAUAUGUGUGGCGGAUCCACUUUGGAUCUACUUCGGAUCUACUUGGUUAAACAUGAUUUAGCCGCAUGAUACGCGACGCUCAUGCCUAAACCGAGUAAACACAAAGUGCCGUCGGAUUUCAUCCGAUUUAACCACUUGAACAGGACCAAUUAGCAAACCCACACGAAGGUGAGCGGUUCCAGAGAAUACAACAAGUCCACCGAGUUAACAAAUUACCCAUUUAGUUUGGCCAUAAAACACAUCAGAGUUUACAAGGUUCAGAAGAAAACAAUAGAAGGUAAAACACUAGCGGAAGCAAACUCGUCGGGGUCGGACAUCCCUUGUGAGGCCAACCGGGACAUCAGUGAUCCCACUCCUCGCCUGUCCGAGGAGGGAUCCCACUCGACCGUCCAACCCGGAGGGAGUUGGGGCGGCCAAGUGCCAACAGAAGGAGGCUUGGAGGCAGCAACUUCACUUGAAAAAGAAAAAGCCACAACAAGGCUGAGCUACUAAGCUCAACAAGACUUAACCGACAGGGAGCACUCUAAACUACCUCUUCUAGACAUGCAAGGCUUUUUGGCUGAGGGGUUUGUUUGCCAAAAGCGCUAGAUGUAACCCUACUUUCAAGUUUUAGCUCCGGUUCUAAGUUCAUUAUCUGGUCUAGGUUUGCAACCUAUUCUAAGCAAGCAUAGAACCAACCAAAAGGUAUAUAUAUCAUCAACAAAACCAUGUCAUCAUCAGAUUCCUUAUUUACUCAGGGUGACAUAGCGAUCAAGCAGUUUCAAACUAUGAGAGGCAGACGAAUCGAUUCGAGUUUCUUAACCAUGCAUGGCGAACCUAAUCUCACGACAUCCGCGCACCACAAGGGCCGCUUCCUGUGUCGGCCGUCCCCAUCAAUUCCCAGGCGCGUGUCAGGUCCAAACUUCCCUUGGCAUGCAAUGCUCCACAGUCCCGGCCUCUGCCGUACUGUGACCGCACUUGCACCCACAUGAUGCACCAUGGAAACCUUGUUCCAGGGACAGCAGGGGUAUAAGCCACGCCCUAGUUCAAUCAGGUACUAGGCUUCCCCAUCCCAUACUAGGUAUGAGAUUAGUACCUUCAAACACUUGAUCACGAACACCACCACUGUCGGGCCUUAGCAAGUUUCAUAGACAGACGGGGCGAUCAUCCGACCACCAAAGAGUUACCUCAAACCCUGCCCCGUCCAUCGUCCUUAUAGUUGUAACGGAAGGUAAACAUCCAACUCCUACAACUCGCGAGUGAUAGGAAAUCACUCGGCUUUUACCGUCUCCUAAUUAAGCAAAGCAUCUACUCGGUCCAACAGCUAGUGUUCAGAUCAGGGGAGCUAAGUUAUGCAUCUAGGGUUCCAAAAAACUCCUAUACGUAAAUGCACAAGUAGGUUAAAGAAAGCAUGCGCAAGUCUGGUAAAACAUAGGGAUUCAUGCAUUCGGGGCUUCCCUUCGAGAAAAGAGUAAGGGAACUGCUCGACUUCUGGGGCAGCUUCGUCUUCUGGGGGCAGGAGCUCAGCUACACCGUCGUCUUCUGGUGCCAGGUGUAGCUCGUAGUAGCCGUCGGCGAGACGCAGCUCUACACAAAUGCAAUGCAUUGGUUAGCAUAGACGGUUAUUUCAACAGCAACACUUGCAAGUCUGAGCCCAAAAACUUGCGACAAGUUACAGGAGGGUGGGGAGGUUCAAUGGAGUUGAUGGAGAUCAAGAGGUAAGGGUCAGAGGGAAGGAACUUAUGAUCUGACCCUUAAUCUAGAGGGUUUGAUGUACUAGGGGUCCUCAGACUCAACGCUGAAAGGUCCUCAAGUUUUACACAUACACCCUCGGUUCAAAGAAAAAGAUACAGCCGAGCCCUCGGGCGAGGUGGAGAAGGGUCGGCGGAACAGACAGGGUCGGGCGAGACGGAACCGGGGUCGGGCGGAUAAGAGGGGUCGGGCGAAGCGAACAGGGGUCUGCAGCCUACCUUCGUCUUACAGAGGAGGCUUGGGUGGAAGAACUAAGGGCUUGGGACGGCGGCGAGAAUGUCCGGCGGUGGCGGUGCUUCUUGUGGAUCACAAGCAAGCUCUUGGGCAGUACUGAAAGCAGUGGCUGGUGGAUUGGGAAAGCGGUGGUGCUUGAGCAGAGAGGAGAGUUCCUCAGACUUAGGUGGUGGCGCUGUGAGCUUGAACAGGGAGCAUGAGAGAUGGCAGCUAGGGCAAGGGAAACUCCGGCGGGGCUUGCGCAUCCCCUUUUAUAGCUGCGCGAAAGAGGGAAGGGGGAGCAGUGCGAAGGCCGGGGAAGAAGCAAUGGAGUGCUCUGCCCGGGCGGUGGUUGAGCGACGAGGGCGGUGGAGCAGGACUUCGGGGAUGACGCCGGCGGUCAUUGGGCACUGACGUCAGGGUGGCGCAGGCGCGGGUUUGCCGGUGGUUGAGAUUUGGCGGAUGUGGACAUCGUCGUGCGGUGGAUCUGAUGGAAGUGACCGGGAAAACGGCACUAGAAACGAGGGUGCACAGGUGAGAAGACAGGCGGCUGCGGGCGCGCGGGCGAGCGUGGAGCAACAGAUUGUCGGGCGGCUUCUAACAGGGCGGGAAAAGGAGCUGUCGCUGCCGCGGUCUAGGUUGGCAGAGGAGGAAUCGUCGGGUAGCGAAGACCGGGGCGACGCGACUGUGGCGAGGUGAUGGAAAAGAUGGGCGACAUCGGGCUCUGCGGUCAGGAUCUGGCGAUGUGAUGAUGGGCGCGGGCGGCGAGGCGCUGCAGAAAUGGUUGCAGAGGGGCUUCCGCUGCGAUUGGGGAAGGGGGCGCGAGAAUCCAUCCGGUCGUGGGCCGAAGACGAGGCGGAGCGGCGAGCGUCGGAGGAGUUGAGCAACGCGGCGGGAGAACUCUGAAGUGCGCAUGCAACUCGAGUGCGCCUAUCGCGGAAGAUCUGGGAGAAAAGAUCUCGUUGGCCUACCGGUCAGUCUCGGUGGUCCACUGCUCGAACUGGAGGGCGAUGCUGCGGGAUGGCUUAGGGAGAUCCGACGGUGGGUUGGGGGUCGGCGGGGUCGGAACUGGGGAGACCAUGGCGAGGGGUCGGAUCGCAGGGGUCAGAAGAUCUGGAGGUUGAACCCUUAGGCUUGGAAAAACUAAGACAGGUGAUCAGGGCUCGGAUUAAGAUUGAUGCGAAGGAUUUUUUUUCCGAGGCCGUCACAAUAUGUUCGACUUUUCUCGGAGGAAACUGGUGAGUGUGAGUUCCUAUUUCACCGAGAGGUCGGCCCCUAUGAGGGUUGUCUUGGUCGGGUCUUCAAGGCUAAGGCAAAUCUUCUUGACCCUGGGGUCAGGCUGCAACGCCAUGGAGGUCGGCUCCUUCUCAGGGAUUGUUAGUUGGUCCUUGCUCAUCUUCUAGGCCUCGGCUACCAUGGCGAUAGCUUUAGCUGAUAGCUCUAGGGCUUCUGCAAGCUGCACAGCUUCGAUGUCGCAUCUAUAUGAUGUCUCCACAUCGCCAUAGAUAGAGAGGACUCCGUUUGGGGCUGGCAUCUUGGGGAUGAGGUAAGUGUGAUGUGGGAAUGCCAUAAACCUCGCCAGCAUAGGAUUGCCAAGGAUAGCAUGGUAGGAAGUCUUGAAAUUAGCCUCCUCAAGCAUGAGGUUCUCCAUGUGGUAGUUGGUUUGUGUGCCAAAAGUGACUGGCAAAACAACUCAGCCAAUGGGGUAGGAUCCUUUUCCGGGGAUGAUGCUGUAGAAAGGUUCUUCACAGGGCUGGAGUCGCUCAAAGUCGAAGUCCAUGCAUUUCAAGGUCUCUGUGAAUAUGAUGUUGAGGCUGCUGCCACUGUCAAUCAGCAUCUUGGGGAGUAGGUCCCAAUCUAUAGUUGGGCAGACCACUAGCGGGUAGGACCCAAGAUCUGGAAUGUGGACCCAAUGAUCUUGCUUGGAGAAAGUUAUAGACUAUUCUGACCAUCGUAGAUACUGAACUGGCUGUACAGAGACAAAGUGCACCUCUCGCUGGCGUAGCUUUUGCUGGCGGUUACUACAAAAUGCAUUGCGGCUGCCCACAAUGAUGUUGACUUGGCGCUCAGGCCACUAGAAGUCCCUGUUCUGGUCGGCACUGGGUCGUUGGGCAUCUUGAUGUGGCUGAUCGCGGCUCUCUUCUCUGUUCUGGUUGUCACGGUCGUCACGCCUACUGGUGUUGCGGUUGUCGCGGUUGUCACGGUGCCAACCGUUGCGGUUGUUACGGGCACUGUAGUUAUGGUUGUCAUGGUCAACUUGGCGACGGUCGUCAUCAUGGCUACGAUAGUCAUGCUUGUUGUUAUCCCGACAGUAGUCGUUGCAGCGUGGUCACUUGUACUCCACCAGGGUGUCGAACUCUUUCUUUAGGACUGUGCAAUCUCGGAGAGUGUGACAUGCGUCCUUGUGGAAGGGGUACUGUGGUGUCCCGCCCCCCCGAGGCCGGGACCGCCCCCCCGGGGCCGGGCCCGCUUACACCUGGCAGCUCUCUAGGAUAUCAAAAAUUCCCUCACAGACCAACACAAGUCUUUUCUGCGUACUUUGUCCUCACUCAUGCACACCCGGGAAGAACUUCCCGGUCGUCACCCAUCCCGAAAUUGCUCGGGCCAAGCACGCUUAACCCCGGAGUUCUUUGAGGAUGAGCUUCCGGAAAAGAAGUUGCAACUUAUUGGUAUGAGUAUUCUAUCAAUCCUAUUAAGCCUUGGGCCAGGAUGUCACAGGUACGGAGCACUAAGGGUUCCAUUAAAUUCUUCCCGGUUGAAGGUGGUCUGCCUGGCCAGGUCACCUUCAGCAGCAUAGACCUCUGGGGCCCUUUUUUGGAGUCGAGGCUCUGAACGUGCUUGGGGUUCAUCGUGAAUUGGCUGAUCGUAGUCGUCAGCCAGGCGGUGUUUAAUGUUCUGGAAUUGAACUUUUGCCGCCUUUUCGAUGUCAGCUUUUCUGUUGACAACUUUCAUCAUCCACUCGACCAUCUUUGGGGCAGCCUCAUACAACUUUUUGAACAUGGGCCGGUUCAUCAGGCUAGAGCGAAAGUACUAGAUGAUAUCACGAUCUUCGAUGCUAGCCAAUCUGUUACGAUUUUCAAAGAAGCGGUUGGCAUAUUCUCGAACAGGUUCGCCUAUCCUUUGGUGGACGUGGCCAAGUUUUUCCCUAUUACCAGGUCAACUGUAGGUGGCCUGGUAAUUCUGAGUGACAGCUCUAGCGAGCUGUCCCCAACUAUCAAUGUUGUUUGGAGAGAGAUUCUCCAGCCACAAGAUUGGAGGUGGACCCAUCACCACCAUACUUUUCGUUGAUGGCCAGCUUGAAUGUGCCUAGCCAAUCAACAGCCCUGAGGUGUGGAGUGAAAGCAGUGAAGCCAUCGAUUGUCAUGUCAUCAUUGUAAUCAUUGUUGAGGUAGUACUGGAUAGGAGGGGCCCUGCCGCGUCCACCGUAGUUGCGCCUGGGUGGGUACUAGGCAUCCUCGGGAGCACCAUACAUGUAGUCAUAGUCAUGCCUGGGUGGGUUGUAGGCAUCUUUAGGGGUGCCAUACACGCGGUCAUAGUCGGCACGGUGGCGCAUCUCGUCUUCUUGGCGAUAAUGAUCCCUGCGCUCUGCAUCACGGUUAGGCACAGGAGCACCAUAGUCGCAAUCAUACUCGGCAUGGCAGCGGAGCUCAUUCUCAUCGCGCUCGUUGUGGCGAUUAUUGAGGUCGGUGCGUAUGUCACGGUUCUAAUGAAGGUCAUGCACCUCAUCACAAAGAUCCCAUUGCCAUUCUAGCUAGUCACAAUAUCAUUAUUGCCUCUCCCGCCGUGAUGUAGUUAUCGUUGUUGUCGCACUGACGGCCGUUGUUGGCAUUGUUGUUGAUGGGCGGGUUGGCGUUGUUGUUGACUGGUGGGUUGGGUUGGAUAGCAUUUUGCUCCCCCGCCUCUUCGUGGAUUGGUUCCAAUCAACCAUCUGCAUGAUCGCCUCAGCGUUGGUCGGAUCCGCUAUGCUCAGACCAGCUUUGAGAGUGCCUGGAAGAUGUGGACCGAGAAUGGUUGGUUGUUGAUCUACUCCUUGAUCUAGGCAUUGGCGACUUGGAGUCACUCCUGAAUCCAUCGCAUUUGGUCUGAAUCUGGAAAAUUUUCCAGCUUAGCAAAGGCAGCCCCCAGGUUGGCCUGGGGUGUGGCGAAGACGUUGUGGCUGGCCUACUCAACGGCCAGUAGGUUGCAGGUGCGCAUAUGGUGCCUGCGUCUUUCCUGAGCACCACCUUGGUCGACGUUGUUGUAGUCGUUGCGCGGCUGCUGGCACUGGUCACCUGAUGCAUCUGCGUUAGCAACAGGUUGCUGUUGGGUGUCGGCUUGCUCCUGUUGGCGCCGCGCUGCGCGGUUCUGGUGCCUAGCAUUACGGCCUUCUUCUUGAGAUUUUGUUUCACCAUCCCGGGGUGGCUUAUCAGUGGAGAUUAUGAAAGCUUCAUGAUCUUGCGUGGAAUAGUUACUCUCAUCAUCGCUUCCAUAGGGAUUUGGUGUCAGGACGAUGUGAGGCACUUGGAAUUCACCACAGUCCAAAAACUGGGCGGGUUCGGGCAGGUCUCUAGAUUGGAUCUAGAAAACCUGAUCAAGCUUGGCAGAGUACUCGACGGCCGAGUUCUGUAGGCCAAAGGGGAUGCGGGACAAACCCUGCACCGACCUGGUUUCACGCGGCACUGCCUCGGACAGUUUUAUGCACUCAGCGAUAGUGCUACUGAUGCAAUCUAGCCUAGCGAUCAGGUCGGAGGGCACGGGUGGGCGGGCGCUAGUGAGUAGAUCUGGAUCCUUCUCAGAGAGAGAGAGAGAGAGAGUUUGCCGACCUGCUAGGCAACUAUCAUGAUGAUCCUUGGGUGGAGAACUUGUCCCGCCAGAACUGAUUCGACGGGAGCUGAGCUAGUGCUAGACGCCAAGUUGAUAGAGGUCGUCGAGUCGACGGGAGUCGCCAAGUUGAUAGAAAAAGUGGUCGGAUCGGAAUCCACCAGCAUGGUCCUGAAUUGAAUCUGGACUGGGUUGGUGAGGAGGUUCUUCAUGUUCUUAGGAAGAACAAUGUCGGGACGGGAUGCCAUCAAGGUCACAAAAAUGAUCUCGCAACCACCCCUACCUAGCACACCAACUAUCAGAUUUAGUAGCCCAGCAGUCCACCAGGGGGUUACCCAAGUGGUUGAUUUGUAGGUGAGGGUGAUUGCGAAACCAAGAACUCAAAGGUGAUCAUGAGAACAUGAAGGGGAUACGAGGGUGAUUGCCUCAGGAGGCUCCCUCGGCCGCCUUAUAUAGGCUGAUGACCAAGAGUUAGAAGUUGGUUUGAACUUAAUCUACUCGGUAGUUACAUAGAAGGUAAUCUAAGUCGGAUUACAAUACGCGUCCCACGAUAUACGGGUAGAUUUGUACCAUCUAGUUUCCUUGACGUGUACUCCAAGUAACUUCAUGUCCUCGGCUCGCAUGUCCUAGUCGUGCAGGCCCACUUGUCAGGUCUGGCCAGUAUCCUAAUUGGUGGGGACCCAUGGGGUACCCAUAUCCCUCAUAUAUAGACAGAUUCAACAACUAUCCUAUCUUUGAAGAAAGCUUGUGCUGUCAAGCAUAAAGCUUGCGAGGAAAGAGAUAUGAUGAUUCAUACACUUGCCAAGAACCUUGAAGAGCAGAAAGUUUUUGUUGAGGAAGCAGAGCAACUACUAAAGAACAGAUUUACAAAAAUCUACAAAGGAUAUAAGGUGGCUCUCAUAGAGUUUGGUGCUAAACCUCCCCCUUUCCCCACCAACGAGGAUGCCAAGAAGAUGUUGAUUGGAUGGAUCAAGAGUUUGAGUACUUGCCUGGAGUUACAAAUUGAGCUAGCAACUAUGCUGCCUAUUUCUGUAUCGAGGGUAUGCUCAAACUUUUGGAGAACGAGGGCUGCUCUAAUUUUCUCAAAUUUGGGGCACGUAGUUAUCAGUUUCCUUUGGCCUUGAAGUGUGACGACCGACCCCAAAUCUCUUUAGUUAAUCUUAAUCCAAGUCUCAAAUCCCCCACCUCAGCUCCCCGAGUUGAAACGCUCAACCUCCAGUCCCGUCCCGACCGCUGAGGUCCGACCCCUCUCCGCUGGCUCCCCAGUCCCGACCCCGCCGACCCCAACUCACCGCCGGAUCCUUCUAAGUCUUUCCACAACGUCUCUCUCUCUCUCUCAAUCUGAGCAGUGGACAAACCGAGACUAAUCGGUGGACCCACAAAAUCUUUCUCCCAGAUCCCCCACGGUAGACGUUUUCCACUCGAGUAGCCUGCCCGCCUCAGAGCUUCUCCGCCACGUGGCUCAACUUCUCCGACACCCGCCGCUCCGCCUCAUCGCCCGACCCCUUUUUGUGCGGUUCGUUUCGCCGACCCCUUUUCUUGUGCUGUUUUGCCUAACCCGACCCUUGGCCUAAGGUUAGAUGUAAUGGAACUCCUUGAAUCCGGCUAUGGUUCGCCUGAAGUUGUGUGCGGAGUUAAGAUAGAUGCUAACUAAGAUGGCAAGAGGACAUAUGUAUCUCCUUUAUCCAGCUAUGUUGUGUUACAUUGUUGGCAAGAGUCGCAUUGAGAAUUUAACCUAUGCGUUCCCAUCUGUUUGAGAAUUACUUCAGAGCUUAUGGAAUUGAUGGGGCGUUGACUCUUGCAGAUGGCGUAUUGCACCAGAUCCGGCUCUGUGCCCAGCAGCAGCGAGCAGAGACAAGAUCUUCCCCUGCCCCCACCUCCAUCUCCACUAGAGGCAAUCUUAGUGGCUCAAACCGAGCUGCUGAGGCAUCUUGUACAGGGGCAACAGCAGCAGCAGCCCCAUGGUGGAAGGGCUCAACAGCAACCUCACGUUGCUCGCUAUGAGGACUUCUUGGGGGCGCAACCCCCUUUGUUCCAGAAGAUACAAGACCCGCUCGACGCAGACGCCUGGUUUCGCACCAUCGAAUCCAAGUUCGAGCCUCUCACCACCCAGUGUCCCGACCAUAACAAGGCCCGGUUUGCAGCCCAACAGCUGCGUGGUUCCGCCCGGCUCUGGUGGGAUCACUACCAUGCUAUGUUGCCAGCCGACCAUGUUGUUAGCUGGAACGAGUUCAAGACUGCGUUCAGAGGACACCACAUUCCGGAAGGUCUCCUGGAGUGCAAGCUCAAUGAGUUCCUGACUCUUACCCAGGGAAACCGAGAUGUCCUGCACUAUGCCCAAGCUUUCAAUGACCUGUGCCGUUAUGCCGGCUAUCAUGCGGACACAGACGAGAAGAAGCGGGACAGAUUCCGCCGAGGACUAAGCUUGGAGCUCAGGGAGAGGUUAAACCCCAUUAAGGUGGAUACCUACAACGAGUUGGUCAAUUUGGCCAUCUCCCAAGAGGACUACAUGCAGGCUCUCAAAGCCGACCAGAAGAGGAAGGCCUCCGUGGCAUUUCCAAGCUAGCCCGCUCAAAGGUUCCGGAUGGUUCCUCCUCAGGCACCCAGCCGACCUCACUAGUCGGGAAGAUGGGUUGCCCGACCUCCGCCAGCGGCAGCACCUCGUUUUCCUAGCUUCCAACCACAGGCGCCCCGGCCGACCCUACAGCCACCACCGCGUCUUGCAACUGGUAACCGCUGCUUCACCUGCGGCAAUGAAGGGCAUUUCGCCAAAGACUACCCCAGGAACAGAAAUCAGCAGCCUGGUCAGAACUCCAUGGUGAACAAAGGAAGAAGGCCCAAGGUGCAAGUUCGACAAGGAUGGCUCAACUACACCAGCUUGACCGAACUCCCCGGAGGUGCGCCAGUGAUGACGGGUACAUUCCUUGUCUUAAAUCAAGCUGUUGUUGUUUUGUUUGAUUCGGGAGCCUCCCAUAGUUUCAUCGGGAGUAAGACUAGAGAAAGAUGUGAGCUGAGUACCGGUCACACUAAAGGAUCAUAUGUGAUCUCCACUCCUGGAAGGAAGAUAGCCUCAGACUAGAUCGUUACUCUUGUACCUCUCCAGCUAGGCCAAACUCUUUUCAGGGAAAAUCUUAUCAUCCUUGACCUGGAAGGAAUAGACAUCAUCCUUGGGAUGGAUUGGAUGACCAGACACCGAGUGGUUCUAGACACAGCUACCCGAACCCUCCACAUCAACUCACCCUUUCAUGGCAGUUCUACCCUACCCUUGAAACACCCUAAGUCCGCACUUCCUUGUGCGUAUCCUCUAUCGGGAGCCCGGCUAGAAAGCCUUCCCGUUGUCUGUGAGUACCUGGAUGUGUUUCCAAAAGAUUUGCCUGGCAUGCCACCCGAUAGAGAUGUGGAGUUUUCCAUAGAGUUGAUUCCCGGCACCGCUCCAAUAUCCAAGAGACCCUAUCGGAUGCCGCCUGCUGAGCUGGCCGAGUUGAAGACCCAGUUGCAUGAUCUGUUGGAAAAAGGCUUCAUCCGACCCAGCACAUCACCUUGGGGCUGCCCAGCCCUGUUCGUGAAGAAGAAGGACGGGAGUCUACACAUGUGUGUGGACUACCGACCCCUCAAUGUGGUGACUGUCAAGAACAAGUACCCACUUCCACGCAUCGAUGUCUUGUUUGAUCAGUUAGCUGGAGCAAAAGUGUUCUCCAAGAUCGACCUUCAUUCCGGUUAUCACCAAAUCAAGAUCCGACCCUGUGACAUUCCCAAGACUGCCUUCUCCACAAGAUAUGGACUCUAUGAGUACUUGGUCAUGUCUUUUGGACUCACCAAUGCACCCGCCUAUUUCAUGUAUCUCAUGAAUUCGGUGUUCAUGCCUGAGUUGGACAAGUUUGUGGUGGUGUUCAUUGAUGAUAUCCUAGUGUACUCGAAGAACAAAGAAGAACAUGCCGAUCAUCUUCAUGUAGUUCUCCAACGGUUGAGAGAUCAUCAGCUCUAUGCUAAGUACUCCAAGUGUGAAUUUUGGUUAGAUAGUGUCAAGUUCUUGGGACACACUAUCUCUAGGAAUGGCAUAGCCGUCAACCCCAGCAAGGUACAGGAAGUCAUGGACUGGAAGCCUCUCGCCUCAGUGCACCAGAUCCGCAGUUUCCUUGGACUAGCAGGCUACUAUCGAUGCUUCAUACCGGAUUUCUCCAAGAUAGCUAAGCCGAUGACGGAGCUGCUGAAGAAAGAGGUCAGAUUUGUGUGGAACGACAAGUGUGAAGAAGCCUUCAAGACCCUGAAGCACUUGCUGACCACAGCCCCAGUUUUGCCUCAACCCAACCCCUCGAGGCCAUUUCACGUGUACUGUGACACCUCUGGCACUGGACUUGGGUGUGUUCUUAUGCAAGACAACCGAGUCAUUGCCUAUGCCUCACGGGCGUUAUGACCUCAUGAGCUGAACUACCCGAUCCAUGAUCUUGAGUUGGCAGCAGUGAUCCAUGCCAUAAAGAUAUGGAGGCACUAUCUGAUGGGCACCCACUGCAACAUCUACACUGACCACAGGAGCCUCAAGUACAUCUUCACCCAAGCCGACCUCAACAUGCGCCAAAGAAGAUGGUUGGAGUUGAUAAAGGACUAUGAUGUGGAAGUUCACUAUCAUCCCGGCAAGGGCAAUGUGGUGGCCGAUGCUCUUAGCCGCAAGACCUUUUGCAACUGUUUGUCGGCAACAAACUUCACCGAGACACUGUGUCACGAAAUAGGAAGGCUCAGUUUGGAAGUUGUUUCCCAUGGAACCCUCGGCCACAUAUCUCUUGAGUUUAUUUUAGAAGACCAAAUCGGGUCAGCACAGUUAAAGGAUGAGGAAGUAAGGCGGAUCACCAGGAAGAUUUCCUUGAAGAAUGAAGGGUAUAAGCAGUUCCGGCAGGAUGAGACUGGGAAAGUGUAUUGUGGAAACCGACUGGUUGUACCGUCCGACCCCAACCUUAGGAACUAGAUCCUAGAUGAAGCUCAUCUCUCCAAGUUCUCAAUUCAUCCUGGCAGCAAUAAGAUGUACCAGGAUCUCCGUCAAACCUUCUAGUGGAGUGGAAUGAAACCAGAAAUUGCUCGGUAUGUUUCAGAAUGUGACACCUGCCAACGCGUCAAGGCCAGUCAUCUAAAGGUAGCAGGUACCCUGUAGCCCCUACCUAUUCCCUCUUGGAAAUGGGAAGACAUCAACAUGGAUUUCAUUGUUGGACUGCCCCUUUCAUCGCAGCAACAUGAUUCCCUUUGGGUUAUAGUGGACCGUCUGACCAAGUCUGCCCACUUCCUUCCUGUCCACACCACCCACACGGCCAAGAAGUAUGUGGAGUUGUAUCUUGACCGCAUUGUUUCCCUAGACGGUGUGCCUAGGACGAUCAUCUCUGAUCGAGGAGUUCAAUUUGUAGCACGCUUUUGGGAACAGCUACAAGCAUCCAUGUGCACCAAGCUCAUCCGUAGCUCAACCUACCACCCUCAAUCUGACGGUCAGACCGAAAGAGUUAAUCAGAUUCUUGAAGACAUGUUGAGAGCUUGUGUCAUCCAUUAUGACAAGAAUUGGGACAAGUGCUUGCCAUUGGUAGAGUUUUCCUAUAACAAUAGCUACCAAACCAGUUUGAAGAUGGCACCAUUUGAAGCAUUGUAUGGUCGGAGAUGACAGACACCAUUGAAUUGGUCCCAAGCUGGAGAAAGACAAACAUAUGGUCCUGAUUUAGUGGUAGAAGCCGAAGAGCAAGUGAAGGUAAUUCAAGCAAAUCUCAAGGCUGCCCAAUCUCGACAGAAGAGUUACUCCGAUAGGAGAAGAAGACCCCUGCAGUUUGACAUUGGUGAUCAUGUGUAUCUUCGGGUCUCCUCGACAAAAGGAGUGCAACGGUUUGGAGUCCAAGGGAAAUUGGCUCCCCGUUACAUUGGCCCAUAUGAGAUUGUGGAAAAUUUGUGGACCAGUUGCCUCUUGGAUCCAACUCCCAGAACAGCUCUCGGCAACGAGGAUGCCAAGAAGAUGUUUGAUUGGAUGGAUCAAGAGAUUGAGUACUUGCCUGGAGUUAUAAAUGGAGCUAGCAACUAUGCUGCCUAUUUCUGUAUCGAGGGUAUGCUCAAACUUUUGGAGAACGAGGGCUGCUCUAAUUUUCUCAAAUUUGGGGCACGUAGUUAUCAGUUUCCUUUGGCCUUGAAGUGUGACGACCGACCCCAAAUCUCAUGAGUUAAUCUUAAUCCGAGUCCCAAAUCCCCCACCUCAGCUCCCCGAGUUGAAACGCUCAACCUCCAGUCCCGUCCCGACCCCUGAGGUCCGACCCCUCUCCGCUGGCUCCCCAGUCCCGACCCCGCCGACCCCAACUCACCGCUGGAUCCUUCUAAGUCUUUCCGCAACGUCUCUCUCUCUCUCUCUCUCAAUCUGAGCAGUGGACCAACCGAGACUGACCGGUGGACCCACAAAAUCUUUCUCCCAGAUCCCCCGCGGCAGACGCACUCGAGUAGCCUGCCCACCUCAGAGCUUCUCCGCCACGUGGCUCAACUUCUCCGACACCCACCGCUCCGCCUCAUCGCCGGCCAUGACUGGAUGGAUUCUCGCGCCCCUUUCCCCAAUCGCAGCGGAAGCUCCUCUGCUACCCUUUCUGCAGUACCUCACGGCCCGCGCCCAUCAUCACUCUGCCGGACCCCGGCUGCGGAGCCCGACGCCUCCCGUCUUUUCCGCCGCUUCUCCGCAGUCGCGCCGCCCCUAUCCACGCUACGCGAUGAUUCCUCCUCCGCCAACCCAGACCACAGCCGCAAUAGCUUCUUUUCCACCCUGUCAGAGCUACGCCCCCAACAAUCUGUUGCUCCGCACUUGCCCGCACGACUGCAGCUGCCUAUCUUCUCACCUGUGCGCCCUCGCUCCUAGCGCCAUUUCCCCGGUCACUUCCAUCAGAUCCACCACACGACGAUGCCCGCCUCCGCCAAAUCUCAACCACCGGCAAAACCGCGCCUGCGCCGCCCCGUCCCUGGUGCCCAAUGACCGCCGGUGUCAUCCCCGAAGUUCUGCUCCGCCGCACCGCUGCUCAAUCUCCGCCCCGGCAGAGCACUCGAUCGUUUCUUCCCGGUCUUCGCGCCAUGCCAAACUUCUCACUCUUCUGCGCAGCUAUAAAAGGGACUGCCAGAGCUCCGCCGGAGUCCCCUUCACCAUCGCUACCCUUCCGCCUUGCUCUCUGUUUUGUGCUCAAAGCGCUACCGCCUAAGUCCCAGAGGAACUCUCCUCUCCGCUCCACGCCGCUGUUCCCCCAAUCCACCCAGCCGCUUGCUCCUCUGUGCUGCGCAAGAGCUUGCUUGUGGUCCACAAGAAGCACCGCUGCCGCCAGAACCCUGCCGGACCUCGCCGCUGUCCAAAGCUCCAGUUCUUCCGCCCAAGUCUGCUCUUUUCAGACCCCAAGCUUCACCUGUAAGACGAAGGUAAGCUGCCGACCCUUUUUCCACCUCGUCCGACCCCUUCUAUCCGCCCGACCCCUGUUCCAUCUUGCCCAACCCUAUCUGUGUCGCCGACCUUUCUCCGCCUCGCCCGAGGGCUCGGCUGUAUCUUUUUCUUUAACCCGAGGGUAUAUGUGUAAAAACGGGGACUUCUCGGCGUUAAGUCUGAGGACCCCCAACACAUCUAUCCCUCUAGUCUAAGGGUCAGAUCAACAGCUUCCUUCUAUCCGACCCUUUUUUUUUUCCUUGUCCUUCUCCAACCCAAGCAAACUUUCCCACCUUUUUCCGUAGCUAUGCUACAAAGUUUCUGAGCUAGAACUUGCAAGUGUUGCUGUUGAAAUAACCGUCUAAAUGCUAACUCUUGCAUUGCAUUUCGUGUAGCGUUGCAUCUCGCCGAUGGUGUCUACGAGUUGUACCUGGCGCCAGAAGACGAAGCUGCAGUAGAGCUCCCGCCUCCAGAAGCCGAAGCCGUCCAAGCAGAAGAGCAGCUUCCCUCCUCCUCGUUCGAAGGCAAGCCCCGGAGCAUAAACCCAGUUUUCCCAAACUUGCGCAUGCCUUCUGUUCCUUGUUUGUGCAUUUACGUAUAGGAGUUGCUUGAAACCGUAGAUGCAUGAUUUAGUUCCUUGAUCUGAACACUAGCUGUUGGACCGAGUAGUUGCCAUGCUUAAUAGGAAGCGGUAAAAGCCGAGUGAUUUCCUGUCACUCGCGAGUUGUAGGAGUUGGUUGUUUCCUUUCUGUUACAACUAUAAGGACGAUGGACGGGGCAGGGUUAUGGUUAACUCUUUGGUGGUCAGCUGAUUGCCCCGUCUGUCUAUGGAACUUGUUAAGGCCCGACAGUGGUGGUGUUCGUGAUCAAGUGUUUGAAAGUACUAACCUCAUACUUAUUAUGGGAUGAGGAAGCCGAGUACCGGAUUGAACCUAGACAUGAGCGGUCGUCCCAUUGUCCUUGGAACGGAGUUCCCCUGCGGCCGCACGUGGUGGCAAGUAUGGUCACAGAACGGCAGAGGCCGGGUCUGCGGAACAUUGCACCAAAGGAAAUGGGCCCGACACGGGUUAGGGGAUUGAUGGGGAAGGCCGACACAGGAAGCGACCCUCGGUGGUGCGCGGAUGUCGUGAGGUUAGGUUCACCAUGCAUGGUUAAAGAACUCGAAUCGAUUCGUCUGCCUCUCACAGUUUGAGACUGCUUGAUCGCUAUGCUACCCUGAGUAAUAAAGGAAUCUGAUGAUGACAUGGUCUUGAUGAUGAGAUAUAUAUACCUUUUGGUUGGUUCUAUGUUUGCUUAGAGUAAGUGCCCACUUAGACCGGUUAAUGAACCUAGAACCUGAGCAAAAACUUGAAAAUAAGGAUCUACUUAGUGCUUCUUGGCAAAUAAACCCCUCAGCCUAAGAGCCUUGCAUGUCUAGAAAGGUGAAGUAGCUUUACUCCUGUCGGUUAAGUCUUGUUGAGCUUAGUAGCUCAGCCUUGUUGUAGCUUCUCUUUUUCAAGUGAAGUUGCUGCUCCCGAGCCUUCUUCUGUUGGCACUUGGCCGCCCUGUUGGGAUACGAGGUAGGCUACACUAGCGCAAUUCAAAAAUUCUACCGCGUAUAACCAGGAAGAACUGCCGUAUAAGGAUCACGGGAUUACCACUCGACGCACUACUGGUGCGGAAGAUGUAGAUAUGCGUCGAUGCAGUGAAGACGAUCACGUAGUCGUACGUAGUCGAUCAACAUAGUCGUACAUAGUCGAUCACGUCCAGCAGCUCCUCAGCAGCUCGUCCACGUGCAGCAAGAUCGCCUCCGGUACCGCGGCUCGUUGUUGGCUCGUCGUGGCUCGUCGGCGGCUCGUCCAAGUGCUGCAGGUGCAACACCUCCAAGGUAUCCACACGUGCAGGGAGGAAGCGUCGCAAGCCGGACUGCUAGAUCCGCGAGUUACAACAGGCGAGUGCGUGGGAGGCGCGGCAGGUGUGUUUCGCCAAAAGGUGUAAACCCUAGGGCGCCCCCACCCCUCUAUUUAUAGAGGUUCCUGAUGGGCCUCUGGAUCCGAGGCCCAUUAGUACUUCUAAACCUUAUCCAACUCGGAUCAGAUCCGAAUUGGGCUUCCAGCCCCUUAAGUGUGUGACCCUAUGGGUUCGGAUACGUAUAGACAUGGCCCGAGUACUCCUGCUCGGCCCAAUAGUUGGUAGCGGCCUCUAGCAAGACGUGCCAACUCCUAUACGCACACGAAGAUCAUAUCAGACGAACCAUCACAACAUAAUAUACAUGCUAUUCCCUUUGCCUCACGAUAUUUGGUCUAGCUUCAAGCCGACCGCUCUUUCUCGAUCCUGUGAUUCGGAAUCCCUUUGUAGGUUAACUCUUAACCGUACGUAGCAUGGCCAUGCAUUUUUGGAUCCGAUCACUCGAGGGGCCCAGAGAUAUCACUCUCAAUCAGAGAGGGGCAAAUCCCAUCUUGACUGACCAUGUCUCAUAGCAUGCUUCUUGACAAACCCGAAAGCUACCUUUAUAACUACCCUGUUACGGCGUAGCGUUUGAUAGCCCCUAAGUAGGUCGAUCCACAUCUAGAAUACAUGCGACAGUCUCAGGUCUAAGGACAAAGCGUAUAUGUUGUUUAAAGAGAGAACUACUUCUCGUGUUGGGUCAGUCCUAGCACAUGUCUCCACAUGUGUCCACAUUAUUAGUUCAACAUCUCCAUGUCCAUGACUUGUGAAACAUAGUCAUCAACUAAUACAUGUGCUAGUCAAAUAUUCAUGUGUGUCCUCACAUGAACUCCGACUAGGGACAACUUUAGAAUAACCAUACAAGUAAAGAGUUUCACAUACAAUUCACAUAAUUGCAAAUCAAUUCAAGUAGCCUUAAAUGGAUAUUCAAUGAACACAACAUACAAAUCAUGGAUACAAAUGGAAUAUCAUCAUCUCUAUGAUUGCCUCUAGGGCAUACCUCCAACAGUCUCCCACUUGCACUAGAGUCAAUCUAGAAGGUACCUAAUACCCAUAGCUCUUACAUGCGCAUCAUGCUUAGCCUGCGAGAGUGGUUUUGUCAACAGAUCAGAAAUAUUCAGAUCCGUGUGUAUUUUGCAUAUCUUGAUCUCACCCCGGUUAACGAAGUCUCGAAUGAGAAGAAAUCGCCGCAUUACGUGUUUGUUCUUCUGGUGGUUCCUUGGCUCCUUUGCUUGCGCAAUUGCCCCAUUGUUAUCACAGUAGAGAUUCAAUGGGCUGGACGCAUUCGGGAACACACCAAGCUCAAUGAGGAAAUUCCUUAUCCAAACACCUUCCUUCGCGGCUUCCGAAGCCGCGAUGUACUCGGCUUCUGUCGUAGAAUCGGCCACCGUCUCUUGCUUGGAACUCUUCCAACUAACAGCACCACCAUUUAGCGUGAACACAAAUCCUGAUUGUGACUUUGAAUCAUCUCUGUCGGUUUGGAAACUAGCAUCGGUGUAACCUGUUACAACGAGCUCCUCCUCACCUCCAUAGACGAGGAACAUAUCUUUAGUCCUUCUCAAGUACUUAAGAAUGUUUUUCACCGCUGUCCAGUGACUCUCACCUGGAUCAGAUUGGUGUCUGCUUGUCAUACUUAGCGCAUAUGAAACAUCUGGGCGAGUACUUAUCAUUGCAUACAUGAUAGAUCCAAUAGCCGAGGCAUAUGGCACUCUACUCAUGCGAUCCCGCUCAUCAGCAGUCGAAGGACACUGAGUCUUGCUGAGAUGUAUGCCAUGUGACAUAGGCAAGAACCCUUUCUUUGCCUCUUCCAUGCUGAACCGCUUCAACACUUUGUCAAUGUAAGUAUCUUGGCUUAAACCUAUAAGCCUUCUCGAUCUAUCUCUAUAGAUCUUAAUACCCAGAAUAUAUGCCGCUUCCCCUAAGUCCUUCAUCAAAAAACUAUUUUUCAGUGAAGUCUUUACGGAUUCAAGCAUAGGAAUGUUAUUUCCAAUCAGUAAUAUGUCAUCCACAUAUAAGAUUAGAAAUACUACAGAGCUCCCACUAACCUUCUUGUAAACACAAGACUCUUCUUCGUUCUUGGUGAAGUCAAACCCUUUGACCACUUCAUCAAAACGAAUGUUCCAACUCCUAGAUGCUUGCUUCAAUCCAUAAAUGGAUCUCUGAAGCUUGCAUACCUUUCCAGCAUUUUUCGGAUCGACAAAACCCUCGGGCUGUAUCAUAUUCACGUCCUCAGUUAGGUUUCCAUUCAGGAAAGCUGUCUUGACAUCCAUCUGCCAUAUCUCAUAAUCGAAAUAUGCAGCUAUAGCUAGAAUAAUCCGAAUGGACUUAAGCAUCACUACGGGCGAGAAGGUCUCGUCGUAGUCAACUCCUUGAACUUGUCGAAAACCUUUUGCGACAAGUCGUGCUUUAUAGAUGUGAACAUUUCCAUCCAUGUCCGUUUUCUUCUUAUAGAUCCACUUGCACUCUAUGGCUUUAAUACCAUCAGGCGGGUCAUCCAAGUUCCAAACUUGAUUGUCUCCCAUGGACUCUAUUUCGGAUUGCAUGGCACUCUGCCAUUUUUCGGAGUCUGGAUCCAUCAUUGCUUCUGCAUAUGUCGCAGGCUCAUCAUUGUCCAACAAUAAUAUUUCCCGCAUUUCGCGGAGCCUUGCCGACCUUCGUGGUUGUGGCGGUGCUUCUCUUGCCAUGGGUAUCUCAACUUGUUCUGCUACGUUAGCAUCACUCAUUGAUUCUUGCCCGAUCGGCUCAUCUAGAACUUCUUCAAGAUGCACUGUCUUUCCACUCUUUUCUCCUUUGAGAAACUCUUUCUCUAGGAAAACCCCGUUCCGAGCGACAAACACUUUGCCUUCUGAUCGGUUGUAGAAAUAAUAUCCCAAAGUUUCCUUUGGAUAUCCCACGAAAAUGCACUUAUCCGACUUGGGUGUGAUCUUGUCCGACUGAAGUCGCUUGACAAACACUUCACAUCCCCAAAUCUUUAGAAAAGACAAACUAGGAAUCUUUCCAGUCCAUAUCUCAUAUGGUGUCUUAACUACGGAUUUAGAUGGUACCCUAUUUAGUGUGAAAGCUGCUGUUUCUAGAGCGUAUCCCCAAAAUGACAACGGUAGGUCCGACUAGCUCAUCAUUGAUCGAACCACGUCUAACAAAGUUCGAUUACGUCGCUCGGACACACCGUUUCUCUGAGGUGUUCCAGGCGGCGUAAGUUGUGGAACAAUUCCGCAACUCUUUAGAUGAUUGCUAAACUCGUGGCUCAAAUACUCGCCUCCACGAUCAGAUCAUAAGGCCUUAAUUUUCUUGCCACGCUGAUUUUCAACUUCAUUAUGAAAUUCCUUGAACUUUUCAAAGGUUUCAGACUUGUGCCUCAUCAAGUAGACAUAGCCAUAUCUACUAAAAUCAUCAGUGAAAGUUAUGAAGUAUUGGAAUCCUCCUCUAGCCGUCGUGCUCAUUGGUCCGCAUACAUCACUAUGUACGAGUUCCAACAAGUCUACUGCUCUCUCAGGAAAUCCUGUGAAAGGCGUCUUGGUCAUCUUGCCUAGCAAGCAAGCCUCGCAUGUCUCAUAUGAUUCAAAAUCAAACGAAGUUAGAAGUCCAUCAGAAUGGAGCUUCUUCAUGCGUUUUUCACUUAUAUGACCCAAACGACAAUGCCACAAGUAGGUAGGACUCAAAUCAUUAGGCUGAGGCCUUUUAGCACUUACAUUACAGACAGGUGAACCAUCAAGAUUUAAAACAAAUAAUCCAUUCACAAUGGGUGCAAAAGCCAUAAACAUAUUAUUCUUAGAGAUCACACAACCAUUGUUUUCACUCGAAAAUGAAUAACCAUCCUUCAUCAAACAUGAAGGAGACAAAAUGUUUCGACUUAAACUAGGAACAAAAUAACAAUUAUUCAACUCCAUAAUAAAUCCUGACGGGAGGUGGAGUUGCAUCGUCCUGACGGUCAACGCAGCAACUCUUGCAUUAUUGCCCACGCGGAAAUCAACUUCUCCUCUUUCCACGCUUCUACUUCUUAUCAUUCCCUGCAUCGAAUUGCAAAUAUGAGCAACCGAUCCGGUAUCAAAUACCUAAGAAUUAAUAAUUGUAUUAGCGAGAAAUAUGUUGUCUAUAACAUUAACAACAAGCAUACCUGAGGUAGAAGUACUCUUACUUCCGCCAUUCUUCAACGAAGCUAGUUACUGCUUGCAGUUUCUCUUCCAGUGACCAAGUUCAUGACAGUAAAAGCACUCUUUGUCUGGAGCAGGUCCAGGUCUAGCUUUAACCUUGGGCGGUGGGUUUGGCUUGGACGUUCCAGCCUUGCCCUUUUUCUUCCAAGAAUUGCCCUUCUUCUUAAAGCUGGGCUUGUUCUGUAUAGCCAUCACAUGGCUGGUACUAGCGCUUUUCUUGAUGUCUACUUCUGCUAUCUUGAGCAUACCACACAGUUCAUUCAAACCCUUCUCCGUCCCAUGCAUAUGGUAGUUCGAGAUGAAGUUCCCAUAGCUAGGCGGAAGAGAUGAAAGAAUGAAGUCAGUGACCAACUCUUUGCCCAUUGGGAAGCCCAGCUUCUCCAAUCGCUGAGUGUAACCAACCAUCUUGAUUACAUGUGGUCCUACUGCUGCGCCUUCUGCUAACUUCCACUCCAGAAAGGCUUUGGACACAUUGAACCUUUCGGUCCUAGCCUGUGUCUGGAACAUGUCCUUGAGCGCCACGAUCAUAUCGUGUGCCUCAUGAUUUGUUUCGAAUUGCAUCUGCAGCUUGGGUUCCAUGCAAGCAAGCAUAAGGCAGCUUACCUCAAGAUUAGCAUCAAAUGCCUUCUUGUAAGCAGCCUUAAUGGCAGUAGAUGCAUCAUCAGCAGGUACUGGUGGUAGUGGGGUGUCUAGAACAUUUUCCUUUUUCUCAGCCCUGAGAACAAUUCUCAGGUUACGGAUCCAAUCCGAGUAGUUUGUUCCAUUCAACUUGUCCUUCUCAAGGACCGAAUGCAAAGCAAACGAUGCGGUGGUGUUCCUAGGUGCCAUUUAAUCUACAACAAAAGUAAUGCAAAAUACACUAAGACAAACGUAUCCAUGAUAGAGCAAAUUACAUUAAACUAUUUUAACAGAAUCUACUCCCACUAAAAUCAAUAUCCCUCUAUUAAAACUUAGUGAUUCAGGAUCCACAACUAACAAGUCCACUAGUGAGCUUUAGCAUCACCGCUAGCAAACGAGGUAGAUCGGUAAGCAACUUUUGCUAAUCAUAUCACAUAUGACUCCUGUUGUUGGGUGACAUCUCUAUGUCUCGACGCCCAACCUUUAUGCCCCAAGGUCCUUAACCGUUAAGAUAACCUUGUUAAGCAAACCAACCCUUAUGCGUGUAAGUGUCCGACACAAACCCGUCUAGUCAAGGAAAACUAGUGGCACCCUAAUUUCAUAGACCCACCACUUAGUGUACAAGACAUGGGACGGUGCAAGUUUUUGUUGGGAGGGCAUACUAACUUAAACUUUGUGAGGGAUCGUUCUACUUCUAACAUCACAGCAUGCAGAAAGUAAAAUAUAAACAGAAUAGCAUUCACACAGUUGUGACACAGUAUGGCCCGUUUUCAUAUGGUGAUCUCCAUCUCCAUAGAACCUGUUCACCAUGGUGAUCUCCAUCUCAAUGUUCCAUGUGCGCCAUCCUCCUGGUGAUGAGUCCUCCAAGAACUAGAGCAUGCUAUUACGCCUAAUAGCUAGUAAAGAAUCUAGUAAUGAAGAUUACAUAGUUGCUUGGAUCAUCACAGAUUGGUACGCAGACCAUUAAAUACAAUAAAGUGACAACACAUAUGGCUCCUGCCGUGUUGCCGUACGCGCGACACGCAGGUCACGAAUGAGUUACACACAUGCAUCACAUACACAAGGGGGCUAUACUGAUCACAAGAUACAUACAUACAUCCUGCAAAACAGAGUUAGGCGUCCUAACGUUCCAAACUUCGGAGGCCCGAAACUCCAUCUUCCAAGCCGAAUUUGGGAAAUCUAAAUUCACCGAAAAUGGCAAAGCAGUUGAAUUUCAUGUGUAACUUUUUCUGUAGAUCAAUUUUCAUAUAAAAUUCGCCCCAUUCCGAGAUCGUACCGAAAAGUUACGGCUGAUUUACCGAAGCAUACGCAUCCGGCAAAAUCCCAACCCCAGCAGUAGAUCCCAUCUACUAUUGCACAUCUAAUGCGCCUGGCGUAUGACCCUGGAUCUCGAUUCGACCAAUCAUAUUAAUCUUCGCUCACUGCAACUGGAUUUACGUGUAUCACUUAACUCCGAUGGCGGAAACCGACCGGUAGGAGUAUGUCGUUACACUACCAUUGCAGCAAGGGCACGAAACCAGGACAUAGAUCAAACAGAAAACUCGCAUAUCUCCAUAUGCACACAUCCCGAAUCCAAAACUAAGCAGCUACGGCUCUUGAUACCACUGUUGGGAUACGAGGUAGGCUACACUAGCGCAAUUCAAAAAUUCUACCGCGUAUAACCAGGAAGAACUGCCGUAUAAGGAUCACGGGAUUACCACUCGACGCACUACUGGUGCGGAAGAUGUAGAUAUGCGUCGAUGCAGUGAAGACGAUCACGUAGUCGUACGUAGUUGAUCAACGUAGUCGUACGUAGUCGAUCACAUCCAGCAGCUCCUCAGCAGCUCGUCCACGUGCAGCAAGAUCGCCUUCGGUACCGCGGCUCGUCGUUGGCUCGUCGUGGCUCGUCGGCGGCUCGUCCAAGUGCUGCAGGCGCAACACCUCCAAGGUAUCCACACGUGCAGGGAGGAAGCGUCGUAAGCUGGACUGCUAGAUCCGCGAGUUACAACAGGCGAGGGCGUGGGAGGUGCGGCAGGUGUGUUUCGCCAAAAGGUGUAAACCCUAGGGCGCCCCCACCCCUCUAUUUAUAGAGGUUCCUGAUGGGCCUCUGGAUCCGAGGCCCAUUAGUACUUCUAAACCUUAUCCAACUCGGAUUAGAUCCGAAUUGGGCUUCCAGCCCCUCAAGUGUGUGACCCUAUGGGUUCGGAUACGUAUAGACAUGGCCCGAGUACUCCUGCUCGGCCCAAUAGUCGGUAGCGGCCUCUAGCAAGACGUGCCAACUCCUAUACGCACACGAAGAUCAUAUCAGACGAACCAUCACAACAUAAUAUACAUGCUAUUCCCUUUGCCUCACGAUAUUUGGUCUAGCUUCAAGCCGACCGCUCUUUCUCGAUCCUGUGAUUCGGAAUCCCUUUGUAGGUUAACUCUUAACCGUACGUAGCAUGGCCAUGCAUUUUUGGAUCCGAUCACUCGAGGGGCCCAUAGAUAUCACUCUCAAUCAGAGACAGGCAAAUCCCAUCUUGACUGACCAUGUCUCAAAGCAUGCUUCUUGACAAACCCGAAAGCUACCUUUAUAACUACCCUGUUACGGCGUAGCGUUUGAUAGCCCCUAAGUAGGUCGAUCCACAUCUAGAAUACAUGCGACAGUCUCAGGUCUAAGGACAAAGCGUAUAUGUUGUUUAAAGAGAGAACUACUUCUCGUGUUGGGUCAGUCCUAGCACAUGUCUCCACAUGUGUCCACAUUAUUAGUUCAACAUCUCCAUGUCCAUGACUUGUCAAACAUAGUCAUCAACUAAUACAUGUGCUAGUCUAAUAUUCAUGUGUGUCCUCACAUGAACUCCGACUAGGGACAACUUUAGAAUAACCAUACAAGUAAAGAGUUUCACAUACAAUUCACAUAAUUGCAAAUCAAUUCAAGUAGCCUUCAAUGGAUAUUCAAUGAACACAACAUACAAAUCAUGGAUACAAAUGGAAUAUCAUCAUCUCUAUGAUUGCCUCUAGGGCAUACCUCCAACACAUUAGUACUUCUAAACCUAAUCCAACUCGGAUCACAUCCGAAUUGGGCUUCUAGCCCCUUAAGUGUGUGACCCUAUGGGUUCGGAUACGUAUAGACAUGGCCCGAAUACUCCUACUCGGCCCAAUAGUCGGUAGCGGCCUCUAGCAAGACGUGUCAACUCCUAUACGCACACAAAGAUCAUAUCAGACGAACCAUCACAACAUAAUAUACAUGCUAUUCCCUUUGCCUCACGAUAUUUGGUCUAGCUCCAAACCGACCACUCUUUCUCGAUCGUGUGAUUCGGAAUCCCUUUGUAGGUUAACUCUUAACCGUACGUAGCAUGGCCAUGCAUUUUCAGAUCCAAUCACUCGAGGGGCCCAGAGAUAUCACUCUCAAUCAGAGAGGGGCAAAUCCCAUCUUGAUUGACCAUGUCUCACAGCAUGCUUCUUGACAAACCCGAAAGCUACCUUUAUAACUACCCUGUUACGGCGUAGCGUUUGAUAGCCCCUAAGUAGGUCGAUCCACAUCUUGAAUACAUGUGACAAUCUCUGGUCUAAGGACAAAGAGUAUAUGUUGUUUAAAGAGAGAACUACUUCUCGUGUUGGGUCAGUCCUAGCACAUGUCUCCACAUGUGCCCACAUUAUUAGUUCAACAUCUCCAUGUCCAUGACUUGUCAAACAUAGUCAUCAACUAAUGCAUGUGCUAGUCUAAUAUUCAUGUGUGUCCUCACCUGAACUCCGACUAGGGACAACUUUAGAAUAACCAUACACGUAAAGAGUUUCACACACAAUUCACAUAAUUGCAAAUCAAUUCAAGUAGCCUUUAAUGGAUAUUCAAUGAACACAAUAUAAAUCAUGGAUACAAAUGGAAUAUCAUCAUCUCUAUGAUUGCCUCUAGGGCAUUCCUCCAACAGCCUUUGGGAUUCAGAAGGAACCGACGGGGUUGGUUGGGUUCUUUAGGGGUCAGGGUCGGAAACUGCAUGUUGAGCGCUUAUGCUCAGGGGAGCUGAGUCAGUGGAAUUAGAGACUCGGAUUAGGAUUAACUCGGAUGAUUUAACCAGGGUCGUUACAGCCUACCCCCCUUAAAAAGAAUCUCGUCCCGAGAUUCGGGUGUAAGGGUAACCAGUGGGGGUGUGCAGUCCUUACCUCCUUGGGUGAAAAGAAAACCUCGGAAGUGUUUGUUCAGAUACUCUUCUGUUUCCCAGGUUACUUCUUCCUCUGUGUGGUUGUUCCAUAGUAUCUUGUACAUUUUGACUGUUUGCCGUCGGGUAUGUCUUUACUUUCGGUCGAGGACCUUGGCUGGAUACUCAGUGUAAGUUAGGUCGGGCUCGAUUUGAAGUUGCUCCUAUCCCAAGAUCUCAGUUGGAACUUGGACACAUUUCUUCAGUUGGGAGACAUGGAAAACAUCAUGAAUGGCCGAGAGCUAUUCUGGGAGUUGGAUCCGGUACGCAACGGGUCCACAAAUUUCCACAAUCUCAUAAGGGCCAACGUAACGGGAAGCCAAUUUUCCUUUUACUCCAAACCGUUGCACUCCUUUAGUUAGGGAGACUCAAAGAUAUACGUGAUCACCAAUAUCAAACUGCAGGGGUCUCCUUCUCCUGUCGGAGUAACUUUUCAGUCGGGAUUGGGCGGCCUUGAGAUUUGCUUGAAUUAUCUUCACUUGUUCUUCUGCUUCUACUACUAAGUCACAGCCGUAGGUCUGUCUUUCGCCAACUUGUGACCAAUUCAACAGCGUGCGACAUUUCCGACCAUAUAGGGCUUCAAACGGUGCCAUCUUCAAGCUAGUCUGAUAGCUGUUGUUAUAAGAGAACUCUGCCAACGGUAAGCACUUAUCCCAAUUCUUGCUAUAGUGGAUGACACAUGCUCUCAACAUAUCUUCAAGGAUCUGAUUCACUCUUUCGGUCUGACCAUCGGUUUGAGGGUGAUAAGUAAAUCUACAAAAGAGCUUGGUGCCAAGUGAUGCUUGUAGCUGCUCCCAAAAACGCGCUACAAACUGAACACCUCGAUCAGAUAUGAUCGUCCUAGGCACACCGUGCAGGGAAACAAUACGGUCAAGAUACAACUCUGCAUAUUUCUUGGCCGUGUAGGUGGUGUGAACCGGAAGGAAGUGGGCAGUCUUGGUAAGACGAUCCACAAUCACCCAAAUGGAAUCAUGUCACUGCGAUAUAAGGGGCAGUCCAACAAUGAAGUCCAUGCUGAUGUCUUCCCAUUUCCAAGAGGGAGAUAGAAAGUAACAGCCACGCACCUACAAGAUGGAAGCAACAUUCAUCGCUAAGAGGAGGCUGUGCGCCUCUGCCUGCAAGGGAGAAAUGGCUGAGCAUUUGGCUCUGAUUUGAAGAGACCAAGAAGGGUGGCUUGUGCGUUGUAGCAUUGGUAAAGAGAAUUCCCAAGCCAGCCUUUUGAUUUACAUAUGAUGCGUCAAUCCUGCAGCAAAGGUUGCUAGAUAAAAGAUGUGAAAAAUAAAUAUCAUCUUGUAAGUAAUGUGAUGUGGUCAGAAUGUUCAUGCUUUGGUCAAUACGAUACGCUUCAUAUUGAGCUUUUUGAGAAGCCUUUGCUUGGUAAAUGAUAGUGUGCACAGAGCAGUCUUUACGUUGAAACCUAUGAUCAUUUCUUGCUUUCCAAAUGUGCCAAAGGAUGUAACAGGAUGUAACAAACAACUGAUCCUCUUCACAAGUAAGAUUUCUAAAAGUCAACACCACUUCUUCUGGCAGUCCUGCCACGCCCAACCGCACGGGCCAUGCCGGCCUGAAUUCGUAUCUGUCCGAUCGUGUAAAUCCGUCCUUCCGUGAGCAGGUAGGUAGGCACGCAGUAGGUAGUCAUGUGAUUUUUUUGCAAAAAAGCUCUCCAAUUUUUCAUUAAUCGUGUUGGGGUCCACGGAGGCCCUCCUCCUAUAGUAAACAUGUUCGAUUUAUUUGCAACACGCCCCUAGGUUCCAGAAUAUUUCAAUAUCAAAAGAGAAAAUCCUGAUUUUGCGCCGUUUUUAAAAAAAAACCGUCGGCCGACCAUUUUGCGAAGAACCCUAAUGCGUGCCCGGCCUUGAGCUGCCGUCCUCUCCCAAUUCUAUCUUAGAAAAAUUGGUUUCAUAGCCCUCAAAGAUCACUACUUCCAUAAAACACCAUUAAAAAGUGGUGAACCGUUCCUGAAAAUACCAUUGGGUUACCUUUUAUGGCUAACAGGAACCUUUUCUGUCUACAGCGCAANNNNNNNNNNNNNNNNNNNNNNNNNNNNNNNNNNNNNNNNNNNNNNNNNNNNNNNNNNNNNNNNNNNNNNNNNNNNNNNNNNNNNNNNNNNNNNNNNNNNCGAACUCACAGCCGUGGUCCUCGCGAGGGCAGUCACCGUGCUUCCGUCGCGCCGUCGGCCGCGCUUGUCUCAUCAACGCACACGCGAGGCAAGGCCAGCUGCGCCGCAUCCUUGAGCUCAGCCCGCCCCUCUGCAGCCCAGCCGCCGCAUGGCCGCCACGAGAUGGUCGUGGCGGGGCACACCUGUGCUGCUGUUGCGCGCGUUUGUCCAGGGAUGCGCUGUGUGUUGCUGGUGGCCGCGCUCGCCAUGCGUAUGCCACCAUGCUGGUUCUUGCGCUCUACAUGCAUGUGCUCCUCGCGUGCUAGGAGCAUGGGAGGCUGGGACAUGCCCGCUGGGUGUCUGGACCAAGGAAAGAUUGGAGAAGCUAGCGUUUGUUCUGAUGACUGGUGCGUGUGCUGACCAAGGACAUUUUAGUCCAAAUUAACAUUAUUGAUGCCAAAUUCUAACCGGGUGCUAUUUUAUGUAACGUUUUAACAUUAGUCCCUUUCAUCUGUCUCUCUCCCCGGACUCUAGCGACCGCCGCGACUGCGCCCCGUCUCCCACUCAUCCUCCCUCCGUCUCCCCGGUUCACAUCUCUCGUUGCUCACCCCUGUGAACGUCCUUGCUGCCUGUUCUUCCUAGCGACCCAGCCCUGUCAAACAAUUCUUUCCAAGAACUACCAAAUGUGAUUAUUGCUUUCCUGCAGUCCUGGGAUCAAUUAUGUGCCAAGAUUACCAAUUCUCUCGCUCAAAAAUUUGAGUCAUGCUUAUGUAGGUCCAGCUCCCAGGGAACUGUAGAUUUCUGGUUUCUUCAACUAGUGUUGUCCCCAUUACAAUGUGCACUCAGCACUGUUCAGAACUAGUGUUGUUUACUUGUCCUGGGUUCCUCCUAAACACGAGCAAGCAGAUAGGUACAGGUAGCUUGGCCAAAUUAUGUCAUAUAUGCAUCUACAUGUUUGGUGUGUGUAGUCUGAACAUUGUGUGUAGUCUAAACAUUUGAACAUAGUAUAAAAUCUUGUAUAUCAAGAUGCACUGAAUAUAUGUCUCACAUCAUCUAGCACAACAAGUUCAGACAAGUGCUUGCUAAAUCUCUCCGACUCAUGGCUGACUAAGCUUUUCAGUACAAGUGAUCCCGGAGAGAAUACAAAGCUUCAAAAUUACAACUUUUAACAAGUUUACUUUUGAGGGAUUUUAUAGUAUCCUACACUACUGGUAUGAGGAUGCUAGUAUGCAAGUAUGCAAGUAUGCGCCUCAGCGCCUGUACUGUCCAUAGCUGCAUAGCUGUUGCACACAGCCAUUCAAAACUGUGACUAAUUCUGAAUAAUUAGUGUGCUGCAAUCAAAACGGUGCUGCAUAGCUGUUGCGCAUAUCUGCAUAGCUAAUGCACACAGGCAUUGAGAACAAGAACGGCUAUAUGCACAUUUGUUUUAGUCAGUGCUCGUAUUAGUCGUUGUCAGUGGUGCUUGAAUUUUUUUGUUUAACGAACCUGAUGUUAUAUCAAUUCGUGUAUUCUAGUUGACAUCUCAAUCUUGCAUUUACAAUCAAUAUAUGAUCUUCCCCUCUAUUGUAGUUGUGGAGUCCAAGGACGGGAGGAUUUCAGUUGCUUCAGCAUUUGCUGGUCAUCAGGAAGGUGACAUUGCUGUUUCCUCACCCACUAGACUCUCUACUGUCUUGUCUGCUGCAUCUAUUGCUGCCUGCUCUUGCUGGUGUGCUUGGGAAUAAAAUAAAAAAAUUUGGUGCAUGUACAUUUAUGUCUCGGUAUUAAGUAAACUCUGAUGCAUGUCCAAUUUUUAUUGUCCUUGAAUAUGCAUAUUAUAGGAGUUAGGAGAUAAUGGAAUCUUGGGAGGAUGAAGUUAGGAGAUUCAUGCUAAAGGAAGAAGAGGAUAACGAGCUAUUCCAGUUAUGGUUCCUGUAAGUAUUCUUUUAUCAAUUAUCAUUUCAGUAGGAUACAUGCCAUUUGUCUAUGCAAUACAUAUCUUGUCACAUCUCUUGUCUGUAAUAUAUCUUGAUAGAUAUAUGCAACAUAUCUUGACAGUAAUUUUAACCUUGUCAAUACUAGCAUUACACCAUCCACUAUACUGUAACUUCUAAGAUGGUGGCAUGUAAUGGUCAGGCUUUCCAGUAAUAAUAGCAAAAAGAGUAUUCAUGUGAAUAUCUAUGUGCAUAUGUAUAUAUUUGAUCAUUUGAUUUUUUAUAUUAUGUACAAAGGUUUUGCUCAUUAUGUAGACCCCAUUCCUAUUCAGUUGGCAUUCAUAUAUUACGAGCUAUACAUAUCUUUGAAUUAUCUGAUCAUAUGUUAUAUGCAAGAUUUUAACUAUAUACCUAAAUUUUCUACAGAAUAAUUGAUGGAUCAAUAAUUAUCUGGUGCCUUAAUCAGCGGUGCCUGCGACUUGGAUGUGCUAUGCUGAAUUUAUUUAACUUGCAGUGCCUUAAUACUUGGUGAUUGAUACUGCUUGUUGAUCUUUUAGACAUGUUACGGACCUUAUUUAUCAUUGCUAUUUUUCUGGAUUUUUUUAGUAUUUGUGAAUUGUGGACUAUUCUUUUUACAAAAGAUUUGGGUGGGAGGUCCUAGCUCCAAACGGGGUGGGGGUGCCCAGCUCCGUUAAUUUAUCGGAGAGGGUUGUGCUGCCCAGGUAGCUCUGGCCUGAGCUGCCAAACGAGCCCUUAGGGUGCCAUGGUCCCUUCAAUACACUUGACGAGGUGAAACAUCUAUUCCAGUGAUGGAACAAGCCGACCCAUCGCUUGCGAAUCAGUUUUGUCUAGUGGCACGUAAUCGAAUAAAUAAGAAGACCUUUCGAUUUGAAGGGGAUUGGAGAGGGUUGAAAGGGAUUCGGAGGGAUUAAAUCAAGUCAAAAUCCCCCUCAAUCCCCUCCGAUCCUCAUGGGAAGGGGAUUAAUUGAACAAAUCCGAAAUAGGAAUCUAGGAGAGGAAGAGGAUGACGGAGGAGGUGGGCAGCGACGGAGGUGUCCGGUACUCGGUAGCGAUUUCGGUGGAGAGAGUCGGGUGAAACACUGAAACAUAACGGUAAUACCACCCCAUCCGAGUAGUAAACUUCCAGCCAUGAUAAAAAUGGCAACUACAAUCACUGCUAAUUUUUUUUGGCACGCCAGGAUUUCACUAGAAACUAUCCCUAAUCCAUCACACAUCGUAAUUAUUGCAUAAGUUACAAAAAAAAGACGAUAUACCACAACUCUAACACAUGAGAUAGAUUUAUCGGACCCUCAAAAUAUUGAAAUAUUGCAGAUUUCCCCCCUGAACUUGGUUAUUUGGAAAACUUCUCCAACAUGCUAAAUUAAAAAAAAAGAUUUGACAACCAUACUUUCUGGCAGAAUUACGGAGAUUAGCACUAGCUAAACGAGGGAGAGUAGCAAAGCUAUGUGAAUCAUAGCUUAAGAAAAGGAAAAACACCUAACAUUUGUCACCAUAUACACUUGCUACAUGGCUCGAUGACUUUCAGGUUCACAGCUGGGGGCACUCUCCCCUCGAUGUAUCUCUGAAUGGCAACGCGGGCCCUUUUAGCCUCCACAAGUGCCUCCUUACCCAGCUGCAGGCACUUAUCAAACUUGACAAGCCUCCUAUCGUACCCACGGGUAGUGUCUAGUGUAAGGCACGCCAGUGCCUUUGUUUUCUCGAUAAUACAGAUCGUGAGCUCAAUCAUGCUCUUCGCAGAGCAAAAGCCGGUUAUCAUCACAUUCUUGAGGUUGUCAUGGCACUGUUCUUGAAGGCACUGUGGACGUGAGUAGCCAUUUGAGUCUUCAAUAACUGAAUCUCGCCUUAUUGUCGGCUGCGCAAUCUGCAUAGGUAUACAUGAUAUGUCAGAGUGUAUAUUCAAUAAUAAUCAUAAAGUUUCAAUUAUACUGAAUAUACUGAUUUUCACCCUAAAUAUGAAGUUUUUAAGAUGGUAACUUGUCAGAGUGAUGUCAUACCCGUACAAUAAGAGACUCCAAGGCAGGAGAAGCAUCAAGAAAAGAAAUAAGAGAGCAGAGAUCAUAGUCUUGGGAAAACUUUAAUGUAGAGACCACUAUCUCCAAGUACUUGAGCUGGAUGAAUUUGCCAAACACCUUUGGUGUAUUGACUGUCUGAAGAAAUAAAUGUCCCCCGAAGAUUAAUUGUGGACUGAGUAAUUGAGUAUUGUAAACAUAAAACUAUUAUUCUACCAUCAGUUUCAUUUCCAGAACAAUGAACUUAUUGGGAUGGAUAAAACUGACCUCAUCACUUGUUGAUAGCACAAGAGUUUGGAGAUUUGGCGCGAUGAAUGGAAAUUUGGUACUAGCAUAAUAUAGCGCAUCAGGUGAAAAGUCACGGAAAAAACUUAUUUUUCUCACUUGCAAUGCUUCGCCAAGCAAGAUAUGUAUUGGGCGCCCAGCAAAGAAGAAAGUGGAGAGGUUAGGGGCAUUGCUGUCAAUCAUUUCCAGCUUACUGCAACCCACCAAAUGCAGGAUAUCAAGCUUCUGCAGCAGACAAGGUAUCUUCAAGCAAAUUAUAUCAUUGCAGUUGGUAAGCCUUAGUUGCUCCACAGCACAAGAAUUGGAUAGAAAACCAUAUAGUUCCUCUCCAGUAAUGUGUACUGAAUGCAAUUCCAAAUUUGUCAGGCUACUCAUAUAACCAACUUGG
Molecule: long non-coding RNA, 247728 nt
Filed under: Setaria italica (foxtail millet)
Lineage: Eukaryota; Viridiplantae; Streptophyta; Magnoliopsida; Poales; Poaceae
Description: long non-coding RNA (SITA_LNC006005)
Source: RNAcentral